UCAGAUUCUUCAAAUAUCCAAGAGAGGGAGGGAUGACACCAGAGAGCCCAUAGUUAAAACUCAAAUCCAAAUGAAUAAGAUUCUUCAAAUAUCCAAGAGAGGAAGGGAUGACACCAGAGAGAUUGUUAUAAGCCAAAUCCAAUUCCUCUAAUAGAGUGAGGUUACCCAGUGAAACAGGUAGCUCACCAUAAACAUCACAUUCAGAUAUACGGAGGUAAGUGAGUUUUGUAAGCAUACCUAUCUCAUCUGGGAUGCGACCAUAGAUGGAAGAAUGGCUAACGUAGAGAUGGAGGAGGCUGGGAAAUGAAGAAAACUUCAACUUGCUAAGCUCAACCAUUUUACCAUCGAUAUAUGAAUAGGUAAUUCGAACGACAUGUCCCUCCGUAUUGCAGGUGAUGCCUUCCCAUGUGCAGUGAUGAGAAGUCGUGUUUUCCAUGUACCACCACCAAGUGGAGUUGCGGAGAGCCUCGGCCUCAGCCUCCACCUGUGCCUCCGUUGUAGCAGCAGCAGCAGGUGGUGAUGAGAUCAAGAGCAUGUUAUAUAAUAACAAUACCAUUGAAACCACCAACGCCCUACAAGUAAUGGAACACCACUCCAUUUUUGCUUGUUUUCGAUUAAUAUUGCUUUGCCCCAGUUUCAGCCUUUAUUAACUCGUGUUUCAGCGGCUGCAACUCAAGCCAGUCAAAGAAGUCGGCUGGAAAUUCAGCGGAAAUGAAGAUAAGAUCAAGAGCAUGUCAUAUAAUAACAAUACCAUUGAAACCAACCAACGCCCUACCAGUAAUGAAACACCACUCCAUUUUUUCUUGUUUUCGAUUAAUAUUGCUUUGCCCCAGUUUCAGCCUUUAUAACUCGUGUUUCAGCGGCUGCAACUCAAGCAAGUCAAAGAAGUCGGCUGCAACUCACGCAAGUCAAAGAAGUCAGCUGGAAAUUCAGCGGAAAUGAAGAUAAUUAAUAUUUUUGAAAUUUUAAAAUAAAAACUCAAACGAUAAUGAUAUUAUAAAAAAAUAAUAUUCACAAUUUUUUUUUAAAUUAAUUUUAGGAAAUAAUAAAACCUCACCUGUAUUUAGAAAAUGAUAUAAUAUUUUCUAACUCUAAAUAUAUGUAUUAUAAAAAUAUUACAAAUUUUAACGUUAUGUCAAUCAUUGCAAAAUAAAUGUUUUAUUUACCUUAUUAAUUUCAUUAAUUCUAAAAAGGAAAUCAAGGCAAAUUCUAUUUUAUCUUUUCUUCUUUUGUCUUCAAAUCAUACCUACUUUACAGGUGUUGAGCAAACUACAUAAAGUCAACCAAGUCUUCGUGGGCUCAUGUGGCUGGAAACUAGGUGGAUGAAGUAUGAAUAGAGCAAAAAUGUAUACCUAAAAAAAUAAAAAACUUCUAUAAGAAAAUGGUAGAAAUCUUGUACUGCAAUGAUACCUGAUCAACAACUCAAAUAAAAAUAAAAAUAAAAAAUUAAUUAACUUUUAGAAACUAAAUCAAAUUUUCAUCUUGAAAAAUUCCCACUUCAGUUUUACAACCACUUAAACAACAUUCCGUAGUAUGAUUUCACCAAUAGUUAUCAUGUAAGUAUAUAUAUAUAUAUAUAUAUAUGAUUGAGUGGGAAAUAUAAUUGAAAGUGAGAGUUUACAUGCGUUCUAAAUUAUAUGCAUUGCAUAAAAUACAAACUUUUCAACUCUUUUUAAUUUUUUUUAUUUUAUAAAUAUUUUUUUAAUGUAAUAUGUAACUUGAUAAAUAAGAGAACAAAAAAUGAUGAAAGUCAUAUAUAUUAAAAAUAAUAAAAAUAUAAAAUAAUUGAGGGGGAAAUACAAUUGAAAGUGAGAGUUUGCAUGUGUUUCAAUUAUAUGAAUUACACAAAGUACAAACAUUUCAAUUUUUUUAAAAAAAUUUAUUUAUUAUUUUAGAAAUAUUUUUUUAAUGUAAUAUGCAUGGUUUUAAAAACUAGAUGAGACCGUCGAUCGGUCACCGUUUCUAUCCGAUUCACACCUUUGAGUUGGACAGUUUUUGAAUCGCCUUGAGACUGAUGAACCGAUUGACCUGACCGAUUUUGGACAAAAAGAACGGUUCAAAAAAUAUAUAUCAAUCUCAAAACACUAUCACCAUGAUGACGCCAUUCUGACGGUCCUAACAUUGACUCUUCCCAUAAGUAAUAAUUCAAUAAAUUGUUUUAAAGUUUUGAUAUAGAAAUGUCAAAGUGACUAAAUUUGUGGCUCUAAAUUAAUAAUUUUGUGAAUUUUAAAUUUAGUUAUUAAAUAAGUUAAAAAAAAAUCUUGAUAUUUGAAUUGAUUAUCUUUAAAGAGAAAAACUUUAAAAUAUCCAUUAUAUACAUAUAAAUAUGUUAUUGAAUGAAAAUACCAAUUAUAUACAUAGAAGUUUGUCAUUGAUUGAAAAUAAGAUAUGUGAUAGAGAAAAGUUAUUUUUUUGGUAUCAUAAUUAAAUUUAAAAAAUAAAAUAAAAUAGUGAAUUAAUAAUUCAAUAACAUAUCAAUAUUUUAAUUUUAACAUUUCAUAUCUGUGGUUAAAUAUGAAUUAUUAAAUAAAAAUGUCAUAAAAUAAUAUUUGAAUAUACAAACCCAAGAUUAUGAGUCUUUCACUCACAUUUUUAUAUUUUUUUUUAUAUUUUAUAUUUUUAUUUUUAUUUAUUUUAUUUUUUUAUUUCCAUUAUUAUUUAUUUUCAUUUUACAAUUGUAAUUUUUUUAACUUUAUGGUUUCUAAAAUUAUAAUUUUAAUUCAAAUAAAUGAAAAUAUUAUGAUUUUAAAUAAAUUUAUGAAAAUAUUGUGUUACUCAUAAUUUAUCAUUUUUAUUUUUAAAAUUAUUUUUAAUUUUAAUAAUAUAUAAAAAUAUAUAUUUAUGACGUCACCGGUUCAAUGCCGAUCCGACUAGUGAACCGGUAACUUUUUCAUUUCAAUGAUCGAUUCGAUUAUGAAAACAUUGGUAAUAUAUCAAAGAAGAUAAAAAUCAUUUAAAUAUAUUCUAGCCUUUUACCCAUCAUUCUCUAAAAAAAGAAUGAAAUGUUGAAGAUUUUUGUAACUUGACAUGCAGAAGAUAAAUUUAUAUUUUUUGAUAUAAAAAAAUUAUAAAAAUUGAAAAAUAAAAUUAGGGACAUUGAUCAUAUAAUACAAUGGAUGUCAUUAGCAAAUUCUAAUAAGAAGGUAAAAAAAUUAUACCCUUUGUAAGUGCAUUUUUAAUUUAAGUUGAUAAUUUUAUCUUUUUUAUUCACAUGUAGGACAAUUUAUAUUACUAUAUCAUAUACUUCAUCAAAGAUUUAAUGUUUCUAAUAAUUAAUCAAGGAUGAAAAGGGUUUUUUUUUUUUUUUUUUUUUUUUUUUACAUAUAACGAAAACUAAAAUUAUUUCUUGUUUUUAUUUUUUUUACAUAAUAGCAAAUAUUUCUUAUUUUUUAUUUUAAUAGUAAUAAAUAAUAAAAUUAGAAUUAUUAAACAUUUUAAUAUAAUUAUAAACUAAAACAUACUACAUAACACAUUAAAACCAUCAACGCAUUAUUUGAUCAUUAUCUUAAUUACAUGGUUAGCCGAGAUUGUUGAGGGUUCGCAUUACCGGGACCACUGCAACUGCCUGAUGGACGCGCCUCCUCAAUUGAAGAUUAUGCUUCCUUUCUUCGACCUGCAAAAGAUGUUCGGAUAGGGCGUCCGGACACACCCUCCGAUGAUUUUGUUAGUUUUUCUCUCUUAACACUUUGAUAUUCUCUCUUGGGCCCUCCUCCUUAGGAAAAAUGCUUACCUUCUUUUAUUGUGUGGGGGCCUUUUAGAGUGCUAGGAGCUUUGUCCCUUUUAAUGGUGGGAAGACUUUUUGGCUUGUCAUGAUGGUGCUUAGAUGGUGGCAGAGCCAUCAUUAUCCUGCAGGUGGCUGUAAGAGAUUAUUGGGGGGAUGACUUGUCGUCAUCCUUGUCUUUUCAUCCUGCAGGCGGUGCAGGGCAGGUCGUGGCAAAUUGCCUGAAGUGACCUAGAAGGGUCCUGUCAAGCUAUUGAGUCUGCUUUUAGUAGUAUGAAUAAUGAUGGCCCGUGAAACGCGAUCAAGACUUUUGUCUAAGACGCUAGCCACUGAGUCCAGACAGGACAUCCGGACAAGGGAGGUGUGGAUGGCAUGCCCGUCCCAUGGUCAUCUGGAUGGAGGGUUGGACGCGCCACGUGUCCAAUGGAGGAGUGCUCUUAUGGUGGGAUAUUAGAGUAUGGGAGGAUUCUCACCUCCAUCAUUGCCAGAGUCAUAUGCUGCCAUGGUGCUUAUGCUGCUUUCACUGCACACAAGUUAUUUUGAGUUUCUAAUUAACCUUAACAGAACAAUAAAAAUUAGACUCCAAAAGAAUCAAGUGAUUAAAUUAAGUUAAAUACACACCUCUUUUAUCCACCAAAAGCAAACCUAAAUUAAAAGAUGAAAAAAAAAUAAAAAAUCAAGGAGCUGAAGUACUUACUAAGAUAAUUGGAAAUGGGUCACGAAGCUUAAGAAAAAUUUAAAAAUUAGAAAUUUAAUUCCUUCUCCAAAGCACUGCUGACAAAGGAGAGAGAACUUUAAUGUUAGCACUGAUUCAUUCCCAAUUGGUGUCUCAGCUGAUUCAUGUCCUCUCAAUGGUCCCUGAUAAUGGUACCAUUUGAUUUGUGUCCAGUUGGUGUUCCUUGAUUGUGGUCCUCAAAAGGAAGUAAUCAACAAAAUUUAUAACCUAUAUCACCAUGCAUUAGGAUAGUCUUAGCUAAUAUAGCAUAGUGGCUCUAGGAUCGUUCACUAGGAAGGGUUUUCAACUUACAACUGAUACCAAUUCAAAGUUGAAUUGGUACUUUUUCAUUUCAAGGUUAGCUUAAGAAGAAAACAUAAACUUUGGUUGAAAAAGGUUUUGUUUUAAGCUAACUAAAAAGAAAGUAAUGGAAAUUACUUAUGAAAGAAAGCAUUCCUUGGAGUUUUAGGUUCAAAGAGGAGGCUCCUCAUGCAAAAACAGAGCUCCGAUCACUUGAAUCUUUUCGUCGCAUUAGAGAAUUAACAUAUAGUUAAUUCUCUAACCGGUGUUGUACAGAUGUUUCCCUUUAAUGGAUUUCAGCACUAAUUCCCUCUCACUGAUGCAACUUGCAAUGGCUCAUGCCUCUCACCUAGCAUUUGCCAUUCAAGGUGAUCAUUAACCUUGGACUUCCCUUCUCAAGCUCCAAGAGAUAACUAAUGGAUGUCUCCUUAGAGUCCAAAAGCUUACUAAGUGUUGGCAAUUCUAGAAAAUCCUACCUUCAAGUCACCUCCCAAAAGCUCGCAAGAGAUAAACUAGUGCAUCUCCAUGGAUGGAGAUCACUUGCCUUACCAAGUGUUGGCUCAGGUGAAUUGAAGGUGUUUUAAGUUGACUAAAAACAUAGAAAUCAUUAAUGGGUCACACUUUCUCUUCAUUAAUGGCUGAAACAACAAAACUACCAAUUCUUGCAUUUGGGGCCUUACCUGGCAACCUUAGCUCCAAGGAACUAAAAGCCUAGCCACUCAUUCUCUGAGGAAACAUCCUCAGAGCUUGUUUGGCUAGUAAGAAAAAUUAAAUAAUAUACAAUACAAUCAAAACGAGAAGGUAAGGCAGAGCAAAGGCUCUGUAUUUUACUUCCUUGCAAAACUAUACAAAGGAUGUCUGAGAACAAGCUCCCGACCUCUUGUAAUGGAAAUUACAAACAAUAUAUAUGAGGGUAUUUACCCUUUGUUCUUGCUUGAUAACUAAGGAAUCCUAUGAUAGGUGGAUUACAAGGAGAGUUUGGGGAUUUAGACAUCAAAUAUCUAAAGCAAAAAAAAAAUCUAAAAAUGUCGCAAAUAUCGGGAAGCUUCAAGAGAAUUUCGCAGCCGUGCAAGAUGGCUGCAAAAUUUCGCAGCAUGAAGGACACCAUUUCGCAGCCAAAGGCUGAUUUCGCAGCCAUCCUCUUGUGAUUUCGCAGUCCGCGAAAUUGGCCUCAACUUGGAGUGAUCGGCUUCCAAUGGCUCUAACUCCUUCAUUUCAACUCCGAAUCACGUACCAUUUGAAGCGUUGGAUUUCUGACUUCCCGAGCUUCGAAACGACAUAUAGUAUACAUAAUUUGAGCUCCAUGAAGUGCUCCAAAAGUGGCUGACAGAGACUGUCCUCUAGAAUGUUUCAUGGUAGAUUUCUCUCUUUGCUUUCCCUCCUUGCAUUCUGGAUUUGCUUAUGGAAAAGGACUCUAAAGCUUCAAAGCUUUGGUUCUUCAUGUUUUUAAGCUUUCCAUUGCUUUGCCAUGGAUUCCAAAGAACUCUCCUCAAACUCGGAUUGCUUUGGUGAUCAAAUUACUAACAAAAACACCAAAACUUACACAAUUUGAUUAGAAAUGAUUGCAAAGGUCCUUAAUAUGUUAAUUGGGCUAAAAGGUAAUAACUACUACUCAAAAGUGUUUAAAAGAGUUAAUUACAAGCUAUCAAAUAGCACCUUUGAGUAGUAAUCAAGCACAAAAAGGGAUCUUCGUGAUGCUAUAUUUUACACCGCACAUGCUUGUGUCUUCUAUACCUUCCAAUUUGCAAAUAACUCUGCCUCUUCUAAUCCACAUCAAUCAAUGGUUUCCUUCUCAUAUUUCCAAUUGAUUGAUCUGAUCUGAUUUUCAAAGUGGGUACAUGCAUCUUCUUUCUAACAUGGAGAUUACUUGCCAAGCAAUUGGCUGCGCGCAUUAAUCAUUUCCCAUGAUAUCUAGUUGCAUAAAGAAAAGUAAGCUCUCAAGCCUUUUGCUAAUUGAUUAAAAUCAUAGUGAAGAAGACAAUAAUUACAUAAUAAUCAAAUACUGUUCACAGUGAAUGAGACAUGAAAGCUCUAAGCAUUUUCAAAAUUCUUCUACUAAGUGAACAACCAAAUUGUAUCCAGUGUAAAGGUCAAAUCAUCUUCAAGUAACUUGCCUGCUUCUCAUGGUGCAUUAUCUAAAAAUCUAAAAAUCUUGUGACGAAUGACUAAGGCUUCCAAGAAUAUUUGAUGUAUUGAGCCAACAAAUAUUAGACAUAGAAUCGACACACAUAAGUAUUGUAGUCCUUUGUCCUACUAAAAAGAAUGAAUAAAUUAUUAGAUCAAUUAUUAGUGUCUGAAUACUGUAAUUUAAGUGUUAUAUUCUUGCUUACUUCACCACAAUAUUAAAGAAGAUUUGACAUUAAAAAAAAGUAAUAAUUAUUCAUAUUCAUGCCAUGAACAAGGACCUCUUUUAUGUUAUGGAUAUAUAAAAUAUAUUAACAAUCCAUUAUGCUAUGUUUGAGAGCUCACACACAAAACAAAGUAUUGGAAUAAAUUAAUAUAAAUUCAGGACUGAUAGCUCCUAUCCUACUUCCGCCCUUUUUAUGAAAGCAAUUUCCCAUGCUUGGGCCAAACUUGUGAUCGGGAGGAGCAAAUUGGGGUGGGUAAGCAUAAUUGAUAUUUAUUCUUGCCCAAUUUUCCCCUCAAUUUCUGUAAUUCGAUUAUAACAAGCUAAAUUAGGUAUCAAUAAUUACUAUGAGAAAAAAAAAUGGGAUUAAAGGUAUUUCUCUUCUUAGCAAUCAUACAUUACAAAGAGAAUCAAGAUUGCUUACCUAUCAAUUUUCUUUUCUUCUACAACAAGUUAAAAUUAUAGAAUAAAAUAAAUUAAUAAAAUGAAAAUACUAGCAACCAAACUAGUAAAAAAUUUGUUGGACCUUCAAAGAGAUGAUGAAGAGAAUACUAAAAAUGAUGAAAAUAUUGUUGGCAACAACAAUAAGAGUAUAGUACUGAUGUGACAACAAUAAUGACAAAGAUUACUAUGACAUUAGAGGGAAAGAGUACCCAUGAUGCGAAUCAUUCAUAGAGAUGUGAACAACGAUAGUGAUAGAGAUGACUAUGAUACUAGAGCUAUAAUUGGAGUGAAGCUAAGAUAAGUUCCUCACAAGCGUUGAGGUUCAUUGAUAAGAAUUAUCACAUCAAUUUCUUGUCUUAAGGAUGCUCAUCUUUGCUAUAGUUUUUUUUUUUUUUUUAAUCUUUGAAUUUUGGGAUAAUUUUGUUUUGGACCCAGCUAGGCCCAAAAAUUAAGUAUUGGUCCAUAUAAGUUCACCAUUUAAGCCCAAGACCCAAAGGAAGUGUGAAAAUCGAGAAGAAGGAUAUGAAUUUUUUAUCUUUCUGAAAAUGACCUUUGUUGACUAUGAAAAAAGAAUUUAGAAAAAUCCACUCUGAAAUUCUAUUUAUGUUACCCUAAUUUUACUCUCUUCGACAUUUCAUUUCAGCCCUAGAUAGUGGCAUUUUUCAUCUCUUCCAAUUUCCUCCCUCGCUUCCAUUUCAUUUGAGGCCUAAACAUUGCCCUAAUCUCUGAGGCGAUUUCCUUAUCUCUCAAUUUCGUCUCUCCCAACCAUUUGAUUUCAAGCCAGUGGCAUUUGUCAUCUCUACUGAUACAUUACCCUCAUCAAUCCCCAUCGAUGUUACCCUUCGUGUCAUAGUAGUUGGAUAUUUGAGGUUAGUUGGUUCUCCAAUUUCAUUUUCUCUUGAUUUCGUCUCUCGACCAUUUGAUUUCAACCCAAAUACAUUGCCCUAAUUUCUCUCCUGAUUUCAAUUUGUUGUCUAUUGUUCUCUCGUCAAUCCCCACCGGCGUUGCCCUCUAUGUCAACCGUAGUUGGAUAUUUGAGGUUAGUAAGUUCUCUAAAUCUAGCCCUAGAUUUGUUUAAUCCUACAUUUUGUUUAAUUGUCAUUGGUAUGGGGAGAGAGAUUCUUGUUUUCUAUUAACCUUCAGUUUACGAAGUAAAUUUAGGGUGCUAUUAAUAUUUUUUGCAACCUAUCUGUGAAUGGAAAUAGUUUUUAUUUAUUAUAGUGUUUUUUUUUGCUGAGAUACAUAGGUGACUUAUGAAAUUUGGGUGCUUGGGUUUUCUCUUUUUACACUAAUGGAUUUUUUCGAUAGUUGAACCAAAUUCUAGGGAAGGAAUGUUUCAAAAUUAUGCACCAUCCCUACUUAAUUUUUGGAUAGUAGUAUUCAUUUGUACCCUGUUUUAUUGGUGAUACUACUAGUGGCCCCCGUUUUUUGUUCCAAGAUAAACAUGCUUAGUUGUUAUCUGCCUUUUAUGAGUGGUUAUGAAUUGUUCUCCUCAUGACAUAAAUUGAAAUUAUUAUGCGCCUAAAUAUAGUGAGUAUCUAAAUGGAAUUCGAUGAUGGCACCAAGAAAUAAAAUGUGCCAAUAUUCUUAAAAAAAUAAAAAUAAAAAUUAUUGACCAUGUUACCCUUCAACCUUGAGGACUAGGGUUAUGGAAUCAGAUUCAACCAACAUUGGCUCACACUUACCUCAAUAUGAGCAUGAACCUGUGUCCCGUGUGAAGGAAUAGAUAGCUUAUAUGACUUAUCAACACCAUUUUGUAACUACACAACACAACAAAUUUCACUGGCAGAAUUGGCAUUUCUUCAAUAAAAUAAACAGAAUAAUGCAAACUAAAACAAACUUCGAACAACUUUUAGAGACAAACAUGUGAAUAUGAAAAUAAAGUUCUAAUGAAAAAGGAAAUCAUACACUACUAUUUUCCUUAAGGAAAAGAAUUUUGUUCCAAACCUUCGGCUCAGGGUUUGAUUUCCACCUCAAAAAAAGUACUCAUCAAAUAGAAUGUAUAGAACAUCACUACAGUUCCCAUACCAAGUCAAUUUUUAAAUUUUUGUAAGCAUAAAUUGAAAUUAUAUGAACAGUAAAACUCCUAUGCAUUACAGUACCUAAAAACCGAAUCUCUUAUCUUCAUUCAUAAAAAAAAAGUGCUUACUCAAAAGUUGUAUUCAGAUCAUGAUUUAACUUCAAUUAUUUAGAGAUCUCCUUAUGGAAUAAAUAAAAGGGUUUGCUUGAACAAUGUCAAGUGUACCAAAUGGACUUGGUUUUCUUAAUCAAGUCUCUGAAUCAGUGUUAAGUUUGCUUUAAUAAUAGAAAGGUUUUUUUAUUCUGUUAGUAGUUCAGAGUCAUAUGCACACGAGCAUAGGUGUAAAUGAUGCUAUGAACAAGCUGUGGAACCUCAAAUUAGUUUAUCAAUGUAAGGUUGAAGACCUAGUCAGGUACUUCAUUCAUAGGAACAUGAAUUACUUUUAUGAAGAUUAUGGAGCAUAAGAUCACAUAUGUUAUUGAAUAAGCUAGGAUUUAGGGCUUGGUAGUUAAAAGUUGUAGUAGAAGUGAUAUUCUGAUGCCUAGGUUAAAUGUUUCAGUAGCUACUAUGUCUCAUGUAUAUGUUAUUAUUUGUUAUUAUUUGUUUCAAUCCAUUAUUCUGAUUUCAGGGAAUGUUUUAUUUUUUUUCAUGCUUGUCUUUAUGAAAAAAAAAAAAAAACUUUCAAAAGUGACCAACACUAAGUCAUGCUAGGGUGAGCAUUUCUUAGGGUCAAACAAGGCACCCACUCCACUUUAGCCCAUGUCGUUGCAAUUUUCAAUAUAAUAGAAAGAACACAAAAUACAAAAAAAGUAAAAAAAAUAUGUUUGUGUUAUUACCUAUUAUUACUUCAAUUGACUGUCAAUAGACUGCGUAAUUAAUAGUUAAAAGUUAUCCAUCUUAACUUCUCCAUUUCAGCAUGCUUAUUUGAUGUGGGUAGGCACCAUUAGUAUAGGGCCUUCCCUAUUAUUAUUCUCCUUCCUAAUACAUAAAGGGGUUUCAAUCAUACAAUUAAUGGGGUCUCAAACAUAAAGAAUUUUAACAAAUAUGGAUGUGACAAUUCAUCCCUAAACCUAAUAAAAAUACCCUCAGUCCUCCACAAACCUUGGUUCCAAUUCCAAAAACUGUACUAACCCAAAAACCACUUCAACAGAUGGAACAUAUUUUCAUGUUCAAAGGAGGUCAUUGGGCAUAUACCCCACUACCAGUUCUGCAGCGACUUUAGAUCUUCAAGGGAAUUCUUGCUUUUCAAAUUUGUUUGACCCAAAGGAAUUGUGGAGGAAUUACAUGAUCUUCACACAAUCUUUUCCCCCAAACUUCACCAUCUUUCUCCACGAACCAUACUCAAAUUCUCUCUUUGAAUUUAUUUUAUUGGACAAUAUACCCAGGUCAUAGCCACAUACACAUUUUAAAGAUAUCUAACAUGGCAACUUCAAUUGAUCGCAUAUAAAACCCAAAUUUUACAAACAUCUGCUAUGGAAAUUUGAAGGGUAUAUUUGUCUAAUAAUAUUCUAUAUCUUCUCUCUCAAUUAUGCAACUUAUAUGGCCCAAAGGUUAAUUUUUCAUUAGAAAUGAGUGUGUGAGUUCUUCAAAAGCAUUUGAAAUCCAUCAAGAUAGGUAGUCUUGUACACCCUUGUAUAGUUAACACAUUUGCCUUGUACACUUAGUGCAAAUGCCUUGUACAGUCAUAGAAAUUCCAUAUAGGUACAACUGAACAAGUGCUUAAGGGUGGGUAAACAAUGUUUCCAUUCUCAUGGAUCAAGGAAAAUGAGAAAAAAAAAUUACCUUAAUUUCGGUUCAUAUUCAUGAUUAGUGGAUGAUCUAAUAAAAUGAAUGAACAUGGUAGACAUCAAAUAAAAUGCAUGCAAUGGGUGUGUGGUCAAGCAAUGUGUGUGAAGAAUGUCCCCCAUGAUUGGAAAAAGUAAAUGAGUAAGUUCUUCAAAAUCAUUUCAAAUCCCUUAAGAUAGACACCCUUGUACACUUUUGUAUAGUUAGUACAUUUGCCUGGUACACUUUGUGUAAAUGCCUUGUAAAGUGGUAGAAAAUCGACAUAGCUACAAUUGAAAAUGAGAGCAUAUGGGUGGGGUAACCACAUUCCAAUGUCAUGGCUGAGCAAAAAUGGGGAAAAUGAAACCCAAUUUAGGUACCUAUUCAUCAUUACUACGGUAGCUCAUCCAAUGAAUGUGUACGAAGAGGAAUGAGGAAUGUCCCACAUCCUUAGAAAAGGGAAAUGAGCAAGCCAGUUUUUCAAAAGGAUUUGAAAUCCUUCAACAUAGGUACCCUUGUACACCUUUGUAUAGUAAGCACAUUUGUCUUGUACACUUAGUGUAAAUGCCUUGUAUAGUGGCAAAAAAUUGACAUAGCUACAACUGAACGCAUGCAUAUGGGUGGGCUAACCAUGUUCCAAUGUGAUGCCUAAGGUAAAAGGGGGAAAUGAAACCCAAUAUAGGUUCAUAUUCAUCAUUAGUACGGGAGGUCAUCAAAUGAACAUGUAUGAAGUAAUAAAAUUGAAUGGGAUCAGUGCGUGAUCAAGGAAUGUGUGUGACAAAUGUCCUUCAUCCUUACAAAAUGGAAAUGAUUUUAAACAGAUUUGAAAUCCUUUAAUAUAGGUACCUUUGUACACCCUUGUGCAGUUAGCACAUUUACUUUGCACAAUUAGUGUAAAUGUCUUGCACAGAGGAAGAAAUUCCAUACAACUACUACUGAAUAUCUGCUCAUACAUAGGUUAAUCAUGUUUGUAAUGUUUUAGUUCAUAAAAUAAGGAAAAACUGAAGUAUCAAUUUCUUCCCCAACUACUAGUCAUCAAACAUAAAGGAGUUUCAAUCAUACAAUUAAUGGGGUUGUGUUUUGGAUCAUAGCAUAAUAAUUUUCAUAAAUAUGAAUGUCACAAUUCAUCCCUAAACCUAAUAAAAACACACUCAAUCCUCCAUAAACCUAGGUUGGAAUGCCAUAAAAUAUAGUUACCCCACAAUUCUACUCCAAAAGGCCAUAUACCUUAUUUAACGUAUUUUCAUCUUCACAGGAGGUUGUUGAGCCACUGGCAUCAUCAUGACCACACUUGUAGCUGCUUUAGAUCUUCGUUGGAGUUAUUCCUUUUCUCUAUUUUGUGUAGUGGACCAACCUCACAAUCAUGACAACCAUCUUCUUUGCUUUUAAUAUACGUUUGAUUUGAAGGAUAGUUAUUAUGGAGGAAUUGCAUCAUCAUCAGAGAAUCUUCUUCCCCAAACUCACCGUCUCUCUCUGUCAACCAUACCCAUUUCUUUUCUUUGGACGAUUGACCCAACAAGAAGAUUUUUAAGUCGGAUUUUUAAGACAAGUGACAUGCCAAACUUAAGGAGAUCUUCUCCAUUUAUGAGUUGCUCACAAUCCUCAGUUGUUGAAGGAAUUGAUUGGGGGACGUCAGAGUCGAGGGAAAAAAAGGGGUAGGAGUGGUGACCGACCUUUAUUUCAAAUUUUUAAGAUAAGUGACGUGGCAUUUUUUUAUUGGUCUCUUAAUAUUUAUAUCCUCCCCAUCAAUUAUGCAACUUAUAUGGACCAAAGCUUAAUUUUUGGGCCCAGUUGGGUCCAAAACCAAUUGUCCCUUAAAUUUUUGCUACUUUUGUAUGUUACUAAUGGAAAUGUUCAUUAUUGAGAGUAGGAAUGACUUUGCUAAAGAUUAAAACUCAUUAUUUCAUGUCGGUGAAAAUGAGUAUGACUUCAAAGGUGGAUAGUGUGAUAAGAUUUAGGGUUUGAGAUUUGAGAGAGAGGGAGUUGUUAAUGGAAAUGGGGUUAUCUUUUUCCACUUUUCACUUUAUAUGGGGAGUAUUUGGAAAUAUUAAGAAUAUAAAAAACAAAUUAAUUUGUCUUUUUCAUUGAUAAGAGGGGCAAGUGGGAGUGGGUUAACACAACCUAAACUUGUCCAAGAUAUAUAAUCCCAUGCUUGACUUGCUUCAGUUAGGAUUUUUUCAAAUCCAUUCCAUUAGAAGUGGCAAUGAUAGCUAAUGCCACAUAUUAAAAACAAAACCAAAAUUAAGUACUAUUUAUUAUUUUUAAAAAGAAAAAUAUGAGGAUGAUGUAAAAUUAUUAGCAACAUGUGUUCAAAAAUCAUUUUGGAAACUUUUUGUCCUCUUGAAAAUGAAUAAUUUAAAAAAAAAUUGUUUUUCAAUUUGUGUUUUAAAUAAGGUAAGUUUUUAACAAUUGAAAAUGAUUAAUUAGUUUUGUAGGUACACUGGAAACUAUUGGUUAGUCGCAAAAUAAGAAUCUUCUAUAAAGUUAAACAAAUGUUUUCCUAAUGAAAUUCAUAAUUUCCCUACAGAUGAUCAAUAUAUCAAAUGCCACAAUAUUGAAGGUCCAUCAAUAAAACUGAGAAAGAUUAAGUUAGUCUAAUUGUUACGCCUACAAAUAAAAGAAAUUGCAAAAUAGCUUAUUCAAAAACCAACUAUACAGACCGAGAUGCAAUAAUACUAUCAAGACUAAGAUCCAUGUCUUUGAUAAUGUUUAUAUUCAAAGUACUUUAAAUGAAAUUCUUGAUGAAAAAAUAACUUAUUAAGCAUUUCUCCAGUAAAUACUAUAAGUGAUUUUUCAACUUUUUAAAUUUUACUAAACGCUUAUUUUUUUCUUUAAAAAUACUUUUUAAAAUUGCUAUCAAAUGGGCUCAAAGAUGAAAAGAUUUCUCAUCUCCAUAUGUCGAUGCAAAUAUAAAUAUAUGAACAUUUCAUUUAGUUUCAUAUGAUAUAGAUGGUAAAUAAUUUAAUUGGUGCAUAUUAUUUUAAAAUUAACUCUUAUAACACUAGUCAACAAUAAGAUCAUCCAAUUCUCUAGUGUGGGAUGCUCAUGUCCAUCUAGUAUGACUCUUAAUUUGUGUAGCCGUAUCUUCGUCCAUCCAUCCAAGGAUUUGGACGGAUAAAGACUAUCCAAGCACUACUUAUUACUACCUGUCAAGCACUAAAUACAAAACACAUUAAGAACAUUGAGUGUCACAACCAUUACUAAGCAUAAAUGACAGACUUUAGAGCUCAAAAACUGUUAUGCAAGCCAAUUAAAAGGCAUUAAAGGCAAUUGAAACACAUGGGACAUGUUAUGGCUUGGCUGAAGAUAAAUAGCCAUCAAACGUCAGAAUGAAGGUAGACAAUUAGAACCCAUUGACCUCUUACCCAACUCCCCUCUGUCUAAUUUAAGCUUCAGAGAGGUGUGCCUUGGAAAACCAUCUGGACACUCUUUAUUGUAGGUAUACUUGUCGUCCAAACCAAGAGGAGGCCAACCAGAUGCAAACAUUGUUGGUCAUGCACCAACAUCUAGGACUUAAAAAAAAAAGAGUGGCAAGCCCCAUGUUGCUUCAACUAGUAGUUGUCAAUUCUAAAUACCCCACACUCCAAAUAACACCCUAAUUAGUUAGGGUUGUUCCAAAUCAUCACUACUCACUCUUAGAAAUUUCAUGUUUAUUCCUUUAAGUUCUUGCCCAUACAAUCAAAAUUCAAAUAAAUUUACUAUAUAACAAAAUUAUUUCCACAUGUAUAAAACUAUUAUAUUUUAAAUAUGAGUCUUUUAUUACGAAGUUUUUUUACAAACUGAUAAAUAAAUACAACAUUAAUUUCAUUUGACAUUUGCUUCAAUAUAUCAUAUAAUGCAUUUCCUAAAUUCCUAAAUAAUUUUGUCUCAUUUAGAUUAAUUAAAUUGUCUUAUGCAUUUCUAAGCUUCCUUAGUAAUUUUAUUUUCGUUUAGAAAAUAGUAACUAGUGUUAUUUCAAUUAGGAAGGUAACUUUACUCUCAUGUGGCUACUUUAUUAAGCAUUUUACUAUUAAGGAGCAUUAUAUAUAUACCAAAAUCUUGCAAGUUUAAGCUUUUAGGAAAAUUGUUAAUUCAACAUCGUAUCAUAAAUUUAUUUCAAAUUUUAUAUAAUGAGUGGAAUUAUGCACUACAAGGAAAAAGGUAUAUGAUGACAUUUAUAACGAGUCACCAUAAACAUAAGGUGUCACUACAACAUAGCGUCACCUUCUCCACUGACACCAUAGAGGGUACCAAUUGGUGACGUAUUUGGAAGUGACACCAAAGUAGAUAAAUGGUGAUCCAUUCAGAAGUGACACCAUAUAUUUCUAGUGAUGAUAAGGUGUCACAUUAAAUACAUCAUCUUUGAGUUAUGAUGUCACAUUAAAUGCAUCACCUUUGAGUUAUGGUAUCACAUCAUUGUAAAUUAUUGUGGAAUAUAUGAUUGGUUUUAGUUGUUGAUUUUUGUAAUGCUUAUGAAUUAAUAAGAUUAAAUUGUUUAUAUUUUGUCCAUAAACAUAACAAUCAUAUUAUAUUUAACUCAUUUUUCUGUAAUGUUUCUAAAAUAACUCAUAAUACAUUGAUCAUCUACUAAUAUUUGUAUAUCAAAUGUUCACAAAAGGAUAGUACGUCCAACAUAUCAAACCCAUCAAAACUAAAAAAGAAGAGUGAAUACAUACCAAAACAUGAUUUAGAAAUGUUAAAGAUCCCAAGAUUCAUGUAUACCUCCAUUUCAUAAGCAUAAAACCAGCUAACCAUAAAAUGACAUAGAAGUCCCAUCUAAAAAUCUAAAUUUCUCAGUUGCAAUUAAAGUAACGUUUAUGUCCUACAACGUAUGACAUAAGAGUUGCAUUUAAAAACCCAAAAUCUUGUUGCCUUCUUCUUUCUUUUUAUUCUCCAUUUCACCCUCCCAAGAGUGUAUACCUGCAUUUCAAAAUUUAAUGAGUUUUAGAGAUUUUUAUUGAAGAAAAUAAGCAUGGAUCUAUGUUAUCAUAAAUGAACAAAUCUAAGAAUUAAUUUUUUUUUCAAAUAGAAACAUUAUUCAAAGAAUAAGCAUUACUAUACAAUACCUAUGGAAAAAUUCAUGUAGUAGCUAAGGGACUCACCAUGCAUGGUGAUCAUGAUGCAUCAACAUGAUUCAUGAUUAGUUGUAGCACAAAAGUAGCCCAUUCUCCUCUAAUUUCAUCGAAUUCUACUUGAGAAUAUGUUUUUUUUAUUACCAAACUGAAAUCAAAUAAGAAAAUAACAUUAAAAUGCAUAACAUUUGGAAGCCUAAAACUAUGUACAAUUCAUUAAAUAAGUAAUACCUUUGAAGCAAUAAUUGUAGGAUCAAAAAUUAUCUCUUUAAUGAAUCUCAUAACAAAGUAGCCACAUUCGAACCCUCCUUCUUGUCUUGGACAGUAAUCGAUCAAUUAUAAAAUAACAUUAGUACUCACAUAUAUAAAUGGUGCAAAUGCAUAAGCUAAUGUGUAAAGAAAAAUUUUUGGAUGUCACCUGCACUAGUUGCUAAGAUGGCUCCCUCUUAGAUGUUUUCUUUGCAGAUAUUCGAAGAGCCCUAUGUAAAUAAGUUACAUUUUUAAAAUACGUAAAUGUUAUAUGUUUUAAUAUAUAUAAAUAAUAAUAAAAAUGUGUUUGAGGUGAAUGUAUUUUUUUUUUAUUUAAAAAUAAUACUAUGAAAAAUAAUAGGAAGAACUUACAUGUUUACGAUAUCCUUUAAGUCCUCACAUGGUUUGUGAUGCAUAGGGUCAAGAUAGUGGACUAUCAUUUUCCUUGGCUCAAGCACUACCUAAAUAUAAACCCUUUAAGUCCUCAUAUCUAUUUCUAUUAACAAAAUAUAAAAACUUUCCAAAACUCAACUACUUAAAUAUAAAAACAAAAUCAAAUAAAAUAUCUAGCUAAUUGGAUUUUAGAAACUAAAUAAACUAUAAAUAAACUAAAUAAAAUAUCUAUGUCCAUGAAUUAAUUGAAGAGGAUAGAAAGACACAGAGAGAACAUGACUAUGGUUAUGAUUUCCAUCUUAUCAUUUCCUGUCAAUACCACACAUACCCAUUUUAAGGUUGGACACUACUUUUGUUGCUAGACUUGGAAAGGGAAUUUCAAAAUUGAAAACAUAAAUAAACCCUUAUGUAAAAAAAAAUAACAUUAAAAUAUAAUUGAGCAUUAAAAUAUUUACUCUCUUUCAUCACUUUCAUUUGAAUAUUAAUAAUCUCUUAUUGAGAUAGAUACUUACAAUUUAACAAAAUAGAAAUUCCUAAUAAUAAAAAAUAUAAAAAUUUCUAUUUCUAUUAACAAAAUAUAAAAACUUUCCAAAACUCAACUACUUAAAUAUAAAAAUAAAAUCAAAUAAAAUAUCUAGCUAAUUGGAUUUUAGAAACUAAAUAAACUAUAAAUAAACUAAAUAUAAAAACUAAAUAAAAUAUCUAUGUCCAUGAAUUAAUUGAAGAUGAUAGAAAGACAUAGAGAGAACAUGGCUAUGGUUAUGAUUUCCAUCUUAUCAUCUUCCGUCAAUACCACACAUGCCCAUUUUAAGGUUGGACACUACUUUUGUUGUUGGACUUGGAAAGGGAACUUCAAAAUUGAAAACAUAAAUAAACCCUUAUGUAAAAAAAAAAAUAACAUUAAAAUAUAAUUGAGCAUUAAAAUAUUUACUCUCUUUCAUCACUUUCAUUUGAAUAUUAACAAUCUCUUAUUGAGAUAGAUACUUACAAUUUAACAAAAUAGAAAUUCCUAAUAAUUAAAAAUAUAAAAAUUUCUAUUUCUAUUAACAAAAUAUAAAAAUUUUCCAAAACUCAAAUACUUAAAUAUAAAAACAAAAUCAAAUAAAAUAUCUAACUAAUUGGAUUUUAGAAACUAAAUAAACUAUAAAUAAACUAAAUAUAAAAACUAAAUAAAAUAUCUAUGCACAUGAAUUAAUUGAAGAGGAUAGAAAGACACAGAGAGAACAUGACUAUGGUUAUGAUUUCCAUCUUAUCAUCUCCCGUCAAUACCACACAUGCCUUCCCGGAUUGGUUCUUUUGGGGUUGGAUACUCUCAACGAAAUUCUAUAUCUCAUUCCCACUUAGAUACAAACAGAAAAAUCAUUCUUUUUUUUUUCCUCUCUUGUUUUUUAGAAAGGAUGAAGAUUAUGUGAUAGUAUAUCUUAAAAAAAUUCUGUACCUGUCAUUCUCACACAAAUACAUAUUAAAAAUCAUUCAUUUUUUCCUGUUUUUCACUUUUUUUUAAGGACUUGAUCAUGUGUUUGGUUUAGAUUAAAAAAAUCAAUUAAUCUAUAGUUUUUUCUUCCAUGCUGGAAGAUUAAACCUAAAUUUUUCUUCCCUACAACUCAAGAAAACACAAUUCACAAAAAUCAUAAUACAAAGAUGUUGAAACAAUUAAUAUAAUGACAUUAAUAAAAGAAAAAAAAAUUAUAGAUCCAAGAGAUUUUGGGUUACCUGGGAGUCCACAAAGUGAAGAAUGUCGGUUUUGAGCGUGUUGACUAUGGAUGGGUGAGAGAAAAGGUUGAAGAAGAUCAUGAUUUUAUAUAUAGGAUUUAUAUAUUGAGAUAUUUUGGAUUGUGGGUGAGAUAUGGAAACAAUGGGAUUUUUAUAUAGUAUCCAUCAUUAUUAAUUCUAAAAGUGGGCUCAUUAAGUUAUAAUACUUAAAAAAAUUUAUUUUAUAUGAUGUCACUUCCCAAAAAAUGACACUAUAAAUAUAAAAUUAAUAUCAUCUAACUACCUCAAUUGAAGAUUUUUUAUAUGAUGUGUCACCUUUAUUAAUUAUAAACCCUAUGGUGUCAUUAUUUUAAAAGUGACACCGUAAAUAGUGACACCAUAAACUAUUUUUGUAGUAGUGAUGAAAAAUGGAAAUGCAUGUGGAUUGAAUUCUUACCUUAAGAUCUCAAAAAUUACUUAAACAGAUUUAAAGUUCUUCCUCAACUCUCUAGAUCUUCAGACCUUUGUUUAAUAAAUCAAACCUAAAGUGAAUUAUAACUUAAUUUAAGUUAUUAAGUAGACUAAACAUAUUUGGUAAAAUAACUUAAUAUUAAAAUGCAAAAUUAAAAAUAACUUUAAGUAGUAAGUCAAAAUAAUUAACUUCUUUUUAAUCCCAAACUUUUUUUCUUUUGGUCUUAUUUACACACAUUUAAUGAGUAUAUAUUAAACAACUAUGACUCCAAAUCCAUGACUCAUUUUUUCUACUAAAUAUUUUAAGGUUAUUUUAUAAAUUUACAAUCUUUAAGUAUGGAUGUUAAAUAACAAAUUUAUUGCUUAAGAUUAAUGAAAAUAAAUAUUAAUUAAAUUUUUUAAUAAUAAACAUGAAUUAAAACUAAUGAGAUAAAUAUGUUAAUUCAAUAACUUAAAAUAAAUUCUAAGUUAAUUUUAUACCUUACUACUUAAAAUAAAAAAAUAAGUAAUAAGUUUUAAGUUAAUGACUUAAAACCAAUUUAACUUAAAGUUAACUUAAGUCAUUAAAUAAUAAGUAUUAAGUUUUACCAAACAUCCAAGUUGACUUUAAGUUAAAUUAUUCUUAAGUUGUUAACUUAAGACUUAUUACUUAAUUGUUACUUUAAGCAUUAAGGUUGUUUUGUAAAGUUAGCUUAAAGUUUAUUCUAAAUCAUCAAAUUAACUCCUUUUCCCUCAUUAAUUUUAACUAAUAUUUAUCUUUAUUGAUUUUAACUCAUAUUUAUUUUCAUUAUUUUAAACAAUAAAUUUAUUUAUAUAACAUUCAUACUUAAAGUAUUGUAGAUAUAUAAUACAACCAUAAAAUGCUUAUUACAAAAAAAUGAGUUAUGGAUGUGAAAUCACAGUUUUAAAAUGUAUUUACUGUGAGCAAAUGAGACAAAAAUAAUUUUACAUUAAGAAUAAGUUAACUAUUUUAACUUAAUACUUAAAGUUCAAAGUAACUUUAAGUUAUAAUAUUAAGUUAUUUUAUUAAGUAGACUAAAUCUAAUUUCUCAAACUUGGUUGCAGAAGCCUAAUGAUAGGAACUCUUUCUUAUUAUACAAAUAAUGAUCACAUGAAAGAGAGUCAUGAUUUUCUUUCAAAAACUUGCACAGUUAUUUCUCACUCAUAUGUUUUGAUGUCUUAUUCCAUAACUUUAGGAAAGCGUAUUGUCACGGACUUAGUCUUUUCCUAAGCUCGUGUGGCACCUAGACAAGUUAAGACACUUGAUCUUGCUAAGUCAGCCUUACUCCCAAUGCUUAGCUUACUAAGCUAAGAUACUCACAACUUGGAAACUUUAGAAGGUGUAGUAGGCAACUCUUAAAGAAUGGAAGCUUUUGUUGCUCAAAGGAAGCUUUACAAGUGCUUUGGGAACUCACUUGCUUGGUUAGGAAGUGAUUUGGGUGGUGCCUUGGCCAAAUGAGGCCUUAACCUAUUUAUAGGCACCAAUAGAACUCUUUGGAACCUUGGAGGGUUCCUUACAAAUCAAGAAUAAUCUAGAAUCUCCUACACUAGUCUAUGUACAAGGGUAUGUACAAGAUGACUUUGGAAGAUUCUAUAACACCCCACACUAUUCCAAUGCUCUCUUAGCCAAGUAUAGAGAUGUGUGGACAUCUCUAGCCCUCUCUAGAAGCUUCCAUGCUCUUCCACUUUGUAGCUAAGUGUAGAUGUUUCCAGGGGUUUCUAGAAGCUUCUCACCUCCUAUAUAAGCCCAUGGGGAGAGUCAUUUGAAGCAUCUUGUGAUUGUAUGGUCUCGAUAGCAUUCAAAUUGCCCUUUUACACUUCCUCUUGGUAUAUGUAGCAAACCUCUUCUUUUGCAACAAAUAACCUCUUUACCACUACCAAAAUAACUUUUAUAUCCUUGUUUAACUUGUGCAAAUCUAGACAUUAGUUUGAGGUUGGAACGUUGGUCUCUAGACAUACAUUAUUUAUUCAUCCUAAUUGCACCAAUGUCUCUAUCUUUGUAAUUUGAAAACAACUUCAAUUAAGGGAUAACAUGCAUGAUAUAAGGUUAUUGUCUCUACAAUCCACUCAAUUUUGUGAUCACUAAUAGGGAUUUAAUCCAAGUGUUAAGUUGACAUGAUAUAUAUAAUUGAUUCAUUACCAAAUAGCUUAAACAUUUAUAUCAUAUAUAUUGAUAGCUUAACAUGUUUUUAAAGCCUUAGUUCAAGGGAGAUCAUGCAUGAUCUUGAGCUUCACACAUAGUUAUUUCUCAUAAUUAUUGAACUUGCAUACAAACCGAAAGAAGGUUUUCUCUUAUACAAGGUAUUGAGGGUUUAGUCCAAGUGCUACCUCAUUACCAAAUAAUUUAAUUAGGGAUGACAAUACAAUAAGUUUUUUUUGGUACUCAUCUCAUCCUACCGUGAAUAGAAUAGGUUUGAAAUGAAGAUAAAUAGGUUAGGGAUAGAGAUUUUUUUACAUAUAUAAACCAAUGGUGGGUUUAGGUAUUACCUUGUACCCUCCUAUCCUAUCGCAUCCCAAGUAUAUGCAUAAUUAAAUUUAAAAAUAGUUUUUUUUUAUUUACUCAUUUUUAACACAAAAUAAUAAUUAAAACAAAAUCUACUUCUUGAAUAAAAUAAAUUAUAAAAAUUUAUAAUAUUUAUUUAUAUAUAAAAUAUAUUUACUUUUAAUAUUUUAAAAUUUUAAAAAUAAAUAGGGUUGGGUGGGGCCUGUGCAACACAAGUAAUAAGAAAUUUUCAUACCAGUAGCCUUGCCCUACCUUACACCGCCCUGUUUAAUUUUUUUAUUGGGUGGGGGUAGCAAUAGAUUUAUAUAAAUGUGACAAGAUUGGAAUAUGGGUGAUCCAUUCCAAACCCGUCCCAUUGUCAUCCCUAAGUUUAGCUUUUAGAUUAUGUUGGUAGCUUAACAAUCACCAACAUUCAAAAGUUCAUGUUGUAGUAUCCUUGUUCUAUUCCAUUACCUAAGGCUGCCUCUUCUUUUCCUUUCUGUAAACACAGUAGUUCUAUUUCAUAUGGCUUUUUUUGCCACAAUAUCCAGACAUCUAUCCACUAUUGAUACCAAACUCUCAUCAUUCUUAUAUGCAGUGGAUGUAGUAUUCUUUUUCUCUCUCCUUUUUCUUUCUUAGGUUUGCCUCCUUUAUUUCCUUUCCCAAACAACACAGUUCUUUUCUAAAUUGCUCUCUUUGCCACAAAGAGCAUUUCAUUUUCUCCUUGGAUUGAAAUCUUUCGUUGGACUUAUUAUAAUAAUUCUAUUUUCUAUCUAUUUAUAAUAUGAGUGUUCCUUCUUUUCUCUACAUCAAACAAAUACUAUUCACAAUAGAUGUCUUGCAACAAACACAAUAGCAAAGAGACUUGCAUCUCAUCAUCAAUUGCCAUUUUCGUAGUAACUAAUUGAUUUACCGUGCUUUGAAAAGCACUUCACAUGGUUGGCCACUGAAGUGUUUCCUUCGACUUCAAUCUAGUUAACACACCUCAAUGUGGUAACUGAAAUGUAACUCACUUUUUUCAGUUGCCUAACUAGACACCUCAGCCAAGUUAUUAGUUUAUUGAAUUAGAAUCUUUUUUAGAGUAAUUUUAAAAAGCGUUUCUAAUAUUUGAAAAUUUUUAUCUUUUAAAGUAUUAUAAAGGUUAAAAAUAUUUUCUAAAAUCACUAUCAAACACACUCUUAAAUUACUAAUCUUGUGAGUCUAACCUUUCACCCCGUCGCCUAGACAAAUACUUUAGUAGAGUUGCUAAAACUUAAUUGGACUGGCCUCUCUAGUUGGAGAAAAUAGCCCUUAAAUAGAUUAGAAACAAGCAAAAAGAAAAAAAAAAAAAGCUUUCUAUAGCAAGAAUUGAACAAGGACUUACAACAAUGUAGAAUAGAUCUCAACUAGAAAUUAGAAAUUAGAAUGUAAACCAACAACACAUUACGAAACACAUGAGUAUCCAUCCAAGAUAAACACCAAUGACCUUACUUGGAAAAAACCCUUCGAGGAGGUGAAAGAAGCCAUUCAAAAAUGAAUGUCCAUCAUAUAAAAUAGGAAUUAAUCGGUGUUCGUGCAAGUCUUUUUCCAAAGAUAUGGGAAGGGAACUAGAAAUGGUGUUAUUCUCAAGCUUACAAAACCAGCACACAGAGUGGAAAGGAUCUCACCAAAUACAAUUGCCACAUUUGAUAUGGAGAAAACCCUUGGUUCAACCAAAACCAAGAAUGGUGAAGAAACAUCCCUAUUCUAGCAUAAAAGCCCAACAUAAUUAGGCUCAAGUUGCUACUGGAAGAAUCAGCCCACACAAUGGGUUUCUUGCGAUAACACAGAGACAGAGGUUCACCAAAUGGUCCCCAAGGACUAGACCCCCCAUCAGAAAAAGGGAAUGUAAUGAGUGGGAAUUGCCAUCAGUAAGGCAUAUGCAGGAGACUCAACUCUCUAGCCAUUGCUCUAUGGAAAUUUAAAAUGCCUUUUGUUAGCUAAUAAUAAAUUUAUGAUUUAUGACAAUAUUCUUUGGAAGAUCUAUUACUGGGAUACAAGUUUCAGAUUUGAGUGAUUUAGCCCUAUGGCAAGAACAUGAUUCUUAAAUGUAAGACUAAAGAGUAUAUUUGUAGUGAUUCUAUGAAGGCCAAAAGUGCUCUCUAAUACUUGAAGCAUUUUUCUUAUAAAAAUUAGGGUCCUAUUCAGUUUAACUUGUUUUUUUCUUACAUUUUUAAAGAAAAUAAAGAACAAUUUGGAAAAUAUGUUUGGAUAUUUCUAUUUCUAUUUUCCCAAGAAUUGAGUUUAGAAAAUGAAAAAGGGGAAAAAUGCCAAAUUGGUAUUUUCAAAAUUUAAUUAAAAAAGUGAAAAGAGUUUCUAAAACGUAAAAACACAAAAGUAAAUAAUGUAAUUAAAAAACAUGAAAGAAAUGCAAAUAUGAAUUUGAUAAUAAUAUUACAAUAUUAUAAUCAUCUUCCUCUUUUUUACCAAUAAUAUUACAUUUUUAUAUUAAAAAAUAAAUUAUUUUAAUAAGCCAAAAUAUGCCCAAUUGAUCAAUUGCUUCGUUAAUUAUAAAUAUAUUAAAAAAAAUAUUAGAGUAUCAAAAUAGAAAUUUUUAUUAAAGUAUCAAAAUAACUAAUAAAACAAAUAAAAUAAAAAAUAAUGAAAAAUAUAAUUUCAUUAUUUUUCAUGUACAAAAAUUAGUACCAAACAAAACAACACAACAAUUGGUCAAUUCCUUUAUUAACUAUUAAUAUACUAUAUUUUUUAUUAUAUAUUAAAAUAACUAUUAGAGAUGAUAAUUGAAAGAGAAUAAUCAAUAAAUACAAUUUAAUUAUUUUCAUUGUGUUUGAUUAAAAAAUAUAUAUAUAUCCAGUACUAAACAAGGUUUCCAAAUUUUUAUUUUUUGAAAACCAGUUUUUAAUUUUUUUAAACAAAAAUAUUACAAAGAAAUGAAAACAUAGAAAAUAAAAAAUAUUUAAAGAAAAAAUUAAAAGUAGAAAAUAAAAACUAAAAAUAUUUUCCAAACCAAAGGCAACUUAAAUUACUGUGUAAUAUUUUAGAAAAUAUUUUUUAAAAAUCUCUAGAAUAAAAUAGAUAAAACAUGGAUCUAAACAUCCUUGCAUCCAUGAAAAUAUUUUUGGAGAUAAAAUCGGAAAUGAGAAUAGAAAAUUAUUUCAUUUUUAUUCAUUUUGAUGUUUAGAUCAUUUAUUAAAUAUAAAAAUAGGAAUAAAAAGUUAUUAUUAUUGGUUUUUUUUAAUAUUUGUUUAAACAGAAGAUAUGUAAAGAUACAUCAACCGAACCCAAUAGGCUUCGGAGAAUUAAAAACAAUGGCUAGUUUGAACUAGCAGACUAAUAAUAGAGACAAUUAUCCAACUUCUCAUACCAAUGUUAUCAUAAGAUAAAAGUUGAAUCAUAAAUACUUGUACAAGACAUUCAUUACUUGAAUUACAAUCUCUGUUUCCUUCUUCAAAAACCCAUAAUAUCAUAAUUAAAGCAAAAAGUGUUAUACACCAAGUAUACAUACCAUGUACAAAGGGUAAAAAAACCCAAAGGGAAAGAACCGGUGGUAAGAGGAUGCGGGGGAGGUGACAUCUCUUACUAUAUAAUCCAUUAGAAUGCCUUGGCGGCCUUGAAAGUAAGGAGCACUGCCAUGGACUUGUAUCCUUGGAGGAGUAAGAGCUGCCUGGCAAUCCUAAAUUUUGAAAUUAGAAGACUCUGCUACUCAGGAGAAGUGGAAGACUCUGCAGUUUAGUCUCCAACCUUGCAUCACUUUCUAUCAGAGAUAGUGAAUCUAAAGUUGCCAUUAUCGGAGUCGGGCCUCCACAGGCUUACUUCUAUUUCAUCAUUGCACAUUUCUGUUGUAUUUCUAGAUAUUCCUUGGCUUCUCUGGCUCUCAAAAACCUCCCUUCCUUUGAAAGUAAAUCCAUCUAUGGGUGCCCUAAAAUCUGGUUCAUAACCUGAAACAUCUUCAGGACUUGAGACAAGUGAAAAGUAUUUUUGUUUUUAAAAACUCAAUCAGGUAUGGCUAUUUGCAACUCAAUCCCAGCUCCAGAUUGUCCUCUCCAUGGACCUAUUUGUUGAAACUCUGAUUAAUUUCAACUUUAAAUUCAGAUGGGAGCUGCUUUAUUCCUUUGACAAAUAGAUGGCUUUAGCAGCAGUUGCAAAGUGACGUUUUCUCUAAACUUGCCGGCCUCAGUUCUGUGCACAAGCAUGGUAAGUUAUACUGUUCUAUUGAAUUUGCAUGCGGUUUUAUGGUUUUAAUAAAUAAAAUAAAUAUAAAGCUAAAGCUAUGUGUAAGCUCUCUUGCCAUGCUUAAUUGGACUGCUAUUAUUUAUUUAAGAUCAAGAGAUAGAAAGUUUUUCUGCAUUUCCAGUUAUAAAUCUAUAAUUGAGUUUGUUUUAUAAACAUAUUCAAGUUUAUUCUCUGUUUUUUCUUUCCUUCCUUUUAUUUUUAUGAUUUUCUAUUAUCAUUUGUGUUAUUAAAGAUGAAAGCUCAUUUUUUACUCGCUUUUAUAGAAGUACUUCUACAAUGAAGAAAUUCAGGUUAGGAUUUUGCUAACACAAUAAAAUCUUUGGCCUGCUUGAUAUCUAGUAUCAAGUUUUGCCAAAGGCCAUAGCUUCUAUUGGUUAUCUAUGAGUCAACCAUUGCUGGAUGGAUAUGAAUAGGAGCUUGUCCUGCCUAUGGGCAGGGAUAUGCGCGCAAUCACCUGUUUUCUGCUUUUUAAGUAUCAAAGUACAAACUAACUGCUUCUACAAUAUCAUUUCCAUUUUAAUCAGCAUUGAAAGUAUGUUGCUUUUUUAAGUAUCAUUUCCAUUUUAAUCAGCAUUGAGUGUGUCCUGUCAUGGUUGGUUGGACCACUUAACAAAAAAACAGCAAGGCCUUUUCUUCAAAAUCUGCAUUCGACAGGUUCUCUGUCAAUUCUUUGCUUUUGCUUUUACGAUAACUUGUUGCAAACUUAUUUAAAAAAAUUGUGCCCUUCUCUUGUUGGCUAGGUAUUUAACUUAUGCAUAAUCUUGUGAUGCAGCUAUGGCUAGAGAUACUGUACUUGUUAUGCUCUUUUCUAGUUGGGCAUGUAAAGGGCUCUAGGGAUGUCCACUUGUCUUCAAGUGCAGUUGAUUUCUUUGGUACAAAAAUGUUGACUACAACUACAGAAGAUAAACUUGAACUAGUUGUUAAGCAAACUCUUUUAUGUUAUAUUAAAAAAUUUCUAAAGAAAAUUUCUAUUGAGAAAACUAGGGAUGUUUUAACCCUCAACCAUAACUUAAUUUGUGUUUAAUGUGUGAUAUUGUCGUCUUUACUUGGAACAUGUCUAUGAUGGUGCUUGUCUAUGUUUCAUCAUUGCUUAUUUAUUUUAUGACGUCUUUGUUGAGCAUUUUAGCUCCAGGUGGAAGAGCUGUGUUGUCUGAGAUGCAUAGGGAACUGUCUCAUUAGUGACUAUGCCAAUUGGAUGAGGAUUCUGGAGAGAACUCUCUAUCUGAUCCAAGUAUCUACUGACUUCUGCCAUGAACUCUUGAAUAGAAGCAAGGAUGGAAGCUAGUUUGUCUGACAUCUCAACUGAACUGUCUAAACUUUGAUAUGAAUCUGAUAUGAUCAAUCGACCUCCAACUCUCCUCUAAGAAUAUGACUUCAAACUCAACCAACUCCUAAACUAACUCCCUACAAUGCAAACAAAAUGGAUGAAGGACAUAAGAUAAGACCCUAAAAGACAACAGUGCAACAUGCAAACACAUGGUCCUGAGGUGGCAAUCUGAAAUCUGGAUGUAUGAUGAGAGCUCUAGAGUCAUAAAGGUGUCCACUGUGAGAUGGCUACAAAUGUGACUAGAGAAUUCCUAUCAAUAAUCCAAGAUGAAAGAGGUGUGAGAAACACACUAUCACGAGAUUGAUACUCCAUCUAUAACCACAUAUCCUUGACUCAACCUUCAACCCAAGCUCCAUAAGAGAAAAGAUAAGGUGAUCAAGGCGACUCUCUCAAAAAAGGUGUGAAUGUGAAAACAUGCCUUUCACCUUUCCAUAAUGAAAAUGUGAGCAUCAAGUUGAAAAUUGAAUCAAGGAUCAAACAAAGAAUGGGAUACUAGGCUCAUGAUAAGUGUACGGUAUAAAGAGAUGAUCAUAAUCAAUGAACAUAUCCCAAAGCAUCAAGCAAGUGACAACAAAGUGAAAGGAUGUGCCAAGCCAAGAGAGGGAGACGAAAGCUCUAGGGAGAAAGCAUGCUAAACUCAUUGAGUGAAAAGAAUAAUCUAAAGCGACAUGACAAAAGGUGAUCCAACUGAUACUGAAACUUGUACCGAUCUCUGAGCACUCUCAAUUGGAAACCAAAGGUAAAAGCACUGGGUCCAGGUGAUGAGUAAGACGGCCCUGAAGGCUCUCAGAUGCACCCACGUGUGAGGAAGGAAUCCUAAUCAAAGGAUCUAAGCUCAUCCUAUAAGUUUAAGGUGGCUUUAAAAAAAGAAAGGUAGGCUUUCAAGGGUCCUUAGAAGAAGCAAUCAUACCCUUCGGUGGUACGCAACCUUCUGUACGCCUCCGAAGAGACGGGGCGCUUCCAUGCAAGGUGGACAUCACCUCCACACAUGCACUACCUCGCAUCCCAGGGGGCUCCUAUGGUGAAGGCCCUUCUAAUGGUUAGCAUAUCUCAUAACUUUGGUCACUCAUCAACAAUCUAAGGUGCAUAGUGAGUUUGUGGGUGCAUCUGAAAAUCCUAUGAAACUAAAAAGAAAACACAUUGGUCACACAAAUAUCCUAAAAUCCAGCUUUGGGCUAUACAAGUCUUCAAAGAUCGGACUCCAAUCAACAUCAAUGUGUCGGCCACCUCCAAAAUGCUCCCAAACAUAGAUAUAGCCCAUCACUAGACCUUACUUCAAAUCACUAGCUUGGUCGAAGAACAAUCAAGGUGAUAAGUCUCAUAUCAAAUAAGAGAUCAAGGGAAACAAAGUCGAUGGAGUCUAAGGAAUUGGAAAUAAGGGGAUAGGUGUGAGACCCACACGAACAAGCAAUACAUGCAUCAUGUAGAAGGAGAGUAGUCAUACAACAAACAGUUAUGCAAAGCAGGUAUAUAUCAUACAAAUCUACACACAAGCUAAGUAAGAAGUAGGAUAAUCGAGAUGAAUAUCUAGCAAGAAUAAAUGGCAUGCUCAGAGUUAAUCGAGAUAAUAUGUAACAAAGAGAAUAAACAUGUCAAGAUGAGCAACAUUGAGAAUAUACAAGUCAGGGUGAGCAGAGCAAUCACACAGUAAGGAGAGUUGAUAUGUGAACACAAACAAGAGGAUCAAAUGAUAUAAUCAAGAUGUCAAUGUCUCAAACAAAUACACAAAUCAAGCAUGCAUCAGAGAUAAACAUAUCAAAAGUUCUCAAUGUGCAAUCAACAGUCAAACAUACAAAAGCACAGAGAGAGAAGGGUACCCACUAAUCGACCAAUCAAACGUCACAUUUGCCUUAAUCUAAGUUCAAGUUUGACUGUCUAGUGAUCCCCAAUGGAGUCGCCAUUUUACGGACCCCGCAUUUCUCCACAAUGCGUUCCCACUCGAAUGGUGAUACUCACUUUUUAUUUUGAAAAAAUGACUUUUGAAAAGUUUUUGGAGUCACCACUUAUUUUUCUUUUAUUUUUAAAGGGAAAAACAAAAUAAGAAAAAAAAAACUCUAAAUGUGACUCCUGAAGGAAAAACAGGUCUGUGAAAAACCAAGUCUAGGUUCGGGAGUGAGGUUACCUAUUGAGAAAGUACGGUGAUAAGUUGUAACACCCCUCUAAGCACCUAAAAAUGGGUCUCUACUAAUCAACUAAGACAAGUGUAGCAAUUGAUUGAUUAAUUGUGGAUACCAAAUAGUGAUCAAGGGUGUGCUAGCAAGUCAUGCAUGAUAAUGGAUAAAUAAAUAAGUAUGAUUAGGUAUGAGAUGCACCUUAGCAGCGAAUAAGGAUGUGCUAUCAUGAAACGGGGUUAGCUCAAAUAUAAAGUAAUGCGUGUCACAUAUUAGAGCCAAAAAUCAAUCAAUAAACAAUCAAACAUAGCAAACAAAAUCAACAAUCGGAUGACGAAUGCCUCAUAUGUUAGGCCACACCAAUGCCCAAAUUAUUUUUGGCAUGAAUUACUUCUACAAAUUCCAUGAUUUUUGGAAUUACAGACUUGUAUUCAUGGUUAUUUAAAAACAUUUAAAAAAUCAAGAAAAAAAAAGUGAAAAAUGCUUGCCCAAGAGAAAAAUGGCAGCAAAUUUAUUAAAAAUUGGAUUUUUGGUGACCCAAAACUCUAUGGAUGAAUAAUAAUAAUAAAAAAAUUGAAUAGUUAAAAUUAUUUGAAAAUUGGAAUUAAAAAAAAAAACAAUUUUUGAAAGCGAAGGUGAAUAAUUAAGAGAACAUGGCCUAUGGGAUUGCAUGUUAAAGGUGGCUAUGCAUGGGUGUAGAAGUGGCCCAGGGUAGGUAGUGAAUUGGCCAUUGAAUCACUUUAUUGGACAUGCAACUUGCUGUAGUGGUUUGCAUCCAUGGAUAUUGACUGUACCGAAACUUGGAAUGUCGACCAUGUCGUUCAUCGGAAAUGUACCAAGUGACAUGCUUCAUGGUGGCGGGAUUCAUAUGCUGCAUCACUUUCUUCUUAUAUAAAUACUCAGCACCUUUGGCAAUGCCAUUGCACUAGAACCACUAUAAAGACCUCUAACAAUGAAUGAUGAUCUAGCCAUACACCAUUAACGAGCUUCUCACCAAACUGCUACUUGCUGAAACUGUUCUUUAUCGUGUUAUACCCAUAUCUUGCACCGUCCAUUCCAUGCAUGACUUGAUUAAGUCCUUCAAGUAAUCAGGCCAUAGCUUAGCAAAAAUAGUCCCCUGACAUCCCUUUAAGACUAGGUAUGCUGAAGUGAUUUGAGUGUCAUGAAGGAGAGGCGAAGGACGGGUAUUGCACAAUUGGAAUCGCAGCACAUGCAACCGUUCUUCUCAACCAUGGUAACAUGAAUUCUACACGUUCAUCCUUAGUUUAAGGGACAAUGGGGGUCAGUCGACAUGGCAACAAUGACAUUCAGAAAUGCAUCCCUGCAAAUCUUUCCAAUAAUCUUUCCCAGAACCACCCAACAAGCCACCUGAAGGAAAUGGAUGUCCUGGAUUAAUGUCAGAAUCCUUAUAUCUGAUAUGGACGUUACUAAUGGGAAAUCUUAAGGAUUCCAAUUAUGGUUGCAAACAGAGAACCCAACCAUGAAUUUGCAUUAGCUGGACUUCCUUCUUGCUAUUGAUGAAGUUCCAACUUCAGUUGCAGUGAAUGGUAUCCCCAACUCCGGACUACUGUCAUUUCUUGAUGGGAUUCAAGGCAUUGAACUUACAAAAUCAUCGUAGCCUUAGUCUUCAUGCACAGAAGACCUCUUUCUCUCAAACUCCUGGACACGACUUUUUCAAUAGUGGUAAGCAUCGGGAUAUCUAGCCCAUUUUCUGACCUUGUAUGAGACGCUCCCAGAAAACCCUUCAGAAUUGCUUAGGGAGUUGCAUCUUUAGGACCACCAGAAGCAUUGGGAACCUCAUACUUUUUGGUUGUCAAAGCACAAGGGUGGCAUUUGGUUUUGUCGAAUGGCACAGCUAGCUCAUCACCUAAUUUCUGACCAAUAUGAAAUGAUUGAGACACUUCAGCGAGUUCCUUGACAUCACUUCUUGUAUGAUUCAACCACUCAUUUCCUUUUUGGACAUUUGGAAUCCAUGAAUUCAAAGAACUCGUACGCAUUUUCACAGGGACCUUGAUACAUGAUUUUCCCAUAAGAGAGGAGAAUCUUAUCAUUAAAUAGGUUGCAGGUUUCUGGUACUGGUUGGAGGAGGCAGAUCAGAGCAGUUCCAUUAAGAAUGAGGAUGAACUGCCUGAGUGAACUUACAAUCUGAAAAGCUAUUGAACUAUCCAAACGAAUUACCAUUUCAUCCAUGGAAAAAAGCUCUGUUUGUUUCUCCAUCGACUAAUGCACCAAUUAUCACCCCAUCUCCUCAUUGACCAAGAGCUUUCCUGACUCCAUCUUAUCCUCAUCAAUAAUCUCCAGUAAUAGCUCUUUCCAUUCUGUCUCUAGGCAUUUCAAUGUGGUCCAUAUGGCUUACAGGUGUCUAGAAAUUUCCAACAGUAUGUAAAGUGGUUCACAUGGGGCUCUCUCAAAAGCACCCCAACCAAAAUGGCCAGCCCAAAUGGGAUACUCAACACCCCGAACUUACCAGAAUCAGGGGAAUAAGAGGAAAAAAAAAAAGAAAAGAAAAAAUAGGAGCAGAGCGAGGACUGAAGAAAUAACAAAAGGAAAUUAAGCAGAUAACGAAUAUACAAAGCCUCAUUUCAGGUGACAUCCAUGGACUAAUAACAGGUGGAAUUAACAAAGAAUGCAAGCAUGAUUCUUAUAUAUCAAGUCCAGGGAUGAAGCCAUGCAUCAACUACUUACGGGAGGAGUCAAGGAAACCAAGAUAAAAUCAAACAAAGCAUGUAUGCAAACAAACAGAUUCGGUCAAACAGACUAAUAAUCCUUCAAGUCCAAGCCAAUCAAUAAAAUAACACCCAAGAAUCUACAAAAAAAUGUAGAAGAAUAAUAUGAAAAUGAGGAAAUGUGAGGUUCAGAGAGACCUUACCUGGAAGGCUUCCUUUCGAGCAAGAUUUUUGUCCAACUUCCCAACUAUUCUUCCUCUGCUCCAACUCCCUUUAUCUCACAACUUUUCUUGCUUUCUAUGUUCCUCUAGACACUCUUUAUAGCUCCCCUUCCUUCAGCUCCCUGUUUUUCCUAUUGUUCUCCUUCUCCUCCAUUCCUCUUCUCAACGGUCUCUGAAUCCUCUCCUUACAUGUCACCUGCUGGUUUCCCACAGAAAAAAGUCCUUGCCAGCCCACUAUCUCAUACACCUGCUGCCAAAACCUCCUAAAGGGUGGUAAAAAUAUCGCCCCUAAAAUAUCCCAAAACUUCUAGAUCAAAAUGAGGGUCUACACCUUAUAUUCCACAAGCCAAACCUUUUUAGACAUACCUAUGACUUCCUAAUUGGACGAACAACAACCCUUAUUCUUAAAUGGAGAGCAAGUUACUAUCUAAACAAACUUUUAUGACCAAACAUUAAUUGGAACAAAAUUGCCAACAAUUAUAUAAGACUCAAUGUCCUAACAAUCUCCCAUUUUGGUAAUUUUAUGACAAAACAUCAUCAAUAAACCCACCUAAACUCUCAUAAUGAAGUUUACAUAAUACACAUUAAUGCUUAAUUAAAAAUAAACUAAGGGAAUGCUUUGCAAUGCUUUGUAGUACUUAUCUUCCAACCCUGUAACCUACACACAUACAAAAAAACUAUACCAAAAGUAAAGCAAUGUGAGAGAUAAAAUAAUAUUAUGAAAGCAAAAUAGGAUAGUUAGAGGUUUUUCUUGACACCUUGUGAAAGCAUGCAAAAUGAACAGAUUCCUAUAGCGACAUCAAGGUAUAAUGCAGCUUAAGAGGAAUAUAGAUGCAUGCAAAUCAACCAAAUAGAAUAUAAGCUAAAUAAGACCUAAUUAUUUAAUAGUAAAGUGAAGGGGGCGUUCAUCAACCAUAUUACUAGCAAUGAAAGCCUUAGGAAGAAGCUUCUAUGACAGAGAUUAGUUCUAGAAAGAUAGAACAUUCAAACAGUAAUAUUUUCUAGAUGAUAGGAAAAAAAAAGCUUUUAAUUCCAAAUGGUUUCUAGAUGUGAUGAACCGGGAAAGUCAAAAGAUCAAGUUAUUGGUCUGGUCAUCGUUGCUGCUGGAAUAGGUGGAGGAACGGGUACUAGUGGGGCUCCUGUGAUUGUAGCUGCAGAAUCAUUGGGGAAGGGUCCUACAUCUUGGCUGAGAAAUAGAGUUAUUGAAUCAAUAUAUAGCCUUGAGGCUCUCUUAUUGUUUCCAUUGGAAUUGUUGAUAACUAAGGAAUGGAAGAGUAUAAAGCUUGAACUUCAGCUUCUGACAUCAGGUUCACUUGACGGCUAAGCACCCAUUGCUUGAAUGGGUUGGUUAGGAAAAUCACUACCAGAAUCACCAUCACUUAGGUGGUGUUUGUUUUUUUGGCUUUUUGCUGAAAGUAAUUUAUUUUUGAAAUUUAAGUUGUUUGUUUUUCUACUUUUUUAUGACUUAUUAUAAACUUUUUACUAAAUAGAAAAAAUCAAAAUAUGUAGUUUUUUCUUAAUAGAAAAAAUAACACAUUGAUUUUUCUUUACUUUUUAAUACUUAAUAGAAAUAAAAUAUUAUAAAAACAAAUAACCUAAUAUUUAACAUUAUUAAGCAUUAAGGUUCUAUUUAGAAUUAAGUAAAAAAACAAACACCACCUAGGGUGGUGUUUGUUUUUUUACUUAGUGUUUACUAUUAUACAAACUCUGUAGCAUGGAGGUCUGAUGGAUCUAAUAAUGGUGUUUGGAGUGCUAAUAAGCCUUCUCGGUACACUGGUGCUCAUGCAAUUGCUGGAAGCAAGGCACAUGCCAGAUUUUCAAUGAAACUGAACCUCUAUUUCACUGCACUGCUUUAAGCUUAGAUCCUGGCAGUCUGUGAUAUCUCUGUUGGGGAAAGAAGUAUGAGCAAGGUGAAAUCACAACUUGGUAGAGGAGAAUAAAUGUCGAUGCAUGAAAUGGCAAACAAGAUGAUGUUUGAGCUAUAUUUUGUCAGCCUGAAGAAGCAGAGAUGCUUGGUAAAACAAUAUUGGAGACUUGCACAGAUCCCUACUCUGAUGUUAACAAACCAAAAUGAAGUUUCUGGUGAAGAACUGAAACCAUUUCCAGAGAGGCUUUAUGUGGUUCUUUCUAGAGAAACCAUUGAAGAAAUCAUUGGAACGCCAAGGGAGCUACCAUCCUUCUGAAUUUCCAUCUGGAGAGCAUCUUCUUUUGCUUAAUCCACCAAAGAAGCAAUUCAGUAGCCAAUUGCCAUCUCUCAACGGCUCACUGGAACUGCAUUGCAAAAAUUCAGCUCAGCUGAGAAGUUUGCCAUUGGAAAAUUGCAAUUUGGUUGGUCCUGUGCCAAAAUCUUCGGGGAUUGGUAAUAUUAAGACUGUCAAUGAAUAACAAGAACACAACAGCCCAGGAUCUGCUCUCUUAGCCAGCUCGUACCAAAUCAUUCUCAUUGGAAACAGCUCAGAUGGGUUUGAGCUGAAUCAUUUGGGAAAUGAAUAACUUAUGAUUGAUUGCAUAAAUGGUGGGGCCUACAAUCCAGAAGAAAACCCUCUCAGAAGACACAAGCUCCUUCCCAUUCUUUCCCAUUCUGUUUGUUUCCAGCCUUGAUACCUUCAAUACCUGGCAGUCUCCACACAACUCAUCCAAAGUCCCUCCAUCAAAUUUGAACCCAAAGCCAAACAACUCCGUGUCUAAAACCUUAGGACUAGCUCACCACCUUGUUUUUCUUCAUACCCACCACCUUCAGCUUCACUCAUCACCAAGCCAACUUCUCUCACAUCCUCCACUACUCAUUUCCUACCCAACCUAGCUCUAUCUUUCUCACUUAACAAGUGCUGGUGAUGACAGUGAAGACUGGUCACACCUCUCUUUACUCGGCUCCAGCGAUGAGACUAAUGCCUUUGAUGAUUCCGAUACUUUUGUUUCUCCAGUUCAGGGGUUUGCCUGUAUUGGAUGAAUGGCUCCAAGAGUACAUAAAGGAAAGAUUGGUGAUGUUAGUAGCCCCAAGGAUGGUGAUAAAUCUGCUGAGGAAUCCCUAUUGGUUUUACUUCAUGCACUUGAUAAGCUGCCUGUGAAUCUUCAAGCCCUUCAAAUGUGUAACAUUGGCAAAUCUGUUAAUCAUUUACGUACUCAUAAAAACUUAGAAAUUCAGAAGAAAGCAAGGAAUUUAGCUGAUACAUGGAAGAAACGAGUUGAGGCAUAAAUGAAUAUUAAUGAUGCAAAGUCUGGUUUAAGUCAGGCUGUUCCAUGGUUCUCGAGGCCACGUCUUUCUGAAGUUUCUCAUGAUGGGAACAGACACUCUGGCGGCUUCUCUGAGAUUGCCAUGGAGAGCUCAGUCAUGCAGCUUUCUUCAUCUAAAACAGCUCCAGUUAAUAAGAUUAUACUGGGGGUUGUCUUCAAUUAACUAGAUUCAAUACUAACCAUUGUUGCCUGACUUAGUGUUAGAGAUCCAUUGGACAAAGAGGAUCUUGCAGAGGCUGCAAAAGCUCAAUUUUCUCAUGACUACAGUGAUCAUCUUGCACUUGUUCGGUCUGGAAAGAUGCUGAAAAGGACCAAAUUGGAUAUGAAUAUUGAUGGAAAAAUUUUCUUUCGGCACAUUCAAUGAAAGCUAUUGAUUCUCUUCAGAAGGAGUUCUUCUCUUUGCUAAAGGAUACUGAACUGGUUGAUGACAACAUGAACACCUACAACGCAUGGAACUAUGAUGAGCAUCUCAUUUGAGCAGCUAUUUGUUGUUGUUGUAGUAUGUGGCUCAUAUUUGAGCAAAAAGACAUAUGGAGAGAAAGGGGCAAAAUGUUGGAGCGAAGUAGAGCGAUGGCAUUUUUCAUUCAGGGUUUGUACUUCUUUGUUGUGGGGCGAAUGAUAGGUUGGGGGGUGUUGCCCCCCGCAGUACAAUUCAGGGGUAUUUUUGGAAUUUCAUUCCUAAGGGUUAGUAUAAGUACCCUUUUUAUGUAACCUUAAUUUUAACAUAGUGAAAAUCCUCUUUUCCCUGUUCCCGAUGACAUAGGCUACCCGAACCACAUUAAAUCUUUGUGUUCUUCUUUCUUGCUUUUUCUAUUAUUUUUGCCAUAAAUCGUUGCACGGAUUUCAACAAUUGUGGCCCGUAUCCUGAAAUUUGCUCUGUUGUGCAAAAUGAAAUGUCAUUCUCAUUGAAAACAAUGGAGGAUGGUCAAGUGAUCUUGCAUUCGAAUUCAAUUAAUGCUCGAGAGUGUAAACUCUGUUUUCCUCUAGGAUUCAAUAGCUAUGUCUGAUUUAGUGUUUCUUCUAUUUGGGGGCGACAUCUUGAGAGAGAUUAUGAUGGGUACCUUGAAGAAUCUUGGACAUUCAGUGCUUGAAAAUAUACCAAUGACUAAGCAUUCCAGCAAGAUUUUGGAACCAAAAUGCAAUUGGAAAGGAGCAGUUUGUAAUGAGAUUGCUGGUUUGACUGCUAUUUCAGUUGAUCUUUCAUUUGUUCCUUUGGUUGAAUCUAUUGGGAUGGAAGGAAGGGACAUGGUGUUUUCUUCCAAAAGUAGCUUAUCAUCAUAAUCAAAUGCUGGAAACAUCCUCAUGGACAAUAAGGUGGGUUCACUAAUGGGGUCUCCUUUGAGAGAUAUCCAGCACAAUGAAACUGUAUAAAAUGAAGAUCUUUUGUCUCAUUCAGAAAGGUUCAAACGGUUGGAACAUAGAUGCUAUUGUGGUAAAUGAUGUCAUUGAGCAAGGAAUUGAAACCACUAGCAUCCAUAGAGUAGACACAAUUGCACCCCGACCCCCGCGUGUGCAUGGUCAUGCAUGGCCACCUUGGUGCACACUCUCCUCCACCAUAUGCUUCUUUUUGGUGACUUACACUUUUUUUGUAAUCAGAUUUUCAAACCUAUUUUCAAUUGAAUAAUCCUUGCUGUCAAAAUUUGAUUUUCGAAACUUCAGCUUUCAAAUAAUUUUAAUUCUACUCUAGUUUUCAAAUAAUUGUAAUUCCCCCAAUUUUUCUCCCUUCCUUAGAGUUUUAGGUCACCAAAAAUCCAUUUUCAAUAAACAUUUGAUGUCAUUUUUUCUUUGGCAAGCAUCUUUCACCUUUUUUCCUUGAUUUUAAAUAAAUUUAUCUAUUUUCACGUUUUUAAUGAGCAUGAAUGCAAUUUCCAUAAUUCCAAAAUAAUGAAAUUUAUGGGCUUAAUUCAUGCAAAAUCAAUUAGGCAAUGGUGGGGCCCAACAUCUGUGAUUGAUAUUGAUUAACUUAUCCACUACUCUUACAUGCAUGUGAUUAUUUUAUACAUAAGCUAACCUUUUUUUUCAUGAUAGCACAUUAUUAUUUGUUGCUAAGGUAUGCUCCCACUCCCACUUUGCUUAUUUAAUCUCUAUGAAUGACUUGCUUCCAUUAUGUGAUUAUUCCUUGGUAUCCAUUGAUCUCCUUAUCAAUUGCCACACUUACCUCACCUUAUUUAGUAUUGACCAAUUUUUAGGGGGCUUAGAGGGGUGCUACAACUUGUCGUUGUACCUUUCCAAUAGGUAACCUGACCCUCACACCUAGACUUGGUUUUCACAGACCGUCUUUUCAUAUUAGAUGUCAUAUUUAGGGUUUUUCUUUCUUAUUUUGUUUUCCCUUUAAAAAAUAAAAUAAAAUAAAAAUAAGUUGCAACUCCAAUUUUUUUUUUUCUAAAAUUCAAUUUUCUUCACAAAUAAAAAAAUGAGUCUCACCAUCGAGUGGGAACUCAUUGUGAAAAAUGUUGGUCCACAAGUAUAUUUCUCUAAAACACAAACUCGAGGUAUUACAAAUCAUGCUAAUAUAUCAAGUAAAUAAACAAUCAUAUGCCCAAAAUAAAAUAAGGCUAAAGGUAACAAAAAGAUAUAAACACUAAGCUCAACAUCUUUGAACCUAUACCUAUGAUGAGCAAUCAAUUAGGCAUAUGCCCAAGGAUUUCCUAUGGUACUUAAACCUAAGAAAUCCAGGGGUUUGGUAAGAAUAUCUGCUUAUUGAUGUUCAGUGGGGACAAACUCUAGAGAAAUUACUUUUUCUUCUACAAGAUCCCUAAUGAAAUGAUGAAGAAUUUCAAUGGGUUUACUAUAGAAAUGAAUAAUAGGAUUCUUUGAGAUAUUUGUAGUACUAGAGUUGUCAUAGUGUAUGUUUAUAGUCCCUUGUUCAAUUCCAUAGUCUUUAAGCAUUUGCUUCAUCCACAAGAGUUGUGUACAAUAGCUCUCAGUAGCGAUAUACUCAGCUUCAAAAAUAGAUAAGGAUAUAGAUUUUUGUUUCUUAUUAAGCCAAGCCACAAGACAAUCACCAAUAAAAAAACAAGCAUCAGAUGUGUUUUUUCUAUCCUCAACAUUUUCAGCCUAAUCAACAUUGGAAUAUCCAACAAUCACAAGAGAAAUUCAUACGGAUACCACAAACCAUAAUCAAGAGUAUCAUUUAUAUAAUGAAUAAUUCUUUUAACAAACAUUAAGUGUGACUCUUUGGGGUUUGCUUGAUACCUAACAUAGGCUCUAACACUAAAAGAUAUGUUAGGACGACUUGCAGUAAGGUAAACUAAGCUUCCUAUCAUACUUCUAUAAAGCUUUUGCUCAACAUCCUUUCUAGAUGCAUCCUUGUUAAGCUUAGCAGUAGUGCCCGUAGGUGUCCUAAAGGGUUUGGAGGAUUCUAGACCAAAUUUUUUAACUAAUUCCCUAGCAUACUUGGAUUGAGAAAUAAAGAUCCCAUAUUUUAGUUGCCUAAUCUGCAAUCCUAGGAAGAAUGAUAAUUCACUUACCAUGCUCAUCUCGAAUUUAGUCUUCAUCUCUUUGGCAAAACUAAGGGCAAGGCUACUAGAUGUAACUCCAAAAACUAUAUCAUCUACUUAAAUCUGAACUACUAGCAACUCACAAUUGGACCUAUUUAUAAAUAAGGUUUUAUCAACUCCCCCUAUUUCAAACUUUUUCUCCAAGAGAUAGGUUGUGAGCUUCUCAUACCAUGCUCUAAGAGCUUGCUUUAAACCAUAAAGGGCUUUCUUUAACCUAUAGACAUAAUUAAGGAAUUUCGAAUCCUCAAAUCCCUUAAGUUGCUAAACAUAAACCUCUUCACCUAGAAUCCCAUUUAGAAAUGCACUCUUAACAUCCAUUUGGUAAAGCUUUAUCCUCAAGGAGCAUGCUAUUGCCAAAAGUAUCCUAAUUGAUUCUAGUCUAUCUAUAGGUGCAAAUGUUUCUUCACAAUCAAUCCCCUCUAUCAUUGAGUAUCCUUGGGCAACUAGUCUUGUUUUGUUUCUCAUAAUAACCCCAUUCUCAUUUUGCUUGUUCUUGACUAUCCAUUUUGUACCUAUUACAUGUUUAUCUUUUGGCCUAGGGACUAAAUACCACACAUCAUUCCUAGUUAAUUGUUUUAACUUUUCCUGGAGUGUGGUACUCCAAGAUUCAUCUCCUAAAGCUUCCCCACAUUCUUUGACUCCAAUUGGGAGGUAUAGCAUACAAGACCCAUCUCAUUUAAUCUUGAUUGUCUCUUAGUAACCACUCGUUCAUUUACAUUACCUAUAACAUUUGAGAUUGGGUGGUUCUUAGGUAUCUUGGAUCUAUGUUUAUCCUUUAUUUCUUUAGGAGUGUCAUCUAAAGGUACAACUUCAUCAUUAUUAGGGUCAAUGUUUUUAUCAAGGAUGUCAUUAGGGUUUUCUUUUGUGGUCUCCAAGUCUUUAGGGUCAUUCCCAAUUGAUUCCUAGAUUAAAAUUUGAUUAUCAAUUAUAUCCUGAUCAUACCCAAUAUCAUUUAUACUACAUUAGAAGAUUCCUAGAUGAUGUGAGAAUUUUGAUUAUACACCUUAUAGGCUUAGCUAGAAGUAGAAUAGCCUAGGAAGAUACCUAAAUAAGAUUUAGCAUCAAAUUUACCAAGGUUCUCUCCAUCCCUAAGUAUAUAGCAUUCACUGCCAAAAUUCAUAAAAUAUUUAAGAUUAGGUUUUCUCCUAGUCCAUAAUUCAUAAGAUGUAUUCUUUGUUCCUAACCUGAGAAAAAUCCUAUUGGCAGAAUAACAUGUAGUAUUAAUUGCUUCUACCCAAAAUUUCAUAAGGGUAUUAUACAUAUGAAUUAUGGACUCUAUUCUCUUUUUCUACUACUUCAUUUUUUUUUAGGAGUUCUAGGGGUUGAAAACUCAUGUUUAAUUACUUUUGAUUCACAAAAGAGGUCAACAUCCAUCCACAUUGUUGAACUCUCUCUUCCCCCUAUCACUCCUAAUCCUUACAAUUGGAUGGCUAAUUUCCACUAGUAUUCUAUUAAAUAAAGACAUUAAAUGUUCUAUGGCCUCAUAUUUCUCCUUAAGAAAACUCACAUAGGAGUAUCUUGAAAAAUCAUCUACAAUCAUAAGGACAUAUCUCUUGCCACCUCUGCUUUUAGUGUGCAUUGGACCCAUAAGAUCUAUGUGAAGAAGCUCUAAAGGUCUAAUGGUCCUUAUCUCCUUAACCUUUUUGUGUGAACUCUUAGUUUGUCUUCCUUUCAUGUACUCACCACAAAUGGGUUUAGGUUCACCACUAAGUCUAGGGAUACCUCUAACCUUUUCAAUAUUCACUAAGUGCACAAAGUCCCUAUAAUUUAUAUGACCAAACCUUCUAUGCCAAAGCUCAGUAGGAUCAAGCUUAGCCUUACUACACAUAAGAGGUGUUCUAGAGUUAGGAUUUAUGGCAUAAUAGUUAUCAUCUGUCCUAUGUCUUGUGAUGACUAUUUUUCCUUCUUUAUUAACUACCUCGAAUAAGUCUUGUUGAAAAUUCACUUUAUGAUCUUUAUCCCACAUUUGACUAAUGCUUAGGAGGUUUGCUUUGAGUCCUUCAACAUAUAGAACUCCAUCUAGUUUGGGACAACCAGGGAUAACUAUACUAUCUUUGCCUUUUACUCAAGUUAGGCUUCCAUCUCCAAAAGUAACAACUCCACCAUCAUAGUUUUCUAGAGAAGUAAAGGAGGAUUUGUCUCUUGUCAUGUGUCUAAAGUACCCACUAUCAAGGUACCACUUACUAGAAGAUUUAGCUUUAAGAGCAUUGAACACAACUUGACAUUUAGACCUAUCAUUUCUCAACCAAACUUGUUAUGUCUUGGGUGGUGACUUGGAGAAACUAGAUUGACUUCUAGGUUUUUGAUUAGCUUUGUUUCCUUUCCCAUUGUUCAAGAUGUUAUUUUUAAGGGAAUUAAAUUCAUUCAUAAGUCUGUUCAUUUGAGAUUCAAACCUUUCAAGAAACCUAGUGUAGCAUCUAAAUUGAGUGUGUCCAGUUUUCUUAUAGUGUGUGCAUAGUGAUGUCUUUUUAGGAGAUUUUAUUUUUUGUUAGGGGCACCAUACUUACCUUUGACAAACAUAGUUUCUCCAUUAUAGGGAGUUUCAUCUUUAUUAGUGUACCCUAAUCCUCUUUUAUCUCCAUGGGUUUUGCAUUCAUCAAGAAUUUCAUUAAGCACUUUAGUUCCAGGGUGAAAAUUUUCAUUCGCAAAUGAAGAAGGCUUAUUAUUAUUGAUUUCUUGAGUGUGAGCAUUAUUCUUCUCAAGGAGAAAAUGAUGCUCAUAUUUAAGAAAUCUGACUUUCUCAAGAAAAUUAAACUUUUCAACAUUUAGCACAUCAAUCUUUUUUUUAUGAGCUUUAAGAACAUCAUGAUUUUUCAUAGAACUUUGGAUCAAUCUUUCAUGCUCAACAACAAGAUUACUCACAAAUUAAACCCUUUGUUCAUUAGUAAACUCAUCAUCAUCACUAUCACUAUCACUAUCACAAUCAGUAUCAUCCAUAGGUUCCAUAAACGCAACAAAAGCUAACAUGUCAUUGGAAUCAUACCUUGCAUCUUCAGAAGUUGUGGAAGCACUCUCUUUAGAGUUUGAAUCACUCCAUGUUGCCUGCAUAGACUUUUUGAUAUUUUUUUUGGGCUAGGACAAUCUUGAGCAUAGUGUCUUAGACCUCUACAAUUAAAGCAUUCAACUUUCUUACCUUUGGAGGAACAUUUUACUUUCUCAUUGGAUGAUUAUUCAUUAGGUUUUUUUCCUUCUCCAUAUUCUCGAUUAUUGUGGAACCUUUUAUUGAAUUUCAUGACCCUUUUAAUCCUUUUGGCCAUAUGGGCAAAUUCAUCCUUAGUUAUAUCAUAUGACAUUUCAAUAUAUUUUUUCUCAUCCUCAGAAGCCUUAAAAGUAGAGUCUUUAGGCUUUUGGGAACUAGGUAGGGUCAUCUCUUAUGUCUAAAAAGAGUCAACUAGUUCAUCAACUCUCAUGGAAUUGAUGUCCUUGCUCUCCUCUAUGGUAGUUAUUUUGGGUCUAAAUCUCUCUAGAAGAGAUCUCAAUAUUUUCCUAACUACAUUAGAAUAUGGAAUAGGUUCUCCAAGGUUGAAUGAAGAAUUUACAAUAUGACUUAAUUCAGAAUAAAAAGAAGAAAAAGAUUGAUUUUCAUGCAUCCUAAUAAUCUCAAACUUAGUAGCAAAUAUUUGUAACUUAGAAACCUUUAUAGCAGACGUACCUUCAUGAGUGACUUGAAGAAUAUCCCAUGUUCCUUUACACGCUUGCAAUUUGCAAUCCUAGAAAACUUGUCUAGACAAACUCCAUUAAAAAUACUAAAUAAAGCCCUAGCAUUGGCUUAACUACCUUCAUUAUCGGUUUUGUCCCAUUCAUGUUUAAGUUUAAGUUCUCCUGUUGAUCUUCCUUGAGCAUCAAGGAUCAAUGGUGGUCCCCAACUGAAUUGCAUACCCUUUUGCCUUGAAUUUUAAGGGAAAACAUCAUUCGUGCUUUCCAAUGAGAGUAAUUAUUCCCAUCAAAAUAGGGUAGACUAUUCAAAGAGGCACCACUUUUUUACUGUUCCAUAUCAGACUUACAGGAUCAAUAAAAUUUUGAUUUUUAUCCUAUAUGAUCAAUAAAAAUUUGAUUUUUAAACAAUGAAAGCUAAAUCUUUAAUCAAUAGGAUAGAGAAUCGGUUUUUUAUCUUGUUCUAAUACCAAUUGAAAAAUGGGUAUUGAUCAAAUACCUCUUAAAUAAUAAUUGAAAGUCUAAUAGGAAACACCCAAAGGGGGAGGAGAGAAUGGGUGAUUUAAAAAUUUUAAAUUAAUAUUUAUAAAUAAUAACUAACUUUUUCUUACUCUAAUAGAUAAUAGGGAUAUCCCAAAUAACUAAAUGGAUUAUACCCAAAAUAUUUAGGUUUAUAAAAAUAUGAUUUUUAACUUUUAGGGAUAUCCCGCAAUUGGUUAGGAAUAAUAUAAUUAUGAAUAUCCAAAUUAUACCUUAUGAGAUGUUAGGUAAAACAAUAAUUAGUUAUAGGUAUAACAACCAUAACCUCCAAGAUAACCAAUCCAACAAUUUCAAUAACCAAUCAAUCAUAAAGGAAUCUCAAUAACAACCUAACUAACCUAUUCAAUAUAAUCAAUAUCAUCAACUAUAAUAUAAGCAGUAAUAAAAAGAUAUGCAAUGAGGCAUAACAUUUUUACAUGGAAAACCCCCACGAAUUAUGGAAUAAAAAAACACAAGGUCUAAGACCUAUCAAUCUAAACCCAUUAUUCGAAAUCAAGUUACAUAGAUUUACAUUACAUAGAUUUACAUAGUCAUUUUACCCUAAAUACUUUCUCUCCAGCACCUGCAACUUUAUCUAUGUCUGUGAUGCAACAACUCCUUAUUUCUCCCUAGUAGAUCCUUCAGCCACUCUAAAGGGAUUAAGGUCUUCAAAAAAACAAUUGAAAUAUCCUAAUCCUUGAAUAAGAGAUUGCGAAUGGUGUGACAAUAAGGAUUUCUCUCAAUAACUCACUCCCUCAUGAAUGAAAGGUCUCAACGAUAUAUUUUCAAUCUCCCCAAAAAUCUCUACACAAUCUUUUAUCCUUAAUGGGUUAUAAGAGAUGUAUUUAUAGGCAAAAGUCAUAAGAAUUUCGAUAUCUCAAGUUUCCAAAUUUGAGUUUGAAUGAAAUUCAUCCAAAAUAUGUUUCUAAACUCGGCAAGAAUAACAUGAUUGCUUAAGUGGACUUAGACCGCUUGAGCGGUUCAUACAACUUGAGUGGGUUGACUACUUGAGCGAGAUUAACCACUUGAGCCCCUAUUUUUUGAAAAAAAAAAUAUUAUAAUUCCAAAAAUGAAACCGAACCUUUUAUACCUUAAAUAAGUCUUAUAUGCCACAACACAAACCUUUUUAGACGUAUCUGUGACUUCUUAGUUAGAUGAACAAGAACCAUUGAUCUUCAAUGGAGAGCAAGCCACUAUAUACAAAGACAUCUAUGUCCAAACAUUGAUUGGAACAAAAUUGCCAACAAUUACACAAGACUCAAUGUCCUAAUAAACAAGAUCUCUAGUUUGGGUUAAUUGAUUAAUUAGAUGAACCUAUCUAGUUAAUUAAUCAAUUAGGACCCAUUUUAGGCUAGAUUAAGUGACCCAAGCCUUGAUGAGCUUAAGUCACUUAAGCCCAAUGGGUAACCCUAUAAAUACCACUUUUAUGAGUUAGGGUCUCAUAUAACUUUUUGAUAAGAAUUGUCUUCCACCUCUAGAGAAAGAGAGAGUCAUUGCUUCCUUUCUUCCAUUAUCCACACUUUAAAGUGUUAAGAUCAUGGUUUGAGUCAUCUUCCGAAAGAUCUUGGAUGUACAAGACCUCCAGACUCUUUAGGCUUCUUCUUGAUUAGAUGGAUUUUGAUUUGGGAACAUCCAAAUCACAGGUAUGAAUACUAUAUCUCUAUAUCUAUAGUUAAUAAUAGUUUUUAUUGUCAUUUUAUUUCAUUAUGAUAGAUUUAGAGAUGCCUAGGGAUAAAGAACAGAGUACUAAGGCAUGAGAACAGAGUACUCUAGGGUUCCCAACACCAAGAUCAUCGUUUAAGUCAUCGGUCAGAAGAUCUUGGGUGUACGAGACCUUUGGUUCAUCGAGUGGAAUUGACUUAGGAACAUCUCAGUCAAAAGUAAAAUUUAGUAAUGACUUUUCUCUAGAUCGUAUAAUGUUAAAAUUUAUUUUUUACUUUCGUUACAUAAGAUCUAGAUCUAGAGGCGUAAAGAAGUUUACAUGCACCUAUACAAUCUAGGGCUUGGGAACAAAGAGAUCUAGGGUUCCUAGAAAUUGGUAUGAAUGCCCUAUGAUAAGAUUUUUCAUGUUAGAUAUGCUCUAAGGUGUGUUAACUCUAUUUUGAAAGGCUUGUUUUUCAUUUGAUGGCCCUAGGGAUGAAUAUAUGUGGGUUUUCAAUAUAAUAUGAUGGUUAUAAUUAUGAUUGGAUUGUUUUAUUUUUGCUAGAAUAGGUUGUAAGCUUCAUGUUUAGGAGCAUAGGAUUUUUCUUGGUUGUAAAAAUCUCUCCUUUAUUAGAUUGGUUGUAAACUCCAUUAAUGGAGUAUAAUAUUUUUGUGAUGUAAAAGAUCCUUUUUUUUUUUUUUAACAAUCUAAUAACUCAUGAAAGACAAGAAAGCAAUCUAAGAUGUCAUUCUUAACCAUCAUGACUCCCACACCAACCAAGGUAAGUUUUUGGUGGAGAAAACAAUCAAAAUCUACAAAAGAAAUAGUCUCAAGUGCUCAGGAAAGGUGACUUGGGUGCUCGAGCAAUCACUUAUCAUGCUCGAGCGAUAUGAUUGAUCGAGUGGUGCUUCCAAUGAUGGUAAGUUGCUUCUAGCAUCCUCAAAAAAAUUUGAGCGCUCUAGUGUAGGUGACAAUAGAUGUGCAAUAAGGAAAUACAACAACAUAAAAAUUGCAAUUCGGGAUUUUUGUAAUAGAUUAGGGUAUUUAUGUAACUAACCCUAUUUUCUGUUACAAAUAUAACUUGGGAAAAUUUGGAUUUUUUAUCCAAAUGGGUUACCAACUUUAUGUAAUAGUAUUCCCAAGGCGAUGGAAACCAGUUCAUUAAUUUAUUAUUUAUUUUAUUUCAUAUUUUUUUCUGCUUAGCAUGUGUUAAAUAAAGAAUAAAUUGGAAAAAUGAUUUUGGAUUUUUCUUAAGGAAAAUAGAUUUUCAUGAGAAACGUUUUCCAAUAUUAUUUUUCUUUUGAACUAGUCGUUGUUAAAGACAUUGUUAUUCCUUUUUGGAUUAUCCACUUGGUUAAUAGGUGGUUCUCUAAGAUCAACCCCUUAGAAAAGGAGGAAAUCAUUUUGUAUAUGGAUAGUCUAAGGAUAAAGGAAUAAGAGAGAAAUUCUUUUAUCACAAGACUCUUAAUUUAAGAAGUAAAUAACAGAAUUGGAAAAUCUCAUGAUAGAGAAUUUAUUUUAAGAAAGGUUAUCAAAAUUACUAAAAGUCACUAUUUUCAAAAUAUUAAUUAGGAGAGGGCCUUAGCAAAUACGAUAACCUCCAUUGUCAAGCCCAUCUUGAUUUGGGUUCAUCACCACCCUCACAGUGGAUUGUAAGCCCUAGGAAUCAAGGGAUAUAGACUCUCCUUAUAGACAAGGCUUUACAUGUCUGUAGUAGGAGCAACCACCCCCAUGGUGGGUUUCCUUGCUAAGUGAUAUUGAUAGCUUAAGGACAAUGGUUAUACACUUAACAUUGGAUAUUAAGUGGUUGAAUCACCCCACACAAUCCCACCUACAUAGUUCAUAGGUCAAAUAAAAAGGUAUGUUGUUCUUGCCUUUAGGUAACGUUCAUGUUUAAGGUAGGGAGAUCAAUCUGAGAGAGUCACUAACUAAUAAUAAGGUCAUGACCUAACUUAUGUAUUCCUAAACAUAACUAAGGCUAAUAAUAAGGUCACUAACUAAUAAAUCGUGUUGGAAGAAGGAAUGCCCUAAAUUCCUAAAGAGAUAGUUAGUUAUGCAUUUUUAUUUUCUAGUUGAAUCAUGUUUAGUGUUGGAUUCUACUAAUUCUUAGUGGAUAGAUUCCAGAGCUAUUGAUCAUGUUUAUAAUUCAUUACAGGGGUUUCAACUAAGCCGAAGGCUAAAUGAUUGAGAUAUGUAUCUAACAUUAGCUUCUGAAGCGAGACUUGUUGUGUAGGCAAUGGAAGAUGUUACCUUUAUAUUUUCUUAUAAUAGUCUUAUAAUAGUCUUUUAGUAUUAAAGGAUUGUCUUUAUGUUCCCGAGUUUAUGAAGAAUUUGAUUUCGAUUUCUAAUAUAUGUAAACUGAAUUAUUCAUCUUUUUUCUAUUAAACAGGUUUGUAUUAGAUUGAAUGAUUCAUUUAUAUGCUCAAGAUCAUUGAUAGAUAAUCUUUAUCGUGUUUCUCUAUUAUCUAUUUUGUGAAGUAAUGAGAGUUAUCAUAUUUCAUAGAAAAUGAAGGAACCUAGCAAUAAUCAAAUAUAACUUUAGCACUUAUACGUAGGUCAUAUAAUCUAAACAAGGCCUAAAGAUUGGUUAAGUUUAGAACUUUACCAUUCUUGAUUCAAAAGAUCUUACAGUUUGUGAAUCUUGUAUAGAACGUAAAAUGACCAAGAAGCCUUUUACUGCUAAAGAAUAUAAAGCCAAGGAAUGUUUAGAGUUAGUGCAUCUUGACAUUUGUGCAUCUUUCAAUGUCCAUGCACAAGAAGGAUAUGAGUAUUUCAUCACGUUUACAAAUGAUUACUCCAUGUUUGGAUAUGUUUACCUGAUGCAUAGGAAGUUUGAUGCCUUGAACAAAUUCAUUGAAUUUAAGACAGAAUCAGAAAACUAAUUGGGUAAAUGUAUCAAGGCACUUCAAUUUGAUAAAGGUGGUGAGUAUAUGUCUACUCAAUUUGAUUCUUUCCUUAAGGAGCACAAGAUUAUAUCCUACUUGAGUGCACUAGGAACUCCACAAUAAAAUGGAGUAAUAGAAAGAAGAAAUCGAAUGUUGAUGGACAUGAUGAGAUCUAUGAUGAGUUUCUCAUCACUCUUGUAUCCUUUUGGGGAUAUGCCUUAGAUAUUUCAUCUUACCUUCUCAUUUUCACAUUUAGGGGUGCCUAAGACAUGUGCUGAAGCUAAAGGUAGACAAAUUGAAAGCAAGGCUUGAUGUAUAUCAAUUUUUAGGUUAUACAAGAGGAAUGAGAGGCCUUUACUUUCACAUCCAGGUCGAUCAAAAGGUAUUUUUCAGUACAAAUGCCAAAUUUAUGGAAGAAGGUUAUAUGAUGAAUAAUAGGGUAAAACAUGAUAUAGAUUGGAGGACACUUGAAGACACUCCCACACUAGCACAAAGGACUAUGAGACAACAAGUUCCUACACCUACCAUUCUAGUCAAUUCUAGUACAUUCAUGGCUCAUUGUAGUGGAAGGAUUGUUAUACAACCAGACAAGUUCAUGUAUUUGAGAGAGUUUAUCAAGGCAAUUCCAAAGGAACAUGAAACCGAUCCCAUAGAUUAUAAUAACGCAAUGAGUAGUAAUGAUGUUAUUCUUUGGCAAAGAGCUAUGGAGGUAAAGUUAAAAUCUAUGUAUUCUAACAGAAUCUAGGAUCUUGUAGAAGUACCUGAACUGCUAAAACUCAUAGGCGGUCUAAAAAAGGAAGAGAAGUAAAUGGAAAGAUUGAGACAUACAAGGCUAGGCUGGUAACGAAGAGUUAUAGUCAAAAACUUGGUUUUAACUAUAAGGAGACCUUCUCACCAAUAGCCAUGCUGAAAUUCGUCUGAAUACUCCUAUCCAUUACAAUGCACCUUGAUUGUGAAAUAUGACAAAUAGAUGUCAAGACAAUGCUCUUGAAUGGUGAUCUUAAAAAGAGCAUCUAUAUGAUGUAACUAGAUGGAUUCAUAGCAAAAUGAUAAGAACAUCUUAUGUGCAAGUUGCAUAAAUCCAUUUAUAGAUUAAAUUGGGCGUCUUGCACAUGGAAUAGGCAUUUUGAUUAGGCUAUCAAGACUAUUGAUUUUGAUCAAAAUGAGGAUGAGUCUUAGGUGUACAAGAAGAUGCAGGAAAGCAUGGUUGUGUUUUUGGUCUUAUAUGUUGAUGACAUUCUAUUCAUUGGGAAUGAUGUAGGGUUAUUGUCAUCAAUUAAGAUCUGGCUAUCUACUUAAUUCUAAAUGAAAGGUCUAAGUGAGACACAAUAUAUUCUUAGAAUUAAGGUCCUUUGGGAUUGUACGAAUAGGAAGAUUGCGUUGUCUUAGGCCACCUACAUUGACAAGGUUUUGGUCAAGUAUGUGAUAAAGGACUCUAAGAAAGGUUUCUACCCUAUGCUUUUGCAAUGGGUAGCCUUAUGUAUGUGGUGCUAGGUACCAGACCAGAUGUUUUCUUUGCUAUAGGAUGGUGAGUAAAUAUUAGUCUAAUCUAGGCAUGGAGCAUUGGACAAUAAUCAAGCAUAUACUCAAGUAUCUUUGAACAACGAGGGAUUAUAUGUUAGUAUAUCAUUACGAUAAGUUGUUACUUCUUGGGUAUAUGGAUUCAUACUUUCAGUCAGAUAAAGACUCUCACAAGUUUACCUUUGAUUUUGUGUUCACUCUAGGUGGUGGGACUAUUAUUUAAAGAAGGUUGAAGCAAUCUUGUAUUGCUAACGCUACUAUGGACGAUGAGUAUAUUGCUACUUCUAAAGCAGCAAAGGAAGUUAUUUGGCUUCGAAGGUUCCUGUUAGGACUUGGGCUAGUGCUCUUGGCUAUAUCACCCCUAGUACUAUUUUGUGAUAAUAGUGGGAUGGUGGCAUAGUCUAAAGAACUAAAAAAAACCACCUGAAGAGUAUUACUUGAUACGUAAGAUAGUAAUGAAGGGAGAUGUGGUUGUGGAGAAAAUCACUUCUACUGAGAACCUGAUAGAUCCCUUCACAAAGACUUUAUUUACUAGAGUCUUUAAUGGUCAUAGGGUAGCUUUUGUGUCAAAUGUGUUCCCAACAUGCUCUAAGGCUAGUAGGAUUUUGUUGGGAUUAAGCCCUAGAAAGCAUGACAAGAUGUAAUAGAUAUAGAUUCAUUUAUAAUUUUAUUUAUUUAUGUUUCUUUAUUUUGUGUUAUUAUCCUAUUUGUAUUAAUUGGUUAUUUAAGCAUACACACCCCACAUUAAUUGCAUUGUACAUGACUUGGGUGCAUUAGGGGUUACAUAGACGAUCUAAGUCAUUGGUUUCUUAUAGAGUGAUGAGUUGUCCAUAGUCGGUUCAUAGAUUUAGGCAAUCCAUCUGAGACUAUAGUGCACUACCUCCUAAUUGGAGGAAUAACUUGUCUUAGUUGUCAAGAUGGUUUUCCCAUGGUGAGUGCACUAGUGCAUGUGAUGAACACUGCAUUAAGCCUACGGUGAAUCAUGACAUAAGGCUAUCAAUUGUCAUGAUUCACCAAGCUACUAUACUAGAUGAACUCUUAAGCUUGAGAGGAUAUUAAGCCUAUGCCAAAGUCAAUAGGAGGCUUUAACCUACAAGUGAGUUCCUAAGGUGACCAUAUAUCUCUAUGGAUUAUGUCACUAUUGAUUAAGACUGGUGACAAUAGGUAUUCUUAAUAGAGGCACCAUAAUAUCUCAUGGAUUGAGAUAGUGUGUCCCCUUCGAUGAUCCAAAGGACAUGUGAUCUAGAAGAUUUGACAUUUUCUUUAGUGGAAAUUUCACAUAUCUCCUUGGAGUUAGAGUAUGUCAAUUGAUCACAUAAUAAGUAGGAUUUGUAAUCUAAGGACUGAAGACGUAAUCUUGAUAGGUGAUAACACUAUCUUAUUAGAUUGCAGACACCAAUUCAUGGGAAGUCUACAUGUAGUGGAUAUUAGGUCACAAAUUUGAGCUUUAUAUCAUUGUUAUUUACAUAAGUAUUGGAAUGUAGUUGAUUCUCUUAAAUGAAAUGUUGAAUCAACUUCAAAAUUAGAUUUUGAGGGAUCCAUUACUCCUAUGGGUCCUAGUGAUCCCCACUCUAAGCUCAUAUAACAUGAUGACAUGAUUUUUAAGGGUUAGAUUGGCUCUAGGUUCACUCUUGUGCAUAAGGGUAUUUUGGUAAUUACGUAAGGUUGCAUAGGAGAUAGUGAACAAGGUCUCUAGAUUGGACUAAUUGAUUAAUAAGAUGGGCCUAUGUGGUUAAUUAAUUAAGACAUGUUUUAGGCUAGAUUAAGUGACUCGAGCCUUAGUAGGCUCAAGUCACUUAAGCCUAGUAGGGAGACCUUAUAAAUACCCCUUUAGGGGUCAAUGUUUCCAUCACUUUUCAAAGACAGUCGUCUUCCACUUCAGAGAGAGAGGGAGAGAGCUAGGAUUCUUCCCUUCCAAAGUCCACACUUUAGAGUACCAAGAUCGUGGUUCAAGUCAUAGGGCAAAAGAUCUUCGGUGCACGAGAUCUCCAGACUCUUCAAGCUUCAUCUUUAACUAGUGAAAUUGAUUUGGGAUGUCUAAAUCAAAUUUAAAGUUUUCUAAUGACUUUUCUUUGGAUCCUAGAAUGUUAAAAAAAAAAAAAUUCAUUUCCGUUGCAUAGGAUCUAGAGGCAUAGGGUAGUUUGCAUGCACCUAUAUGAUCCAAAGCUUGGGAACAAAGAAACCUACCCAAAAUAAAAGGUACUCGAUAUGAUGAUUUGAAAUUUUUGCAAGGAAUUACAAUUACACUGAAUGUAGCAACAACCUCAUAUGAAAUUCUCGGUGAAGUUUCUAAUUCUUCAAAGCUAGUGAAAAGGCAUUACAAAGUCUUGCAAAGCCAUGUUUGUUGAAAGGUAUUUCUACAUCCAAGUUGGAAUUUUGUGAGCACUAUAUAUUAAGCAAAAACAACAGGGUAAAGUUUGGUAUUGCAGUCCAUCGCACCAAGGAAACAUUAGAUUAUGUGUAUACAAAUGUCUAGGGACAUACAAAAACAACUUCUUUAUGAGGUAAGCAUUGGUUUGUGAAUUUUUUUUAUGAUUACUUAAGAUAUGUGUAGGUGUAUUUAAUGUGAUAUAAAAGUUAUGCUCUUAAUGUGUUUCUCAAAAGACAAUGGUAGAAAAUAAAGUUAUUAAAAAAAUAUAUAUUAAGAAGCAUAUAUUAAACAAUGAUGGGGAAUAUAAGUUAAAUCCUUUUACGCAAAUUAGAGAAAAAAAAUGAUUGUGUGACACUUACCAGUCAUGAAUAUUCUACAAGAAAACAGGGUAGUAGAGAAGACAAAUCACAAAUUGUUUGAGAAGUUGAGGUGCAUGUUGUCUAAGAGCAGAUUGAGGAAAAGAGUUUUAGGUUGAGGUUGUAACAUAUACAUGUCAUCUUAUUAAUAGAUUACCUUCUAUAAUACUUGAGAUCAAGACUCCCAUGGAGAUACGAUAUGGUACUCCAACUUCUGAUUAUGAUUCAUUACAUAUAUUCAGUUGUUCUUCUUACUACCAUAUUUAGAGAAUAAGUUAAAGCUUAGAUCCAAGAAAACAAUUUUCUUAGGUUUUAGUAGUGGUGUUAAAGGCUAUUGUUUAUGGUACUCUUUGCAAAGGAAAAUCAUUGUGAGCAUGGAUGUUGUGUUGAGUGACGAUGUUAUGUUAAAAAAGAGUUUCACAGAAGAUGGAGUUUGGAAGUCAAGUUGAAACUACUAUGAUGUCUUCUCUAGAUCAUUCAAGUAUGGAUUUAGAUGUCAUAGUAGAUGAACUAGAGUUUACUUCCCUAAGGUCCAAUGAAUAUUUUAAGUCAAUUGCAGUAAGUAGACCACAUAAAGAGAUAUUGUCACCUGCAUGACAUGUUGAAUUGGUUGCAUAUGCAUCACCCAUUGUUACUAAAGAUAUUCCAGACACUUAUAGGGAUGCAAUUCAUAGUCCUUAAAGUGAAGAUUGGAAAUUGGAAAUAUAGAAUAGAUGAACUCUCUCCACAAAAUUAAGACAUGGAAAUUAGUUCCAUUUCUUCCAUGAAGAAAGUUGUUGGAUGUAAAUGGCUAAGCAAAUAAAGAGAACUCAAUAAAAAAAAAGGUGAUAUAAGUUUCAAGGUUAUAUUAGUUGCAAAAGGGUAUGUAUAACAUAAAUAUAUUCAUGAUAAUAAAGUGUUUUAUCCUAUUGUUAAUCAUUCUUCUAUUAGAUUAUUGUUCGCUCUUAUUGCUCAAUAUGAUUUGGAGUUGUCUUAGUUAGAUGUUAAAACUGCUUUUCUCCAUGGUGAUUUAGAUGAAGAGACAUAUAUGUCUUAACUAGAAGGGUUUUAAAGAACUAAGAAAGAAUAAUUUGUUUGUAAAAUUGAACAAAUCAUUAUAUUCAUUUGAAGCAAUCCCCAUGGCAAUGGUACAAGACAUUUGAUCAAUUUAUAAUAGAAAUAAUUACAUUAGAAGUAAAUUUGAUCAUUAUGUUUAUUUUAGUAAAUUAUCUUAUGAAAAUUAUAUUUUUUUUGUUAAUAUAUGUCGAUGAUAUGUUGAUUGCUUGUAAGCCUCUGAUAGUCAUUCAUAGGUUAAAAAAUUAGUUGAGAACUAAAUUUGAAACUAAGGAUCUUAGAAUGCAUGAAAAAUUAUUGGAAUGAAGAUGACAAGGGAUAGAAGAAAGGGGAUUGAUGAAUUGUCACAACAACAAUGUUUGUAGACAUUACUUUAGCAUUGUGGUAGGACUUCCAAAAUAAAAAGUGUACUCCUUUGGCACCUCAUAUGAAACUCAAUGUAGAGAUGUCUCAUAACUUAGAUGAAGAAGUAAAGUGCAUAUGCAUAAUGUUCCAUAUGCUAGUGUCGUUUGAAGUUUGAUGCAUACCAUGGUUUGUAAUAGACUUGAUAUUCCACUUGUUGUCAUCAUGGUUAGCAGGUAUAUGCAUAAUCCAAUGGCUCUAGCAAACAGUAAAAUAAAUUUUAAGAUAUAUUCUAUGCACAACUGAUGUUGGAAUAGUAUUUCAACAAGAAUGUUCAACACAAGAUAUGGGUUAUGCAUAUUCAGACUAUACAACUAAGCUUUGUAAGUGUACGUCUAUUAUAGGUUCUGUAUUUACACUUGUAGGUAGACCUAUUUGCUAGAAAUCAACAUCUAUUGUGGCUUUGUCUGCUACAGAGCUAGAAUAUAUGAUAAUUAUAAAAGCUUUCAAGGAAGCUAUUUGGUUACAUGGUUUGGUUAAGGACUUGGGAAUCAAACAUGUCACAUCAUAACUUAUUGUGGUAGUUAAAAUGUCAUUCAUUUGGAAAAUAAUCAAAUUCAUCACUCCCAAACAAAGCAUAUUGAUGUUUGAUUUUAUUUUAUUAAAGAAAUUCUAGAAGAAGGUGAUAUCUUUCUUCAAAAGAUUGCUACUAUAGAUAAUCUAGCUCAUAUGCUGACAAAGAUAGUUUAUGGGAUCAAGUUCAAUCAUUGUGUAGACUUAAUCCAUAUUGAGAGGAUAUGAGUAUCCUCAAGUGCAUUUGGCUACAAGAUCCUUAAAAGAAUUUGUGUAGCGUUCAAUCUUGGCAAGGUGGAGAUUGUUAAAUUGGCUUCACUUAAGUUAAUCAACCAAUUGCAAGAGAAUUUUGAAGCCUUAAUAGUUGAACCAUAUAUUGUUUUUUUAGGUAAAGUCUAUAGUUACAAUGCAUGUAGUUGGAUUGAAAAGUUUCUUGGGGAACAUAGGAUAUAAUUGAUGUUCUCUACAUUGGUUUUUCUUUUUUCUUUUUUCAAUUUUGAAAUUCCAGAGAAAACUAUCUUACAAAGGAGAAAAUACCACACUUAGGACAAAGAGUACUUUGUAAUUAUUCUAUACUCUUUUGAGAUCUUUAGUGAAUGAUCUUACUAUAGGCAAAAACCUUGAAGCUUUACAACGUUAUGAUGUAGUAUUUCCAAUAAUAUAGGCACUUCAUUUUCAAAACCUUUCAAGUAUGUUGCCUCAUCUCUUUCUUGUCCAUGGAGUUUUUUUCGAGGCUACCACAUUGCCUAUACAUAAUUAAGCCUUUAAACACUACCAUAGCCUUCGAUACCUAUGUAAUUUUUUAUAUCGAAAUCUUUUGUUGCCUUGAUGAUGUCUUCAUAAGCAAUCUUACCAUCAUAGUUCCAUGCCAAAAAUAUAUAUCCUUAUGGAUGUUACUUUGGUUUGAUUUUUUCUUAUCUUCAAUGAAAGUGGGAGGGCCACAAAAGAAAGAAACAAAGUGGUAAAAAAAGAAAUAAUGAUGAUGAGUAUGAUUUUAUGUCCCUUCUUAGAAUGAGGCAAGUCUUCUAUGUCCACACAUAAACCUUUAUUGUGGUCAAAUACUGUAAAUAGAUGUUCAAACUACAUUAGAUUCUUCAAAUCCCCAAUUUCAAAAGAGCUAGCAUCGUUGAUUUGAUUGUAACAAAGAUAAAAAUGAGUCAAAUCAGUAGAUGCCCCAAAGAUGAAGGAAUAACACCAAUAAGGGAGUUAUGACUAAGAGACAAUUCCAAGAAUUCUAGGUUGGUAAAAUAUCCAAGUGAGGAAGGGAUGACUCUGGAAAAAGAGUUAGAACCCAAAUCCAAGUGAAUCAGAUUCAUUAAAUUCCCAAUCUAGUAAGGAAUAAAACCAUGGAUUUCAUUGCAACUUAGGCUUAAAUAUUUAAGCAAGUAAACAAUAAUAGCACAAAAUAAACAAGAAAAUAAUAACAUAAUUAUUUCCUCAUGGGCUUUAAGGAUCUUAUUGCAUAAUUAGUAAUAAUUUGGAUAAAAUCCAAAUAAAAAAUAUUACCAAAAAUACCUAUAACCAAAAAUAUGAUUAUAAAAUAAAAAGAAACCUUAAAAAUGAUGGGAGAAACUUGAAUCUCUUCAUUUUCCGAGCCUAGAUUAGGCUAGGAACAUGCUUAACUAUCCUAAGCUUUUCUAAAUCCCAUGCAUAGUGAAAAAAUUGCAUUUUUAAAACUUAAUAUGGAUUCAAUAAGUGCUAACGAAAACAUAAUUUGGAUUAAAAUGUUCUUAAAUCCAAUACACAUAGUGAAGAUAAAGAAGGAAGUCACAGAAGUCUCAUAUACCCGAAGUCUUCCAUUCGAUGACUUGAACCUUGAACUUAACACACUUCAGGUGGGAAUGUAAGAGAAGGUAAAGGUUAUGGCUCUCUCUCUCUCUCUCUCUAGAGGUGGAAGACAACUCUUUAAAAAAAACAAUGGAAACCCUAACCCUUAAGGGGUAUUUAUAGGGUUUCCCACUAGGCUUAAGUGACUUAAGCCCAUUAAAGGCUAGGGUCACUUAGUCUAGCAAAAAACAAGUCCUAAUUGAUUAAUUAACCUAAGAAGGCCAAUUAAUUAAUUAAUUAGUUCAAUUUAAAGAACUUGUUCACUUGCCUUGUGCAACCUUACGUAAUUACCAAAAUGUCCUAAUGCAUAAAAGUGAACCUAAAGUUAAUCCAACCUUUAUAACCCAUGCCAACAAGGUAUAUGAGCGUAGAAUAGGGACCAAUGGGGCACAUAAAAGUACUAACACCCUUAAAAUCCAAUUUUGAAGUUGAUUCAAUAUCCCACUACAGAGAAUCAACUAAACUCCAAUAUCCUAUGUGAAUAACAACAAGACACCAUGUGCUCGAGUCUAUGACCUAUUAUCCAUUACGUUCAGUCUCCCCAUAAACUUGUGUCCAUAGUCUAAUAAGGUGAAAGCUAUCAGUCUUUCAAGACUACCUCUACUAUCCUUGAGCAAUAGAUCCUUCUAUUUUGUAUUCAAUUAACAUAUCUUAGCUUUCCAAGAGCUAAUGUCAAGUUCCACUUAAAGAACUACUAUGACCAUAGUUUCCAUGAACAUACCUCCAUAGGAUCAGCCAAGGGGACACUCUAUCUCAAUCCUAUAAGAUAUCAUGGUGCCUCUAUUGAGAAUACCUAUUGCUACUAAUUUCCAUCAAUAGUGACCCAAUCCAUAGGGAAUAUAUAAUCAGCUUACGAUAUCACCUAUAGGUCAAAGUCAUUGCUAACUUGAACAUAAGCUCAAUAUUCUCUCAAGAUUGAGGGACAAUACAAUGAAGCAGCUUGGUGAAGUCAUGACUACAUGAUAGCCUUACAUCAUAACUCAUCGUAGGUCUUGUCCAAUGUGCAACCAUACACACUAAUGCACUCACCAUGGGAAACCUAUCCCAAUGGCCAAGACCAGUCAUCCCUCCAAUUAGGAGGUAGUGCACUAUAACCUCUAAUGGGUUGCCUAAGCCUAUGAACUAGUUGUGAACAAGUCAUCCAUUUGCAAGGAACCCAUGACUUAGAUCUUGAAUGCAACUCCUAAUGCACCUAAGUCACGUAUAAUGGAAAAAAUGCAUGCCAAAGUGCUUACAAGAUAUAAUGCAUAGAAAUAGGAUAACUAAAAGUAAACUAAAACUUUAUUAAAUAAAUAAUAGAAAUUCACAUGUUUAUUACAUCAUGUCAUGUUUUUAAAGGCUCUAUCCUAACAAAAAAAAUACCCUAAAAAUGUCAAAUAGCAAUCAUUUGCACUUUAGCGUCCCAAGGGUCGCUGGAAGGACUACUCUAUCACUCAUGCUGCCUAAGCACUAAUAUGAUCACUUAAGCAUUGAGGCCACUUGAGUGCUAAUCUAAGCGCUUAAGCACUACAUCCUACACAUGAGGUUGGUUCUAUAACUAUUUCAACCAUCGUUUCUAUGAAAGCCUCAUCAUUUUGGAUGACUUUUUGCACCAUAGAUGCUCGUGAAUGCUUGGAAUCUUUAAUCUUCAAGUUUUGGGUUACCAAAGACGGAUAAAAUUUCGAUUUUUACAUUAAGAAAAACCUUAUGCUUCGUUAGAUGGAGUGUACAGUCCAUCUAAGAACAAAAGACUUGAUAUUUACUUAUAAAAUUAAAAUUUUAUGCUCCUAACCAUGAAGUUUCCAACCUAGUCUAUACAAAGAACAAAUCCAAACACUUAAUCACAAUUAUAAACAUCAUAUUCAUAAAAAUAACAUCCAUACAUUCAUCCCUUUAGGUCAUGGGAUGAACAAACAUGCCUACAAAACCAAGUAAGCACACCUUAGAAUGGAUCUAAUAAGCUUUUUCGUAACCUAGGGCUUUGAUACCAAUUGUUGGGAAAACCUAGAUUGCUCCAUUAUCAUGUCUUGGAUCGUUAGGGUGCAUGAAAACCUAUUCUAGGCUCUCUAAAUCUAUCAUACAAUAGAAACAUUGCAAUUGAAACCAAAAAGAAUACCAUAGAUUUAGAGAUUAGUGCCAUACAUUUUAUUUAGAUAUUCCUAGAUCGAUUCCUAUCAUUGUAGAAAGCUCCAAAAUUGAAGAAAAUCUUAUAAACAUCAUGAUUUUCCACCCAAUGACUUCUCCUUGAGUGUAGGUGCUAAGAUGGUGGAGAUCUCAAGGGUUGGAGGCUAGGUUUCUCUCUCUAGACUAUAAGGAGAGAAUGGUAAGAUUGAACUUCACUAGAAACCCUAAUCCCCUAAAGGGGUAUUUAUGGGCUUCUUACUAGGCUCAAGUGACUUAAGCCCACUAUGGGCUUGGGUAACUUAAUUUAGCCUAAAGGGUGCUAAUUGAUUAAUUAACCCUAUAGAGCUCCAAUUAAUCCAUUAGUCUAAUCCAGAGAUAUUGCAUACUUAUCCUUAUGCAACCUUGCAUGAUUACCAAAGAGUCAUAAUAUUCAUAAGUGAACUAAAAACUCAUCCAACCCUCAUAAACUGUGUCAUCAAAGAAUAUGAGCUCAAGUGAGGACCAUUAGGACCCAUAGAAUAGUACUGGCUCUCUCAGAAUCCAAUUCUAAAGUUGACUCAAUAUCCCACUAUAGAGAGUCAAUUGCACUCCAAUACCCCAUGUAUAUUACAACGAGACACUAAGUGUUUGGGUAUGUGAGUCUCUUCAUGAACUGGUUAUUGAUAGUCUAACAAGAUGAAAGCUAUUAGCUUUUGAAGACUACCUUUACAAUCCUUAAGUUACAGAUCCUCAUCUUAUUAUGUGAACAAAUGACAUACUCUAGCUUACUAAGAGCAUGUGUCGAAUUCCACUAAAGGAAUUACUGCAAGCCCAUAAACUUCAUGAUCAUGUGUCCUUAAGAUCACCUAAGUAGACACACUAUCUCAAAGUCCAUGAGCUAUCAUGGUGUCUAUAUUGAGAAUACCUAUUACUACUAGUUCCAUCAAUAGUGACCCAAUCCAUAGGGAAUAUAUGAUCAGCUUACGAUCUCAACCAUAAGUCAAAGCCACUACUAGUUUCUACACAAAAUCAAUAUCCUCUCAAGGUGAGAGACUAUAUAGUAUAGCUACUUAGUGAUGUCAUGACUCCUUGAUAACCUUAUGUCAUGACUCAUCGUAGGUCUUGUCCAAUGUGUAAACUAUACACACUAGUGCACUUUUCAUGGGAAACUCAUCCCGACAACCAAGACUAGCCAUUUCUCUAAUUAGGAGGUGAUGAAAUACAACCCCAAAUGGAUUGCCUAAGUCCACAAACCGAUUGUGAACAAAUUAUCUACUUGCAAGGAACUCAUGACUUGUAUCUUAUGUGCAAUUGCUAAUGCACCUAAGUCAUGUACAAUGCAAGGCAAGAGAUGCUAAGCCAAAGUGGUCAUAGAGAAUAAUCCAUGGAAUAAGUAUAGAUAAGAGUGAACUUGGAAUAUCAUCAUGAAUUUCAAAUUUGUUAUAUCAUAUCAUGCUUUCAAGGAAUCUAUCCUAACACUGUGUACCUUGAGUAUAUAGUUUUCUUUAAAUUUUAUAAUAUAUUGUUGCUUUCUUAUUAAAAAAUCAUUAAAAAAAACCUCAUUUAACCCUUUGUAUAUUGUUUUUCUAUACUUGAAUGAUAGAAAUGGUGAUUUAGGUUUGGCUUUCUAGCUUAUAUGACUUUUAUGGUAAAUGCUUCAAAGCAUAUUCAUGAUACUAUCUUGCUAAUGUUGAGGAUGACGUAGCACAACUUCAAGAAGGUAUUUGCAAAGUAGAAUGUACAAUUUCUAGAUUAAAUUUUUUAGAAAUGUUUAUAAAGUUUAGAUUUGAAGAUUACUGUGGAUUAUUUUUAAUAAAAUAGAAUUUAUAGAUAUCCUAUUAUGUAAUCGCUUUAUACAAAAACAAAAAAAAAAAAAACAAAAAAACAAAAAAAAAAACAGAAACAAAAAAAACACAAAAAAAAAAAACAAAAACAAAAAAAAAGGGUUUAAUUUUGAUGUCUUCUACAAGAUGCUUUCACUUUUAUAUUAUUUAAAUAACAUUUUCCAAUAUGUUGUCAAAUAUAUGUUUUCUUAUAUUAAUUUCUUCCAAUAUUUUACUUAGGAAUAAAAAUGGAAUAUUGCUAUUAUUUUUAAUGUUGCAAUUAUUUUUCCUACACACACACAUAGAUAGAGCCUAUCUAAAAAGGGAUUGAUUAGGGUUUAAGCUUUUUCUUUGCACAAAUUUGAUCAUGAAUGAUACUUACAAUGAAUCAACUUAAUUAAUAUAAACAUCUCAUACUAAUUUAAUCAUAUAUAAUUUACUAUAAAAUAUUUCUAAUUCUUUCUUAAUUCAAACUAAAAAUUUAAUUCUUUUAAUCAAAACUUUUUGUUUUAAAAAUGAGUAAUACAAAAGGUUGACGAAAAAAUUAUAAAAAAAAUGUAGAAGAAUAAUAAAUUUAUGAUACAUGAAAUGUGUAUAUAUCUCAACUUAGAAUUAUUAUAUCCUAUAUUAAAAGGAUGUAUAAAGGGAUUGGAUCAAUAAAUUAUCUUAUUGAAUGUUUGAUUAAAUAUGAUAUAUGAUAAUUAAAGGAUGAGAUCAUUUAUCCUAUCCCAUAGCUAACCAAACAUGGGAUAUGAUAUGUUAUCUCAUCUCUUAUCUCAUCUAAUAUUAUGUAUAUUAAAUCAACUAAAUACAACCUUACUUUAGAAGGUAAUUCAAUUGAGAUGUGGGGAUGUGGACUACUAUUACUUUUAAAAGAAAUAUAGAAGUGAUAUAGACUAUUGAUAAGUUGAGUGCAUUAUGGGGGGGAUACGUUGAGUGGAUUCAAUUUGACAUCCACCUAUCUAAAUAUAUUAAUAGAUCAUCUUGGAUUAUGAAAAUUAUGAAGUUCAAAAACAAUAUGGAGCACACACUGGUAAUAUAAAAACAAAUCAAAAUUGGUAUCAUCGUUGCAUGCUAGUCACCUAAUUAUAUUUGUUGAAUAUUUAGUUGCCAAAGUGAAAUCUCAUGAAAAGAUUCAAGAAAUGGUGAUUGAGGAAGAAGCUUCGAUGAGAUGUGUUGCAUUGUUGGACGAGAUCUCGGAUUAGCAUGUAUGCAUUUCAGUGCCAACCAAACCACAAGAACUACAUCUUUAACAACUUGUUGGUCUUGAGGAGAUGAGAGAUGUGAAUCUAAUAUAUUAGUGAGCAUUAUAUUUUGAGCUGAUGAGGAAGACAAUAAAGUGACAAGUUCUCCUAGAUGUUUUCCCAUCAUUGUCUCAAGUGUAAUCACUCCAAAGUUAUAAACAUCACAUUUUUCUGUCACAAUCAUAGUAUAGGCAAGCUAUGCUAAGAAUCAAAAUAAGAAAUAAAUAUUGCACAAAUGAGAAAGUUACAUUCAUUUGAUUUUCUCAUAUUAGCCAUAACUAUAAAAUGUUAAUAAUGUUUCAUAGCAUUCCAUUGACAUUUGGCUACAUUUUAUUUCUAGGAUUGUGAUGAAAUUAAGUUAAUUUUUACAACUUAUAUGAAAUCUUUGAAAAACCAUUCUAAGGAGUUUUUAAAAAUGUUUAGGUAUUAUUAGGAAAAUGAAGACAACCAUUUGGAGAAUGCUUGAGAGACCAUUGAUAAGUAUUUUGUAUAUAAAGUUAUCUAGCUCUCUAAUAUCCUAAACCAUUUUUUUUUAUAACUUUUUAAAAUAACUAUUAAGAGUUUUCUUUUUCUUUUUCUUUUAUUUUUUUGGGAAUUUUAGAAUAAAUAAAUAAAAAAAGAGAGAAAAAUAUGUUAAAGAUAUUUCAACUUCUAUGAGGGCCCUUUGGGCAUAUAGCAAAUAAUAUUUACACAGUUGGAAGCACAUCAUUAUAAAUGAUAUAAAGUUUGUUUGGCUCUAUAAUCCCAUUGGACACAAAAAGGAUGUUAUGUUUGCAUAAGGGAUGAGUGUGAUAUCUCACAAUAGAUAUUAAAACAAACAGUUCUAAAACUACAUAUGAAUGAGCUCUUCUUAACCUUGUAAAUGCAUUUUGAAAUCGUGUGGACCCUUAAGCCUAGACCAAACAAUAUCUACGCGGUUUGGAGAUAAUAUCUAGUUUGCAUGAAAAAAUAAAGAAAAAUAAUAUAUUAAAUAUUUUAAAGAAUAUAUUUACUUUUGAGCUCUUCAUAAUUUUGAAAUAAGUAAUAAUAGUAGAAGAAGUUUUGUUUGGCUUGUAAAAAUAUUUCCUUUCACUUCAUCCAAUAUAAUAUAUCACUUCUAUGAAGUAUAUAAUGAGAGGUAUAAAAGUACUAAAUACAUCCAAUCUCAAAGAUACCAUACUAAAACGAAAAAUAGCUAGAAGUUCAAAAGAUAUAUCGGAUAAGUAAAAGUUGAAAGAAAUAUCAGUGUGUACUUACCUGGUGCUAUGUAACCAUAAGUGUCUGCAAAAAGUGUUUAAUUGGAUGAAUCAAGAUGUAGCAGUCUAGCGGUGCCAAAAUCCAAUAGAAAAGCUUCUAGUUUAAAAUCCAAAAGAAUAUUGUUGCUUGAUAUGUCCCUAUGAAUAAUGGAAGGAGUACAGUCAUGAUGCAUGUAGCAUAAGGCAUGGACUAUGCUUUUAACCACAUUCACCCUUUUAAUCCAAUCCAAUUCCAAAGCUUCAACUUCAUUGCUCAAUACACAAAAUAAGCUUCCUCUUUCCAUGUACUUUUAAAUCAAAAACAUGAAUUUUUUUUGCAGACAAUAGUCGUGAAGUUUUAUAAUAUUCUGAUGUUGUAUUUUUGACAAUAUCUGCACCUCGUUUUGAAAAGUUUUCAAGUAUGUUGCCUCAUCUAUUUCCUAUCCAUGAAACUUUUUCAGGGCUACCACAUUGCCUGUAGGCAAUUGAGCCCUAUAAACAUUGCCAUAGCCUUUGGUGCCUAUGCAAUAUUUGACAUCAAAAUCCUUUGUUGCUUCAAUGAUGUCUUCAUAAGCAAUAUUACCAUCAUAGUUCCAUAUUGAAAAUAUAUCUCCAUUUUUUGUCGAUGUUGUCUUGGUUUGAUUUUGUCUCGUAUUCUGUAAAAGCAAGAGAAACCCAAACGUCGCAAAAAGAAAUACGAUGGUAGAUAUAGCAAUAACAAUGAUGCAUAUAAUUUUAUGUCCUCUUCUACAAUGUGUUCAACCUUUGAUUUCACCACAUAAACCUUUUUUGUGGCUAAACACCUUAGGGUGAUGUUCCAACUAUAAUUCAAUGGGUAUAUGGCCCUCCAAAUCAUUAUACGACAAAUCAAUUGAUGACCACCUAUAUAUUGGAAGAGUAGGAAUGCGACCUAAGAGGUUAUUGUGAGAGAGAUUCAAGUUUUCCAAGCUCUUCAAGUUUUGGAGCUGGGAAGUUAUCUUUCCAUUGAUCAAAUUAUCACUAAGGUCUAAGAUAGCCAAAUUCUUCAAGUUCCCUAUCUCGAAAGGAAUGCAACCCUUGAUUUGAUUUCCACCAAUAUUGAACUCAGUUAAAUUAAUGAGAUAGCCCAAAAAUGAAGGAAUAACUCCCAUGAGGUUGUUAUGAUCCAAUCUGAGAUGGAUUAUAUUCUUCCAAUUCCAAAUUAUAGGAGGGAUGGAACCAUUGAUUUGAUUAUAACAAAGAUAAAAAUGUGUCAAAUUGGUAAGAAGACCAAAUGACAAGGGGAUGGACCCUGGAUUUGUUUGUUGAUGAGAUGGAAAUAAGUCAAAUUGGUAAGAUAACCCAAAGAUGAAGGAAUAACACCAACAAGGGCAUUAUGACUCAGGGACAGUUGAACCAAAAUUUUAAAAUUCCCAAUUUCAAAAGAGAUGGAACCGUUGAUUCGAUUUAAAUUAAGGUACAAGUAUUCCAAGUUGGUUAAACUUCCAAGAGAUGAAGAAAUGACAAAGGAAAGAGAGUUAGAACCCAAAUCAAAAUAAAUCAGAUUCUUUAAAUUCCCAAUUUCAUAAGGGAUGGAACCGUUGAUUCGAUUGAAAUUAAGGUAUAAGUAUUCCAGGUUGGUUAAACUUCCAAGAGAGGAAGGAAUGACACUAGAAAGAGAGUUAGAACCCAAAUUCAAAUGAAUCAAAUUCUUUAAAUAUCCAAGAGAGGAAGGGAUGGCACCAAAGAGAAAGUUAGAACCCAAAUCCAAAUGAAUCAGAUUGUUCAAAUGUCCAAGAGAGGAAGGGAUGGCACCAAAGAGAGAGUUAGAACCCAAAUCCAAAUGAAUCAGAUUCUUCAAAUAUCCAAGAGAGGAAGGGAUGACACUAGAGAGUGUAGGGAAUUAAACCGAAUUCCCAACCCGUGAGAAACAAAAAUUUAGAGAAAACACAUGCCAAAGAAAAACAAUCACACGCACAAGACAGUAUUUAUGUGGUUCGGCAAUUUGCCUACGUCCACGGAGUUGCAAGGAUAUCACUAUUAUAAGGGAAAAAUACAGAGUACAACCACAACGAUUACAAUAUUUUCUCUCUAUAUAUAACACGGCAACCACACCACACUAAAAAACCCUAAUUACAAAAGGUGGUUCCACAAUGGGCUAAAUGGGCCCAAUAGGCCUCAGUAAAUCUCCCAUUAAAAAGCCAUGCAAUAUUAUUCAGGUUGGGUAGUCAAAUCGGAUCAAAUAAAACUAGGCUCCACAAAGCCCAAAAAAUCUCCCACUUGGAGACUAGUCCAAUCACUAACAUCAAACCGCUAUCCUCCAAGAAACAAUCCCUCAUCCCUGCAACUCAUCCUCCUAUCCUCAAGCUAGAAGACCAAUUGAAGCUACGCACAACUUCAACUUCUCAAUAGUGACACCCUUAGUCAACAUGUCUGUCGGGUUCUUAAAUCCAUAAAUCUUCUCAGGUAUUACCAGUUUAUCUUCAACAAGGUAACGGAUAAAGUGGUAUUUUGUUUGUAUAUGCUUCGACUUUGAAUGAAAAGCUGAAUUUUUGGCAAGAAAAAUUGCACUCUGACUGUCACUGUGAAGAAUGUCUAUCUCCUAUUUUUUACCCAAUUCAUCUAAGAAACCAUGCAGCCAAAUCAUCUCCUUUCCAGCUUCAGUUGCUGCAACAUACUCAGCUUCUGUAGUAGACAGAGUAACAAUCUUCUGUAGAUUUGAAGCCCAUGAUAUAGCUGUACCACCUAGAGUAAAAACAAACCCAGUAGUACUCUUUCUACUAUCAAUAUCACCAGCAAAAUCAGCAUCUACAUAACCUUGUAGUUUCAAACUUGCACAUGUGAAGCAAAGACAUGUAUCUAAUGAACCCUUCAGAUAUCUUAGAAUCCACUUGACUGCCUCCCAAUGCUGCUUUCCAGGCCUACUCAUGAAUCUACUCACAACUCUCACUACAUGUGCAAUGUCUGGCUUUGUACACACCAUAGCAUACAUCAAGCUGCCAAUAGCUGAGGCAUAGGGCACCUUGCUCAUAUGGUCCCUUUCUUCUUUUGUCUUCGGUGACUGUUCUUUGCUUAGUUUGAAAUGACUGCCCAAGGGUGUGCUCACUGGUUUAGCUUCAUUCAUGUUGAACCUGCUGAGAACUUUCUUCACAUACUCUGACUGUGAAAGCUUCAAUGUACCAUUAGCUUUGUCCCUAAUAAUUCUCAUACCAAGGAUUUGUUUUGCAGCUCCCAAAUCCUUCAUUGCAAACUGUUUGGACAAUUGUUUCUUCAGAUUAUUAAUCUUUCAAUGUCAGACCCUGCAAUAAGCAUAUCAUCCACAUACAAUAGUAAUAUGAUGUAAGAAUUGUCAAAAGACUUAACAUAACAACAGUGAUCAGCUUCACAUCUCUUGAACCCAAUUCUAUGCAUAAAACUGUCAAACUUCUUGUACCACUAUCUAGAAGCUUGUUUAAGGCCAUACAAGCUUUUUCUCAGUUUGUAGACUAGAUUCUCUUGUCCUUGAGCAAUGAACCCUUCUGGUUGAAUCAUGUAAAGGUCUUCCUCCAAGUCACCAUGAAGAAAUGUUGUCUUCACAUCUAACUGCUCAAGAUGUAAGUUUUCUGCAGCUACCAUUCCCAGUACAAGUCUGAUUGUUGACAUCUUCACAACUGGAGAAAAUAUCUCUGUAUAGUCAAUGCGCUCCUUCUGCUGGAACCCUUUAACAACUAAUCUGGCCUUGUAACGUUUGCUACCAUCAUGCUCAUUCUUUAUUCUGUAUACCCACUUGUUGUGCAAAGCCUUCUUUCCUACUGGCAAUUCAGUCAGUUCCCAUGUUUAAUUCCCCAACAAGGAAUCCAUCUCAUCCUUCAUGGCUAACUCCCACUUGCUUGAAUUCUCAUCUUNNNNNNNNNNNNNNNNNNNNNNNNNNNNNNNNNNNNNNNNNNNNNNNNNNNNNNNNNNNNNNNNNNNNNNNNNNNNNNNNNNNNNNNNNNNNNNNNNNNNUCUGGCUCACCACCAUCAAUCAACAAGAGAUAAUUUAAAACAGGUGAAUAACGCUACGGAGGUCUAAUGUUCCUGGAAGAUCUGCGAACUUCAGCUACAGGUGUACUCAGAUCUACCUGUGAAUUUACAUUCUCCUUAUCUUCUUCACCCCCUUUUUGGACAGUACUUUCAGUCAAUUCAUCUAAGUUGACAAACUCAGAUUUCUUUUGAUCUAUCUCUAUAAUAUCUGACACUAUAGUUGACAUGUCCUUGUACAUAACUUGUUCAUUAAAUAUCACAUUUCUACUUCUGAUGAUUUUCCUGUUUUAUUCAUCCCAAAACCUAUAGCCAAAUUUCUCAUCACCAUAGCCAAUGAAAAAACAUAUUUUUGACUUUGCAUCAAGUUUACUACGAGCAUCAGAAUCAAUAUGAACAUAAGAAACACAACCAAAAACUUUUAAAUGUGAAAACUUCACCUCUUUGCCGCUCCAAACCUCCUCAGGAAGUCUGAACUCCAUGGGAACUGAUGGUCCUCGAUUUAUCAGGUAAGCUGCAGUGCUAAUAGCAUCAGCUCAAAAAGUUUUUGGUAGUCCAGCAUGCAACCUCAUACUUCUAGCACGCUCAUUGAGAGUUCUGUUCAUGUGCUCAGCCACACCAUUCUGUUGUGGUGUCCUAGGAAUAGUCUUCUCCAUCCUAAUUCCCUGUGCAGCACAAUACUCAUUGAACCCUCCAUCUAUGUACUCUCCUCCAUUAUUUGACCUCAAACAUUUUACUUUCAAACCUGUUUCUGUCUCAACCAUGGCCUUCCACUUCUUAAAAGUUUCAAAUUCAUCAAAUUUAUUUUUCAGAAAAUAAACUCAUACUUUUCUGCUUGAGUCAUCAAUAAAAGUGAUGUAGUACCUCGAACCUCCAAGGGAUACAACCGGAGAAGGCCCCCAUAAAUCAGUGUGUACUAGUUCCAAUUUUUCAGCCUUCAGUGUCCUGCCAGUUUUCAAGAAGCUCACAUUUUUUUACUUUCCUAAGAUGCAACUUUCACACAUGUCAAAAUCAAUGGACUUCAAUUCUGGUAGUUUUCCUUUUGACAACAGCAUCUUCAUCCCUUUCUCACUCAUGUGACCAAGUCUACGGUGCCAUAGGAUUGUAUCAGUACUUGCAUCAGCAACUGCAAUUGUGUCUCUUGGACAUGAGGUCAUAUACAAAGUACCAGUCUUCUUUCCACGAGCCAAUACCCUAGCUCCCUUUGUAACCUUCCAAGUACCACCAACAAAUAGUAUUGCAUGUCCUUCAUCAUCAAGUUGUCCAACAGAAAUCAGAUUCCUCCUCAGGUCAGGAAUAUGUCGAACCUUCUCCAGUAACCAAACAGACCCAUUGGGCAACGAUAUCUGAACGUCUCCCAGACCCACAACAUCCAAGGCUGAACCAUCAGCCAAAUACACCUUACCAAAAUCACCUGCAACAUAAUUCUGUAUGAUUUCUCGGUGUGGAGUGGUAUGAAACAAAGCUCCUGAAUCCAAAACCCAAUCAUCAAGUGGACUGUCUACUGCAAGAAGUAAUGCAUCCUAUACCUCUUCUGUUACAGCAUUAGUAGAAUCAUCCUCAUUCUUCUUCUUUGGACUUUUGCAUUGCCUUUUAAAGUGACCUGUUUUCCCACAGUUCCAGCAUUGUACUUGUUGGCCUGAUCUAGAUUUACUUCUGUUCCGAUUAGAAUUUCUAGAUUUUGAUCUACCCUGGUUUGAAUUUGUGUCAUUACCUCUGCCUCUUGUCUCAAGGUUUAGGGCAGAACCAGAUCUUGAGGUUUCGCCUACAUCUUUUUGGCGAAUCUCCUCAGCCAGAAUUAAAUCUCGUAUAUCAUUGUACUUGAGCUUUUUCUUUCCCGUAGAAUUGCUUACUGUCAUCCUCAUUGCCUCCCAACUAUUUGGCAAAGAAGCCAAGACGAUCAAAACACGAAUCUCAUCAUCAAAAUCAAUUUCUACAGAUGACAAUUGAUUUGUGAUUGUAUUAAAUUCAUUCAGAUGUUGUGCUACUGAUGCAUUCUCCGCCAUCUUCAAAUUGAACAAUUUCUUCAUUAGAUGCACCUUAUUGUUUGCGGACGACUUUUCAUACAUACCAGACAAAGCCUUCAUCAAAUCUGUUGUGGUCUUCUCCUUUACAACAUUGUGUGCAACAGACCUAGACAGAGUUAACCUAAUAACUCCUAUAACCUGUCUGUCAAGAAGCGCCCAUUCCUCAGCCUUCAUACUCUCAGGUUUCGUCCCCAAAAGAGGCAGAUGCAAUUUCCUCCCAUAGAGAUAAUCUUCAAUCUGCAUCCCCAAUACGCAAAGUUUGUGCCAUCAAACUUUUCUAUUCUAGACGCCUUUCCUGCUUCCUCUGCCAUUGCUCCCACUUAAACCUAACCCUAGGUUCUGAUACCAAUUGUAGGGAAUUAAACCGAAUUCCCAACCCGUGAGAAACAAAAAAUUAGAGAAAACACACGCCAAAGAAAAACAAUCACACGCACAAGACAGUAUUUACAUGGUUCGGCAAUUUGCCUACGUCUACGGAGUUGCAAGGAUAUCACUAUUAUCAGGGAAAAAUACAAAGUACAACCAUAGCGGCUACAAUGUUUUCUCUUUAUAUAUAACACGGCAACCACACCACACUAAAAAAUCCUAAUUACAAAAGGUGGUUCCACAAUGGGCUAACUGGGCCCAACAGGCCUCAAUAAAUCUCCCGUUAAAAAGCCAUGCAAUAUUAUUCGGGUCGGGUCAUUAAAUCGGAUCAAACAAAACUAGGCUCCACAAAGCCCAACAGAGAGCAAAUAGUUAUAACUCAAAUCCAAUUCCUCUAAAAUAGUGAGGUUACCCAGUGAAAUAGGUAGCUCACCAUCAAGUCUACAACCAAAGAUAUGAAGGUGAGUGAGUUUUGUAAGCUUACUUAUCUCAUAUGGGAUGCUACCAUAGAUGAAAGAAUGGCUAAGAUUGAGAUAGAGGAGGCUGGGAAAUGAUGAAAACUUCAACUGGCUAAGCUUACACCGUGGGCAAUAGUGAUGUGAAUAGGUAAUCUGAAUAACAUGUCCCUCCCUGUUGUAGGUGAUGUCAUCCCAUGUGCAAUGAUGAGAAGUAGUGUUUUCCAUGUACCACCACCGAGUAGAGUUGCGGAGAGCCUCGGCCUCGGCCUCCACUUGUGCGUCAGUUGUAGCAGUGAUUCGUCCCUAGCAGCGGCAGUGGCAAUGGCACCAUUUGAUUCGAGGUUCGAUCCCCGGCAACGGCGCCAUUUGAUUCAUGCCCAAUUGGUGUCUCAGCUGAUUCGUGUCCAGCUGGUGCUCCUUGAUUGAGGGAUUGAUCAACAAAAUUUAUAACCUAUUACACCAUAUACUAGGGUAGCAAAGACAAAGCUACUAUAGUAUAGUGGCUCUAGGAUCGUUCACUGGGAUGGGUUUUCAUUUCACAAAUGAUAUCAAUUCAAAGCUGAAUUGGUGCCUUUUCAUUUCAAGGUUAGCUUUAAAAGAAAACAUAAACUUGAGUUGGAAAAGGUUUGGUUUUAAACUAACCAAAAAUAGUAACUGAUUUUACUUAUAAAGAAAAGUUGUUUCUUGGAGUUCAGAUCACUAGGCUCAGAUUCCUCAUACAAAAAGGGAGUUCCGGUCACUUGUUUCUUUUCCUCGCAUUAGAGAAUUAACAUAUAGUUCCUUCUCCAACCGGUGUUGUACAGAUGCUUCCCAUUAAUGGGUUCAAACACUAAAUCCCUCUCACUGAUGCAACUUGCAAUGGUUCAUGCCUCUCACGAGCACUUACCAUUCAAGAUGAUCGUUAACCUUGGACUACCCGUCAAAAGCUCGCAAGAGAUAACUAAUGGAUGUCUUCUUGGAGUCCAAAAGCUUACCAAGUGUUGGCUAUUCUAGAAAAUCCUACCUUCAAACCACCUCUCAAAGGCUCGCAAGGGGUAAACUAGUGCAUUUCCAUGGUUGGAAAUCACUUGCCUUACCAAGUGUUGGCCCAGGUGAUUUAAAGGCGUUUUAAGUUAACUAAAAAGAUAAAAACCAUUAACGGGUCACACUUUCUCUUCAUUAAAAACUAAAACAACAAAACUUCCAAAUUAUGCAUGUGGAAACUUACCCGGCUUUCCUUACUCCAAUAGAAAAAAAGCUUAGCCUCUCAUCCUUUGAGGAAAAAUCCUCAAAGUUUGGUUGGCUAGAAAUAAAAAGAAAUGAAAAAUAAAAGAGAAGGAAAAACAGAGCAAGGCUCUGUAUAUUCUAUAUAUUGAUUGAUAUUACAUAUAUGAUGAUUUUACAGUGGAUGCAAGGGAGUUUAUAUAGGAAGAUAAUUUACCCUUCCUUGGAUAUUUUCUAGCUAAGGAAUUACAUGAGUGGUUGAAUACAAGGAGAAAAUGGAAAUUAUACAAAAAUAUCUGAAGAAAAGAUCUAAAAGAGUCGGUGCAAAAAUAUCGGGAAGCUCCAGGAACAUUUCGCAGGUGAAAAAUGGUGUCUGCGAGGAUAAACCAUCUUGCUUCAUUGGCUAUCUCUCUUGCUCUUCCUUACAUCUUUAUACACACCACUUCUAGUCCUUACAAACUCGUAUCUCUUUCAUAACUUUUUCACACUCAAGAGGGCUGCGAAAUAUUUUCGCAUCAACAAGCUGAACUCGCCCCGCUGCGAAGUUGGCUUUCAUCUUGUGGUGUUUGGCUUCCAUCGCGGCGUGAAACUUCAAGGGAAAUCCAAAGCACUGUGCAAAAAGGCUGCGAAAUUCUCGCAACAAAAGGCUGAUUCCGCAACACUUUAAAGUGAUUGACUUGCAGUGGCUGUAACUUCUUCGUUUCAACUCCGAAUCGUGCACCGUUUGAAGAAUUGGAUUCUUGACUUCCUGAGCUUUGAAAUGGUAUAUAGAAUGUACAAAAUGGACUUCGGGAAGUGCUCCAAAAGUGCACAAGAAGACUGCAGCUAGCUUUCCUCUGUUUUCUUCACUCUGUUUUUCCUCUCUCCUUGCUUCUCUCCUUGCAUACUUUGAACGACUUUGGCAAAGGGCUAUGGAGCUCCAAAGCUUUGUUCUUCAUGAAUUUAAGCUUCCAAAAGCUUUUCCAUGAACUAUAUACAGCUCUCCCUCAUUCUUGGAUUGCUUUGGUGAUCAAAAAGCUAUCAAAACACCAAAACUUAACACAAUUUGAUUAGAAUUGAUUGCAAGGGUCCUUAACAUGUUAAUUGGGUUAAAAGGCAAUAACUACUACUCAAAAGUGUUUAAAAGAGUUAAUUACAAGUUAUGAAAUAGCACUUUUUGAGUAGUAAUCAAGCAGCAGCAAGAGGUGAUGAGAUCAAGAGCAUGUUAUAUUAUAACAAUACCACUGAAACCACCAACACCCUACAAGAAUUAAUGGAACACCUCUCCAUUUUUUCUUAUUUUCGAUUAAUAUUGCUAUAUAUGCCCUAGUUGAUGGUUUUGAAAAUGUGAAUCUCAAUAAUGAACUACACCUAGAGGGGGGUGAAUAGGUGUUGUAGAACAAUUUAAAAAUUCUCCCAACAAAGAUUACCUAACCUUAGACUAUCUUAAUGUCAAGAAUUUUUUCUUCCAAUAACUUUCCAACAAAGCAAAACAUCCACAAGCAAUAAUGUAUGCAUCAACACCCUCCCAACAAUUUAUAAAUGCAAAACACAUGCAAAUGCUUCAACACCCCUCAAAAAUAAAUCAAAAUAUAGAGUGAGAGAAAGAGACAAUGAACACCGGAUUUUUAAUGUGGAAAACCUCCGAAGAUAUCAAAAACCACAAUCCUGUCACCGAUUGAAAACUCCACUAUGAAGAAUAAAAACUAAGUACAAGGUUUUACCUAGCUCAAGCCAACCAAUCCUUCCCGGAAUACUUGACUAGUACCUUCAUUUUCAGUUUCUCCUUUUGGAGCACACUUGGAGUCCACACCAAGUUCAAUCUCGGCCUCUUCUUGAAUCCACACAAGAAGAAAAUGGGUUUUUGCACAAACCCAAAUAGAAUGAGAGAUUGAGAUGUGAAUGAAGUAAUGAAUCAACCCAUUUAUUGCUCAAGAAAAUCCAUUGAAAACUAGUUUGGAAAACAUUAAGAGAAGUGGAUUUUCUUUGCAAUCAAAAACCCCAAAUUAGGAAAGCAAAAAUGAGAAAAUGAAGAACACUUGGAGUGUGGCUGCUCUCCCCACGUUUUUAGUAGUCUCUCUACACAGAAAAUGAGAGAAGAUUGGUUUUUAAAGUGUAAAAAGAAACCCUUAAUCUAAUGGCUGAGAUUUGAUAAAAAAAAACAUUAGUUGGAUAGAUCCACCCCUACACCUGGAUCGAUCCAGAAACAGAGAAAUGAAAGCCUUGCACCAAAAACCAUUUUUCCCAACUUUCUAACACAUUUAAAGAUUAAAAACCGGGUUGAUUCACAUCCAAUCACCACAAACUCGACUACAUACCUCGGUCUCUUAGCAAAGUCUUAGUCUUCAAAGUCAAGUAGUCCGAAUAGGAAUAGGAAAGCCGAGUUAGGGAGCACUUAGGAAUUUUGUCCGGAAUUGCCAACUUAGCUAAACACUCACAGGUUUUAUAGAAGUGGUGUCGGUGUUGAUCCGACAACUCUCUUCUUUCACCCACACAGCAUCUCAAGCAAGUCAAACAAGUCUUCUCCUGACUCUCCACUAGACAUUAAUUUGUUGGGAAACGAGGACGUUUAUAUAUCACCCAUAGUGAUAUAUAAAUCUUGUAUUCACAAAUUUUUUAAAAUAAAUUUUAUGAUGGGAAAUUAGUGAUCAUGAUCAAACCAUAUUUAAUUUGCUCUACCAAGACAACCACAUGAUCAAAUCGUGCAUUUUGUUUUUAUUUUGAACCAAAAAAAAAAAAGAAAAAUUUAGUAUAUAGAAACAUGCUUAAUGUUAAUGUAGACUAAAAAUACAACCCCAUAAGUACUUAUCCAAACAACAUAUUAGCUGACUAUAAUUCUUGGGUACCUGUCAGAUGGUUGCACAUGUAAUCUCUAUAUAUUAAAAAUUAAUAAAAAUAUUGAUACACAAAACAUGUAUUAAUAUUUUGUUUUUGUACUUAAAUUUUAUUUUCUACUUGUUAUAGUUAUCAAGCAUUUAUUUAUUUUUUAUUUUUUAUUAUUUAAUAGUAAUGAAUAAUGAUAAAAUUAAAAUCACAAAGCAUGUUUUAUUAAUAGCAUUUUUAUAAUUUUAUUGUUAUUCUACUUCAUGAUUAGCUUGUCUAACACUUCAUUUGAUUUUUCUUUCAAGCAAAUCAACUCAACCAAGUCUUCUUAGGCCCACUUAUUAGACUUUCGAUUAUUUUCUAUUAUGCUGCUAAUUAACUUAGAAAUUUUCCUAUCAUAGUAAUUUGAUAAAAAAAAAUUAUCAAUUUCACUAAUUUUAAACAGGAAUCAAUAAAUAAAUAAAAACAUUUGAAAAAGUUUUUCUAUUUAUUAGGCAAUCAUAAUUUUUUUUCUUUUUUGCUAAUAAAAAAAUAAAAUUAGCUCCUAUAAGCACUCCAUUUUUUUUCUCUCUUAAACAAAACAAGUCCAGUCAAGCAACCACCCUCAAAUCAUUUCUAAAACGCCAUAUUGAAAAUUUCCUAUAUGAUGACAUGUAAGACCACACAAAAAGAACACAAAAUAAUAAUAAUAAUAAUAAAUAAAUAAAUAAAUGCAAAGUAGUCCUCCCAAUUUGCAAAGUUUACUAUAUAAGGAGUCAAUGAUUUCAAAUGUUAAAAGUUGAAAAUUUUUAAUUUCUUUUUUCUUUUCUUGCUCACUUUCUAGAAUUAAUGAUGCCUUCAUAACUCUUGUUUCAGCCACGCAACAAGUCAAGCAAGUUGUCUUCCACUCUUGAUUGGGAAUUUAGUGGGAAAUGGCCAUAAUUAUUUUUGAAAUUUUUAAAUAAAAACUCAAACUAUAAUGAUAUAACAAAAUAAUUAUUCACAAUUUUUUUUUUAAAUGAAGUGUGGGAAAUACUCAUACCUCACAUGUAUUUGGAAUAUAUAUAUAUAUAUAUAUUCCAAAUAAUAAAGAUAUUAAAAAUUUUAACAUUAUCUCAAUCAUUGCAAAAUAAAUGUUUUAUUUGUCUUAUUAAUUUCACUAAUUUUAAAAAAGAAAUCAAAAUAAUUUUUUAAAUGUUUUUCUAUUUGCUACAUAACUAUUAAAUACCUAUUUUUAUUUUAAUCAUAAUAAAACAUAAAAUUACAAAUAUUAAAUACUUUAAUAUUAAUAUAAACUAAAAAUAUGUUUUAGCCAAUAUUUUAUUUGGUUCUUUUCUAAGUAAUAGGAGGUCUUUUCAAUCCCACCACCAAUGAUUUUUAAUUUCAUUUUAUGUAAAAUUCCACAAUGGUCGUGUCAUGUCCGUCAUGAUGUUUGAAAAAGUUGUUCAAAAAGGAUAAGGGUACUCUAAUUUAUUUAUUUUUUAAAGAAUUAAGACUUAAUUUUACUGACUUUCCUUCGAGUUAUUUGAUGAAAUUUCAAACAAAUGAGAACGAAGUAUAUUAAUACUUUUAUAAUCUUGGGUUUAUUUCUCUACAAAUAUUCUCAAUUUCAUGUUUUAUUCAGCACUUAAUGAUUCUAUUGAGAACUUGCAUUUUGUUACUCUUUUUUUUCACCAUUUAAAGAUUUCAUUUCACAGACUUCCUUUUUUUCAUAUUUAAAAAAGAAUUUUGUUAAUUAUAACUCCAAGGAGAGAUUGGUGUUGUUCCUUGCUUCUAAAAUGUUAUCUUUAUUAAUUUAUAUUAUAACUUUUUUUAUCAAAUAUUAUCAACAUGGUAUCAUCUUUUUUACUUCAAUUCUUUUCUAGAGCGAGGAGUUCUUAUGUGCGAUAUAUUUUCCAAUAUUGCAAUAUCAAAGAUAAUAUUUAAGAUUUAAGGAAAAAAAAACUAUAUGUAGUUCCGAUUUGAGUUUUGUUCUUCAAGAUCAAAAUUUCAAAGAUAACAUUUAAGAUUUAAAAAGAAAAAGAAAAAAAAAUGAACAUCUAAUCAACUAUAUGCACUAAUAACUCUUCAUCCUCAAAUGUAAUAAUUAUUAUAACUAGUUUAUUAAUUGUUUACUGUAAAUAAGUUAUUAAAGUCUCAUUUGGAUAUAUUUUACAUUAUUUUUAAAAAAAUAUUAUUUAAUAUUAAUGACUAUUAUAUAAAACUUGGAAACUCUUAUAAAAAAAAAUAUACAAUUACCUUAUGUUUCCCAAAAAAAAAUUUUAAAUUUUGAGAUAGUAAUUUUAAAAAAUAAAUAAAUCAAUUUUUUUUUAACCAGUUUUAAAACUUUUAAAGAGCUCUUAGAAAUUACCAAUAUUUUUUAUUUUUAAAAAUAGAAAAUAGAAAAUAGAUCUAAACAACUAUUAGUUAAUUCAUUUGUACAAUUAGUAAAAUAUAUUUCACAAGUGCAAUAAAACCCAAUAAUCUUUGUAAAACUUUCUAUUAGAUAAGACAUCUAUAAAUGAAAAAACCAAAAAGUUGAUAGGAAUGUACCCACUCCUCAUACGGUUGAAGAGAGCAUAAAUGUAGAGUCAUAGUGUGUGAUAUUAAUCCAUUUACAUUAAUAUAUAGAGUCCAUCUAAAAAGAGACUAAUUGGGAUUCAAGUUUUUUCUUUGCACAAAUUCAAUCGUGAAUGAAAAUAUUCUAUUAAAAUAUUUAUAGUGAAUUAACCCAAUUGGUAUUAACAUAUUCUAUUAAUUUAAUCAUGUAUAGUUCGCUUUAAAUAAUCUUUUUUUAAAUAGUACAUGAACUUGUUUAUGGUAUAUAUAUUUAAUUCCACCUUUUUUUGUAAUUAAAUUUUUCUCUACUUGUCAUAUAAUCACCAAAUAUUUUUUAUUUUCUAUUUUUUAAUAAUAGUGAUAAAAUUAAAAUCACUAAUAUGUUUAGCAUUGAUAUAAAUUAAAAAAAUAUUCUAUGACAAUAAAAGUCAAAAGAUUGCAUUUUUACUAUUUGGUUGUCAUCCACCUUACAUGAUUAGUUUGUUUAAGACUUUAUUUGAUUUUUCUUCCAAGCAAAGUAUGUCAACCAAGUCUUCUUAUGUCCACUUCUUAGACUACCCACUAUUUUCUAGUCAUGCUUCUAAUUAACUUGGAAAUUUCCCCGAUUUGAAAGCUUGAAAGCCCAGAUUUGAUCAUAUAUGCAUGGAUGAAGAUAUAACAUUAAAUAUUUUAAAAUUUUAUUAAAAAAUAUACAUAUGAAUCACUCUAAUUAAUACUGCCACAUUCUUCCCAUUCAAUAAACAAUAAUAGCAUAAAAUAAAUAAAGGAAUAAUAACAUAAAUAUUUCCCCAUGGCCAUUAGGGAUCUUGUUGCAUAAUGGUAAUAAUUUGGAUAAAAUCCAAGUAACUAAUAUUACCAAAAAAUCUUGCAACCAAAAAUAGGGUUAUAAAAUUUUAAAAAAAUACCCCCAAAACGUCAAAUAGGCAUCAUUUGCGCUUGAAUGUUCGAAAAGCUGCUGGAAGGACUACUUGAUCAAUUAAGCCGCUCAAGCACUAAUAUGGUCGUUUGAGCGUUUAGGCUACGCAAGCACUAAUCUAAGUGCUCGAGCACCACAUCCUACACUUGUGGAUACAAGGUUGUUUCUACCACCGUUUCUCCGAAAGUGUCACCUUUUUAGAUGCCUUUUUGCACCAUGGAUGCUUGUGAAUGCUUGGAAUCUUCAAUCUUUGCUUUUGGGUCACCAAAGAUGGAUAAAAAUCUAAUUUUUACAUUAAGAAAAAUCUUAUGCUCCAUCAAGCGAAGUGUACAAUCUAUCUAAAAACAAAAAAAAACAAAAAUAUUUUUACAUGUAAAAUAAAAAUCCUAUGCUCCUAACCAUGAAGCUUACAACCUAAUUUGUACAAAUAACAAAUCCAAACAUUCAAUCACAAUUAUAAACAUCAUAUUCAUAAAAAUAACAUCCAUAUAUUCAUCCCUUUGGGUCAUAGGAUGAAUAAACAUAUUUGCAAAACCAAGUAUGCACACCCUAAAAUGAAUCUAACAAGCUUUUCCCUAACCUAAGGCUCUAAUACCAAUUAUUGGGAAAACCUGGAUUGCUCCAUUCUCAUGCCUUAGAUUGUUAGGACGCAUGAAAACCUAUUCUAGGCUCUCUAGAUCUAUCAUACAAUGGAAACAUGGCAAUUGAAACAAAAAAUAAUACCAUAGAUUUAGAGAUUAGUGUCAUAUAUACUUGUGAUUUGGAUGUUCUUGGUCAAUUCUUAUCAUUGUAGAAAUCUCUAAAACUAAAAAAAGAUCUCGUGAACACCAUGAUCUUCCACCUAAUGAUAACUUCUCCUUGAGUCUAGGUGCAAAGAUAGUGAGAUCUCAAGGGUUGGAGGUUAGGGUUCUCUUAUUGAUUGUAGUGAGAGAAUGGCAAGACAAAACUUCACUAGAAACCAUAACCCCUAAAGGAUUAUUUAUAGGCUCCUUACUAGGCUUAAAUGACUUAAAUGACUUAAGCUCACAAUGGGCUUAGGUUAGUACUAAAUCUAGCCCAAAAAGGGCACUAAUUGAUUAAUUAACCCUAUAGGCCUCCAAUUAAUCAAUUAGCCCAGUCUAGAGAUAUUGCUCACUUACCCCUAUGCAACCUUAUAUAAUUAUCAAAAUGCCCUUAUGCAUAUAAGUGAACUAAUAACUCAUUCAACCCUUAUAAACGAUGUCAUCAAAGGAUAUCAUGAGCUCGAGUAGGGACCAUUGAACCCAUAAGACAGUAUUGUCUCUCUUAGAAUCCAAUUUUGAAGUUGACUCAACGUCCCACUAGAGAGAGCCAACUACACUCCAAUGCCCUAUAUAUAUUACAAUGAGAUACCAAGUGUUCGGGUCUAUAACCUACUAUCCACUAUAUAUAAUCUCAUUUUGAACUGGUCGUCCAUAGUCUAACAAGCUAAAAGUUAUCAACCUUUCAAGACUACCUCCAUAAUCCUUGAGUUACAGAUCUUUUUAUUAUGUAAUCAAAUGACAUACUCUAGCUCACUAAGAGCAUAUGGUGAAUUCUACUAUAGGAAUUACUACAGGCAUAUAAAUUUCAUGAUCACACAUCCUUAAGAUCACCUAAAGGAACACACUAUCUUAAAGUCCAUGAGAUAUCGUGGUAGCUAUAUUGAGAAUAACUCUUGCUAUUAGCUUCCGUCAAUAGUGGCCCAAUCCAUAAGGAAUAUAUAUGAUCAACUUAAGAUCUCACCCAUAGGUCGAAGUCAUUGUUAACUUUUGCACAAGUUCAAUAUUCUCUCAAGGUUGAAAGGCAAUACAGUAUAAUAACUAGGUGAUGUCAUAACUACCUGAUAGUCUAUAUCAUGACUCACUAUAGGUCCUAUCCAAUGUUUACACAUUAGUGCACUCUUCAUGGAAACCUCAUCCUGACAACUAAAACUAUUUAUCCCUCUAAUUAGGAGGUGGUGCACUACAAUCUCAAAUGGAUUGAGUAAGUCCACAAACCGACUAUGGACAAAUCAUUUAUUUGUAAGGAACCCAUGACUUAGAUCUUUUGUGCAACUGUUGAUACACUCAAGUCAUGUACAAUGUAAGAAUGGUAAGCUAGAAUGCCCAUAGAGAAUAAUGCAUGGAAUAAGGAUAGAUAAAAAUGAACCUAGAAUAUCAUCAAAUAAAUAAUGAAUUUCAAAUCCGUUACAUCAUGUCAUGCUUUUAAAGACUCUAUCCUAACAAUGUGUUCAUUGGUAUAUAGUUCACUUUAAAUUUUAUAAGAUACUAUUGAAUGCUUAUCAGCAAAUUACAAAAAGGACCCAUUCAGCCUUUUUUGUAUUGUUUUUCUAUACUUGAAUGAUAAAAAUGGUGAUUUAGGUGUAACUUUCUUGCUUACAUGUACUUUUACAAUAAAUGCUUCAAAACAUAUUCAUGAUACUGUCAUGUUAAUCUCAAGGAUGAGGUAAAAGAACUUUAAGAAGGUAUUUGCGAAGAAGAAUGUACAAUUUCUAGAUUAAAUUUUUUUAGAAAUGUUUAUAAAGUUUGGAUUUAAAUAUUAUUGUGGAUUAUUAUUAAUAAAAUAGAAUUUAUUAGAUAUCCUAUCAUGUAAUCUCUUUAUUUUAAAAAAAAUGUUUAAUUUUGAUUCAUUCUAGAAUAUGCUUUCACUUCUAUAUUGUCUAAUUAACAUUUUCUAAUAUGUUGUCAUAUAUAUGUUUUCUAAUAUUAAUUUCUUCCAAUAUUUUACUUAGGAAUGAAAAUGGAAUAUUGCAACAACAACAUUCAAUUUGAACUAAAUUUAAUGUUUCAACUAUUUUUCCUACACACACACACAUAUAUAGGGACCAAAAAAGGACUAAUUGGGGUUAAGCUUUUUCUUUGCACAAAUUUGAUCAUGAAUGAUAGUUACAAUGAAUCAAUUUAAUUAGUAUAAACAUAUUCUACUAAUUUAGUCAUGUAUAGUUUACUGUAAAAUAUUUCUAAUUCUUUCUUGUUUCAAACUAAAAAUUUAUUUAUUUUUAAUCAAAAGCUUUUGUUUUAAAACUGAGUAAUACAAAAGGUUGAUAAAAAAAUUGAAAAAAAUGUAGAAGAAGAAUAAAUUUAUGAUACAUGAGAUAUUUAUAUAUCUCAGCUUAGAAUUAUUAUAUCCUAUGUAAAAAGGAUAUAUAAAGAGAUUGGAUUGAUAAAUUAUCUUAUUAAAUGUUUGAUUGAACAUGAUAUAUGAUAAUUAAAUGAUAAGAUCAUUUACCUUACCCCAAAGCUAACCAAACAUGGGAUAUGAUAUGUUAUCUCAUAUCUUAUCUCAUCCAAUAUUAUGUAUAUCAAAUCAAUUAAAUAUAGCCUUACUUUAGUAGGUAAUUCACUUGAGAUGUGGGGGAUGUGAACUACUAUUACUUUUAAAAGAAAUAUAGAAGUGAUAUGGACUAUUGAUAAGUACCAUGUGGGGGAUAAGCUGAGUGGAUUCAAUUUAACAUCCACCUAUCUAAAUAUAUUAAUAGAUCAUCUUGUCUUAUAAAAAUUAUGAAGUUGAAAAACAAUAUGGAACACAUAUUGGUAAUAUCAAAGCAAAUCAAAAUUGGUAUCAUCAUUGGAUGCCAGUUACCUAAUUAUAUUUCUUGAAUAUUCAGUUGCCAAAGUGAAAUCCCAUGAAAAGGUUCAAGAAAUGGUGAUUGAAUAAGAAGCUUCGAUGAGAUGUGUUGCAUUGUUGGACGAGAUCUCGGAUUAGAAUGUAUGCAUUUAAGUGCCAACCACACAACAAGAACUACAUCUCUAGCAACUUGUCGAUCUUGAGGAGAUGGUAGACGUGAAUCUAAUAUGUCGGUGAGCAUUAUGUUUUGAGCUGAUGAGGAAGACAAUAAGGUGAAAACUUCUCUCGGAUGCUUUCCCAUCAUUGUCUCAAGCGCUACCACUCCAAAGCUGUAAACAUCACAUUUUUCCGUCACAGCCAUAGUGUAGGCAAGCUCUGUUAAGAAUCAAAACAAGAAAUAAAUAUUGCACAAAUGAGAAAGUAACAUUCAUUUAAUUUUUUUUCAUACUAGCUAUACCUAUAAAAUGUUGAGAAUGUUUCAUAGCAUUGCAUUCACAUUUGGCUACAUUUUAUUUCUAGAUUGUGAUGAAAUUAAGUUAAUUUUUACAACUUAUAUGAAACCUUUGAAAAACUAUUCUAAAGAGUUUUUAAAAAUGUUUGGGACUUAUUGGGAGAAUGAAGACAUCUAUUUGGAGAAUGCUUGAGAGACCAUUGAUAAGUAUUUUGUAUAUAAAGUUCUCUUACUCUCUAAUAUCUCAAACCAUUUUUUUACAACAUUUUUUAAAUAACUAUUAUGAGUUUCCUUUUUUUUUUUUUUCUGUUUGUUUGGACUUUAGAAGAAAUAACCAAUAUAUAUAUAUAUAUAUAUAUAUAUCAAGGCCCUUUGAGCCCAUAACAGAUAAUAUCUACACGAUCAGGAGCAGGUUAUUACAAAUGGUAUUAGGGCUUAUCUGUAACCAUAGUAUGGAAGUUUGUUUGGCUCCGCAAUCUUAUGGGAUAAGUGUGAUAUUCCAUGAUAGAUAUGGAAAAAAAAAUAAAAAUUCUAACAUUAUUUAUAAAUCAACUUCCCUUAACCUUAUAGACAUAUUUUAAAUUCAUGUAGGCUCCUUGGACCCAAAGUGAAAAAUAUUUACACAGUUGAGAGUUAUUAUCUAGUUUGCAUGAAAAAUAUAAAGAAAAAUAAUAUAUUAAAAAUUUAGAAGAAUUUAUUUACUUUCAAGCUCUUCAUAAUUUUGAAAUAAGUAAUAAUAGUAAAAAAAGUUUUGUUUGGUUGGCAAUAAUAUUUCCUUUCCCUUCAUCCAAUAGAAUUUGUGACUACUAUGAAGUAUAUAAUAAGAGGUGUAAAAGUUCUAAAUAUAUUGAAUCUCGAAGAUACCAAACUUAUUAAAACGAAAACAACCAAAAGUUCAAAAGACAUAUCGGAAGAGUAAAAGCUGAAAGAAAAACUGGUUUGUACUUACCUGGUGCUAUGUAACCAUAAGUGCCUGCAAGAAGAGUUUGAUUGGAUGAAUCAGGAUGUAGCAGUCUAGCAGUGCCAAAAUCAGAUAGAAAAGCGUCCAGUUUAAAGUCCAAAAGAAUAUUGUUACUUGAUACAUCCCUAUGAAUAAUGGGUGGAGUAGAGUCAUGAUGCAUGUAACAUAAAGCAUGGACUAUGCUUUUGAUUNNNNNNNNNNNNNNNNNNNNNNNNNNNNNNNNNNNNNNNNNNNNNNNNNNNNNNNNNNNNNNNNNNNNNNNNNNNNNNNNNNNNNNNNNNNNNNNNNNNNAUUCGAUUUCUACGAAUGUUGAACACAUUUAAAUGAAUGAGAUAGCCCAAAGAAGGAAUAACACCGGUAAGGUUGUUGUGAUCCAAUCUGAGAUGAAUUAAAUUCUUCAGAUUCCAAAUUACAGGAGGGAUGGAACCAUUGAUUUGAUUAUAACGAAGAUACAAAUGAGUCAAAUUGGUAAGAUUACCAAAUGACAAGGGGAUGAGACCCUGGAUUUGAUUGUCGAUGAGAUGGAAAUAAGUCAAAUUGAUAAGAUUACCCAAAGAUGAAGGAAUAGUACCAAGAAGGGCAUUAUGACUCAAGGACAAUUGAACCAAAUUUUUUAAAUUCCCAAUUUCAGAAGGGAUGGAACCGUUGAUUCGAUUGAAAUUAAGGUACAAGUAUUCCAGGUUGGUUAAACUUCCAAGAGAGGAAGGAAUGACACUGGAAAGAGAGUUAGAACCCAAAUCCAAAUGAAUCAGAUUCUUCAAAUAUCCAAUAGAGGAAGGGAUGGCACCAGAGAGGUAAUUAUAACUCAAAUCCAAAUGAAUAAGAUUCUUCAAAUAUCCAAGAGAGGAAGGGAUGGCACCAGAGAGGUAAUUAUAACUCAAAUGCAAAUGAAUAAGAUUCUUCAAAUAUCCAAGAGAGGAAGGGAUGGCACCAGAGAGACCGUUAAGACUCAAAUCCAAUUCCUCUAAUAGAGUGAGGUUACCCAGUGAAACAGGUAGCUCACCAUCAAGUGCACAAUAAGAGAUACGGAGGUAAGUGAGUUUUGUAAGCGUACCUAUAUCAUCUGGGAUGUGACCAUAGAUGUAAGAAUGGCUAAGGUUGAGAUGGAGGAGGCUGGGAAAUGAAGAAAACUUCAACUGGCUAAGCUUAUACCGUGGGUUAUAGUAAUCUAAAUAGGUAAUCUGAAUAACACGUCCUUCCCUGUUGCAGGUGAUGCCGUCCCAUGUGCAAUGAUGAGAAGUAGUGUUUUCCAUGUACCACCACCAAGUGGAGUUGCGGAGAGCCUCGGCCUCAGCCUCCACCUGUGCGUCAGUUGUAGCAGCAGCAGCAGCAGGAGGUGAUGAGAUCAAGAGCAUGUUAUAUGAUAACAAUACCACUGAAACCACCAACACCCUACAAGGAUUAAUGGAACACCACUCCAUUUUUUCUUAGUUUCGAUUAAUAUUGCUAUAUAUGCCCCAGUUGAUGGUUUUAUAGAAGUGGUGUUGGUGUUGAUCCAACAACUCUCUUUCUUUCACCCACACAGCAUCUCUAUCUAUUAAAAAUUAAUAAAAAUAUUGAUACCUAAAACAUGUAUUAAUAUUUUGUUUUUGUACUUAAAUUUUAUUUUCUACUUGUUAUAGUCAUCAAGCAUUUAUUUAUUUUUUAUUUUUUAUUAUUUAAUAGUAAUAAAUAAUGAUAAAAUAAAAUCACAAAACAUGUUUAAUAUUGAUACUAACUAAAAAAUAUUAUAUAAAAGUAAUAGUCAAAAGACUGCAUUUUUAUUAUGUGAUUGUUAUUCCACUUCAUGAUUAGCUUGUCUAACACUUCUUUGAAGUUUCUUCCAAGCAAAGCAAGUCAACUAAGUCUUCUUAGGCCCACUUUUUAGACUUUUGAUUGUUAGAAGGUUAUGCUGCUAAUUAACUGAGAAAUUUCCUAAUGAUAGUAACAUGUAAGGACCACAAAGAAAACUUAAAUUUGACCAUACAUGGAUCAGGAUAUACUAUUAAAUAUUUUAAAAUUUGAUUAAAAAUUAUUAAUUUCACUAAUUUUAAACAGGAAUCAAUUUUUUUUUAUUUAAAAAAGCCUUUUGAAAAAGUUUUUCUAUUUGUUAUGCAAUCAUCAUUUUUUUUUUUUUGCUUUUUUUUAACUAAUAAAAAAUAAAAUUAGCUCCUAUAAGCAGUACUCUGUUUUUUUUUUUCUCUCCUAAACAAAGCAAGUCAAGCCAAACAACCAUCCUCAAAUCAUUUCUAAAACGCGAUAUUGAAAAUUUCCUAUAUGACACGUGACAUGUGAGACCACACAAAAAGAACACAAAAUAAUAAUAAUAAAUAAAUAAAUGCAAAGAAGUCCUUCCCAAUUUGCAAAGUUUAUUAUAUAAGGAAUUAAUGAUUUGAGAUGUUAAAAGUUUAUGAUAUUUUAUUUUUUUUGCUAUACAUUUUUUACCAUGCAUCAAGGAGGAAAAAUUUUAAAUUCUUUUUUCUUUUCUUGCUCACUUUCUAGAAUUAAUAAUGCCUUCAUAACUCUUGUUUUAGCCGCGCAACAAGUCAAGCAAGUCGUCUUCCACUCUUGAUUGGAAAUUUAGUGGGAAUUGAACAUAAUUAUUUUUAAAAUUUUUAAAUAAAAACUCAAAUGAUAAUGAUAUAACAAAAUAAUUAUUCACAAUUUUUUUUUAAACAUGAAUUGUGGGAAACAAUCAUACCUCACCUGUAUUUGGAAAAUGAUAUGUUAGUUUUUUUAUGUAUAUAUAUAAUUCCAAAUAAUAAAGAUAUUAAAAUUUUUAACAUUAUAUUGUAACUAAAUGUUUUAUUUGUCUUAUUAAUUUCACUAAUUUUAAAAAGGAAAACAAAAUAAUUUUUUAAAAAGGUUUUUCUAUUUGCUACAUAAUUAGUAAAUACAUAUUUUUUAUUUUAAUAAUAAUAAAACAUAAAAUUAAAAUUAGUAAAUAUUUUAAUAUUAAUAUAAACUAAAAAUAUACUUUAGCCAAUAAUUUAUUUGGUUCUUUUCCAAGUAAUAGGGAGACAAGAAAGUCUUUUCAGUCUCAUUAUCAAUGAUUUUUAAUUUUAUUCUAUGUAAAAUUCCACAAUGAUUCGUGUCGUGUCUGUCACGAUGUUUGGAAAAGUCGUUCAAAAAGUGUACCAUCCAUAAAUUAUGUUAAUAUUUUUUCAUUUUUUAUUUUACUUUAAAUCACACCUACUUUUUCCUUGUGCAAGUCAAAGCAAGUCUUCUUAGACGCUCAGAAGCAUAAGCAUAUACCUAACAAAAUAAAAAGCUCUAAUAGGAAAAUUAUAGAAAUCCUGUAUUCCAACCAUACUCAAUCAACAACCCAAAAUAAAAAUAUUUUAAUUAACUUUUAAAAAUUAAAUCAAAUUUUAAUUUUGAAAAACUCUCAAUCCAGGUUUACAACCAAUCAACAACAUUUGGUGUCAUAUCGUAUGAUUCUACCAAAUAGAUAUCAUGUAGGUAUAUAUUAAAAAAAUAAUUAAAAAAUAACAAAAAUAUAAAAUCGAUUGAGGGGGAAUAUAAUUGAAAGUGAGAGUUUGCAUGCACAAAAUACAAACUUUUCAAUUCUUUUUUAAUUUUUAUUUAUUAUUUUAGAAAGAGUUUUUUAAAUGUAAUGUGUAACUUGAUAAAUAAGAGAAUAAGAAAUAAAAAUCAGUCGGAUACAUUCCACCAUUUUACUCAUCAUUCUCUAAAAGAGGAAUGUAAUGUUGAAGAUUUUUGUAACUUGACAUGUUGAAGAUGAAUUUCUAUUUUGUGAUGAAAGAAUAUAAAUAAAUUGAAAAAUAAAAUUAAUGACAUUGUUCACCAUAAUAUAAUAACCGUUAUUGGCAAAUACUAACAAGAAGGUAGCACAUUAUAUUAUUUAAUCUAAAUUGAUAAUUUUGUUUCAUUAUCCGCAUGUAGGGCAUUUUACAUUACUAUAUUAUACGUUUUAUUGAAGCCUUAAGGUUGCUACAUAAUUAACCAAGAUGUAAUACAUGUAAAUAUUCUAAUUAACAUUUUUAUAUAAUACAUGUAACACUUCUCAAAAAGAUGAGAAUAGAAGGUUGAAGAUUUUUAUAACUCGACGUAUUCAAGAUGAAUUUCCUUUUUGCAACAAAAAAAGAAAUAAAUAAGUUCAAAAUUGUUUAUAUAUAAAAUAAAACUAGAUCCUAUAGGCUCUCUAUAUAUUUCUCUACUAGACAAAGCAAUUUAAGUCAAGUCAAGCAACCCUUCUCAAACACUUCUAAAACACUAGGUUGGAAAUGCUUCAUUUGUUUAUUAGAUAAAGCAAUUUAAGUCAAGUCAAGCAACCCUUCUCAAACACUUCCAAAACGCUAGGUUGGAAACGCUCCAUUUGUUUCUCUCCUAGAAAAAGCAACUUGAGUCAAGUCAAGCAACCCUUCUAAAUCAACUUCCAUAAGGCUAGGCUUGAAAUUUCUUAUAUGAUAUGUGACAUGUAAGACCACAUAGAAAGAGCACAAAAUAAUAAUAAAUAAGUUCCAAGAGGUCUUCCCAAAUUUGACCCCAUGUAUAUAUAUUAAUAAAUAUUCUAAAAUUUGAUAAAUAAUUUUUAUAAACAUUAUUAUUCCUUAUUUUUCAUAGCACAUGUGAAACAAAGCUAAUUUUGAUUAAAAAAAAACACUCAUGAGGAGAUGAGUGAAAAUAACUAAUGAAAAUGAUAAGAUAUUUAUUUAAUAAAAUUUUAAACUAAUGAGAACUAGAUGUAUUUAAUCAAAACAUUAAAUGAGAAAAACGGACCAAUGGGUGGCUUUCCCGUCACUUUAUGUUGUUGGUGUUCAAGUGCUCUUUGUAAUCUUGGGUUUAUUUCUUUACAAAUGUCCUAAAUUCAAUUUUUUUUUCUUUUAAUUUAAAACAACUUGAAAAUACCCUAAAUUAUGUGUGACCUACUAGUACAUGAAAGAUACAAAUAUAUAUAUAUAUAUAUAUAUAUAUAUAUAUAUAUAUAUAUAUUUUUUUUUUUUUAAACUUGCAUUAAAAAAAAAGGCCAGUUAAUGAUUUCAUUGGACAACUUGCAUAUUGGUACUCUCUUUUUUUCACCAUUUAAAGAUUCCAUUUCACGGACUGCCCUUUUUUUAAUUAAAAAGAAAAAAGGACUUUUGUUAAUUAUAACAAGAAGUAGAGAUUGAUGUUAUUCCUUGGUUCUAAAAUGUUAUCUUUAUUAAUUUAUAUUAUUAUUAUUAUCAUUAUUUAUCAAAUAACAUCAAAACUAUGGUAUCAUCUUUCUUAUUUCAAUUCUUUUCUAGAGUAGUUCAGGUGUGCAAUAUGUUUUUGAAUAUUAUAAUUUAAAAAAUAACAUUUAAGAUUUAAGCAAAAAAAAAUGUAUUUAUUAGUUGAAUUUUUGUUCUUCAAGAUAAAAUUUAAUAUUUAAGCGAAAAAAUGUUGAACAUCAUCCGUUUAACCAUAUCCACUAAAAAGUACAUGCAUCCCCAAAUGUAAUCCUUGUUAUAAAUAACUUAUUAAUUGUUUCUUUAGGUAGGUGUGGACCCCGCAUUUCGGCUUAUGCGUUUUCCACUCGAUGGCAAGCUCGAUUUUUAUUUAAAAAAUGAUUUUAUUUUUUCAAAUGAUUUUGAGUCGCCACUUAUUUUUGUUUAAUUUUAAAAUGGUAAACAAAAUAAGAAAAAAACCCUAAAUGCGACUCCUAUUUUUGGAAAAGGUGAUUUACGAAAAACUGGAUCGGACUCGGGGAUCAGGUUACUUAUCGGGAAGGUACGGUAAAGACCGUAACAACCCUCUAAGUCCAUAAAAUUGGGUCUCUACUAAUAAAAUGAAGCUAACAUAGGAAUCAAUGAGAAAAUUAAUGACUACUCGAAUUGAUCAUACACAUAUGAGUAUCAGAACAUGCAUAGACACUGAUCAGAGUGAAAGUGGGUACGUACCUGGACAAUAAGCCAUCAUGCGCUAUCAAGAGAGAGAGUUAGUGCACAGUGAUGAAUAUAAAAUAUGUCACUCAUAUCACCAAACAAGAUGAAGAACCAUCAAUAGCAUGCAUGACAUUUCAUUUAAAUCCCUUUUUAUUUUAAAGGAAGUUUAUUUGAUGUUGGGCCCCACCAUAGCCCGAUUUAUUUUUGCAUGAAUCAAUUUUGUAAAUUUCAUUAAUUGGAAUUACAAAAUUGAAUCCUUGCUUAUUUCAAAACCUUGUAAGGAUAGAGAAAAUGUGAAAGUUGCUUGCCAUGAAGAAAAAUGGUGGCAAAAUUUUAUAUAAAAAUGGGAUUCUUGGGUGAUCCUAAAAAUUCUAAGGAUGAAAGAGGGGAAAAUUGGAAUUAUUUGAAAAUCAGAAUUUGAGAAAGAUUUUUACAAAAUGAGAUUUGAGAAAUCAUUUUCAAGAUCAGAUAAGAAGAAAUCCCAGAAUAUUACAUGGAGCAGCUUCUUGACGGGUAGAGUUUCUCUUCACAACUUUGAGAAUACGUGACAUAAAGGAGGUGCCAUCAAGAGAAAGAGCAUGUCCUGCAGCCUCUUUUGGCAUGAACUCUACAUAGUCAGACCCCUUUGGUUGCCUUGUAGCAGCAUCAGUUACUAUAAUCACUUUUACCACUUCCCCAAACUUAUUAAAAUGCCGAGAAAGACUAUCCUUGGUUGCAGUAAAAUGAACAUUGUUAACAAAGAUGGUCCGAGAAUCAGCACCCUCUAAAGGACGACCAGUAGGAUAUGAACCAGGAGCAGAUAGCUACAUCUUCUGAGACUCUCCCUGAGUAUCUACAGCAGGUUUUGCAUUUCCAUUGCCAACCGAGACAGGGUUUCCAUUUGCCUUCAUUAACUGCACACCAGAUUUGCCAGUGCCUGUUUCAUUUCCCCGCACAGGUUUCUGACCAUCCUCUUCCUCAACCUCCCUUAGUCCCUGAUAAUGAGCUGGUUUCCAUGUAUUCACAUUCACAGAGAUAUUCACAAUCUUACGAGAGGUGUUUGCUAAAGCACUAAGCUGACCCUGAUCUUUACUUCGCAUUGUUCGCAUACCUUCAUCAGCAUUCUUAGCCACACUGUACUGCACCAUUCAUCUUCCCAUGGAGAUUCACUGACCAUGAUGCAGUCAAGUCUUUCUGUACAACAAUAUCAUCAUCAAGAAACAGUAUCUUAUCUGACUUGGGAUAAACCUCAGGGAGAUAAAACCUCAGGUGGUUAAGCAUUGAGAGAUACUUGGGAUUCCUGUACUUUAGAUUAGAAGAGCCUGAUGACAGAGUACUGGGAUACCUCUGAUUGAAAUAUAAUGCUUUCAUAGCAGCAGACUCGAGCUGCCUCAGAACUGGGCAGUAGAAUGAAUUAAGCCACUUAAAUUCAUCAACGUUUUCCACAUGGAUGGUUACUUUUCCUGGGGGUUCAACAGAAACCACAUAUUCAUGGCUUCAAAAUUCAGCUCAUCAGUAACCAGAUAGAAUACAUGUUUUUCUGGUUCCUUGGCGUUCAAGAUGGUUGAGUUGACAACAACCAAUGGUCAAGCACAUAGACAAGCAGUGGAUUCCAUUAGGAAUUGUCUUGGCUGCUAAUUGACUCAGGAAUGUGCUCUGCUUUUUUCAAGCUCCUGACUUGUUCCUCUGCUGACUGAAGCAUUGCUCUCAGCUUCCCAGUGGCUUGUCUGAGGGCUCUUUGGGCUCAUUGAUCAUAUCUAGUAUCUCAGGAAAAGUCAAGCCCUUGCACUGGUCCAGACUGGUGAGUUCUUCAAUCAUAUUGGCAUUUUCAAAGUUUAUCUUGUGACUCAUUCCAUGCAAACUUUAUCAGUGGGUCAGAUUCAACUCUUCCAUUGACUUCACUUGCCACAUCUACAUGGACUACCCGUGCGUGGCCUCUGCAUGAACCCUUAGCUGAAAGAUCUUAUCUCCGCCACUGCCACCUUCGAUGCAGCCAGAAAGUUAAAACCCGAUGAAGUUGACUGUUGCUUAUUUUCUAACUGAAGCACCCGAAAACCUCCAUUGUCAGGAUCAAACCUUGCAGUAGAUCUUCCAUCUUUCUCAUGCCAGAGAUCAUGAUCAGCCUCCCCUUGAGGAAAUUGCAUAUUUGAGGCCCCUCCAGGCAGGCUCGAUCAAGGGACCAUUUGUAGGAACCAUGGCAGUCAAAUUUACCUGAGGAUAUCCCACUGAAGCUAGAAUGGAAGGUAAGAAUGGAAGAGGUAGGUGAGUGAGAAAUGGGUAUGGUAAUAUGCAUGGGGAUGCGGGUAUGAAGAGUAAUGAAUGGAGUUGUGGGUAGUAAGAAAAUUGGGUGAAUCAGGUAUUAGAGAAGGGUGACUGCAUAGAGAUAUGGAGAAUGACCUUGUAUACGUGGUAUCCAUGCAUGCGGGUAGGUGUAUUUGGGUAUGGGAUGCCGUGCUCACUAACAUCAGGUGAGAUGACAACCCUUACAUUACUGCCAGAUUGUAAAAUCUCUCUGACCUUGCUUAUAUGGUUCACAUAUGCUUCAACCAAUCCAAGCUCAUGACGUGUCCCUUCACCCGCUUGCCUUAUUUCAAGUUCACUUGUGAUAACCCCAAGUUAAGUUCCUGUAACUAGCAAAUCUCAUAUUUGCUCAUUAUAAGCUUCUAGAACACAACCAGAUGUAUCACAUCAGAGUUGCUGCAAGAGGCUUCAUUAAUUCUACCUCGGGAUUCGCUACAGUUGUAGGGGGGACGGGACUGGCAGUAUGGAACACUCCAUCAUAUCCUUCAAAGGCAGAACAAAGAGCUCCGUACUUCAGCAAAUCUGCCCUAAAAGAGUUUCAGGUUCUCAGAUGCUUUCUCAAGUUUCUUCAAAUCAGCAUCCUUUCCAUCACUGGGAUCUCUAACAGUUCCAUGGACAAUGUAGCCCUUGGAGAGAAGAAGCUUGACGACCUAUGUAGCAAUGUACCCAUCGGCGCCUGUCACACACACUCUGCCCUUCUCUGCCAUUAUCAAAUCAAUCCACAGUUUUUCUUGUUUUUAGCUCCUGACUUCCGUCCUUCAGUGUAAAGCCAUUCAAAUGUUGAAGACUUCGAGAUGAAGAAUAAACCUGCAUGCGGGCUUAGCAAUAACCCGAUUUCAUCUUCAGUAAAUGAAACUAACAGGCAGUAACCUUUAAGGGAUUGGCAAUGAGCAUCAUAUCCCAAUAUCCUAAACUUUGAGCCAAUCAUGUCAACUAGUGCACAGAUUACAUGCAUCGUUUCCUCUAGCAAAUGCCGAAAUCCUGUAGUGGUGUACCUGGAAGUGCUGAAUGGGAGGAAUGAGCAUGAAGUCGGCCAUGCGCGUGAGAUUGGUGCAAAGCAUAGCCAUGGGUGGUGUGUGAAAUUGGUCUUAGGAGUUCGGUGGGUACGAGGCGAUGGAUUUGAUGGCCAUAGGAGCAUGCAUGAUGACUACGUGCACAUGGGAUUUGAGAAAUUGGAAGGAGUGGAAUGAUGAGAGAAAUGGGUGGUGCGGUGUGUUCAAGACUAAUGAAGAAGGAAUGCAACGUGGGCAUGGUGAUUGUGAGGAUGUGGCUAACAAAUUCAGCUGGGUAUGAAAGAAGGUUUAGGUUAUUGGAAGUGAGUAAUGGCAAGGCAUGGGAAGGUUUAGAGAGAAGUGGGUAUGAGGGUGCAGAGAGAAUGAAGGCUAUGACGGCCAUGGCUUUGCUUGAGUUGUGAUUGAUAAUGGGAUGCUGCUGCCUUCAUAUGAUGCAUGGAUAGAGGAGCUUUCACGUCAAGAAACGACAAAGAAAGAACUUGGGUGCGCACCGAUGACUACUCAAGUGGUGAUGUAGCUCCUGCAAACUGAAGUCGUUAUUGUCCAACAGUGCCAACUGUGGGCCUUGAGCUUACAACUCAUUAGAAACCCAAAACUUGAUUCCCCAGCAUGAGAAAAGCACCAACGCCGUUUGCCAUCUUCCUCACUCGAGGAUAAUCAAAAUCUCAAGGAUAAACACUGCCAUCAACAAUAAGAAGUUUUGGUCUCAAUAGAUUAGUUUCUUCUCAAGCAUGUCAUAAACAGCAAGACCAAGACCUGUAGAUUCAUCGAGUCGUUGGGGCCUAGACUCACAAUAAAUUGAGGUGCCUGAUAUCCGUCUUUUAGGAGCUAUGAAACUAUGAGACAAGUGGCCUUACGAGGUAAGUCCAAGCCUAUGAUCAUGCCAUGUAGAUUGAGAAGGACAGUGCAUACUUCAAAGGUAGCUGGAGAAACUGACAAUGGUUGAACAUUGACGCCUCACGUCUUUCCCUUUAGGUGGAAUACUGCCAAAGCCCUCUUCUGACAGAGGAUUUCUAGCUCAUCAAAGAAUUCAUUGCCGCCAUAGUAUCCUCUACCAGACAAUCCCUAAGAAUAUUUGUUUGUGAGGCAAGAGCUAACAACUUCCAUCACUGCUCGGGAUAUGAAAUUCUCUGAAGCAAAUGAGUUCUAAUAUCUUCAUUUAUCGUUGUUUUUCUUUGUAAAUAAUUACACACACUUCAUGACCAGCUGCAUUCAGGCCAUAGUCAAUACAACUGACUUCGCUUCCUCCAUUUUCAGGCACAAUGAUAGACACAAAGGAAAGUAACUUCCCAGUAAUCAAGCUUCUUUCGAUAUAAGAUCUGCAUGGCUUAGCCGAGUUCAGUUUAAUUGGAUGUCGAAUCCCAUGGUCAGUAGACCCACUUGGAGCGAAACUGAACCCUUUAAUCCAAAUGGACCGUUACAGAGAGCACAAAGCAGCAGUAGUAUUCACGAAACCCAGAGCAUGAGGGCGGGCUGUGACCAUGGCAGAGAUUCCAAACUAGAAAGCAAGCACAAAACCGUCCAUGGAAGAGGUUAUCCAAGGUUUUGGAUGCUUAUGAAGUUUUCCUGCAAGUUGAACGAAUCUGUGACAUAGCCCUUUCUGAUCUAACCUGCAUCGUUUCAACAUGUACCACACCAUCCUCAUUCACGGUACCUCCAAUCACUAUGUCACCCUUCUUUCUUCACCAUGGGCAUAGCAUCCUCUGUGAGCAUGUUCUUGAACCCACACUUAUUCUCCAGCUUUACCUCAUGGAAACACGUCAACCAAAAUACCCCACCCAUCAAGUGACCAAUUCAACUCUGAUACCCAACAUCUCAAACGCACCAGCCAUAGAGGCACAAAAGGGAAGGAAAGGGGGCCAAAACAGAAAAGAAACGAGGGAAGGAUAAACGAGGAAUAAAGUAAAACAUAAGUGUAUAGAGCCUCAUUUCGGGUGACAUCCAUGGGCUAAUAUAAGUGAGGAGAUCUCAAGCUAGAGUUACAAAAUAUAUGAGGAACAGAGUUCCAUUAACUCCAAGCCAAACCACAAGAACAACAGUAAGAUCAACAACAAUAGAGUACAAAAACGAUCCAGAAAUCAACAAAAUUCAGCACGUAUGAUCCAAUCCAAAUUGACGAGCAAUGCAGAGCAAACCAAAAUAAGAAAAGGACGAGAAGAAUAUGAAUCAAAGUAAGCAAGAGAGUCACCUCAAACUCACCUGCAGACGCUCCUUUCCUCUGUUAUCUCCUCCUCCAACUGAAUAAAAUCCUCUGUAAGUCCUUCCCAAGCCACGCAGCCUGCUACAUUCCUCAGCUGAAAGGAUCUUCUCUCAUUUCCCUCAAAAAUCAAUAUCUUCUCCCACCCUCAGCCGAAUAGCCUCCUCAUCCCCCAGAAAACCUCCGUUUUCUCCCUCUAGUCUUUUUCUUCUUCUCCCAAAUAUCCCUCUGUCACAGCUGAAAAGCACCCCUUCACUCUGCAGAAGACGCUCCCCCUAACAAACUCUGAACGUCCCCUUUCCAGGUGUCCAUCUUUCAUUGGCUCUCUUAAGCACCACUGUGAUUCCUUGGCAGCCAAUCAGGAGGCAACACAUGGCUCUUGAAAAAGCCCUCCACCUGGCAAAGAAAAUAACCUGCAAGAAAAAAGUGAAUAAGCCCCAAAUGGGGGUCUACAGCAGGCUAUUGAAGUCUUGUUUGAAUACAAUAUAUAUAUAUAUAUUCUUAAAAUAUAUUUUUUUAAUAUUUGAGAUAGUUAAUUUUUUUAUAUUUAAAUUGUAUUUAAAACCUUUACUUUUUUAAUAUAAGUCUUUAUAGAAUUCUUAUAUUUUAUAUAAAAAUUACUAUUAGUUCAAUUUUUUUUAAAAAAUAAAAAUAAAAAAUGUACCAAUUUAUACAAAUUUUAAAAUAUAUUUUUGAUAAGUCAAAUAAAGCCCAAUAAUCUUUAUAAAAUUUUUCUAUUAGAUGAGACAUCUAUAAAUAAAAAAAAAAAAACGAAAUGUUGAAAGGAAUGUCCCCAACUUUCACCAUAAAUGAUACAAUAACCAAAUUAUUGAGGCAAAUAUUCGGACAAGAUUUCUUGUCAAACAAGCCUUCUCUUCUGUUGAUUGGGAAUUGAGUUGGAAAUGAAAGGAGCAUAAAUAUAGAGAGCCCAUCUAAAGAGAGACUAAUUGGGAGUCAAGCCUUUUCUAUGCACAAAUUGGAUAGUUUUGAGAAGACAAAUCAUGUUUACAUCUUCUCCCUUCUUCUUUCCCAUCUAGCAUGCUGUGCUUCCCACUAUUUCAAUUAUCAAGAUGGAAUCUCCACUCCAAAAAAGUGGAAAAUUAAAAUGAGAGGCAUAACCGGAUGAUAAUCAUAAGUAAUAUUGUUUUUUCUUUUUUUCUGAAAAAAAUUUGAUUUGUUAUCCCAAUUGACGGGUAAGCUCUCAAGUAAGUCUUCUUUGGUGACUUCUCCAACUCUUGAUUGGAAAUUAGGUGAUAAAUGAAGAAAAUAUCCAUUUUAAAAGCGGCUAAUUGUGGAAAAACAAUUUAUCUUAUUAAAUUAAUAUUUUUAAUAUAGACAUGUUAAUAUGGAUUUAUAAUAAUUUAUUUAUAAAACACUCCAAAAAUACAUGAUAAUCAUGGAAACUAAUUUGACAAAAAGUUAUAGAAUCUUUAUAAAAUUUUAAAUUAUGCUACAUGGCAUAUGGAAAGAAAAUAUGCAAGUCAAAGAAAGAAUUUAUAAGGAAUCCACCUCAAUUGGUAGAGGGAUAUUCUACCAAUGUAGAUUUGCCUAUAAUUCACUUAUGAUUAUGGAUUUUCAAAUAGUAGAUAGACUUGUUUCAAAAAUUCUUGAAGUGAUAGAAAGUGAAAAAAUACCUAAGCUUCUUUAAAGGCCACUAAAUGUGGAAAACAAUUUAGUUGUUUUGUUUUUGUUGAUUUCCGUGUGAAUAUCCCUAAUUUGUUGGGAUUUUGAUUUUGAAUUCAAAUCGGGAUUUGUUUCCCACUUUCUAUAUUGAGUUUUUUUCCUUUUCUUAGGCAUGUAUCUCCUAGAUUGUAGAUAGAUUUUUAUUUGGUAGAUUAGAUUCUUAGCUUAUAUAAUGUUGAUGUUGUACAUGCUCUAUAGAAAAAUAUAGAAAUAUAUCAAGUUUUUUGCAUGGUACCAGAGCGGUUUCCCACUAGGACAGACUCCUACUCUCCAGCAUUUGUUUUUUUUGGCAACAAGCAACUUGAAGCCCCUACUGCUAUCUCACUGUGAAUUGUCUUCUCCAACCUAGUCACAAUUUGUCCUUGGUUCAUCAGUCCAGCCAUGAUUUAGUCCAGAUGUGAUUUGAUCGUGUUACGAAUUGAUCUAGUCCAGACAAAUCUUUUGGAAUGACUAUUGAUAGUCAAAAAUCAGUCUCUAAAGUCAACUCUAGGUUGAAGACUAUCACUUCCAAUGACCAUGGAGGAUCCGAUGGCUCUUUUCUUCCCAUUGUAGGUCACAAGUUGAAUGGGAAUAACUAUCUACAAUGAUCUCAGUUCGUCCUUAUGUUUAUCAGUGGCAAGGAUAAGGAUGGCUACCUCACUGGAGAAAUUGUUCAACCCAAAAAUGAUGAUCCUAGAUUCGGAAGUUAGAAGAUAGAGAAUAAUAUGGUCAAAUCAUGGCUUAUCAAUUUCAUGACCAAUGUGAUUGGUGAAAACUUUCUUCUCUAUAAGACCGCAAAAGAGAUGUGGGAUGCAAUUAAAGAAACAUAUUCCACCAAAGAAAAAACAGCAUAACAGGUUGAUAUCGAGAUUGUUCGUCAUGAUUUCCAUCAAGAGGAUUUAACCGUCACUAAUUACUACAAUAUUCUUGGUCACCACUGGCAACAAUUGGAUGUUUGUGAGGAGUAUGAUUGGAAUUGCCCAAAGAUGCUGCCAUGUAUAAAAAGAUUGUGGAGAAAAGACAGCUUUUCAUGUUCUUAUUAGGCCUCAACAAGCACCUUAAUGAGCUCCAUGGGAGGAUCCUUGGUACCAAACCCCUUCCAACAAUCCGUGAAGCCUUUGCCACUAAAUACCUAAGCUUCUUUAAAGGCCACUAAAUGUGGAAAACAAUUUAGCUGUUUUGUUUUUGUUGAUUUCCACGUGAAUAUCCCUAAUUUGUUGGGAUUUUGAUUUUGUAUUCAAACCGGGAUUUGUUUCCCACUUUAUGUUUUGAUUUUUUUCCUUUCCUUUCAUUUUCUUAGGCAUGUAUCUUCUAAAUUGUAGCUAGAUUUUUAUUUGGUAGAUUCGAUUCUUAGCUUAUAUAAUGUCGAUGUUAUACAUGCUCUAUAGAAAAAUAUAGAAAUAUAUCAAGUUUUCUGCAUGGUAUCAGAGUGGUUUCCCACUAGGACCGACUCCUAUUCUCCAACAUCUAUUUUUUCUGGCAAUAGGCAACCUGAAACCCCUACUGCUAUCUCAUUGUGAAUUGUCUUCUCCAACUUAGUCACAAUUUGUCCUAGGUUCAUCAGUCCAACCACGAUUCAAUUAAGACGUGAUUCGAUCUUGUUACAAAUUGAUAUAGUCUAGACGAAUCUUCCAGAAUGACUACCAAUAGUAAAAAAUUAGUCUCUAAAGUCAACUCUAGGUUGGAGAUUGUCACUUCCAAUGACCAUGGAGGAUUCGAUGUCUUUUUUUUCCCCAUCAUAGGUCACAAGUUGAAUGGGAAUAACUAUCUCCAAUGGUCUCAGUUCAUUCUUAUGUUUAUCGGUGACAAAGAUAAGGAUGGCUAUCUCACAGGAGACAUUGUUCAACCCAAAAGUGAUUAUCCUAAAUUCCAAACAUAGAAAAUAGAGAAUAAUAUGGUCAAAUCAUGGCUUAUCAAUUCCAUGACCAACGAGGUCGAUGAAAACUUUCUUCUCUACAAGACCGCAGAAGAGAUAUGGGAUGUAGUUAAAGAAACAUAUUCCACCAAAGAAAAUACAAUAGAACAGGUUGAUAUCAAGACUAUUCUUCAUGAUCUCCAUCAAGGGGAUUUAACCAUCACCAAUUACUACAAUAUUCUUGGUCGCCACUGGUAACAAUUGGAUGUUUAUGAGGAGUAUGAUUGGAAGUGCCCCGAAAACGUUGCCAAGUAUCAAAAGAUUGUGGAGAAGAGACAACUUUUCAAUUUUUUAUUGGGCCUCAACAAGCACCUUGAUGAGGUCCAUGGGAGGAUCCUUGGUACCAAACCCCUUCCAAUAAUUUGUGAAGCCUUCGCAGAGGUAAAGAGAGAGGAGACCUGGAAGAAACUCAUGUUAGGCAAGCAAACUGCUAUAGCUACUACUGAAAGCUCUACUCUUACAACUCGAGGUUAGUCUAGCAACAAUUGAGGAAAUCAACAGCAACGAAAGGGAAGACUUUGGUGUGACUAUUGCAAGAAACAUGAACAUACAAAGGAUACAUGUUGGGAUAUCUAUGGUAAACUUGCAGAUUGGAAAUCAAGGUCAAAUAGACGUGAUAGUCAAACGAACAAUGCCACCACCGAUUCCACCUCCCAACCCAAAUCAAACUCGCUUAGCAAAAAGCAAUUAGAUCUUUUAUAGAAACUACUCUAACAGUCACAACAACCUAAACCACCUCAACCCACUUCCAUAAUUGGUACUAGUUUUAUUGCACAAAAAGUUAAUUUCUUGAGUGCUCUAAAUGCUAAACAGAAAGGACAAGACCAUGGAUUGUUGACUCUGGUGCAUCUGACCACAUGACGGGAGAUGCAAAUGUUUUUGACACAUAUGAUCCUUGCUCUUCGAAUUAUUUUGUCCACAUUGCUGAUGGAUCAUUGUCCAAGGUUGUUGGUUCCGGUUCAGUGACUAUUUCAAAGGACUUAACUCUUCACUCUAUCUUGUUCCAAAUCUAGAUUGCAGUUUGUUGUCCAUUAGUAAACUAACAAAAGACCUUAAGUGCGUUACUAAAUUUUUUCCUAACCACUGUGAAUUUCAGGUUAUGGAUUUGGGGAUGAUGAUUUAUUUCAAGUUAUGGAUUCAGGGAUGAUGAUUGGAAAUGCUAAGGUGCAUGAGGGGCUCUACCUACUUCAAGCUAAUGAGUAUCCUAAUCCCAGUCAUUCUCAAGCUCAUUCUAUUCAGUCCUCCAAUUCUGUUCUUUCCAUUCGUAGUGAUAAUAAAAAUGAUGCCAUAUUGUUGUGGAAUUAUAGAUUAGGCCAUCCAAAUUUUGUUUUACCUUGAGAAAAUGUUUCCAUCAUUAUUUAAUAAAAAUUCCUAGUCUUUUUAGUGUGAAAUUUGUCAAAUGUCUAAACAUGUGCAUAAUUCUUAUCCUAACCAAGUUUACAAGACUUUUCAUCAUUUUUUAAUGAUACACAGUGACCAUUUAAGAUCAAGAACAUUUAUGGAUGAAGAUGGUUUGUCACCUUUAUUGAUGAUCACACUAGAUUCACUUGGAUAUUUCUCAUGAUAGAUAAAUCUAAGGUUGGCCAAAUCUUUAUAAACUUUCAUAAAAUGAUCCAAAGUCAAUUCUAAGCCCAAAUUCAAAUUCUCAAGACCAAUAAUGGAAGAUAAUACUUCCAUUAUGCUUUGGGUACUUAUUUGAUGAAUAAUGGAAUUAUACACCAAAGUUCAUGUGCUGAUACUCCUCAACAAAAUGGACUAUCAAAGUCCUUGUCAAGUCCUUCUCUAAUCUUAUCCUAAUUCUCGGCUAAUCUCCUCCAUUCCCAUCAAAGUGUUUGGUUGCAUUGUCUUCGUCCAUAUUCAUUCCCAACAUUACUCCAAACUUGAUCCAAAAGUUGUCAAAUGUCUCUUCCUUGGGUAUUCUCUUAACCAAAAAGGGUAUAAAUGCUACUCUCCUACUCAAUGGAAAAUUUACAUAUCCAUGGAUGUAACAUUCUUUAUUAUUCAACUCGUUUACCCCAAAACUAAUAUUUAGGGGGAGAAUGGACUUAGUGAAUAUUAGUUUUUGAACAUAAAUACUGAUUUUCUUGAUACAAAUUUUGAUUCUUCCUGCCUUUCUUCAUCUUUUCUUCCACUUGAGGUUGAGACAUCUUCCAAUCUUCAAUCAAAAUCCAUUUCUGAGACCAUAUAGUCUGCACAAUCUUCAAGUGCUGACCUUCCUCUCAACCAAACUCAACAUCCAACCUCAUCUAUUGUCUAUACCAGAAAAAAAAAGGCUUAGAAGGACGAAAAAAUCCAAGUGCAUCCAAUGCAAAACUAAGAGUUUGAAUUAGAUUCAAAAGAUUCUAAAAAUUGACUAGGUAACACCACUAUUGAACCUCUUUUGGAUGAAAUUUCUAAUGAUUUAGAUUUGCCUAUUACUCUAAGAAAAAGGGUGAGGUCUUGCACUAAACAUCCUAUUCAGAACUUUGUGUCCUAUAAUGAGCUAUCUCCAUCAUAUAGGGCAUUUUCCAUGAACAUAACUGAAGUGCAAGUUCCUAGAACUAUUCAGCCAAUCAGAUUGGAGAAAAACUAUUUUUGAUGAGAUGAGUGCUUUGGAAAAGACGGGUACAUGGGAGAUUAUUGAUCUACUGAAAGAUAAAAAUACGAUGGGAUAUAAGUGGAUCUUUACAGUCAAACAUAGAGUUGAUGGAAAUGUUGAUAGGUUGAAGACACGACUUGUUCCAAAAGGAUUCACUCAAGCUUAUGGAGUUGAUUACUAAGAGACAUUUGACCUAGUUGCAAAACUCAAUACUGUUAGAGUCUUACUGUCUCUUGUUGCUAAUCUGGAUUGGUCACUAAACCAGUUAGUUGUGAAGAAUGCCUUCCUCAAUGGUGACUUGGAGGAGGAAGUGUAUAUGGAGAUUCCCCUUGGCUUUGAAAGAAACAAUGACUUUAAGAAGGUAUGUAAACUCCGAAAAGCAUUAUAUGGCCUUAAAGAAUCUACUCGUGCUCGGUUUGACAUAUUCACAAAGGUCAUCAAGAAAAAUGGUUAUAUUCAGUGCCAAUUUGAUCACACCUUGUUUGUUAAAUUCUCUAAAGGAGGAAAAAUAACUAUUCUUAUUGUGUAUGUCGAUGACAUAAUUCUUACUGGAGAUUAUGAUGAAGAGAAAGUUAGUUUGGAAAAUUUCCUCACCAAGGAAUUUGAGAUAAAAGAUUUGGAUGAUCUCAAGUAUUUCCUAUGAAUGGAAGUGGCUUGAUCUAAGAAAGGAAUUUGUAUUUCCCAAAGAAAAUACAUCCUUGAUCUUCUAGAGGAGACUGGUAUGCUUGGGUGUAAACCCUUAGACAUCCCUAUAGACUCUAAUGUCAAGCUUGGCUUAGAUCAAGAGGGUCCUUCAGUUGACAAAGGGCGAUAUCAACAACUCGUAGGGAAGUUGAUAUAUCUUACCCACACAAGACCAGAUAUUAGAUUCUCUAUUAGUUUGGUUAGCAAAUUUAUGAAUAAUCCUACCAAAGAACACUUAGAUGUUGUCUAUAAGAUCCUUCAAUAUCUUAAAUAGGCUCCUAGAGUAGGGUUAUUUUUCAAAAAGAACUCUAACAAAGAAAUUAUGAUCUACACUAACAUAGAUUGGGUUGGCUCUCCUAUAGACCAUAGAUCUACAUCUUAUUAUUGUUCAUAUGUUUGGGGCAAUCUUGUUACAUGGUGAAGCAAAAAACAAACUGUUGUUGCUAGGAGUAGUACUGAAGUUGAAUUCAGAGCUUUAGAAAAUGAAAUUUGUGAGGGCAUGUGGAUUAAAAGACUAUUGGAAGAACUCAAGUUUCCUAUUGAUAGUCCUAUGAGAAUUUUUUGUGAUAAUCAAGCAACAAUUAGCAUUGCUAAAAAUCUUGUUCAUCACGACACGAUUAAACAAGUGGAGAUUGACUGUCAUUUCACUAAAUAGAAGAUUGAUGAGGGGAUUAUCACUCUUGGAUACAUACUAACAACUCUUCAAACAAUCUACAUCCUUGCCAAAGCACUUCCUAGAGUCAACUUUGAAGAAAUGAAGUCCAAGUCGGGCAUGCUAAACAUCUAUAGCCUAGCUUGAGGGGGAGUGUUGAUUUUCGUGUGAAUAUCCCUAAUUUGUUGGGAUUUUGAUUUUGUAUUCCAACCGGGAUUUGUUUCCCACUUUCUGUUUUGAGUUUUUUUGUUUUUUUUCAUUUUCUUAGGCACGUAUCUCCUAUAUUAUAGCUAGAUUUUUAUUUCGCAAAUCCGAUUCUUAGCCUAUAUAAUGUCAAUGUUGUACAUGUUCUAUAGAGAAAUAUAGAAAUAUACCAAAUUUUCUCUAGUUUUAAAUCAUAUCAAAUUUUUUACUUCAAAAUGAUUACAUUGAAAAACUCCUAAAUUUUGACUUUGAAAUGAUUAACCUUCCAAAGAUUAUUAAAAUUGUUAUCCAUUAUUUCCAUUUACAUAGAAUUUGAGAAGGACUAUAUAAUGCUUGAAAAUUUAAACAGUAUAGAAUAAAAAUAUGAUCUAUAUUGAAUUAGAAUUUUUUUUAAAAAUAAAAUUGGGACAAGCUACCUACUUAAGGAAUCCUCAUAUAUAUAUAUAUAUACGACUAAGAAAAAUGAUAAAAAAGGGUGUACAAAUAUCACAUGUUAGAAAUUUUCAAAUAAAAUUGUAAUUUUAUUGAAUUGUAGAAAAAUCUACUUCAAAUCUCCAGUUUAAUUUCAAAUUAUUCUUUCAAUAAUUGUUGACUAAGUGCUUGCAAAAUUUUGAUCUCAAGUUCUAUUGAAGAUUUGAUGUUGCUUGCUUGAACUUCAUUUAGACUUUAACUUGCUUAUGGUUUGAGUUUGGAUUGGCUUAUUUUUUACUUACAUUUUAGAAAUGAACAACAUCUUAGUCUUUGAGAUUUGAAGCUUGAUUUUAUUCUUGGCUAGACUUGUUAGGCUUUGACUUCAUUUUAGCUUUGGCUUAAACAAUCCUAACCAAGUGCUUGAGUAAUAAUCUUAGACAACAAAAUUUAGAAGAUUUGGCUAUUAAAGUUUGAUUCUUGAUUUUUUGAAAGAUAUUCAUGAUUUGAAAAUAUUUUGAAGAAAUUAAAAACUCAUCAAAGAAAUUUUGAAGAUUUGAGUAAACUUUGAAAUCUCUUUUGAAGAUUGAAAAAGCAAUGAAUACUUUCAAAGAAGCCUUCAAUUUCACAUAAAAAUGUUUGGGAAGCUUUAAAGGAGACCAAAUUUUUUUGAAGAAGUUUGAAGGCCAUCAUAGAAGCUUUUUGAACUUAUAACAAAGCUUUCCUUCUACCUUCUUACUUAUGUAUUUUUUACUUAUUGUGUGAAAUAUACCUUCAAGGUGGUUUCCUUUAUUUAUAAAGAUAGGAAUAACAAUACUUAAACAAUUUUCUAGCUCUUGAAAUAUGUUUUUAAUUAUUUAACUAAACUUAAUUUUUAAGGAGAUAUAAAAGAACAUAUUUAGAUGGUCUUUAACCCCUUGAAAACUAUUCUUUAAGGAGAAUCGGUGAUUAACCAUUUUUUUUAAAUCAAGUCCAUUAUUGUCUUAAUUUAUUGUAAUAAUAUUCUUUUUGUUGUCAAUAUUUAUCUUUUCUUUUAUUUAAUCUAUAGAUAACUUUUUGAGGACCCAUUAAUUUGUACUUAAAUAUUGGUAUAGAUAGUUAAAAUUAUGUUUUUAAGCAUAAAAAGGAGUAAAAAUCAUUGUUUUUACCUUCAAUAUGUUAACACCCUAUUUUGGUAACUAAUGUGCUAUAUUGUGGGAACUAUAGCAAAGAGAAGAUAAACACAUGUUUUUGUUAGGAUAGAACCCUUAAAAACAUGAUAUGAAGUAACAAAUUUGGAAUUCAUUAUUUAAUGAUAUUCCCAUUUCAUUUUUAUCUAUUCUUGUUCCAUGCAUUACACUUUAUAAACAUUCUUGCCUAGCAUCUUUUGCAUUGCACGUGAUUUGGGUGCAUUAGGAAUUGCCCAAAAGAUCCAAAUCUCGAGUUCCUUGCAAAUAGAUAACUUUUUCAUAAUCGAUUCAGGUCUAGGCAUCAUGAUAUCUCAUGGUGAAAGACCACCGAAAGUCUAAUAGGGAACAUCCAAAAAGGGAAAGAGGAGUGAAUGGGUGAUAUGAAAAUUCAAAUAAAGAGUUAUAUAUAUUAUAUUCAAUUUUUCUUACCCUAAAAAAUUUUAGGGAAGUCCUAAUUUGCACUUUGGGCAAAUUUCAAACAUAUAAUCUAGUAUCUUCGGAGAAUAAGGGAUUAUAUGUUUGUGAGUCUUUGUGAUGAGUUGCUACUCUUUUCAUAUCGAGAAAUUGGACUUCAAUAUGAUAAGGACUCUUGUAGGUCUACCUUUGGGUGUGUGUGCACUGUAAGUGGUUUUUAUUUUAUUUAUUUUAUAGAAACAAAGGAAGCCUUUUGGCUUAUGGGUAGUUCCCUUGACCAUAAUGUCUAAGAUCCUAUUAUGUAAUAAUAAUGGGUUGGUGGCAUGAUCUAAAAAACUAAAGUACCACUAGGAGAGGAAACACAUAUGGAGGAAGUGUAACCUUAUUGUGAGAUAGUAUGGAGAGUUGAUGAUACAAUGGAGUAGAAUUCUUUCUACGGUUCCCAAUCUAUUUUUUGGGCUAGUGGGAUUUUGUUGGGAUUAUGCCCCUAAAAACAAGGCAUGAUGUAACAAAGUUAGACUUAACCAUCCCCUUGCUAUCCCUUUUGGUGUAUUGACAUUGCCUUGAGCAUUUAGCCCGUGUCUCAUACAUUGUACAUGACUUUUGUGUAUUAGGAGUUAUACAAAAGAUACAAGUCAUGGGUUCCUUGUAAGUAGAUAAGUUGUCCACAAUCGGUUCAUGGAUAUAAGAAAUCCAAUAGAGACUAUAGUGCAUCACCUUCUAAUUAGAGGGAUGACUUAUCUUGGCCAUCAAGAUGGGUUUCCCAUGGUGAGUGCACUAGUGUAUGUGAUGCAAAUUGGACAGGACCUAGGGUGAAUCAUGACACAAAGCUAUCAAUUAUCAUGAUUCACUAAGCUACUACACUGCAUAGACUUUCAAACAUGAGAAGAUAUUGAGUUUCUGCAAAAAUCAAUAGGAGGCUUUGACUUAUGGGUAAGACUUUAAAGUGGUCAUAUAUCCCUAUGGAUUUGGUCACUAUUGAUGGAGGUUGGUGGCAAUGGGUAUUCUCAAUAGAGACACCAUGAUAUCUCAUAAGAUUAAGACAGUGUGUCCCCUUGGGUGAUCUAAAGACAUGUGAUUGUGAAAUCUGUGGCCAUAGUAAUUACUUAAGUGGAAUUUGACAUAUUCUCUUCAAAGCUAGAGUAUGUUAUUUGAUCACAUAAUAAGUGGGAUCUAUAACUCAAGGAUUUGAGAGGUAAUCUUGAUAGGUGAAAACACUAUAUUGUUAGAUUAUGAACACUAGUUCAUGGGGAGUCUACAUGCAGUGGAUAGUAGGUCACAAACUCAAAUACUUGGUGUCUCAUUUUAAUAAAUAUAAGGUACUGGAGUGUAGUUGACUCUCUAUAGUGAGAUGCUAAGUUAAUUUCAUAAUUGAUUAUGAGAGAGCCAAUACUCCUAUGGGUCCCAAUGGUCCCCGAUCUGGGCUUAUAUUCCUUGAUGGCAUGGUUUAUGAUGGUUAGGUGGAUUUUGAAGGGAAAAACUCUGAUCACUCCACUUCCCAAGCCCAGAUUUGGGUAGCAACAUGCAUAACUAUCCUAGGCCUUUUCUAAAUCCUAUGCUCAAUGAAAAAAAUAACAUUUUUAAACCUUAAAAGGAUUCAUAAAGAGCUAACGAAAACUGAUUACUACUCAAAAAGUGCUAUUUCAUAGCUUGUAAAUAACUCUUUUAAACACUUUUGAGUAGUAGUUAUUGCCUUUUAACCCAAUUAACAUGUUAAGGACCCUUGCAAUCAAUUCUAAUCAAAUUGUGUUAAGUUUUGGUGUUUUGAUAGCUUUUUGAUCACCGAAGCAAUAUGAGAUUGAGGAGAGUUAUUUGGAAUCCAUGGCAAAGCAAUGGAAAGCUCAGAAACAUGAAGAACCAAAGCUUUGAAGUCCUUUGCCAUAAGCAAAUCCGGAAUGCAAGGAGGGGAAGCAAAGAGAAAUCUGCCAUGAAACAUUCUUGAUGUCAGUCAUGUCAGCCACUUUUGGAGCACUUCUUGGAGUUCAAUUUAUUCAUGCUAUAUGUCGUUUCGAAGCUCAGGAAGUCAGAAAUCCAAUUCUUCAAACGGUGUGUGAUUCAGAGUUGAAAUGAAGGAUUUACAGCCAUUGGAAGCCAAUCACUCCAAGCUGAAGGAAGAAUUUUGCACGGCUGCGAAAUCACCCUUUUGCUGCGAAAUGAUUUCGCAUCCAUUUUGCACAGUGCUGUGGAAUUCCUCCUGAAGUUUCCCCAUAUUUGCGACACGUUGGAAGCCGAACACUGCAAGCUGAAAGCCAACUUUGCAGCACUGCGAAAUCAGCCUUUUGCUGCGAAGUGAUUUCGCAGCCCUUUUUGUGCAUCUGCGAAAUCUCGCAAACCUCUUUUUCACCUGCGAAAUGGUCGUUAGUGCUUCUUGAUAUUUGCGACCGACAUUUUGAGAUAUUUUUCUUCAGAUAUUUUUGUAUAAAUUUUCAUUCUUCUCCUUGUAAUCCACCAACCAUAAGAUUUCUUAGCUAGGAAGGUUGGAAAAACUUCUCUAUAUAUAUUCCCUUGCAUCCAUUGUAAUAAAGAUACAUAUCAUAUAUAGAAUCAACGAACAGAGCACUUGCUCUGUUUUUCAUAUAUAUUCUUGUUUUCUCAUUAGUUUUCUUUCUAGCAAAACAUUCUCUGAGAUAUUUUCUCAGAGGAUGAGAGGCUAGGCUCUUCGUCUCUUGGAGUGAAGAAAUCCGGGUAAGCUUCCACAUGCAUAAUUUGGAAGUUUUGUUGUUUUAGUUUUUAAUGAAGAGAAAGUGUGACCCGUUAAUGGUUUUUAUCUUUUUAGUUAACUUAAAACACCUUUAAUUCACCUGAGCCAACACUUGGUAAGGCAAGUGAUCUCCGUCUAUGGAGAUGCACUAGUUUAUCUCUUGCGAGCUUUUGGUAGGUGGUUUGAAGGUAUGAUUUUCUAGAAUAGCCAACACUUGGUAAGCUUUUAGACUCCAAGGAGACAUCCAUUAGUUAUCUCUUGCGAGCUUUUGACGGGUAAUCCAAGGUUAAAGAUCACCUUGAAUGGCAAGUGCUAGGUGAGAGGUAUGAGCCAUUGCAAGGUGCAUCAAUGAGAGGGAUUUAGUGUUUGAACCCAUUAAUGGGAAGCAUCUGUACAACACCGGUUGGAGAAGGGACUAUAUGUUAAUUCUCUAAUGCGAGGAAAAGAAACAAGUGACCGGAACUCUCCUUUUUGUAUGAGGAACCUGAGCCUAGUGAUCUAAACUCCAAGAAACACUUUUCUUUGUAAGUAAAAUCAGUUACUAUUUUUGGUUAGUUUAAAACCGAACCUUUUUCAUUCAAAUAUCUUUAUGUUUUCUUUUAAAGCUAACCUUGAAAUGAAAAGGCACCAAUUCAGCUUUGAAUUAAUAUCAUUGGCAAAGUGAAAACCCAUCCCAGUGAACGAUCCUAAAGUCACUAUGCUAUAGUAGCUUUGUCUUUUCUACCCUAGUAUAUGGUGUAAUAGGUUAUAAAUUUUGUUGAUUACUCCCUCAAUCAAGGAGCACCAACUGGACACGAAUCAGCUGAGACACCAAUUGGGCAUGAAUCAAAAACCAUACCUCAGAUUCCGAUGUUCCUAAAUCAAAUCCAGGUGGUGAAAAUGAAGAAUGAAAUCACAAAAGUCUCAUAAACCUGAAGUUUUCCGUGCAAUGAAUCGAAUUGAUCUUGACACACCUCCAGUGGGGAUGGAAAGGAAUGUGGAGGCUAUAACUCUUUAUUUUUCUCUUUGGAGAUGGAAGAUGGCUCUCUAGAAAAACUAUAUGAACUUUAAGCCCUAAGAUGAGAUUUAUAGGGUUUUCUACUAGGCUUAAGUAACUUGAGCUCACUAAGUGCUUGGGUCACUUAAUCUAGCCCAAAAUGGGUCCUAAUUGAUUAAUUAACUCAAUAGGGCAUGCUAAUUAAUCAAUUAGCCCAAUCUAGAGACCUUGCUCACUUACCCUUGUGCAAUUUUUGUGUAAUUACCAAGAUGCCCUUAUGCACAAAAGUGAACCUAGAGCUAAUUCGACUCUCAUUACCCAUGCCAACAAGGUAUAUGAUUACUACCCAAAAAGUGCUAUUUUACACCUUUAAUGCAUUAUGUUUUAAGCACUUUUGUGUAGUAGUUCUCCAUCUUUAGUCCAAUUGGCAUGUUAAGGACCUAGCAAUGUCUUCUAAUCAUAUUUGUGGCUAGUUUUAGUGUUUUGACAUCUUUUUGGAUCAUUAAGACAAGCCAAUCAAAGGAGAAAAGCAAAGAGAAGCAAGGAGGAAAACAGAGGACAGCAGCUGCAGUCUUCGUUAGCACUUUUGGAGAACUUCCCGAAGUCCAUUUUCUACAUUCUAUAUACCAUUUCAAAGCUCAGGAAGUCAAGAAUCCAACGCUUCAAACCGUGUAUGAUUUGGAGCUGAAACGAGGAAGAUAUGGCUUUCGGAAGACAACUGCUCCAGGUGUGCGAAAAUUUCGCACACCCCCUUAGCUGUGCGAAUGGUGUGCGAAAUUCGCACACCCCUUGCGUGGUGCAAAUUUUGCUCUGUUUUUGCCGACUCCACUUUAGAUAUUUUCCUAUGUAUUUUUUGAUGUAAUUUCCUUUCUUAUCCUUGUAACUAACCAGUCACAAGCUUUUGCUUUUGUAAAGACUAUAUAAGGGGUGGAAAUUACCUCUUGGAUAUGAAAUAUACGUAUUACGUUUGACACUUAGAAAUUUUUACAGAGCUCUCUCGUUUUCCAUUUUCUCUCUACUAUUUUCUUUUUCUUGGAAGCCAAACAACCUCUGAGGAUGUUUUCUCAGAGGAUGAGAGGCUAAACUUUUGGUUUCUUGGAGUGAUGGAAGCUAGGUGAAAAGUCCAGAUGCAAGGUGGAAAACGCUCGUGCAUUAAAUUCAGGUAGUUGGAAUUCAUAAAUGGCUUUUAAAUCCAAAGUUUUGCUUUAAAUCCCUUAGAAUCACUUUGAAUGACCAAUACAUGGUAAGCUUUAGGUCUUUAUGGAUGCUUAUUGCUAGAUCCAUAUUAGUCCAUUAGUUAUCAUGUACGAGUCAUUGGAAAGCGGUUCAAGGUGAAGACCUAUAGUGUCUAAAGCCAUUAAUGGACUUUGACUACCAUUUAUAUUGAUUAUUAUGGAUUAAAUCUUCAUUGUUAAGCCUACACCGGUUCGGGAAAUAACUAUAGGUUAAAUUCCCAAUGCGAGGAGAAAAAUCCGGAAUUUUCCACUUUGCACUCUAAACUUGAUCCUAGCAAUCCUGAGCUCCGGGAGACUUUCCUUCUUCCAUUUUUAAUUAGUUUAUGUUAAUUUAGUUUCAAACACUUUCAAAACAAAUUUUAUUUUCUUUUAAACUCUAAGUUUUUUUUUUUUAUAAAGGAAAUCAUUAAAUUCAAUUCAUAAUCAUGAGUAUAUCACUGGUAGAAUGAAAACCCAUCCCAGAGUUCGACCCUAGAGCCACUAUACUAUAGUAGCUUUGCUACACUAGUAUGAGGUCAUAGGUUUUAUAAAUGUUUUUGAUUAAAUGACCCAUUUGGAGUUACAUGCGAAUCAGUAUAUGAGCUCAGAGCAAGGACUAUUAGGACCCAUAUGAAUAUUAGCUCCCUCACAAUCCAAUUCUAAAGUUGAUUCAACAUCCCACUAGAAAGAAUCAACUGAACUCCAGUAUCCUAUGUAAAUAGCAAUGAGACAUUAUGUGCUCAGGUUCUUGACCUGCUAUCCAUUACAUUCAGUCUCCCGAUGAACUAGUGUUCUUAGUCUAACAAGAUGAAAGCUAUCAACCUUUCAAGACUAUCUCUACUAUCUUUAAGUUAUAGAUCCUCCUAUUGUAUAUUCAACUGACACGUCUUAGCUCUCAAAGAGCCUAUGUCAAGUUUCACUUAAGGAAUUACUAUGACCAUAGUUUCUAUUAACACACCUCCUUAGGAUCACCUAAGGGGAUACACUGUCUCAAUCCCAUGAGAUAUCAUGGUGCCUAUAUUGAGAAUACUUUUUGCUACCAACUUCUAUCAACAAUGACCUGAUCCAUAAGGAAUAUAUGAUCAACUUACGAUCUCACCCGUAGGUUAAAACCAUUGCUAACUUUAGCAUACGCUUAAUAUUCUCUCAAGGUUAAGAGACAACACAAUGAAGCAAUUUGGUGAGGUCAUGACUACUUGAUAGCCUUAAGUCAUGACUCACCAUAGGUCUUAUCCAAUGUGUAACCAUACACACUAAUGCACUCACCAUGGGAAACCUCUCCCCAUAGCUAAGACAAGUCAUCACUCCAAUUAGGAAGUAGUGCACUACAACCUCUAAUGGGUUGCCUAGACCCAUGAACUAGUUGUGAACAAGUAAUCUAUUUGCAAGAAACCCAUGACUUGGAUCUUCUGUGCAACUACUAAUGCACCUAAGUCACAUACAAUGCAAAAUAUGCAAGUAGGAAUGCUCAUAAAAUAUAAUACAUGGAAUAAGGAUAGACAAAAGUGAAAUUGGAACAUCAUUUAAUAAAUAAUGAAUUCCAAAUUUAUUACAUCAUGUCAUGCUUUUAAGGGCUCUAUCCUAGCAUUCUCCUACUAGCCCUCAAAGCGUCAUGCUUAUAAAGCAUGCUAAAUACUCAUUUGAAACCUAUGCUAUCCUUGUGACUAACAAAGACUCUCCUUGUCAAUGUCUUGGUGAAGGGAUCCACCAGGUUCUCCAUAUAAGGUAUCUUGUCCCAUAUCAUGUCACCUUCUAAACUAUUUCAACACUUUGGAGCACAAGCACAUAAUCCCUCGUUCUCCUAAGAUACUUCAGUAUAUGCUUGAUAGCAGUUUAGUGUUCUGGACCUGGAUUAAACUAAUAUCUACUUACCAUACCCAUUACAACAUAAAUAUUUAGCCUAGUACAUAGCAUCGCAUGCAUAAGGCUACCCACUAUAGAGACAUAGGGUACUGAUUGGAUGCGUUUUUUCUCCUAGGUGUUUUAGGACACUGAUCCCAAGAAAGAAGAAUUCCAUGCCUAAAAUGUAACAAACCUUUCUUGGAAUCUUGCAUCACAUACUUGACCAAAAGCUUAUCUAUGUAGGUAGCUUGAGAUAGCACUAGUUUCUUAUUCUUACGGUCCCUAAGGACCUUAAUCCCAAGAAUAUACUACACUUCUCCCAAAUCCUUAAUCUGGAAUUGAGUAGAUAAACAGAACUUUACUGAUGACAAUAACCCUACAUCAUUACCAAUGAGUAAAAUGUUGUCAACAUACAAGAUCAUAAAGACCAUCAUGCUUCCGUGCUCCUUCUUUUUACACACAAGGUUCAUCCUCAUUUUGAUCAAAGUCAAAGGUCUUGACUGCCUGAUUGAAACAUUUAUUCUAUGAGUGGGAUGCUUGUUUUAGUCCAUAAAUGGAUUUAUGCAAUUUGUAUACCAUAUGCUCUUAACCCUUUGCUACAAUACCUUUUGGUUACACCAUAUAGAUGCUCUCAUCAAGAUUUCCAUUUAAGAAUACAAUCUUGACAUCCAUUUUCCAUAUCUCGUAGUCAAGAUGUGCUGCAAUGGAUAGGAGUAUUCUAAUGGACUUGAGCAUGGCUAUCGACGAGAAGGUCUCAUCAUAGUCAAAACCAAGUUUCUGACUAUAACCCUUCACUACAAGCCUAGCCUUAAAAGUCUCAACCUUUCCAUCUACUCCUCUCUUUCUCUUAUAGACCCACUUACACCUUAUGGGUUUUAUACCUUCAAGUGCUUCUACAAGCUCCUAGACUUGGUUAGAAUGCAUAGAUUCUAACUAUACUUCCAUAGUCUUUUACCAAAAAUGUGCAUCCACAUCGCUCAUUACUUCAUCGUAAUAUGUGGGAUCGAUCUCAUGUUCCUUUAGAAUGACCUCAAAAGACUCUCCCAAAACAUGAAUUGGUCUAGUUGUUUAACAACCCUCCCACUACAAUGAAGCAUCAGUGUACUAGAAAUGAGAAUGGUUGGUACUAGAUCCAUAGUAUCUAGUGUAUAGUGAAACUAUCUUCUAGAUUGUUUGCCUUAUUACAUGUCAUAGAGUCUUCAUAAAAAAUCUAGUAUUUGUAGCAAGCAACACCUUAUGAUAAUCCUGACUAUAACGUAGUAAUCCUGAAAUCCUCUUGGAUAUCCUAUAAACUAAUACACCUCUUUAGAAAAAGAAGAGGUAUUACAUAGUCUUUAAGAUAUAUCCCCAAAGAAUAUGGGAAGUAAUGAGAAACCAAUCACCGAUCUCACUUUGUCUACCAAAGUUUAAUAUAUUCUUUCCAUUACUCCAUUUUGCAAUGGAGUCCUUGGGGCACACAAUUGUGAUAUGAUCUCAUGCUUCAUUUGGAAAGAAUCAAACCUACUAGACUAACCACCUCAAUCUAAUCGAAGUGCCUUGAUAUGUUUACCCAUUAGGUUAUCCAAUUCUGCCUUAAAUUCAAUGAGUUUAUUCAAGGCAUCAUAUCUCCUAUCUAUAUAUCCAAAACUAAAGUAUUUAUCAAUAAAAUGAUCAAAGACUCACACUUUCAAUAUAUAAACACAAAAAGGUUCACAUACAUUAGUAUGCACUAACUCCAAACAUUCCUUGGUUCCAAGUCUUUUAAAAAUAAAAGGGUCUCUUAGUCAUUUUACCAUCUAUAUAAGAUUUAUAGACUAAAAGAUCUUCUAGAUUAAGAAGGUCCAAACUUAAUUAGUAUUUGGAUCAAUAUGACUUAGGUGUUAGAAGCCAAAUGUUUGAUUCGUUCUAGGUUCUUUCUUUUGGUGAGAUUUAACUAUUCUCAUUACUUGGCAAAGUGAUAAUGGAGUCUCACAUAGAAAAGGUAAUACCUCCCACUAACAUGCACAACUAAUCUUACAACUGAAGCUAAGGUAAGUACAAUCCCAUUAUGUGACCUUCUCACUUGUUGAAAACCUUGUAAAGAACUACAGAUAGUGGGCCUGGAAUCUAUCCACCACUAUGUAUUCAACAACAAGAACAUGAUGUGUACUUGUCUAUUCUUAAACACUCCAAGCAUUCCAUGUUUAAGUGUCCUAAAAGGCCAUAAAGGAAUCAUUGCCCAUGAGCUUGUUCUCUCAUUAUUUUUCUUGAACUUUCCUUAUUUGGUGUUGUUCUUUUCCUUCUUGGUAGAAGAACCUAAAGAACCUUGACUUCCAUAUGAACACCUUUCAACUCUUUGAGAAUCUUCUUAACCAUACUAAAAGAAUCCGGUAAGAUCUUUAGGAUAACAUGAAUCUUGGUGUUCAUAAUAGUCCUAAGGGCAACUUGUUUAGUUGACUUACUCUUAUUACCAAAUAACCCUUUCAACUUUAAAGAGAAUAUCAUAGACUAUGGAAAUAGACAUAUGUUGUUUUUGCAACACUUUAUCUAAAGACCCAAGUAUGAGAGACUUGGCCUUUUGAUUUGUCUUAUGCCAUAUUUGAUAUGUUUCUCUUACUUCAUGAUAGGUUUGUUCAAUGGAAAUAACAAACUCUACCAAAAUCAGCUUCUAUGCAAUUAAUACUAUACCCAGAUUAUUCAUAGUCUAUCAUUAGGUCCAAUUUAAACAAAAGAUAAUAGGCAACAAGUUAAAGACAUGAUAUCUAUAAAAAAUAUAAUAAUUCCAUGCAUUAAUAAAAAGAAAUUGAGCAUUCAAGGCAAGUUGGUAAUUAAUUUAGUAAAAAAGUAGUUCUCUCAAACUACAUAUCCUUUUGUAAGGUAUCCUAGUAUCAUAAGAAUCAAGCCAACUUUAUGUAGGUCACGACUCUUAUUACUAGGGUAGAGACCCUCUCUAAUUGAUCAACUUGCCUUAAACUUUAAAAGUUAUCAUAAGGCAUUGAUCAACAUAGCUUUAUGUUUAGCCCUUAGUCCAUGCAAGUGGGACCACUUUAGGUGAUUUUACCACUUCAUGUCUAAGUUAAGUAUGUAACCAAGAUCCUUGACAUCAAUGUUACCAAGUGAAGAGUUCCAUCUUUAGGGUUGACUAGUCUCACUAUAAACAUAUAUAGUCUUGUCCAUAAAGGAUAGUCUUUAUUCCUUGAUUCCUUGGGCCACCCUAUCUUUAAGAUGGUGAUGCACCCAAAAUCAAGAUGGGCUUGGUCUUGGAGGUUAUGGGCUUGCCUAUGGCCUACUCCUACUUAAUAUUUUGGAAAAGAGGCUUUAAGAUAAUUUUGGUAACUAUCUUAAAAUAAAUUAUCUAUCAUGAGAAUUUCCAAAACUUUUAUUUAUCACUUGAAUUGGGACUCUUGUACCAAAUAGGGAUAUAUUUCAUAUUCCUUAUCCUUGAACUUUCCUUUUCAAACUAAACAUAUUCCUCAUUCUCUUAGAGGAGAAGAUGUUGGAAGACCAAUUUAAUUGUCAUUCUCCUUCUCUCUAGGGAGGAAGGCUUGGAAAACCACUUAAGCCAAAUAAAGAAAAGUCCCAAAAGGAAUUUGAAAUUCCAAAUGAAAACAACCAAUUCCUUAAAUAAAUAAUAAUGGAAAUAAAACUCAUGAAAAUGUAUUCUUUUAAGAAAAUCCAAAAUUACCAUUUUAAUUUAUUUUAUUUGAAACAAUAUCUUGGUAAGCUAUAUUAAUAAUGAAUCAUCUAUCAUAUAUUUUUCUAAAAAUAAUUUAUUUCUUUAAAUUAGAAUCUUGUGCUAAAUAGGAAAGAUUUUAUUUCACAAAGGCUUGGAAAACUAAAACUUCUUCCUUAUAAUAAAAAAAUUCUUAGAGAUCUAAAAUCUAAAAAAAAUUAUUUUGGAAAAGAAAAUCUCUAAGAGUUUAAUUUUGAAAUGGAAGUAGGUUCCUUAUUACUUUCCAACUUAGCUUUUCUUAAAAUAAAAAUUUCUUAAUCCCUAUCACAUUCCAAUUUAAUAAAUUAUCUAAAACAAGAAAAAAAAAAUAUGAAAAUUCAUUUACUUAAGAAUGCCAAAAUAUAUUCUAUGUCAAGAAUAAAAAGGCAUAAAAGAUAUAAAAGGAAAUUAAAUAAAUAAUUUUCAUGGUCUUAUGGAUCUUGCUGCAAAUUUGGAUAAAAUCCAAAUUAUCAAAAUAGUCCUGCAACCAAAGAUAGGGUUAAUGAAAAAAGAAAAACCCAACAAGCCCAAUUGCCACAAAAAAAAAGCCUAAAAAAAAGCCCAAAAAAUUGAGCUCAAACAACCAAAAACAAUUUGGCCCAAACUCAAUCCUGUAAUUGCAUGCCCUUUGAGCAGCCUUGCUUCAAUCAACCGUAUCUCCCUCGUUUCAACUCUGAAUUGUGAUAUUUUUGAAGCAUUAAAUUCCUGUAUUCCUAAGCUUGAAAACCAUAUAUGGUUUUCCCCAAAAAUCUCAUGGGAGGUAGCCCCGAUUUUGAGUUAAAUUCAGCAUCAUUGUGCUGCCAUGGUCUUUGCGCAACCUUACUUCAAUUGAUUAUAACUCCCUUGUUUCAACUCCAAAUUGUGAUCCAUUUUAAGCCUUGGAUUCUUGACUUCCUAAGAUUGAAAACCACAUGUGGUUUGACCUAAAAAAACUCAUGGGAAGUUAUCCCGAUUUUAAUCUUAAGAUGACAAAAUUGUGCUGCCAAGGAUCUCAAAUCAAGAAUUUCCAAGAAUCUUUCUUUUCCCUUAAAUCACCAUAGGAACUUAUGAAAGAAACUUCAAGAAGCCUUAUUUUCUCUUUUCCAAAAAGGGAAUGUGAGGAAAAAUUUUGUGAUGCUUCAGACUGCUUCCAUAAUCUCCAUACGUUGCAAAAAAUGAUAAAAAAAAAAAGGAUUUGGAGUUUACAUAUCAUUCUAAGAUAAAAAUGGGAUUUUUACAAAAGAACAAAAAUCCUAUGCCUGUUUUGAGGCUUACAACCCAUCUAGAAAAAGUAAACAACAAUCCCAGUAAUUAUUACAUCCCUAAUAAAAAAAAUCACAAUAAUAAAGAAUCCACAUUAAUUAUCCCUAGUGUCAUGGGAUAAACACAUACCCUACAAAAUAAAGUUAGCACACCCUAUAAUGGUUCUAGCACGAUUACUAACCUAUGGCUCUAAUACUAGUUGAUGGGAAAAACCUGGAUAUUUCCAUUUCCCAAGCUCGAAUCAGGUUAGGAAUAUGUAUAACUAUCUUAGGCUUUUUCUAAAUCCUAUGCAUAGCGGAAAAAUAACAUUUUUAAACUUUAAAGAGAUUCAAAAGGCGUUAACAAAAACCAUACCUCAAAUUUGGAUGUUCUUGAAUCAAAUCCAUGUGGUAAAGAUGAAGAACGAAAUCGCAGAAGUCUUGUAAACCCGAAGUCUUCUGUUCGAUGACUCAAAUCUUAAUCUUGACACUUCCGGUGGGGAUGGAAGAGAGGUGAAGGCUACUGUUAGGAUAGAGCCCUUAAAAGCAUGAUAUCAUGUAAUAAACUUAAAAUUAAUUAUUUAUUUCAUGAUGUUCUAGUUUCACUUUUAUCUAUCCUUAUUCCAUGUAUUAUACUUUAUGAGCAUUCUUAUCUGCAUCUUUUGCAUUUUAUGUGACUUAGGUGCAUUAGGAGUUGCAUAGAAGAUCUAAGUCAUGGGUUCUUUGCAAAUAAAUGACUUGUUCACAACCAGUUCAUGGGUCUAGGCAACCCAUUAGAGGUUGUAGUGCACCACCUCCAAAUUGGAGGGAUGAUUAGUCUUGAAUACUGGGAUAGGUUUUCCAUGGUGAGUGCACUAGUGUGUAUGGUUACACAUUGGACAGGACCAAUGGUGAGUCAUGACUUAAGGCUAUUGAUUCGAUGCCCAGCCGGGUCUUUUAAUCAAAAACAUUUAUAAAACCUAUGACCUUAUACUGGCGUAGCAAAGCUACUAUAGUAUAGCAGUUCUAGGGUCGAACUCAGGGAUGGGUUUUCACUCUAUCAGUGACAGACUCUAAAUUAGAAAUUGAUUCUGAUGAUUUCCUUUAGCACAAACUUGAAAUUUAAAAGAAAAUAAAAUUGUUUUGAAAGUGGUGAUUUAAACUAAACUCACAUAGAACUAAGUAAAAAGUGGAAGAAAGAAAGUCUCCUGGAGUUAAAGGUUGCUAGGUUCAAGUUCCAGAUGCAAAGUGGAAAAUUCCGGAUUUUUCUCCUCGCAUUGGGGAUUUAACCUAUAGUUAUUUCCCGAACCGGUAUAGGUUUGACAAUGAAGUUUUAAUCCAUAAAAAGUCACUAGAGAUGGUAGUCAAGGUCCAUUAAUGGCUUAAGACACUAUGGGCUAUCACCUUGAAUCACUUUCCAAUGGCUCGUACAUGAUAACUAAUGGACUGAUAUGGAUCUAGCAAUAAGCAUCCACAGAGACCUUAAGCUUACCAUGUAUUGGCCAGUCAAAGUGAUUCUAAGGGAUUUAAGGCAAAACCUUGGCUUUAUAAACCAUUUAUGGACUCCAACUACCUGAAUUUAAUGCACGGAAACUUUCCAUGUUUUAAUCUGGACUUUUCACCUAGCUUCCUUUACUCCAAGAAACUAAAUGUUUAGCCUCUCAUCCUCUGGGAAAACAUCCUCAGAGGGUGUUUGGCUUGCAAGAAAAUAGAAAAUAGAAGAGAGAAAAAGAAAGCAAAAGAGAUCUCUGUAUUUCACUAAGUAUCAAAUUUACAUCAUUUGGUCUCCUGGAGAAAGCUCCCCGAAAGAUUCAUUUUCAGUGAUUACAAGAGAAUUUAUAUAGGAAGGUAAUUUUACCCUUCCUUGGAUACUUCCUAGCUAAGGAAUUACAUGAGUGGUUGAAUACAAGGAGAAAAUGGAAAUUUAGACACAAAAAUAUCAGAAGAAAAAGAGUCGGCAAAAAUAUCCAAUUUUCGCACGCUGGAGUUCCAAUUUCGCACUUUGAUUUGAGGUGUGCGAACUUUUCGCACAGUGGACUGAGGAAUUCGCACCUUGAUUUCCAUCGUGCGAAAUUGUCCCUCAACUUGAUGCAAUUGUCUUCCGAAGGCCAUAUCUUUCUCAUUUCAGCUCCAAAUCGUACAUGGUUUGAACCGUUGGAUUUUUGACUUUCUGAGCUUUGAAAUGGUAUAUAGAAUGUAAAAAAUGGACUUCGGGAAUUGCUCCAAAAGUGCAAUGAAAGACUGCAGCUGUGUCCCCUGUUUUCAUCCCCUGUUUUCCUCUUCUCCAUUGUUUCUUCCUUGUAUACUUUGAACGACUAAGGCAAAGGAUUAUGAGGCUCCAUAGCUUGAUUUCUUCAUAAAUUUAAGCUUUCAAAAGCUUUGCCAUGAACUAUAAAUAGCUCUCCCUCAUUCUUAAAUUGCUUUGGUGAGCAUAAAGCUAUCAAAAAGCACCAAAACUUAACAUAAUUGUUAGAAACGAUUGCAAGGGUCCCUAACAUGUUAAUUGGGUUAAAAGGUAAUAAUUACUACUCAAGGGUGUUUAAAAGAGCUAAUUACAAGCUACAAAAUAGCAUGUUUUGAGUAGUAAUCACUCCCCCCAACCGACAUAUUGCUAGUCCCUUAGCAAUUAAGGAGAGAAAAACUAAGCAAACGUAAUAAUAUACAUAAAAGAGGUCAUGCAAUUCAUUCCAAAAAAUAAUUGAGAGGCAUGACUGAUAUCCAAACACAUCUCCCCUGGUGAACUAAAGAUAUGAAGAUUCAAAAUGCAAUAGGAGUUGUCAAAGCUUAAAACUUAAACAAAAAGUACAAAGAGUGGAGAUUAUGCAAUUAAGUAUCAAAAGAAUCUCUACUCUCAAGGUUCCAAAUCAAACUCUUCCAUAAUAAGCUAAGUGUUAAUGAGAUUAGCUUCCGGAUAUAGUAUAUACAACUAUCCUCACCUUCCAACCUAAGCUUUUCUCGAACAUUGGCAAAAUUAAUCAACUCUUAAUAGGUUAGGAACGCACCUUCUUAUUCACAAUUCUUUUUACUCACUAAUCUUAACCAAUUCACCUAUGUAGCAAGCAGAGGAUCGAUGACUCCCAACCAAUCAAGGUUUAGGGCAUCGGGUUUUAAAGGCUUUCGCCACCCCUUCGGAUCAUGCUUAGGUUUCAAGGAAAGAAUAGAAGCUUAUUCUUUUUUUUUUUUUUUUUUUCAAAGACUCAUUGGUCUUUAUGAGGUGUCCCAACACUAUUAAAGAGAGGUUAAGUAAUGAACCAAGUCAAAAUUUUCCUAAGCUUAGAAGGUGAGAAAGUUUUACAUCAUAUAUCCGGGAUCUAAUGUGCACAGUGGUGUAAAGCUUGAAAUGGAAGAAGAAAGUUCGAAAUCAAAGAGGCUUCAAUAGAUUAUCAACUUUGAAAGCAUAAAACAAACUCUAAGACUUAAAUAAUUAAGUUAAAACUCGACUUAUCCUAUUUUAUUUUUGAGAAAUUAUCUUUAACAACCAUAGAGAAUGAUUCAAAAAACUUUUAAAAAUUUUAAAUUUUAAGCAAAAAUCAACUAAAAUACCAAAAUAACUUAGUAUUAACAACAAAACUUCCUUUCUCAACUCUCCCCCCAACCAAGUUGAACAUUGUCCUCAAUGUUUCAAAAGCGAUUAAAAAUAAAGGGAGGAAGUGGUACCUCCUGAGUGAGACAAAGUCUGAGUGUAAAGGAGGUAUGGAGUACCUUAAACCACAUGUUCCAAGGACAAAAGAGUAAUGAGAAAAGGGAAUAUAAUCAAAAAGGAUAUAUAUAUAUAUAUAUAUAUAUAUAUUACUUGUAAAAGAAAUAUACAAUGUAUGAUUUCAAGUAAUACUUCCAAUCCCAGUUUAUAACACAUGCAAAAGAUGGGAUUUACAAGUCUAAAAUAAAAAACAAGUAAAAUAUAAAAAUAUCAAAUAUGAGGGGUGUCAUGUGAUGGCUCUGCUCUGAUCUCCUCCUCUGGUAUGGGCUGCUCAGCUGGUAAGCUCUCCUUAUCUGGCACUAGAGGCUCGGAUGGUGCAGACCUAUCAUGCCCAAAAGGUGUCUGCAUACUCAAAUGCUGCUGAAUCUGAUGAAGGAUCGUGGUAUGUUGGGCCUGAGUAGCAAUGAUCUGAUCCUGGUGUGCCCGAAUAGUGGUCAUCUGGUGGAUAAUAGAAUCCUGAGCAGUGCUCAGUGUCCGCAAUGAACGCUCUAAGCCUCUGAAUUCCGUAAGAGAAACGGUGACAGUGGGCUCAGAUGAAAGAGGAGGUGCUGGGGUAGCUGGCAUGACUGGUGGAGCACCCGAAGUGAUAGAAGAAAUAGGAUGUAUAGGCUCAGGAAUAUGCUCUGAGGGGUGUUCUGCAGGGGCAGGAGGUGUGGUCUCUAUGAGAAUCUCAUCCUGCUGGGCCUGAGGCAUCUGCUCAUCUUGGGGUAGCUCUGGAGGUGCAGGCACAGCUGGGGCUCCCUGGGGUGCAAAGUAGGCUACCAAGUGAUGCCAUUUGUCGAGAGAGAAGUCCUCUCGGCAAUGGCGGCGCCUCUCAAGACGGGGCUGUUCAGGAUAGCCCAGGUGCUCUAAAAUCUGGCAGAGGAGCCUCGAAAAUAGUAAUGGGAUGCCAUCUGCCUUUUGAAGCUUCUUCUGAUGGACUUUCUCUUCAAAAUGAAGAAGAGAAGUCAUAAUCAAAUGAUGAGGGCCGAAAAAAUAGCCCUCAGAAAUCCUAAAUAACGCCUCAAGUAUAGCUCCUCGCCUCUGAACUUUGUGCUGAAGGGGGAAAAGGUUGGCACGCAGGAGCACAUCAAUAAGGAGCAUCCCAGAUGGAAGCUCUCUCCUAGUCAACACUGAGGCUGUAGAAGUCCCCCUGGACAAAAUGCGGACCAUGUCACUCUGAGAGAAUGAGGACCACUCCCUGAAGUCUGCCUGAAUCACAGGCUCAUAAGGUAUACGGAGGGCCUCAACAAUGUGACGAGCUCCAAUGGCACCCUGGCGUCCAUCUAUGGUAAAUUGGAUGAGGGUAGGAUUACGGAGGCCUCGAGUAGUCAUAGAUUGAUAAAAAUCUAUAACUACUCUGGGAUAGUAGAAUUGCCUAGGAGUGAGAAGAUCCUCCAUGUGAUACCUCUGUAGUAGUCGGAAUGAAUCUCUGAGCUCUGGCUGCUGUCUGAGGGCCUCUAUAUCAAAGUAGGUCUCGGAAUGGAAGGAUCGAUCUCUGCAAUCCAAGUUGCCCUCUAUCGGUGGUCCGGCUAUCAUGGGACGCCUGAUAACAGUCUCAGGAGUAAUCCCCACAGGAAUCCGAGAGUCCUCUGUAGGUGGCUCUGACUGAGGUGCGUGGGAUGGUUCUCCAGGACCCGAGAACUUGGUUCUCUUCGCUGGUGGCCGAGAAACAGAGUUCGUGGCUUGAUCGGCUGGUGGCACAGGGUCCGUGGGUGGUCUCCUGGUGGGGUAUCGGCGCUGAGAAGGGGCUUCCCCCUCAGAUGGGGGAAUGGCCGGGGCCUGAACAGGUGGCGAAGCUGCGGCUCCCAUGGCGGCUCGAUGUGGUCGAGGUGUCGGUGAGGAUGGGGAGCCGGAAAGGCCUCCUCUGGUCUUCGCCAUGGCCGAAAUGGAGGUGGGUGACUGUUUGGGAUUCCAGAGGCUUCUCAGCUGGUUCGUGGGGGAGUCCUUUGAGCUUCUGGACUUCAAGGGAUUAUAUAGGAAUGAGGUUUAGGGGGUUUUUUAUGUUUUAAAAUUUUCCAAGGCAACCGAAAAGUCGUUUUUGGACGUUAGGCACAAUUUCGGGGGUAAAAUUUUAAUUUAAAAGUCCGUUGAAAAUUUUUUUGGAACUUAAAAUUUUACCGUGCGAAAUUUUCGCACCUUGGUCUGCAAAUUUCGCACCUUGAAAUUAGGUGUGCGAAAAUGGCACCCCUUUAACUGAGGAUUUCGCACCUUAAAAUGAGGUGUGCGAAAUUUUCGCACCUUGAAAUCAGGUGUGCGAAAUUUUCGCACCUUGUUUCGCACGGUGCGAAAAGUGGCUUGAGGUGUGCGAAAAUGGCACUCGUGUGCCAGGAGGGGAUUUCGCACAGUGAGAAAAUUUUCGCACCUUGCACAGUGGUGUGCGAAAUUGGUUUUUAGGGAAUUCGCACCUUGAAAUCAUUUUUCGCACCUUGAAAUAAAUUUCGCACCUUGGUUUUGGGGUGUGCGAAAAUGGCUCCCUUUGGACCGAGGAUUUCGCACCUUGGUUUUGGGGUUUGCGAAAUUUUUGCACCUUGGAAUCAGGUGUGCGAAAUUUUCACACCUUGAAAUCAGGUGCUCUGUUUCCUUGGUUUUACUCCCCUUUCUUGCUUUUGAAGAGUUCUCCCCAUCUUUCAUGAUUUUUUUCUGAAAUUUAUCAUCAAAAUUGACUUGAAUUAAGACAAAAUAAACUAAGAUUGAGGAAAAAUUAUAAUAAAAAGAAAUAAAAAUAAUGAUAUAACUAUAAAAUUAUAAAAAAAUUCAUGGACUUAUUUAGCCCAUGAUACCCUGCUUUCCCUCAGAGUUGUGGUGGUUCAAGGAGGUUGAUCUCCUCCUUGUCUGUACUGUAAGGCUCUAUGAAUGGCUUGAGACGAUGGCCAUUAACUUUGAAGGUUUGAUUGCCUGUGGGAUUGAAUACUUCCACCACUCCAUUGGGGUGUACUUCAUGAAUUAUGAAAGGACCCGUCCACCUGGAUUUCAAUUUUCCUGGAAAGAGAUGAAGUUUAGAGUCAUAAAGCAAAACUUUUUGUCCUUUGGUAAAAUUUUUCUGAUUUACCAACUGAUCAUGCCAUUUUUUCAAUCUUGCUUUUGCAAUUUUUGAAUUGAGGUAUGCAUCAUUCCUCAUUUCCUCUAAUUCAUUCAAAUCCAAACAUCUCUUUAACCCGGCUUUUGUCAAAUCCAUGUUAAGCUUUUUGAUUGCCCACCAUGCUUUAUACUCAAUCUCUACUGGAAGAUGACACGCUUUGCCAUAAACAAGGCGAUAGGGAGACAUUCCUAGAAUGGUCUUGUAAGCGGUCCUAUAAGCCCAUAAGGAAUCCAGGAGCUUGAUAGACCAAUCCUUCCUAUUCACAUUGACCACCUUCAUCAAUAUAUUCUUGAUCUCUCGGUUGGCUAACUCAACUUGGCCACUUGUUUGGGGGUGAUAAGGUGUAGCUACCUUGUGCUUAACCUCAUACUUGGCUAGAAGAGUCUCAAAAGGUUUAUUGCAAAAGUGGGUUCCCCCGUCACUUAUAAUGGCUUUUGGCACUCCAAAUCUUGCAAAGAUGUGGUCCUUGAGGAAUUUAAGUACCACUUUAUGAUCAUUGCUCCUACAUGGGAUUGCUUCUACCCACUUAGAGACAUAAUCCACUCCUACCAAGAUGUAGGAAUGUCCAAAUGACAUUGGAAAUGGUCCCAUGAAGUUUAUACCCCAGACAUCAAAGAUAUCCACUAUUAAGAUGGGGUUCAAGGGCAUCAUAUUUCGGCGUGUUAGCUUACCAAGCCUUUGACACCGAUCACAUCCCUUGCACAUAGAAUGGGCAUCCUUGAAAAGAGAGGGCCACCAGAAGCCUGAUUGGAUCACUUUCAUAGCUGUUUUCUGGGAGGCAAAAUGACAUCCACAUGCACUAUCAUGGCAAUGGGAGAGAAUUCCCGAUUGCUCUUGCUCAGGAACACAUUUCCUUAUAAUUUGAUCUGCACAAUAUUUGAAAAGGAAAGGUUCCUCCCAAUAAUAGGCAUGGAUCUUAGCCAAGAAAUGCCUCUUGUCUUGAGCACUCCACUCACUUGGUACUUCUCCAGUAACCAAAAAGUUUGCAAUGUGAGAAUACCAUGGAGCUACAUCUACUGACAUGAGAGACUCCUCAGGGAAGUCAUCAUUGAUAGGCAGACCAUGUGAGUCAUGUGCUAUCACAAGUCUGGACAAGUGGUCAGCUACCACAUUUUCUACCCCCUUUUUAUCCCUGAUUUGGAGAUUGAAUUCUUGGAGCAAAAGAAUCCAUCUUAUCAAUCUUGCCUUGGCAUCCUGCUUGGUUAGCAAGUACUUCAAAGCAGAAUGGUCAGUGAACACCACUAUAGAGGACCCUACCAAAUAAGCACGAAACUUAUCCAAGGCAAAAACUACUGCCAACAGCUCCUUCUCAGUAGUUGUGUAGUUCUUUUGAGCCUCAUUCAAAGUUUUGCUUGCAUAAUAGAUCACAUAGGGCUUUCCAUUCUCUCUUUGCCCCAAAACAGCCCCCAUAGCAAGAUCACUUGAAUCACACAUUACCUCAAAAGGUAAUUUCCAAUUUGGGGCUCUCACUAUUGGUGCAGUUGUGAGGAAUUGUUUCAAUUCCUCAAAACUUCUCUGACACUUCUCAUCCCACACAAAUUUGGCAUCCUUUACCAAAAGGUCACACAGAGGUUUUGAGAUUUUUGAGAAAUCCUUAAUGAACCUCCUAUAGAACCCGGCAUGUCCAAGGAAUUGCCUAAUUCCUUUAACAUUUGUGGGAGGUGGCAACUUAACAAUCAGCUCCACCUUUGCCUUAUCUACCUCAAUGCCAUUUUUGGAGAUGAUAUGUCCUAAGACAAUUUCUUUUUGUACCAUAAAAUGACACUUCUCCCAAUUUAGCACUAGGUCUUUCUCAAUACAUCUAUGGAGAACAGCUUCUAAAUGCAUCAAACACUCCUCAUAAGAACUUCCAUAUACAGUGAUGUCAUCCAUGAAAACUUCCAUGAUGCGUUCCACCAUAUCACUGAAGAUGCUUAGCAUGCAUAUUUGGAAAGUUGCAGGAGCAUUACAUAGACCAAAGGGCAUUCUCCUAUAUGCAAAAGUACCAAAGGGACAAGUGAAGGUCGUCUUUUCUUGAUCUUCCAAAUCAAUUUCUAUUUGGAAGUACCCUGAAUAACCAUCUAGAAAACAAUAGAAAGGAUGUCCUGAGAUUCUCUCAAGGACUUGGUCCAUGAAAGGCAAUGGAAAAUGGUCCUUCCUAGUCACUGAAUUCAACCUCCUAUAGUCUAUAGACACCCUCCAUCCUGAGGUAGGACGUGUAGAGACUUCUUCCCCUUUCUCAUUCUGGAUCACAGUAAUUCCAGAUUUCUUUGGGACUACUUGGGUGGGACUCACCCACAAGCUGUCUGAAAUGGGAUAUAUGAUCCCAGCUUGAAGUAGCUUCAAAACUUCAUUCCUCACCACUUCUUGCAUGUGAGGAUUCAGUCUCCUUUGGGGUUGCCUCACUGGUUUUGCAUCUUCCUCCAUAUAAAUAUGGUGGGUGCACACCAAAGGGCUAAUCCCUUUCAGAUCAGAAAUUUGCCAUCCAAUGGCUUUCUUACAUUUUCUGAGGACUCCUAAAAGACUAUCCUCUUGAUCACUAGUGAGGGUUGAGGAAACUACCACUGGACAUUUCUCAUCAUCCUCCAAGUAUGCAUACUUCAAAUCCACAGGAAGUGGCUUUAAAAUAAGCUUUGGAGGGUCCUCCACAGUAACUCCUUGUGAGUCUUCCUGGUUGAACAGUGGUAAGAUCUCUUCCCGUCUCCUCCAAGGAGACAUUAUGGCUAGCACAUCAAAGGGUUCAGGGAACCCAUCUUCAAGGACUUCCAGGUUUUCAUUCAAGCUCUCCUCUAAACUCUUGUCACAGUGCUCUUCAACCAAAGUGUUGAUCAAGCACAUCUCCUCGAAUCCUUCCUCCUCUUCAGGGUAAAGAUGCCUCUUACAUAAAUGGAAUAUGUUUAAUUCCAAUGUCAUGUUUCCAAAUGUGAGCUGCAUCACCCCAUUCCUACAAUUAACAAUAGCAUUGGAGGUAGCUAGGAAAGGUCUCCCUAGGAUGAUUGGUACAUAAUUUUCUUCCUUGACAGUGGAAUCAGUAUCAAGCACCACAAAAUCCACAGGAUAGUAGAAUUUGUCCACUUGAACUAGAACAUCCUCUAUCACUCCCCUUGGGAUUUUGACAGACCUAUCAGCUAAAGAGAGGGUCAUGGUUGUGGGCUUUAAUCCUCCUAGUCCCAAUUGUUUAUACACAGAGUAUGGGAGCAAAUUCACACUUGCUCCCAAAUCUAAUAAAGCUUUUUCCACAUGUGUCCCUCCAAUGUUGACUGAUAUGGUGGGACAUCCCGGAUCUUUAUACUUAACUGGGGACUUACUCUAGAUGAUAGCACUCACUUGCUCAGUGAGGAAUGCAUUCUUUGUCACCUGUAAACCUCUCUUGACUGUGCACAAGUCCUUUAGAAACUUUGCAUAUGUGGGGACUUGCUUGAUCAUAUCAAGUAAAGGUAUAUUCACCUUCACUUGUCUCAGAACUUCAAGAAUUUCUGAUGAAUUCUUGAUUUCUUUCUUUCCAUGUAAAGCUUGAGGAAAAGGGGGAGGCAUAUGUUUCUUCAUCAUAUCCUCCUUAAUCACUAUCCUUGGUUCUUCUUCAAUGCUUGAUUUGGAUGCACUUUUCUUCCCACUCUGCUCUUCUUGGUUAUUGCCCUCUUUGAUCAAGGGUCUCUUUGAUCUGAGUUCUUCAUUAGGCCCCACGUUAGGCAAGGGUUGAUCAACCUCCUUCCCACUUCUCAAAGUGAUCACAGCUUUGACCUCUCUCAAAUUUGAAGACUCACCAUCUUGGGUUUCAAUUUCAUGAACACCCUUGGGAUUUUGGCUUGGUUGAGAGGGGAACUUUCCCUUCUCAAUCACUGUGUUUAGGUUGGUAAGCCUAGAGAUGGAGUACUGAAUAUUAUCUAUCUUCUGAGAUAGAUCAUUUUGCAUCCCCUCCAUUCUCUUUAUUUGAGAACUCUCAACAUUUUCAAUCUUUUGAUGCAAUUGGGAGUUAAUUGUCUUUUGUUUACCCACAAAGUCACCCAUGACUUUACUCAGGUUUACAAUGGCUUGCUCCACUGAAGAUGGUUGUUGAGGUACUUGGGUUUGGCCUUGUGGUUGGUAUGGAGGUGGCCUUGGUUUCCAAGAAAAAUUUGGGUGGUUUCUCCAGCUUGAAUUAUAGGUGUUUCCAUAAGAUGCACUGUUGUUGGGCCUAAAUUGCCCCACAACAUUUACUUGAUCACCUAACAUCUCUCUCACAGCUGGCAUGGUUGGACACUCAUCUACNNNNNNNNNNNNNNNNNNNNNNNNNNNNNNNNNNNNNNNNNNNNNNNNNNNNNNNNNNNNNNNNNNNNNNNNNNNNNNNNNNNNNNNNNNNNNNNNNNNNCAAAGUGAAAAGAUAGCUGAGUCUCAUCAAGUCUAUGAAGCUCUCCCUCUCUAAAGGUAUUACACACCUCCUCAAACUCCUUGAUGUGAGAAUAUGGAUUCUCACUCUCCAUUCCAUGGAAAGUUGGUAGGAGGGGCACAAUAUGGGGCCUUAUAACCAACUGCUCAAGUGGGGGCAGGAUGCAUGAGGGUGCACUCAUCCUUGGGGGAUGCAUUCUAUCCCUCAUGGAUAGGUAUGCAUUGGGAUUACCCCCUUGACCUUGUUGAGAAUUCUGAUCCUCUGGUGGAGGGUCCAUGAUAUUUACACAGAUAUCCAACUCUGUGUCUUGAGGAUUCUCAAUCCUUACUAAUCUUCCCUCUUGGUCCCUAAUCCAAUAGGGCAUGCACAAAUUCCUGUAAUAGUAAAAACAAAAGGAAACUAAAGAAAAGGAUAAAGUUAGGAAGAAAAUGAAAAUAAAAUUAACAAAAGGAAAAUGAAAGAAAAUGAAAUUAGUGAAAAAGAAAUUCACCCUGGUUGUGAUGAAAAUCACAAGUAGCCUCUAAAAGGUUGUAUCACUGUAUUGUGGCACCAUCCCCGGCAACGACGCCAUUUGAUUCGAUGCCCAGCCGGGUCUUUUAAUCAAAAACAUUUAUAAAACCUAUGACCUUAUACUGGCGUAGCAAAGCUACUAUAGUAUAGCAGUUCUAGGGUCGAACUCAGGGAUGAGUUUUCACUCUAUCAGUGACAGACUCUAAAUUAGAAAUUGAUUCUGAUGAUUUCCUUUAGCACAAACUUGAAAUUUAAAAGAAAAUAAAAUUGUUUUGAAAGUGGUGAUUUAAACUAAACUCACAUAGAACUAAGUAAAAAGUGGAAGAAAGAAAGUCUCCUGGAGUUAAAGGUUGCUAGGUUCAAGUUCCAGAUGCAAAGUGGAAAAUUCCGGAUUUUUCUCCUCGCAUUGGGGAUUUAACCUAUAGUUAUUUCCCGAACCGGUAUAGGUUUGACAAUGAAGUUUUAAUCCAUAAAAAGUCACUAGAGAUGGUAGUCAAGGUCCAUUAAUGGCUUAAGACACUAUGGGCUAUCACCUUGAAUCACUUUCCAAUGGCUCGUACAUGAUAACUAAUGGACUGAUAUNNNNNNNNNNNNNNNNNNNNNNNNNNNNNNNNNNNNNNNNNNNNNNNNNNNNNNNNNNNNNNNNNNNNNNNNNNNNNNNNNNNNNNNNNNNNNNNNNNNNAUCUUUCUCAUUUCAGCUCCAAAUCGUACAUGGUUUGAACCGUUGGAUUCUUGACUUUCUGAGCUUUGAAAUGGUAUAUAGAAUGUAAAAAAUGGACUUCGGGAAUUGCUCCAAAAGUGCAAUGAAAGACUGCAGCUGUGUCCCCUGUUUUCAUCCCCUGUUUUCCUCUUCUCCAUUGUUUCUUCCUUGUAUACUUUGAACGACUAAGGCAAAGGAUUAUGAGGCUCCAUAGCUUGAUUUCUUCAUAAAUUUAAGCUUUCAAAAGCUUUGCCAUGAACUAUAAAUAGCUCUCCCUCAUUCUUAAAUUGCUUUGGUGAGCAUAAAGCUAUCAAAAAGCACCAAAACUUAACAUAAUUGUUAGAAACGAUUGCAAGGGUCCCUAACAUGUUAAUUGGGUUAAAAGGUAAUAAUUACUACUCAAGGGUGUUUAAAAGAGCUAAUUACAAGCUACAAAAUAGCAUGUUUUGAGUAGUAAUCAGCUAUCAAGUAGUCAUGAUCUCGCCAAGUUGCUUCACUGUGUUGUCUCUCAACCUUGAGAGAAUAUUAAGCUUGUGCUAAAGUUAGUGGUGGUUUUGACCUAUGGGUGAGAUCGUAAGCUGAUCAUAUAUUCCCUAUUGAUUAGGUCAUUAUUGAUGAAAGUUGGUAGCAAUAGGUAUUUCCAAUAGAGGUACUAUGAUAUCUCUUGGAAACUAUGGGCAUAGUAGUUCCUUAAGUGGAGCUUAACGUAAGCUCUUUGAGAGUUAAAACAUGUCAGUUGAAUACACAAUAGGAGAAUCUGUAACUUAAGGAUGGUAGAGGUAGUCUUGAAAGGAUGAUAGCUUUCACCUUGUUAGACUAUGGACACCAAUUCAUGAGGAAACUAAACAUUAUAGAUGGCAGGUCAUAGACCUGAGCACGUAAUGUUUCAUUGUUAACAUAGGAUACUAGAGUUUAGUUGAUUCUUUAUAGUGGGAUGUUAAAUCAACUUCAGAAUUAGAUUAUGAGGAAGCUAGUAUUCUAUGAGCCCUAAUGGUUCCCGCUUUGAGCUCAUAUACCUUUUUGGCAUGGAUCAUGAGGGUCGGACUAGCUCUAAGUUCACUUUUGUGCAUAAGGGCACUUUGGUAAUUAUAUAGGUUGCACAAGGGUAAGUGAACAAGGUCUCUAGAUUGGGCUAAUUGAUUAAUUAGUAGGUCUUGUUGGGUUAAUUAAUCAAUUAGGACUUAUUUGGGCUAGAUUAAGUAACCCAAGCCCAUGUGGGCUCAAGUCACUUAAGCCCACUUAGGAACCAUAUAAAUACCCUUUAGGGGUUAGGGUUUCUAUAGUUUUUGUCUUCCACCAUCCAGAAAGAUAGAGAGUCAUAGCCUUCACCAUUUUUUCCUUCCCAUCGGAAGUGUGUCAAGAUCAAGGUUCGAGUCAUCGGGUGGAAAACUUCAGGUUUAUGAGACUUUUGGUAUUUCUUUCUUCAUCUUCACUACAUGGAUUUGAUUUGGGAACAUCCGAAUCUGAGGUAUGGUUUUCUUAGCAUUUUUUUAAUCCCUUAGAAUUUUAAAAAUAAAAAUUUUCUGUUGUAUAUAUCCUUUAGAAAAGGCUUAGGAUAGUUAUGCAUGUUCCUAACUUGAUCUGGGCUUGGGAAACAGAGAGAUUCGGGCUUUUCCCAUCAGCUAUGGCUUUCUAUCUUUCUAGAUGGUGGAAGACAAAAGCUAAUGAAACCCUAACCCUUGGGGUAUUUAUAAGGUUCCUAAGUCAGCUUAAGUGACUUGAACCUACAUGGGCUUGAGUCACUUAAUCUAGCCCAAAAUGGGUCUUAAUCGAUUAAUUAACCCAAUGAGGUCUACUAAUUAAUCAAUUAGCCAAAUCCAGAGACCUUGUUCAGUUAUCCCUAUGUAAUCUUGCGUAAUUACAAAAAUGCCCUUAUCACAAAAGUGAACUUAAAGUGGAUCCGAUCCUCAUAAUCCAUGCCAACAAAAUAUAUGAGCUCAAAGCGAGGACCACUAGGACCCAUAGGAAUACCGGCUCACUCAGAAUACAAUUAUAAAGUUAAUUCAACAUCCCAUUGUAGAAAAUUAAUUGAGCUCCAAUAUCCUAUGUAAAUAAAAAUGAGACAACAAGUCCUCGGGUUUGUGACUUGCCAUCCAUUAUGUUCAGUCUCCUUAUGAACUAGUGUUCGUAGUCUAUCAAGGUGAAAGCUAUCAACCUUUCAAGACUACCACUAUCAUCCUUGAGUUAAAAACCUCCUAUUGUGUGUUCAAUUAACAUAUCUUAGCUCUCAAAGAGCCUAUGUCAAGUUCCACUUAAGGAACUACUAUGCUAUAGUUUCCAUGAAUACACCUCCUUAGGAUCACCCAAGGGGACACACUAUCUCAAUCCCAAGAGAUAUCAUGGUCCCUCUAUUGAGAAUAUCUAUUGCUACCGACUUCCAUCAAUAGUGAUCCAAUCCAUAGGGAAUAUAUAAUCAGCUUAUGAUCUCACACGUAGGUCAAAGCCACUGCUAACUUCAAUACAAGCUCAAUAUUCUCUCAUGGCUGAGAAACAACAUAAUGAGGUAGCUUGGUGAAGUCAUAAAUACUUGAUAGCCUUAAGUCAUAACUCGCCAUAGGUCUUAUCUAAUGUGCAACCAUACACACUAGUGCACUGACCAUGAGAAACCCAUCCCAAUAGCGAAGACCAACCAUCCCUCUAAUUAGGAAGUGGUGCACUAUAACCUCUAAUGGGUUGCAUAGACUGAUGAAUUGGUUGUGAACAAGUCAUCUAUUUGUAAGGAACACAUGACUUAGAUAUUUUGUGAAACUCCUAAUGCAUCUAAGUCAGUUACAAUGCAAAAGAAGCAGACAAGAAUGCUCAUAAAGUAUAAUACAUGAAAUAAGGAUAGAUAAAAGUGAAAUUAAAAUAUCUUUAAAUAAAUAAUGAAUUCCAAAUUCAUUACAUCAUGUCAUACUUGUAAGGGCUCUAUCCUAACAGUUGUCUCUCAACCUUGAGAGAAUAUUGAGCUUGUGUUGAAGUUAGCAGUGACUUUGACCUACAAGUGAGAUCGUAAGUUGAUCAUAUAUUCCCUAUGGAUUGGGUCAUUGUUGAUGGAAGCCAAUAGUAAUAGGUAUUUUCAAUAGAGACACCAUGAUACCUCUUGGGAUUGAGAUAGUGUUUUCCUUUGGGUGAUCAUAAGAAGGUGUGUUCAUGGAAACUAUGAUCAUUGAAGUUUCUUAAGUGAAACUUGAAAGACUGAUAGGUUUCACCUUGUUAGACUAUGAACACUAGUUCAUAGGGAGACUGAACACAAUGGAUAGUAGGUCAUGGACCCGAGCACUUGGUGUCUUGUUGUUAUUUACAUAGGAUACUGAAGUUCAAUCGAUUCUCUGUAGUAGGAUGUUGAAUCAAAUUUAGAAUUGGAUUGUGAAGGAGCUCAUAUUCCUAUGGGUACCAAUGGUCCUUGCUUUGAGCUCACAUACCUUAUUGUCAUGGGUUAUAAGGAUGGGAUUAGCUCUAGGUUCACUUUUGUGAGUAAGGGUGUUUUGGUAAUUAUGUAAGGUUGCACAAGGAUAAUUGAAGAAGGUCUUUAGAUUGGGUUAGUUGAUUAAUUAGUAAGCCUUGUUAGGUUAAUUAAUCAAUUAAGACCCCAUUUUGGGCUAGAUUGAGUGACCCAAGCCCUCAGUGGGCUCAAGUCACUUAAUCCUAGUAGGAAACACUAUAAAUACUCCCUUAAGGGUUAGGGUUCCCGUAGUUUUUUCUAGAGAGCCGUUUUCCAUUUCUAGAAAAAGAGAAAGAGAGAGAGAGAGUCAUAGCUUCCACCCUUCCUUUCAUCUCCAUUGGAAGUGUGUCAAGAUCAAGGUUCGAGUCAUUGGGCAGAAGACUUUGGGUUUACAAGACUUAUACGAUUUUGUUCUUCAUCUUCACCAUGUGGAUUUGAUUCGGGAACAUCUGAAUCUAAGAUAUGGUUUUUGUUAUUACUUUCUGAAUCCCUUUAAAGUUUAAAAAUGUUAUUUUUCCAUUGAGCAUAGGAUUUAGAAAAAGCCUAAGAUAGUCAUGCAUGUUCCUAACCUAAUCUAGGCUUGGGAAAUGGAGAGAUUCAUGUUUUUCCAAUCACACAUAGCAUCACAUACUUAAGACUAUCCAUUUUAGAGUCAUAGGAUACCGCUUUAAUGUGAUUUUUUUCCUAUGAUGUCCAAGGACAUUGAUCUUGAGAAAGAUAGCCCUAAACCCAAAGGGUAACAAACCCUUCUUGGAGUUUUACAUUAUGUCCUUAACCAAAUACUCAUCAAUGUAGGUGACAUGACAUAAGUUUCCUAUUCUUAUAGUCCUAAAGGACCUUAACCCAAGAAUAUAUUAUGUCUUUCUCUAGAUUUUCAUCUAGAAUUGAGUAGGCUAGUAGGUCUUUACUAAUGACAAUAUCCCUACAUCAUAUCCAAUGAGUAGAGUGUCAUCUACUUGUGCUCUAACCAUGCAUCCCUACACCUUAUUGUACACAUAAGGCCCUUUGCUAUGAAAAUAUUUGGUUGUUAUAUCUUAUAAACGAGACACACUACAAUAGAUAGGAGUAACGUAAUGGAUUUAAAUAUGUGUUGAAAAGGUUUUCCAUAGUUGAAACAAAGUUUCAAACUAUAACCUUUAGCGACAGUCUUAGCCACAUAAAACUCAAGUUUUCCAUUUACUCCUAUGUUCCUCUUGUAGACCAACUUACACCUAUAGGUUUUAUCCCUUUAGAUGCUUUUAUAGGAACUCAAACUAUAUUAGAAUAUAAAGAUUCUAACUACCUCUUCAUAGCUCCUUGCCUUAAUGUGAGCAAAACACUGUUCAUUGCUUCAUCAUAAUCUAUGAGAUAUAAAACUCCCACUAUGAUGAGGCAGUAGUAUACUAGAAAUCAUAGGAAAUGUAUGCCUUUAAUCCUUUGGCUCUGUAUUAUCCUAUAUAAUGUGGGACUAUCUUCUAAUAUAUCCUCCAAUCUGUCUCACUUUUUACCUUAUUCUUUAUCAUAUAAUCUUCAUAAAAAAUCUUAUAUUUGUGUUAACAAAUAUCUUCUAAUGAUCUUAACUAUAAAUGUAACAACCAAAAAAUCUUCUUAUAUAUCCUAUAAAUUGAUAUACCCCUUUAGAAAAAAAAAAUUAUACAGUCUAUAAGAAAUAUCUUGAAAAAAAUCUGGGAAAAUAUGAGAAACCUAAUCCACGAUCUCACUAUUUCCAUCAAAGUUUGAUAUCUUCCUUUCACCUCUCUAUUUUAUAAUAGAGACACUAGUGUAUGUUGUUGGGAACAUUGGAUUACUCUGUUCCCAUGCCUAGGAUCAUGUAGGGUGCAUUCAAAUAUAUCAUAGGCUCUCUAAAUCUAUUGCGAUGAAUAAACAAGUAUUAAAAAAAAUAAGGAUACCAUAGAAAAUAUAGAAAUAUAUAAUAAAACAACAUACCUUUGAUCCGGAUGUUCCUGAAUCAAUUCUAAUCGAUGUAGAUAACUCCAAAGUCAUAAUGAAUCUCAUAAACACCAUGAUUUUCUACUCAAUGACUCUUCCUUGUGUCUAGGCACUGAGAUGGUGGAUAUCUCAAGUGUGGAGGUUAGGGUUCUCUCUCUAAAUUGAAGAGGAGAAUAACAAGAAUUAGAAACCCUAACCCCAAAAGGGGUAUUUAUAGGCUUCAUAUUAGGCUGAAGUGACUUAAGCCCACCAUGGGCUUGGGUCACUUAAUCUAGCACAAAAAGGUUACUAAUUGAUUAAUUAACCAUACAAGACCAGAUUAAUCAAUUAGCCCAAUUAAAGGAUAGCACUCACUUAUCCCUGUGCAACCUUAUAUAAUUACCAAAACACCUUUAUGCACAAAAGUGAAUAAAAAACCCAUCCAACCCUUAUAAGUCAUGCCAACAAGGAAUAUGAGCUUAGAGUGGGGACCAUUGAGACCCAUAAGAGCACUAGCUUUCUCAAAAUCAAAUUCUGAAAUUGACUCAACAUCCCACUACAAAGAGUCAACUGCAUUCCAAUACACUAUGUAUAUUACAAUGAGACACCAAGUGCUCAGGUCCAUGACUUACUAUCCACUGCACGUAGACUCCCUAUGAACUAGUGUCCAUAAUCUAACAAGGUAGUGCUAUUACCUAUCAAGAUUACCUCUCAAAUCCUUGAGUUACACAUCCCACUUGUUAUUGGAUCAACUAAUAUAUCCUAACUCCAAGAAGCAUAUGUUAAAUUCCACUAAAGAAAUUACUAUGGCCACAGAUUUCAUGAUCACAUGUCCUUUAGAUCACCCAAGAGGACACACUGUCUCAAUCCCAUGAAAUAUCAUGGUGCCUCUAUUGAGAAUACCUAUUGCUAACAAUCUUCGUCAACAAUGACCCAAUCCAUAGGGAUAUAUGACCACUUUAAGGUCUCACCCAUAGGUUAAAUCCUCCAGUUGAUUUUGGCACAGACUCAAUAUCCUCUAAAGGUUGAGAGUCCAUGCAAUAUAGUAGCUUGGUGAAUCAUGAAAAUUGAUAGUCUUGUGUUAUAAUUCAUCGUAGGUCCUACCUAGUGUGCAUCACAUACACUAGUACACUCAUCAUGGAAAACUCAUCCUGACAACCAAGGCAAUUUAUCUUUCUAAUUAAGAGGUGGUAAACUAUAGUCUCUACUAGAUUGCUCAAAUCUAUGAACCAAUUGUGGACAAUUUAUCUACUUAAAAGAAACCCAUGGCUUGUAUCUUCUGUGCAACUCUUAAUACACCUAAGUCAUGUACAAUGUAAGAGACAUGGGUUGAAUGCUCAAAUCAAUGUCAAUACACCAAAGAGAUAACAUGGGGAUAGUUAAGUCUAACUUUGUUAAAUCAUGUCUUGAUUUUAGGGGCUCAAUCCCAACUAACUUCCACUAGCCCCGAAAGCAGAUUGGGUACUAUAGAAAGAUUCUGCUUCACAAUCAUAUCACUUCUCUGUACUAUCUCACAAUAAGGCUACACUUCUUCUUUGUGAGGUUCUUUUUCUAGUGGUAUUUCAGUUCUUUAGACCAUGCAAUUGUCUCACUGUUAUCACUUAAUAAGAUCUUAGACGAUAUAGCCAAGGAAACUACCUAUAAGCCAAAAGGUUUCCUUUGUUGCUAUAGAAACAACAAAAAACCAUUUAGAGUGUACACAUACCCAGAAGUAGACUUGUGAGAGUCUUUGUCAAACUGAAGUCCAAUUUUCUGGUACAAAAGGAGUACUAACUCAUUACAAAGACUUACAAACAUAUAAUCCCUCAUUCUCAAAGACAUUAGAGUAUAUGUUUGACAUCGAACCAAAGUUCUAAGCAGGAAAUGGACUAAUAUCCACUUAUUAUUCCUAUAACAAAGCUAAUAUUUGGUUUAGCACAUAAUAUUGCAUACUUAAGGCCAUCUAUAGCAGAGGCCUUAGAUACUGCCUUGAUGCGAUCUCUUUUCAUAAAUGUUUAAGGACGUUGAUCCUAAGAAAAAAAACUCCAAAUCCAAAGAGUAACAAACCCUUCUGGGAGUUUUACAUCAUGUAGUUGACCAAAUGCUCAUCUAUGUAGAUGACAUUACACAAUUUUCCUAUUCUUAUAGUUCUAAAGGACCUUAACCCCAAGAAUAUAUUGUGUCUUCCUCUAGAUUUCAUCUAGAACUAAGUAGACUACCAGAUCUUGACUGAUGACAAUAUCCCUACAUCCUAUCCAAUGAGUAGAUUGUCAUCUACCUGCAAGAUCUUAGAGCAUCACCACGCUUCCCUUUGGCUUCUUGUACACACAAGGCCCUUUGCUAUGAAAAUGUUUGGUUGUUAUAUCUCAUAAAUGAGACACACUACAAUAGAUAGGAGUAAUAUGAUGGAUUUGAGUAUGACCACUAUUGAAAAGGUUUUCUUUCGUUGAAACAAAGUUUCAAACUAUAAUCUUUAGCUACAGUCUCAGCAACAUAAACCUCAAGCUUUCCAUCUACUCCUAUGUUCAUAGGUCUUAUCACUUUAGGUGCUUCUAUAGGAACCUAAACUAUGUUAGAAUAUAAAGAUUCUAACUACCUCUUCAUAGCUCCUUGCCUUGAGUGAGCAUAAACAUUGCUUAUUACUUUAUCACAAUCUAUGGGAUAUGAACCUCCCACUAUGAUGAGGCACUAGUGUACUAGAAAUCAUAGGAAUGGUAUGUCUUUAACCCUCUGGAUCCAUAGUAUCCUAUUCAAUAUGAGACAAUCUUCUAAUAUAUCCUUCAAUUUGUAUCACUCUUUGCCAUAUUCCUCAUCAUAUAGUCUCAUAAAAAAAAUCUAACAUUUAUGUCAACAAAUAUAUUUUGAUGAUCCUAACUAUAAAGGUAAUAACCCAAAAAUCCUCUUAGAUAUCCUAUAAACGGAUAUAUCUUUUAGGAAAAAGAGGUAUUACAUAGUCUAUAAGACAUAUCCCUAAAAGAAUCCAGGAAAAGAUGAGAAAUCUAUCCAUGAUCUCACUAUGUCCAACCAAAUUUGAUAUUUCCACCUUUUUGUUUUGCAACGGAGACCCUGGUGCACAUGACUAGGAAAUAAUCUCAUGCUUCAAAGGAAAGAAUCAAACUUACUAGACAUAUCACCUUGAUCUAAUCGAAGUGACUUGGUAUGUAUGUCCAAUAGGUUAUUCAAUCCCGCCUUAAAUUUAAUGAAUGUAUCCAAGGCAUCAAAUCUUCUAUGGACAUAUCCAAACCUAGAGUAAUCAUCACUAAAAGUGAUGAAAUACCCAUACCCUCCCCAUGCAUAGACACUAAAAGUUUCAUACAUGUUAGUAUGCACUAACUCCAAACAUUCCUUGGCUUUAAUCCUCUUAGUCAUUUUACCGUCUAUACAGGAUUCGUAAACUAAAAGAUCUUUUCAAAUUAAAGAGUCUAGACAUUACCAAUCUUUGGAUCCUAUUUAGAUUAAUAUGACCUAGGUCUAGAAACCAAAUAUUUAAUUAAUGCUAGGUUUAAUCCUGAGAUUUGACUAUUCUCAUCACUUGGCAAAGUAAUAAUGGAAUACAUAUAAAGGAAGAGGAUAUUACCUCCCACUAACAUGCAUAAAUAACCUUGCAUUUGAAGUUAAGGUAACUAUAAUCCCAUCAUUUAACCUUCUCAUUUGUUGAAUAUCCUAUAAGGACUUACAGACAGUGGACCUGGAAUCUAUCCACCAUAAAUGGUGAAAUCCACCACUAAAUAUUCAACAGUGAGAAAAUGAUGUAUACUUUCCGUUUUCUUUAGGUAAAUUGGCCAUUUCUUUUCUAAUGCCUAAAAGGUCACAAAGGAAUCACUUGCCCUUGACCUUGCUCUCUUAUUCCUUAUCUUGAACUUUCCUUAUUUGGUAUUGUUCUUCUUCUUCUUGAGAGAAGAACCCGAAGAACCUUUGACUACCAUAUGAACACCCUAUAAUCUUUGAGAGUUAGCCAUCUCAAAGGAAAAUGGUGAGGUCUCUAAGAUCAUAUGUAUACUUGGUGUUCAUAAUAGUCCUAAGAGUAGCUUUUCAAGGCUGAUCUACUCUUAUUACCAAAUAACCAUUGCAAGCUAGAAAGAGAAUAUCAAAGUCUCUAAUAAUAGAAAUGUGUUGCUAUUGCAACACAUUAUCCAAAGUUCCAAGUAUUAGACGCUUGGUCUUUUGAUCCAUCUAAUACCGCUUUGAUAUUCCACUCUUUCCUCUUGCUAGGUUAGUUCAUAAGGAAUAGCUAGCUCUACCUAAACUAGCUUCUGUGCAAUUACUUACUAUAUCUAGAAUACAAUUAGUCCAAUUGAUUAGUUAGGUUUGGCCUAUUAUGAGAAAAAGAGUGAUAAUAAAACCAACAUGAUAUCCAUAACAAAGAAUAUGACCAAGCAUAUGACAUAAUUGAGCAUUCAAGGCAUUUGGUAAUUAAUUUAGCAAAAAUGUAGUGUUCCCAAACUAUAUAUCCUUUUGCAAGGUAUCCUAGUAUUAUAAGAAUCAAGCCUAGGUGGGACAGGUCAUGACCUUAUUACUAGUAAGAGACCCUCUUAGAUUGAUCUCCCCACCUUAUCCAUAAAAGUAUCUUAAGGCAAGAUUAACAUACCUUUUAUUUAGCCCAUAGACUAUGAAAGUGGGACCACGUGGGGCAAUUCUAUCACUUCAUAUCCAAUGUCAAGUGUAUAACCAUUGUCCUUGAAUUAUCAAUGUCACCAAGUAAAGAACUCCACCUAGGGGUAGUCGCUCCCACUACAGACAUAUCUAGUCUCGUCCAUGCAGAGAGUCCAUAUCUCUUGAUUCUUAAGGCUAACCCACCGUAAGGGUGGUGAUGAACCCAAAUCAAGAUGGGCUCAACAAUGGAUGUCUUGGGCAUGCCUAAGGCCUUCUCCCACUUAAUGUUUUGAGAUAAAUAAGAGCAUUUUAAAACCAUUAGUAAUUUCCCUGAUGAAUAAAUUAUCUACUUUGAAAAUUUUCAAAAAUAUUUAUUUUCUAAUUGAAACCUAGUGUAAUAGGAGAAGACCAACAUGAAAAAUUUUAAAUUUCCAUGACAGUAAUUUUCAAAAAGAAUUUUUAUAAAAUAUCCACUUUCAAAAUUUUAAAAUCUAUUUUCAUUACAUUAUCCUUCUAUAUAUAAUUCCAAUUAAUAAAUAUUUUAUCUAGGAAAUGUUUCAAAUAAAUUUAUUUCCAUCAAAUUACUAAGCCUUUUGCUAAUAAUCUUGUAAUGAUAAAUUAUCUUUAAUGAAAAUUUUCAAAAUAUUUUUUUUCCAAAUUGGAAACUCUAGUGUAAUAAGAAAAUUACUAAUUCAUGAUAUUUUGAAUAAUCUUGAGAGCAACUUAUCCAAGAAAGGAACUUUUGCUUCUCAUAUUAAAAAAUCCUCAUAAGAUUUACUUUCCUUAUUCCUUACACUUUUCCAACUUAAUAAAUAUUUCCAUGAAAAUUUCAUAAUAAUUUAUGUCAUUAAAUACUACCAAAAGUAGGACCUUUUAAUAAUUUCUUAAUAGAUAAAAUAUUCUCCAUGAAAAACUCCUAAAAAUGCUUAUUUCUAAAAAGGAAUUAAACAAUCCAUUGUGGAAAGUAUUUUUAAAAUAUUUUGUAUCUUCAUUAAAUUACUAAAACUUUCCAAAGUUAUUUUGGUAACCCUUCUUAUCAUAAAAUCUUUAUCAUGAGAUUUUCAAAACCUUAAUUACUUCUAAACCAGGAUUCCUGUGCUAAAAGAAUUGCUUUCUUAUUCCUUAUCAUUGAAUUAUUCAAACAGAAUGGUUUCCUCCCUUUCUUUGAGGAAGAGAGCCUAGAGGACAAACUGUAGGUAUAGUUUAAAAAAUAGAUAGUUCUAAAGAAAUAACAAUCUUCUUAGCAACAACAAAUUUAAAAAGAUAAUCUUAGAAAAUAUAUUCUCAUGAAAAUUUACUAAGAAUACCAAAAAACUUUUCUUUAGGUUCUAAAACUUAUUUUGGUAACCACUCUUAAUUAUAAGUUAUUUAUCAUGAAUUUUCAAAAUUAACUUUUUUUCUUUCAAUUAGAAAUCCUAUGCAAAAUAGGAAAAAUACUAUUUUAUAAAGAUUUGGAAAAAUAAGAGCUUUUCCUUAAGAGAAAGAUUUUAUUCUUAGAGAUCUCAAAGAUUUGAGAAGAUUUUAAGUAAAGUUUAAAUCUCUAAGAAUUAAUUUUAAAAGGGAAGAAAGCUCUUAGUCCUUUGCCAACUUAUCUUUUUCUUUAAAAUAUAAUUUCCUAACUAUGCACAUUCCAAUUUAAAUAAGUUUUCCAAUUUUGAAAAAAACACGAAAAUUUAUUUUCAAUUAAGAAUACCAAAUCUUGAGGCCACAUAUACAAUCUAUCAAUAUAUAUAUAAGGGAAUAACUAAAUAGAAAAUUUCUCAUGGCUUUCAAGGAUCCAAUUGCAUAUUUGGUAAUUAAAAUUUGGAUAAAAUCCAAAUUACCAAAAAUAGUCCUACAACCAAAAAUAGGGUUAGUAAAAAUAGAAAACUCAAAUGGCCUAAUUGCCACAAAAAAUUGAGCCCAAGAAGAGGCCCAAAAUUCAGCCCAAACAACGAAAAGAAUCGGGCAUGUAUGCAAUCUCGUAACAGCAUGCUCUUUGAGCAGUAUUGCUUCAAUUGGUCAUAUCUUCCUCAUUUAAACUCCAAAUUAUUAUUCGGUUAAAGUAUUGGAUUCCUAACCUCCUAAGCUUCAAAACCAUAUGUGAUUUGCCUCAACAAAAUUAUUGGAAAUGGCUGUGAUUUUGACUCAAAUUUGACAUCACUGUGCUGCCAUGCACUUUGCACAACCUUGCUUCUUUUGACCAUAUCUCCCUCAUUUCAACUCCGAAUUGCAAUCUACUUGAUCCAUUGGAUUCAUGACUUCCCAAGCUUCAAAUCUAUAUAUGGAUUGCCUCAAGAAACUUUUAUGAGGUAGUCCCAAUUUUGAGUUCAAUUCAACAUCAUUGUGUUGCCAUGGAUCUCAAACCAAGAACUUCCAAGAUUGCUUCUUUCUUCUUUAACCACCAUAGAAUCACAAAAAGAACUUUCAAGAUUCCUUCUACAAUAGAAGGAUGUAAAAAAUUAAAAUUUUUACACUAAUAAAAAUUCCUAUGCUCCUUUAAUGGAGCUUAUAGCCCAUCUAUUGAAAAGAAAAUAUUUUUACAUUCAAAUAAAAAUCUUAUACCCCUUAUGUGGUGUACAACCCAAUCUAGAAAACAAAAGGUAAAGAAGAUAUCCAUUCAUAUUCAUUCAUUCAAAUGAAUCAAUAACAAUAAACCAAUCCAAAUAUAUUAAUACAUUAAAAUGAUUCUUCAUUCAUUCAUCCAUUAGGGUCAUGGAAUGAAUAAAACAACCCUGCAAACUAGAGUUAGCACAUCCUAAACAGAUCUAACAAGAUAGAAUCUACCCUAGGGCUCUGAUACCAAUUGUUGGAAACCCUAGGUUACUUCGUUCCCAUGCCUUGGAUCGUGUAGGGUGCAUACAAAUCUAUCAUAAACUCUUUAAAUCUAUCACAACGGAUAAAUAGGUAUUAAAAAAAAAUAAGAAUACCAUAGAAAACAUAGAAAUAGAAAAUAAAGCCACGUAGCUUUGAUCUAGAUGUUCCUAGAUCAAUUCUAAUCAAUGUAGUUAACUCCAAAGUCAUAAUGGAUCUCAUAAACACCAUGAUCUUCCACCCGAUGAUUUUUCCUUAUGUUUAGGCACUGAGAUAGUGGAGAUCUCAAGGAUGGACGCUAAUGUUCUCUUUCUAUACUAAAGGGGAGAAUAGUAAGACUUAGAAACCCUAACCCCAAAAUGGGUAUUUAUAGGUUACCUGUUAGGCUUAAGUGACUUAAGCCCAUCAUGGGCUUGGGUCACUUAAUCUAGCACAAAAAGGUUGCUAAUUAAUUAAUUAACCAUAUAAGGCCUAAUUAAUUAAUUAGCCUAGUCAAGAGAUAUUACUCAUCCAUGUGCAACCUUACGUAAUUACCAAAAUGCCCUUAUGCACAAAAGUGAACGAAAAACCCAUCCAACCCUCAUAAGCCAUGCCAACAAGGAAUAUGAGCUCAGAACGAGGACACUAGGACCCAUAAGAGUACUGGCCACUCAAAACUAAAUUAUGAAAUUGACUUAACAUCCCACUACAAAGAGUCAACUACACUCCAGUACCCUAUGUAUAUUACAAUGAGACACUAAGUGCUCAAGUCUGUGACCUACUAUCCACUGCAUGUAGACUUCCCAUGAAUUGGUGUUUGUAAUCUAACAAGGUAGUGUUAUCACCUAUCAAGAUUAUCUCCCAAAUCCUUGAGUUACAGAUCCCACUUACUAUAUGAUCAAAUGACAUAUCCUAGCUCUAAUAAGCAUAUGUCAAAUUUCACUAAAAGAAUUACUAUGGCCACAGAUUUCAUGAUCACAUGUUCUUUGGAUUACCCAAGGGGAUACACUAUCUCAAUCCCAUAAGGUAUCAUGGUGUCUCUAUUAAGAAUACCUGUUGCCACCAACCUUCAUCAACAGUGACCUAAUCCAUAGGGAUAUAUGACCAUUUUAGGUUCUCACCCAUAGGUUAAAGCCUCUAGUUGAUUUUGGCACAUGCUUAAUAUCCUCUCAAGGUUGAGAGUCUAUGCAGUAUAGUAGCUUGGUGAAUCAUGACAAUGGAUAACCUUGCAUCACGAUUCGUCAUAGGUCCUAUCUAGUGUGCAUUACAUACACUAUUACACUCACCAUAGGUAACCCAUCCCGAUGAUGAAGACAAGUUAUCCCUCCAAUUAAGAGGUGGUGCACUACUGUCUUUACUGGAUUGCCCAAAUCCAUGAACCAAAUAUAGACAACUUAUCUACUUACAAGGAACCCAUGACUUAUAUCUUCUGUGCAACUCCUAAUGCACCCAAGCUAUGUACCAUGCAAGAGAUAUAGAUUGAAUGCUCAAAUCAAUGUUAAUACACCAAAGAGAUAGCAAGGGGAUAGUUAAGUCUAACUUUGUUACAUCAUGUCUUGCUUUUAGGGGCUCAAUCCCAACAUACAUAACUGGGAAAUAAUUCCAUGCUCUAAUAGAAAGAAUCAAACUUAUUAGACAUAUCACCUUAAUCUAAUCGAAGUGACUUGGCAUGUAUACUCGAUAGGUUAUCCAAUCAUGCCUUAAAUUCAAUGAAUGUAUCCAAAACAUCAAAUUUCCUAUGUACAUAUCCAAACCUAGAGUAAUCAUCACUAAAAGUGAUGAAAUACCCAUACUCUUCCCAUGCAUGGACACUAAAAGUCUCAUACAUGUUAGUAUGCACUAACUCCAAACAUUCCUUGACUUUAUUCCUUUUAGUCAUUUUACCAUCUAUACAGAAUUUGUAAGCUGGAUGGUUUUUUGGAAUCAAAUAGUUCAAACUUUAUCAGUCUUUAGAUCUUAUUUAGAUUAUUAUGACCUAAGUUUAGAUACCAAAUGUUUAAUUAGUGCUAGGUUCAAUCCUGAGAUCUGACUAUCUUUCUCACUUGACAAAGUGAUAAUGGAAUACAUAUAAAAGAAGAGGAUAUUACCUCCCACUCACCUGCAUAACUAACCUUACAUUUGAAGCUAAGAUAAGUAUAAUCCCAUCACUUAACCUUCUCACUUGUUGAAUAUCCUAUAAGGACUUACAAACAGUGGGCCUAGAAUUUAUUCACCAUAAAUGGUGAAAUCUACCACAAAUGGUGAAAUUCACCACUAAAUAUUCUACAAUGAGAAAAUGAUGUAUACUUUCCUUUUUUCUUUAGGUAACUAAGCAUUCAUUUUCUAAUGUCCUAAAAGGUCAUAAUGGAAUCACUUGCUUCUGAGCUUGUUCUCUUAUUCCUUCCCUUAAACUUUCCUUAUUUGGUGUUGUUGUUCUUCUUCUUGAUAGAAGAACCUGAAGAACUUUUGACUUCCAUAUGAACACCUUAUAAUCUUUGAGAAUCCCCUUAGCCAUCUCGAAGAAAAAUGGCAAAGUCUCUAAGAUAAUAUGAAUACUGGUGUUUAUAACAGUCCUAAGAGUAGUUUUUCAAAGCUAACCUACCCUUAUCACCAAAUAACCAUUGCAAACUAGAAAGAGAAUAUCAAAGUCUCUAGUAAUAGACAUGUGUUGCUAUUGCAACACAUUAUCCAAAGAUCCAAGUAUUAGAAACUUGGUCAUCUGAUCCAUCUAAUACCACCUCGGCAUACCACUCUUUCUUUUUUCCAAGUUAGUUCAUAAGGAAUAGCCUGUUUUUCCUAAACUAUCUUCUAUGCCAUUAAUUACUAUAUCCAGAAUAAAAUCAAGUCCAAAUGAUUAGUUAGGCUUGGUUCAAAGUGAGAAAGAGAGUGAUUAUAAAUAACAUGAUAUUUGUAACAAAGAAUAUAACCAAACAUAUGACAUAAUUGAGCAUUCAAGACAAUUGGACUUAAUUUAACAAAAAUGUAGCCCUCUCAAACUACAUGUCCUUUUGCAAGAUAUCCUAGUAUCAUAAGAAUCAAGCUUAUGUGGGUAGGUCAUGACCUUAUAACUAGUUAGAGACCCUCUCAGAUUGAUCUCCUUGCCUUAACCAUAAAGGUAUCUAAAAGCAAGAUCAACAUACCUUUUAUUUGGCCCAUAGACUAUGCAAAUGGGACCGCGUGGGGGAAAUUCUAUCACUUCAUAUCCAAUGUCAAUUGUAUAACCAUUGUCCUUGAACUAUCAAUGUCACUAAGUAAAGAACCCACCGUAGAGUGGUCACUUUUAGUACAAACAUAUUUAGUCUUAUCCAUGUGGAGAAUCCAUAUCUCUUGAUUCUUAAGCCUAACCCACUGUGGGGUGGUAAUGAACCCAAAUCAAGAUGGGCUCGACAAUGGAGGUCGUGGGCAUGUCUAAGGCCCUCUCUCACUAAGUCUUUUUAGAUAAAUAGAUGCAUUUUAAAACAUUAGUAAUUACCUUAGUGAAUAAAUUAUCUUCUUUGAGAAUUUCCAAAAAUAUUUAUUUCCUAAUUGGAAACCUAGUGUUAUAGAAGAAUGUCCAUAUGCAAAAUUUAAAAUUUCUAUGAGAGUAUUUUAUCCAAAAAGGAAUUUUGAUAAAAUGUCUACUCUCAAAUUUUAAAAUCUAAUUGCAUAAAAAAUUCUCUUUCUUCACAUAAUUUCAAUUAAUAAAUAUUUUGUCUAAGAAAUAUUUUCAAAGAAAUUUAUUUCCAUCAAAUUACUAAAUAUCUUCUUCGUAAUAACCUUUAAUGAUAAAUUAUUUCUAAUGAAAAUUUCCAUAAGAUAUUUAUUAUCAAAAUUGAAAACUUAGCGUAAUAAGGAAACCUCUGAUUUAUAAAAUUUUGAAAAUUUGAGAGCACCUAAUCCAAUUAGGAAAAAUGUAAUUCUUCAAGGAUUCUCAUAAUUUUUUUUUAAAAAUAUUUUAAAUCCUUAAGAAUAAAUUUAGAAAUGAACUUUAGCUCUCAUACUCAAGAUUCCUUAUAAAUUUAAUUUCCUUAUUCCUACAUCUUUCCAAUUUAAUAAAUAUUCUUAAAUAUGAAAUCUAAUUUUCAUAAUAAUCUAUUCCAUUAAAAUUACUAAAAAUAAAACUUUUAAUAAUUCCCUUAAUGAUGAAUUAUCCAUCUUGAAAAUUUCCAAAAACAAAUAUUUACUCUCCAAAUUAAGGAUUAGUGUAAUAAGAAAGUUUCCAAAAACUUGAAAAAUAAAAACUAGAGAGCUCUUUAUCCAAAAGGGAAACUUUUAUUCUACAAGAAUUCUUACAAAAAAAAUUAAAGAAAAUAAUUUAGAAUCCUUUGAAAUAAUCUAGAAAAGGAAACUUUGCUCUCUAAUUUAUUUCCACAAGUUUUUUUUCUUAAUCUACACUAUUCCAAAAUUAAGUAAACAACAAGCUUUGGAAUUUAAUUUUCAAGAAAAUUUAUAUCCAUUAAGAUUACUAAGAGUUUCAUGGAACUUUCAUAAGAAGCUUUCAAUAAUUUUGGUGACCUUCUUAAAAUAAAUUAUCUAUCAUGAGAAUUUUCAAAAGCUUUGUUUAUUCACUAAAUUGGAAUACUUGUGCUUAUAAGGAAUAUCCAAUUUUAUAAAAAUUUUAAAAUAAAAGUGUAUUCCCUUAAUAUAGAAACUCAAGUCCUUGAAGAUCUCAAAAUUAGAAACUUUGAAAAAAAGAUCUUCUAAGUAUUUUUUGAAAAGGAAACUAGAUUCUCUCACAAAUUUUAAAAUAUCUUUCCAUAUAAAAAUUCCUUAAUAGUGACAUCAUUCUAAUUUUGAAUCAAACUUUCAUUUGUAAAUAGCUUUCUCAUAAAAACUUUUUUUCCAUAAGAAAAUCCAAAAUUAGUAACUUUCAAAGCACUUCUCAUCACAUGCAAUAUAACAAUAUGCAUAAAAAAUAAAAUAAAAAAAGAAAUAUUCAAAAAGAGAUCCCAUGGCCAAGGGAUAUUUUUUACGACUUUCCAAUUGUGAACCAAAGCCAUUUGUCUUCAACUUGGCACCAAUAUUUGGCAUCAAAACUUGCCAAAAGAAGCUCUUGCAUAGCUGCCACAAUUCAAUAACUUUCAAGCCCAACAAGUGGCCUAAGAAAUGAGUCCAAACAAGCAAAAAGAAUCAGACUCGUAUGCAAUCCCGUAAUAGAAUAACCUCUAUGCAACUUUGCGUCAAAUGACUAUAUCUCCCUCGUUUCAACAAUGAAUCACAAGUCGUUUACACCAUUGGAUUCCUGACUUCAUAAGCUUCAAAACCAUAUGCAACUUGCCUAAAGAAAAUCAUAAGAGGCAGCCCCGAUUUGGAGUCAAAUUGAAUGUUGCUAUGCAAUCAUGGAUCUCACAAAAACAAAACUUUUUUAUUAUUAUUAUUCAAUCAAAAGAAGGAUUCAACCUUUCUUCCACAUCCAUUAAAAUCCUUGAAUCUUCAUAAAUGAUGCUUUAAUAAAGAUCCAAUCUUUAUUGACAUCAUUAAGGAAUUCUUCUCUUGUAGCUCUCCAUAGAUAAUAAAAAACAUGACUUUAUAUCAUAAAAGAAAUCAUAUGCUCAUAUAAUGGAGCUAAUAACCCAAUCUCUAGAAAAGAUUAAAACUUUACAAGAGUGUAGACCCUCAAUUUUGUCCCUUUAGCACAUGUCUUUAAAUUCGUUUUCAAUGCCCCAUAGUAACUCUUUGGUGGCCCAUUACUACUCGUACGACUUACCUUUUUCUGAGUCACCCUGGAGAUUUUAGCUGAGGGAUUAUCUGACCUCUUAUUGCAACCUUUGGAAGCCCUAUUUUAGAGUUAGGCUUUUCAUUCAUUUUUAAGAUAGCUUUUAGGGUAGUCUACUUAGGUCUACUUAGGCACCCUAAGCCCACUUAGGCACUUAGGCCCAUUUAUGCACCCUAGGUCCAUUUAGGCACUCUUGGCCCAUUAGGCAACACCCUAGACCCCCUAGAUUCACCUUGACCCCUUUAGAUCCACCUAGACACCUUCUAACUUUCAUACAUUCACCUUAUGUCACUUAGGUCACUUAGACACCUUUUCAGAAUAGGUCCAUUUAGACACUCCAUUAGGCUUAACUUUUUAUAUAAUCUUUUUAUUACUAUUGCAUGAAUUCGAUAAUUACAUUUAUUCUGUUUAUUCAUUUUCAUUUUUACUUUUUAUUUGUUUAUUAUUAUUUUUAUUAUUAUAUUUAUUUAUUUAUUUAUCUAAUGGAAAAUUGCUUAAAUUGCUUAGACUUCAAAUGCGCAUACGACCCCUUAUUAAAUUAUGGAAUUAUAUAAUACGGUCUCUUUUGUUUCCUUUUCUUUUAAUCAUCUUUUAUUUUAUUACCAAUCUCGUAAUUUUCAUGAGUUACUUUUCUUUUAAUUUUUUAACCUUAUUUUAUUCUGUUUUGCAUGAGGAAACAAGCUGUCAUCUAUUUGGAAGGAAGAUCACCAGAAUUUUAGAGAUAAGAAAGUGACAACUACAUUAUUCUAUAAAGUUACCUCCACCAUGCAUAGAAGGAAGACACGACCACAAGGAAGAGGAAGAAGUUGCUGCCCAUAGAAAAAUAUAUGGAAACUUCCAUACAAAAGGGAAUUAUUGGAGAGACGCAAUCUCCAUAGAUGGGCAGAUACAUGGGAAGAAAGAUGAGAUUUUAUUAUUUUCUAAUUAGAGGCACAAAUAGCAAGGAGAUUCGAUACUAAGAUCAGGCACUAAAAGGAAGGCAUGCAUUGUAUCCUUUAAAAGCAUCUCCACGUCUACAGAGGAAGGGGCUCUCUUGGUCGUUUUUGGGGUUUUUUUUUCAAGAAAGAGACUGGCACCAUUCGGAGGGGGAAGGGAGAAGUACCAGAAUUUCAGAGGGAGGAUAAGGGAACACGCAUUCAUGGGGAAUGACGGCUGCCAAUGCGUGCAUUGCUAGGGGUCCUGCAUCAUUGAUAACAGGAACAUGCUGUCACUUUGAGGAUCCACCACGCACAGAUGGGAAAGACGCAUAAGAAGCGGGGAUGAUAAGGGUGAGAGCAGGAGACUUUUGGAGAGGGAACGGGUGCACAGUUUGGGGUAUGAGAAUGAGGUGAUCUUGUUUAUGGAGAGAGAAUCAGUGCAUGGUUCAAGAAAGAAGAAGACAAAAGGAAACUAGAUUUUUUAUUAAUCUCCAUGGGGCGCACUAUGAGUUUGAUGAAAAGACAAGUGACAGCAUUCAAUUUUUUUUGGAACACAACCGUACAGUGGGGAUUCUCCAAGGCUGCCACUUUAGGGUGAAGUUUUUUUUUUGAAAGAAAAGUGGCAGCAGGCUGCUACUUUAAGGUGAGUUUUUCUUGAAAGGAAAGUGGCAGUAGGCUGCCACUUUAGGGUGAAUUUUUUUUGAAAGGAAAGUGGCAGCAAACUGCUACUUUAUGAUGAGAUUUUUUUAAAGAAAAGUGGCAGCAGAUUACCACUUUAGGGUGAGAUUUGUUUUUAAAAAAAGUGGCAGCAAGUUGCAUUUUGAGGGGGGGAGAUUUUUUUGAAAGAAAAAUGGCAGCAAGUUGCACUUUUAGAUGGUGAGAUUUUUUGAAGGAAAAAUGGCAGCAGGUUGCAUUUAAGGGGUCCAUACCUCAAUUUCCAUAAAGAUCUUCAUGGUAUCUUCAAGAGAACCAUGAACGCCAUUGAUCCCCAAAACGAGUAGGCUGCAUCUUCCAAAGGUAAGUGAGUUUCCUUGUUCUUGAGUUUUUGAGAAAAUUGGAGCUUUGUUUGCUAAUUUUUUACUCUAUUAAGUUUUCGAGUCUCUCAAGUUUUAGUCGAUUAAUUUAUUUGGUUUUAUGUCAUCAUCAUCUUGUUUUAUUUAAUUUUAGUUCAUGGGUUCAUCCUAAUUAAUUCGUGUGAUGCUUUAAAAUUUUAAUGGAUUAAUUUAUUUGAUUCUAUGUCAUUAUCAUCAUGUUAUUUUAUUCUUUUUUUUUUUUUUUUUUUUAUCUUAGCUGAUUCAUGUGAUGCUUUAUGUUUUUAGGUGAUUAAUUCAUUUGGUUCUAUAUCAUUAUCACUAUGUUUAUUAAUUUCAGUUAUUUUUAUUUUUACUUAUUUAUUUAUUUUUUGAUUCAUCAUAUUUGGUUUAUGAGUCUUUAGAAUUUUAAUUAUUUAAUUUAUUUGACCCCCUGUCAUUAUAUCCAUGUUUUAAGUGUGUUAAGCUCUAGUUCCUGAUUGAUCCUUACUCAGUUCAAGUGUUUUAGAAUUGUAAGUUCUUAUGGUAUUAUAUUUAACAUUACCUUAAUCAUAGGUUUGUGUGUUCGACUAAUCUAAUUUAAUUAUUGAUUAUAUCCUCAAUUUAUACGCUUGACUAAUCUUCGUUAGCUUUUGAUUGAUAUCUAGUUGACUUUAUUUGAUCUAAGGCCAUUUAGUUAUUUUCUUUGACAUUUGUUCGUUUAUAUUUGAUUCAUGGGGGCCAUCGGAAAAUUGUGAAGAUUGGCCUCCAUUCACACCAUUUUAGUUUGCUUGGUUGCCAAAAAUUUUAUUUUAUGAUUUUGUUUCUAUUUGUUUUGUUUGGUACAAUUUUUCUCAUACGUUUUAUUGUUCUCAAAUUAAUUUCUCUUAUUUUAAAAUAAAAUACUUUUCUCAAAAUGUUCCUCAUAAAAACCUAUUUUAAAAAUUCAUUUAGAGUCCUUAGAAUCAAAAACCCCAUUUUCUUAAAAUAAUAUGCAACCAUUUUUUGAUUAGUUUGCAUCUUUCUCGGUUUUUAACGAAAAUUUUGGUUUGAAAUCAGACACGAAUCAAAGCUUGUGGUCCCACAUAAAUGGGAUAAUUUUGAGCUAAAUUCGUGUAUAUCAAUUGGGGAAUUGGUGAAACCCCUACAUAAGAAAAUCUUUUCAAAAAUUAUUUUUGUUGCCACUUUUGUCACUUGUUGAAAUUAUGUCUAUCUUUUUUUAGAAAUUGUAUACCAGAUGAGUGUGAUAAUUAUUGUUUUCAUAUACUGUGAUCGCUUUUACUAUGCUAAUUAGAUAAUGAGCAUGUUAGGAUUUCUAUAUUUUAUUAUUUAUUAUCUAACCCCUUACAACUUGAGGAAGCACGCUACAAAUUAUCUAUGCUAUCCAGGUAUGUCCUCUAUCAUCUACUUUCUGAAUUCUGUGAAUAUGCUUGUCAUUGUGAAAUAAUACUUAUGUCUAAUAAUGCUUGAGUGUCUUGAUAUGCAUGUUUCAUUGUUUGAUUAUUUCCAAUAAAAUACAUGUUGGAUGAUAUAUUGUUUAAAUUAACCGUUUAUGUUUUAUGAUAGCGCUUGAAGAGCGGUUCAGGUACGCACCCUAACUCUCCUUUAUUGUGAUUUGAUCUUGUUUAGCAUGCAACUUUUUUUGAAAUCACCUAGCCUACUUAGGUAUCCAUGAUCGACCAUUUAAUUGCCAUGCUUCCCUUAACUUAGUCAGUAGAGACCUUUUUAGGGCUUAGAGGGGUGCUACCUUUUAAAGGUACCUUCCCAAUAGGUAACCUGAUCCCCGGACUUAGACUCGGGUUUUUCAAAGACAUACUUUUUCCAAAAAUUAUGGAGUCACAUUUUAGGGUUUUUCUUUCUUGUUUUAUUUUCCCUUUAAAAUAAAAAUAAAAUAAGUGGCGGCUCCAACCUUUUUCCCAAAAAUUAAUUUUUCACAAAUAAAAAGCGAGUCUCGCCGAUCGAGUGGGGACGCACGUGAAAAAUGCGGGUCCACAAAGAGAAGAAGAAAACUUAUGCUCCUUUAAUGGAACUUACAACCAAAUCUAUGAAGAAACGAAGAAAACAAAUUAUCCCAUUUAAUCACCACAAACAAUAAUAAAAAGAAACAUACAUGCUUCUCUUGUCCAUGGGAUAACAUCAAGGUUGCAAAAAAGAUAUUAGCACGCCCUAAAUAGAGAUCUAAGCAUGUUUAUAACAUUAUGCUCUAAUACCAAUUGUUAGUAUCUUAGAUCUAAGCAAUACUAAUUUUUAUAAAAUUGAUCUUUUAGGGUUAAAGUACUAACCUUUAGGUUUGGAUGUUCCCAAACCUUAAAUUCCACUUAUUGAAGACAACCUUGAAGUUGUUGAAAGUCUCAUAAACUUAUGACUCAUUCUAUACUUGAUCAAAGAGGUAGACUUCUUAAGUUGAACUCAUAAAGUUGACUUUGAUUACUUUCAAAGGAUUUUUUGUCAUGCUCAAACCUUAUUAUCCACAUACCUUGUUUGACUAUGAUUAUUAUUUGUUUCCCGGGGUGAGUUAGUACAAAAUAUUGAAUCUUUGGUUAAGCAAAACUCUUUUACUUUUAUCUAAGAUUUAUGCUCUUAAAUGCAUACUGCUCACUUAUAACAUUUGGAAACACCAUCAAAGUGGACACAAAGGCAACCAUGAAUGAAAACAAAAAGAAAAAUCAAUUGACCAUGGUGUACAAUGCCUCCACUUUCAAAAAGAAAAAGAAAAAGAAAAAGAAAAGAAUAGGAGGAUGAUAUCAUACUAAGGGGGAGUCAAGUUAUGUUGUAUGUAGAUCAACGAGGCCAUGUUAAAUAUAAAUCUGAUGAUCUUAGUUCAAAUUGACUGGAUGUGUUCUUUAAUUUGACCAAAGGCAUGAGUAGAUCUCUUCUAAGUAAUUAAUUUUGAAAUAUUGAACUAGACAGUAAGUCAUAUUUCCUUGAAAAUCAAUAUUGAUGUUUCUAUGUUGACUCUCUUAUACAUUUAUAGUUAUGCAUUAGGUUUUCAAAUCUGAAAUUAUGAUUAACUCUGAUCAUUCAUCUUGAAAUUUCAUUCUUGAUGGAUCAACAUAUACUAUAUGAAGUAACAUACUUCAUCUAUUCCUAAUUCAGCUAAUGUUGAAAGUUUAUGACCUUAACUAUCUACUCUUUAUCGUUAAAAUUUGUUUCAAUUGGUGUCAAUUCUUGUUUAUAUGUUAGUUAGUUGAGUAUUCUAUCCAUUGUUAGAACUUUUUUUGGCUUUGGUUGCUCAAGCGCUAUAUUUAGCGUCCUUCAUGCUCAAGCACUCAAGCCUCAUCAAACGUCUCUACUGCUCAAGCGCUCUAAGUUGCAUCUAGUGGCGCAUCCAUUGAGCGUCUUGCUCGAGUGUUAAUCUGUAUCGGUAUGUCUGAGUAUAAAAAUCCAUUCAACGUGUCUUUUUUCUUUUCAAACAUUUUCCUAUUCUCUCAAGAGCUCUGGGACUUUUUUUAUUUUUUAUUUUUUUUUAUCAUUUGAGGUCAAGUUUCCUUGUUUUUCACAUUUUCGACUUCAUGGUAUUGUUCUACACAUUGUUUAGGGCAUUUCUAGCGGUUUAGAUUUUUUCUGAAAUCUUCUUGGUUUUCGAAUCCUUUGGUAUUCUCUUGGAUAUGGCUAAGAUGACCCCAUCUGGGACACCCAAACCCCUUAAAGGAUUUUCACUUCAUUUUUCUUUCGAUUUUGUGGCUCUACCAAUGAAUUUUUACUUUAUCAAAAGCCCCUAGUUCAAUAUUAUUUUUUUAUCCAUUGCUGUCACAUUGUGUUUGUGGGUUCAUUUCCUCAUUUGACCCUAGAACCUCAUAGAAUCAUAUUAUAUAGAGAUGGCGUCAGUGAAGUUCAACUCAUUCCAGUUUUGAUGCAUAAGAUGAAUUCAAUAAGAAAGGCUUGUGCAUCACUAGAGGAUGAGUGUUACUAACUCUUCCCAUACAUAUACUUUAGUACCGCCUUAUCCUUAGUAUUUCCCAUCUUCACAUGCAAAAUUUUUUUGUUGAUCUUAUAAUGGCUAUGUGCGUCAAGUUUUGCUCUGCCGCCACUGAACCUUUAGUGAAUUUGUUUUUUUGUUUUUUUUUUAUUUGGAUGUUUUUUCAUUACUUAUCUUAUGUAUCAAGAAUCAUAUUUUUAAUAUACAUAUUUUGUUCAUCUUUCUUCUUAUCUCUUAUGUGCUUUGGUAGUUAUAUUUCUAAUACUUUGUCAUUUUGUGACAAAAAAAAGAGAUAAUUGCAUAUUUAAUAUUUAACUCUGUUAAAUUAAUAUAAAAGAGAGAUAACAUUAAAUAUUUAGUUCACCUAAAAAUGAGGAGUUAAAAAAUGGUGAAAAUAAAAAGCUCCUUGAUUUAAGGGAAGUUAGUUUUUGAAUUAUUUGAUUCAUUAAUUUAGGUAAUUUAAUUGAAAUAUUGGAAGAAACUAAACAUAAGACAUUGAAGUAAAUCAAAUCAGCCUUAGGAAAUAUGACUUUACGAUUCAAGAGAGAUACCUAACACGGAUGUUUCCUGCAAAUUACUUUUGUUAGAAUUGUCGAUCUCUCUCUAGAACUAAUCCUAGUUGUAGAAGCUUUUUCCCAAGGCUUUCACUACUUACCUUAUUGCUGGAGAAUGCCCCCUGCUCUUUACUAAUAAAUUAUUAGGUCUCAUCUAUCUUCGAAUAUGUUUGGUUGAUUUGCAUACAUUCAAAUUCCUCUCGACCUUUUCUUUGUACCUUGGUGUCAUUAAAGGACUCUGUUUUUUUCAUGCUUUCAUAAGACAUCAAACAAAGUCUCCAACUAUCCUGUUUUGUUUUCAUAAUAUUAUUUUAUCCUUCACACUACUUUGCCUUUGGUAUAAUUUCUUGUAUGUGUUCAGGUUACAAGGUUGGAAGAUAAGUACUUCAAAGCAUUACAAAGUUUUCCCUUAAUUCAAUUUUAGUUGAGUGUUAAUGUGUGUUAUGUGAACUCUAUUAUGAGGAUCGAUAUUGAAAGGCUUAUGGCAUUGUAAAGUGCUUCAUAGGUACAUCUAAAAAAGUUUGGCUUAUGGCAUUGAAAGACUUAUUUGAGGUAUAAAAGGAUCGGUAUCAUUUUUUAACUGGUUAAUCUGCUCAGGCAGUCAACCCAUUCAAGCAGAGAGCUCUCAAGCGGUCUAAGUUUGGUCAAGCGGUCAUGACAACCCUAUCGAGUUUAAAAAUGUAUUUUCAAUGAAUUUCAACCCAACUAUAAUUUGGAAACUUAAGAUAUUGAUAUCCUUAUAGCUUUUGCCUAUAAUUUUUUAAAUCACCCAUUCACUCCUCUCAUCUCCCCCUUUCUAGGUGUUCCCUAUUGGACUUUCAAUUAUUCCAUUUUUUUUUUAUAAUUGUAAGAUUUACUUAUGUGAUAAAAAUUGAGAAAAUAAAAAAUUGAUAAAAUCUAAGGAAAACCAAGGAAAGUGCAUGUCAAAGGAAAAUGACAACAACAAGUAUUUAAAAAACAAAAUUUUAUCAACCUAGGAUGUCUAAGUGGGAAUGUACAAAAGUAGAAAAUUAAAUCAUGUGAAGAAAAACAUUGAAAAUCAUUUUAAAAUCAUGGAAAAUCACAAAGAGAACAUAAGUUAUGCAACCAGAGAGGAAGACAAUAUCUAUGUUUAAGAAAGAGUGUGCAUUAAGGAGAAAAUUGUGCAUUAAGGAUGAAGACACAUGCAAAAGGAAAAUAUGUGCUAAAAGAGUACACAAGAGGAAUUGUGCAUCGAGGGAAACGCCAAGUGUGCAUUAGAAAAUAAAAGAGGAGCACGCACAAAAAGAUAGUGCACUAAAGUAGCUUGCAUGCUUGGGAAUCACAUGCCUAAGAAGCACUACUAUGCGAAUGAAAGUGCGUGUGAAAAUUAUGCACUGAAGAGCUACACUAAUGUGCGCAAUAAUGCACUAAAGAAAGUUAGACUAUGCAUUGAAAAGUGCACACUACAAGACACCAGUGUGUGCACUAGAUUAUGCAUUAGAUGAAAAAGUGCACAUAAUUGCUUGUGUACUGAAGAACAAGUUGUGCACUAAAGGACUUGCACAUAUGAAAUGUGCACCUAAAUGAAGGCUAAGGAGCACAUAAAGAUUGUGCAUUAAAGAGGAGCUAUUGUGACAUGGGAAAAUCCUAAACCUCUCUGGUCCCCAAGCCCGAAUCAAGUUAGGAACAUAUGAAAAUAUCUUAGGCUUUUCUAAAUACUAUGCACAACAAAAAAAAAAAUUACAUUUUAAAACUUUAAAGGGAUUCAAAAAGUGCUAACAAAAGACUUACUUUAGAUUCAAAUGUUCCUAAAUCAAAUCCAUGUGAUGAAAAACGAAGUUGUAGAAGUCCCAUAAACCUAGAGUCUUCCACUCGAAGACUCGAACUUUGAUUUUGACACACUUAUGAUAGUAAUCAAUUAGGGUGGAGGCUAUAGCUCUCUCUCUAAAGGAGAAAGAUGAAUCUUUAGAAAAAGCUAUGAAAACUCUAACCCCUAAAGGGGUAUUUAUGGGGUUCCCCAUUGGGUUAAUUAACUUAAGCCCACUAAGGGCUUGGGUCACUUAAAUUAGCACAAAAUAGGUCAUAAUUGAUUAAUUAACCUAACAGAACCUACUAAGUAAUCAAUUAGAUGUGUAAUCCUGCUUAAUUACCAAAGUGCCCUUAUGCAAAAAAGUGAACCUAGAGCUAAUCUAACCCUCUUAACUCAUGCCAACAAGGUAUAUUAGCUUAGAGUGGGGACCAUUAUGACCCAUAGGACUACUGGCUCCAUUAAAAUCCAAUUCUGAAGUUGAUUUAAUAUCCUACUAUAGCGAAUCAACUAAACUCUAGUAUCCCAUGUAAAUAACAAUGAGUUGGGUCUGUGAUUUGUCAUUAAUUAUGUUCAAUUUCCCAAUGAACUGGUGUUCGUAGUCUAACAAGGUGAAAACUAUCAGCCUUUCAAGACUACCCUACUAUCCUUAAGUUGCAAUCCUUCUAUUAUGUGUAUAACUAACAUGUCUUAGCUUUCUAAGAACUUAUGUCAAGUUCUACUUAAGGAACUACUAUGGUCAUAGUUUCCAUGAACACGUGUCCUUAGAAUGAUCCAAGGGGAUACACUAUCUCAAUACCAAGAGAUAUCAUGGUACCUUUAUUAAGAAUACCUAUUACUACCAACUUUCAUUAAUAGUGACCCAAACCAUAGGGAACAUAUGAUCAGCUUAUGAUCUCACCCAUUAAUCAAAAGUCAUUGUGUGGACCCGCAUUUUUCACGUGCGUCCCCACUCGAUCGGCGAGACUCGCUUUUUUAUUUGUGAAAAAUUGAUUUUUGAAAAAAAGUUGGAGUCGCCACUUAUUUUAUUUUUAUUUUUGAAGGGAAAAUAAAACAAGAAAUAAAACCCUAAAAAAAUGACUCCAUAAUUUUUGGAAAAAACGUGUCUUUGAAAAACCCGAGUCUAAGUCCGGGGAUCAGGUUACUUAUUGGGAAGGUACCUCUAGGAGGUAGCACCCCUCUAAGCCCUAAAGAGGUCUCUACUGACUAAGUUAAGGGAAGCAUGACAAUUAAAUGGUUGAUCAUGGAUACCUAAGUAGGCUAGGUGAUUCCAAAAACAUAACAUAUCAAACAAGGUCAAAUCACAAUUAAGGAGAGUUAAAAGUGCGUACCUGGACGGCUUCCCAAGCGCUAUCAUAAAACAUAAGAGAUUAGUUUGGAGAUACAUCACACAACAUUUGUUUUAUUCAAGCAAAUCAGGCAUAUAUCAAGACAUUCAAGCAUCACGUCAAAUAUGGAUAUGGUCAUCAAUGACAUACAAGUCCAUAGAGUUCUAAAAAAAUAGAUGAGAAGAGACCGUACCUGGAUAGCAAGCUAGUACUCCUCUAUGGGAAACAAGAGCAUCUCAACAAUAAAUAUUAAGUGAAUUCAAGUAUUUCAUCAAGAAGAAUAAAAAAAUCAACAUAUCAAGUAAACGGUAUUGAAGUGAGUGUUAUGAAUGUCGGGCCCCCACCAAAGCCCUAAUUAAUUUUGCAUGAAUUGAUUCCAUAAAUUCCAUGAUUUGGAAUUAUGAAUUUUAUUCAUGCUUGUUGAAAAAUCAAGAAAACCAUGAAAAAUAGUUGAAAAUGGUGAAAAUGCAUGCCGGAAGGGAAAAUGGCAGCAAAUAGUAUGUUAAAAAAAAUCUGGAUUUUAGUGACUAAAAGGGCUCUAAAGAUUGAUUUUUCAAAGCUGGAAAUAUUUAAUUGAGAAAAAGAUUCAAAGAUUCAAUUUAAAAUAGGGAAUUCCUAAUCAAAGAAGCAAAAGGAGGAGGUGUGUGUAGCAAGGUAGGUAUGAUGGAGGGGAGUUGGGAGGUUUGGCUAUGACCGCAUUGCUGGUAAUUGCAGGUGCUGCUGUUAUUCUCUCUAAAUUUUCUCUUUCUACUCUGGUUGCAUGCAUUCAAGCACCAUACAUCGCUGCAUUCCCGGGCCUUUUCCGAUUCCUUGAAGUUCCCUAUAUGCGGACUUACUUCCAAGAGCUUUGGCAUUAAUUCCCCAUAUGAAUCUCUGAAAUUUGCUGAGAAAUUUAGUCUUUCUGGAUUGCCAUUUAUGAUAACUAGAGCAUUGAAAGUUGGGGAAUCACAUCCAAUUGGUUUUAGCUUUAGAGGGUGACCAUCGGUCAUGGUAAAAAAAUGAAAUCAAUUUCUGUUUCCUCAUGCCUGUUUCAAACUAUCCCGUUGUUGCACCAAGGACUUCCCUUUUCUAACUGCAACAUUUAACUUCUUUCUCAAAGAAGCUGACUUCUGCUCCUCUUGAUCAAGUGGAACUUGCGUCUCCUCCCUUUUCUGAUCCAAUGCUUCAACUUCACAUAACAAAGAUUGCAUCUUCCCCAUAUACCUAUCUCUCUCCCCCUUUGCUUCAGUCAGAUCACCCAAAGCCUCCUCUAAUUCUUUCUUCAAAACCACCACAUCUAGAUCCUUGGUAUCUGGUGCAUCUAUGGCUCUUGGUUCAUCACUAGAUGUAUCAGCAUUUUCGGUAUGGCACUCAUCAAUCCCUUCCCUAAGCACAGUUUUUCCCAAGGAAAGUCUAGUGUGAUUCUCUAUAAACUUCCUUAGCAUUGCAGACAGCGUGUAUAGCUGUAGAAGGGUCUCUUAGUGCGUAAGUUACAUCUCCAAUGCAACCAUGUGUGGUAUUGAAAGGUGGCAGCCUUCAAGUUCUGAAUGUUGCGGCUGUCUUCGAAUUUGAGAUGGUGCGUGGUGUAGAUGGAUGCAGCCCAUGAAGAAACCUGUGCAUAGAGUCCUUUGGUGCUCACAACUUCUUAAAAAAAAUUCUGGGGGUUCCUCUAGAAAGUGGACUAUGCAUGUACGUGUGUUCUCUGAAAAUCAAAACUGUGCGUGGGCUUCUUCAUGCGGCUGUGAAGACUUCCCGAGGUGGCGUGUUUCUGUUAGUGCGUGGUCCCCAUGGGAGUGCAGGCUGCCCCUCAAUCCGUGCUCUUGGAUUUCAAGUGUCCAUCCAAAGUGGCAACAUGAGAUGUUUGUUUCUCUCAAAGUGGGUUCAAAUUUUUGUUUCUCUAUAUUGAUGAUGCGACUGUUUCUCAGAAAAUCCUCACUUGGUACCCUCUCCUCCAUAUUCAGGUACGGAGCAAUGAACCCUCAAAGACUCCUUGGGAUCAAAUUUAAGAGACUGAACGUGAAUACCAGAAAUUCUGAUAAGCUAUGACAUUGUGUUUAAGUCUUUUGGAAAGUGACUUUAGAAAAGACUUCAAGGCAGAAUUCUGAACUGCAAUGUAAUGUGCAUGACAACCUUGGAAGUCUCAUCAGAAAAAGUUCAAAUUUCUUCCAUUGGAGGCCUCAAAUUCAACAACUUCUUGAUUCGUCAAAGAGGGUACCCUCAUCACUAGAGUUUUCCAUUACACUUCGAGAAUUUUCUGGUCUGUAUUAACUUUGAAAUUUUUCUGGCCCAUGUUCAGUUGAAUGAAUAUAUCCCCAAGGAGGUAUUCCAUGACUGCCCACAAUGAGAAACACCAAAGAGUAUAUGUGCAUUAAUCCAUAUGAAAUGUACAAAUGACCCAAAUGUUGUUUCAGAAGAGGAGGCAUCAACACUUAAUUCUUUCUCUUCCAGUUCUUCCUAAGUCUAUGUAGACUUCCUCAGAUACUAUAUUUAAUUCACAAACCUCAGACAUCAAUUGAUACUGAUCCAGAAUUCCAUGACACCCUUUCAGUACCUUUUGAAAUGCCCCUUCACCUGUUAGAUUCAAAUAGCUCAUUCGACAAACUUGGCUGCCACACAAACAAACAGAUACCUCAUACUCUUUCUUACUCUCUGUGACUGAGUUAUAAUCAAAGAUGAUCUCCUCACCACAUUGAAUUUGACGUACGGUGUAGAUUCCAAUCUGGUACUGACCUUCUACAGCAGUAAUUUUGGCUUCACGGUUAGGUCUACAUAAAUGACAAAUUCGGCUUGCAUAGUUAGCCUUGUGUAUUGCAUCAACAACUAAAUUCCACGGAUUCGGCUCUUGAUCCAAUUUUAGGUUCAAUAAAAGUUACUUUAUUCUGUGGUUGAAUUUUAACAGCAGCAUCAGGAACAUCUGCAGCAAAGGUAAUUGGAAUCCAAAUUUUAUUAAUUUUUCCUAAAACACUACUAUGCUUCUGAAUUGAAUCUUGAUCAACUAAAGAUUGGAGCUCUGAAAAUGAUGAGGGCCAUUGCUCAUGUCCAGCGCCAUCAAGAUAAUACCAGUCACUAAAAUCACCAAAGGCAAAGGCAUAAUCCUUGUCAGAGAAUGUGCUCAACCUAGAAUCCAAAGCUUCUUUUGACGUGAUUUCUGGGUAUCUGAAAAAUCUAUCUAUUCUUUGAUCAGGCUGUCCUCCAAUACGAAGUUGAUGCCAGGAUAAACCUUCAGCUCCCAAUUUCUCCCACUGUGCAUGCUCAAACGACGCCUGCAAAACUUCCCCCAGAGUCUCCAGCUCCCUGCCAGGAAUGAAGGUAAAACUCUUUAAUAAAGCUCUAACCCUUUCAUCAAUCUGAAGACCCUCUAAUGGCUCGGAUGCAAUGGAAUUGUCAUUGUUGCAAGACAUCGAUUGCAGCAAAAGUGGUAGGUGUUUCCUCUUCUAGCAGUUUGUUGGACUCUGUGGUAUCUCCAGCCCCGGCCAAUGGAUUACCAGGAGCCUCUGGAGGACUCACCAGUUGAGUUACAGUGUCUGAAACAAAGGGUGGGAAGUUCACAGGCACUAACAGAGAAGCUGCGUUUUUAAUAGUUAACCAUCUGUAGUAAACCUUUCUCUAUGAAAUUUCUUUCUCUCACCGAAGAACACAGAUAUUAACAAAACAUCAUUAAGAUCAAACAGAUCCUUGGGUUUGGGAAGAUCUAUGGAGAAUUCAUCAAAAUUCCUUACAAAUCUAGUCUCCUUCAAAAACUUCAACUACCGAAGAAUCUACCUGUAGGUCUUGCCAAUUCAUGUAAAGAUAUAUUAGGAUAUCCUCCUGUUCAGCCUGAGGCUUGCCUUCAAACCCAGGGGAUCCCAAUUUGACCAAGAUCUGUUGAUCUUGCAGCUCAGGGACUACAAGGGCUCUAAAUAAUGAACUUUCCACAGAAUCUGUAGGAUAUGAAAGGCAACACUCACCACAUGGCUUGAGGAAUGAACCAGACGGGAUCAUACACAGAUCUUGAUUUCGCAAUUGAAUGUAUGACUCUGUAACCAUUUUGUAUAUAGGCAGAGCACGUAAAACUUCAAGCUCUUCCCUUCUAUACUUAGAGCCAUUAGAAGAGAAAUCAGAAGCAAAAAGUGUACAGAGUUCCAUACGCUCUGAAGUUAGAAAAGAAUUAAGUUCAGGGAAAAUAGACAACCUGUUUAGCAACAAGCUUUCAAGCAAUAAUCUGCCCUAAUGACUGAUCAAGUGUAGAGAGGUAAUUACAUUAAGCCGCGCAUUCUAUGAAACAGCGUUUCUUUUUGACAUACUCUCAAACAAUUGCCUCGCAAUACCCAUGCAUCCAGAUUUUGAGUACACGUCAACCAAAGCCGUCUCCACAAACACAUUACCUUCAAAACCACCCCGAGCCCAAAAGAAUAGUGCACUGAUUUCGCAAUCUGGGUCAAGCCUAGAAACACUGCCUUCCGACAAGAGGAUCUCCUUUGGUUUUGUAUUCUCUGAUUUUUCCCACUAAUUUUCCUGUGCUUCCUUCCUCUUCUCACCAAAAUGAUCCCCACCCCCUUUUUUUCUUUCUUUUCUUUUCAAUGUCGUUUUCUCCCGUGCUCCCCAAUAUAUUCUCAGUGUAGAUACCCUGGAAUAAUCGAAUUCCAAGGAGCCACAUCUCUAAUCCCCAUAUGAACUCACAAAUUUACGUUAUGGUAACCAAACUUAGCAAGUGCAAUAAACAGCCGACAUACCUUUCGGACAAUCUUCUCUAGAUCCCAUAUUGUGAUAGCAGUUCCAGAAUUUUGAAGUGUUUGACCUCUUUGCUGAAUCUCAUGACUAUAUUCCCAAGCCUUGGAGUCACCCCCAUAUCAACAAUUGAUGGCUAUAUGACGGGUAGGAAGAAAGGCAAAACAGAUAUGGUAGAGAGUAGAGGAAACGAUGGGAAAACAGACAUGGGAGAUUAAAAGAAAAUAAAACCACAUCUCAUGAUUUUUCAAUAGGCUCAAGUUAGUGGGAACAGGCAUGGAGUUAUAUGCUUCCGAAGACAUUAAUGACAUCCAAAAUCAAAACAAGGCAAACAGGCAAGUAGCCAAUCUCAACAAAGCCAAUUGUGGCCCUUUUCGUCUACACAAAAAUCAACAAAACAAUUAAAUAUUCAGGAAUCGAACACACGGAAAAAUCAAAUAUAGGUAAGAAUUCCAAAAGGAACGAGGUGCAUACCUGGACAGCUUUGGUUGCAAUGGCUCGGCUUUUGGCUAUCUUUCCUCUUCCUUCUGAAGACAAUUCCCAGAUAAAAAUCCUCUUUUUGCUUGUUCUUUCUUCUUCCUCCUCCCUCUCUAGACUCCAAUACGUGUUGCUCACCCCCUAUUCUUUUCCUUUUCUCACCUAUAUAUAUCACCUAUUCUCUUCAAGACCUAAAUUUUCUUCCAAAAAGGAAAAUUUUCCUAUUUCCUUUCUUCUUCUCUUCUUUUUUUAAAUCCUCCAAUCAAAAGCAAUCUUCCCAAUUUCAAAUUCUCCUCCAAAACCUUCCAAGGAGAGUCCCACUUUCCUUAAACUCCAAUGGUAAGUUUCCUUGCAAAAACAUGAAAUUUUAGAAGUUAAAUAAUUGCAUGAAUAGAUAAAUAAGUAAAUAAAUUAGAAAAUGGUAAAAAUAAUAAAUAAAUAAAUAAGUUAAGGAAAAUAAUAUAAAGAGGAAAAUAAAAUAAAAUAAAAUAAAAAUAAACAAAUUAACAAAAAAUGGGCCCUAUGAGCCAUGCAAACACGCAAGUCAUAUAAGUCACGCUAAAAAAUGUCCAAAUGGGCCAAGUGUGCCUAAAUGGCCUAUGAUGAGACUAAGUGGGCCUAGGGUGGUGCCUAAUGGGCCAAGUGUAUCUAAAAGCUAUCCUAAAAAAAACAAGAAAAGCCUAAGUCUAAGUUAGGGCUGCCAAGGGUCACAAUAAGGGAUCAAAUAAUCCCUCAACCAAAGUCUCCAAGGUGACUCAAAAAAAGGUAAGUGGUAUGAGUAGCCAUGGGCCACCAAGGAACUAUUGUGGAGCAUUGAAAACGAAUUUUAAAGACAUGUGCUAAAGGGACAAAAUUGAGGGUCUACACAUUGCUAACUUCAACAUAAGUUCAAUAUUCUCUCAAGGUUGAGAGAUAACACAAUGAAGCAGUCUAGUAGGGUGAUGACUACUUGAUAGCAUUAAGUCAUAACUUACCAUAGAUCCUAUCCAGUGUGUAACCAUACAGACUAGUGUUCUCAUCGUGGGAAACCCAUUCGAUAACUAAGACUAGUCAUCCCUCCAAUUAGGAAGUGGUGCACUACAACCUCCAAUAGGUUGCCUAGACCCACAAACCAACAUGAACUAAUCAUUUAUUUACAAGGAACCCAUGACUUAAAUCUUUUAUACAACUCCUAAUAUACCCAAGUCACAUAUAAUGCAAAAGAUGAAACCAAAGUGCUUACAAAGUAUAAUGCAUGGAAGUAAGAUAGAUAAAAGUGAAAUGCAACUUUAUUAAAUAAAUAAUAAAAUCCAAAAGUCUAUUACAUCAUGUCAUGCUUUUAAGGGUUCUAUCAUAACAGCAUGCACAUAAGAACUAUGCAUUGAGAAGAGAUGGUCUAGGUACUAGGUAGCAUGUGGAGGGAAAUGUGCACUAAGAAUAAGAAUGGCAUACCAAGAAGCAUGCACACGUAAGAUAAAAUCACACUAAGAGGACAUAGAAUGUGUGCAAAUAUAUGAAAUUUGCACUUAAAGAACUGCCAAUGUUUGUAUGCAAAGACAUUGUGGACCGAAAAUCGCAUACUAAAGAAAAGUGUGCUCACAUAAGAGAAAAAGAGAGACAUGCAUGCAAGUGUACAAAUUGGAAAACAAUUCAAGAUGUACAUACUAAGAUAAGGAUGCACAAAAUACAACCUAAAUGAAGAGAUGCACACGUGUAAUGCACACCAAGAAGUUAUGUGCAUGAGAAAGACGCACAAAUAUUUCAUCUAAAGAGGAAAGUUGUGCACUAUUCAAUGCACCAAAACAAGACAUGAAGUGGGCAUAAAAAAAUACGCAAAACAAAGCAAGACACCAAGUGCAAGCCUACUACUCAAGAGAAAGAACAAAGUAUGCAAACCAAAAAUGCAAAAUAAGAGGAUGCACUAAUAGGGCAAAUGACUUGUGCAAUUUGACAUGCAAUACAAAACGAACACUAGAAAAAAAACAGACGUGCGCAACCCAAUUCACAAACAUAGUCAAACAUCGGUUGAAUGUACAACUUAGUGCAUAAAAACAAAAUAGAAUGUGUAAUCCUCAGCACAACAUGAAUAGAAUAUAGGGAGCAUGCAAUCUAGGUUCACAGUCAUGAACAUCAAAUACACUAACAAAAACGUGCAAAUCCUAAUAUGUGAACACAAUGAAACAAAGCCUAAGAUAUGCAGUCUUGAUGCACAAUCUUGAGCACUACAGAAGACCAAAGCAAAUAGGUAGCCACAGAGAACCAACUACAAAUGAGUGGCUUCAAAAUGCACACUAACCAAUUCACAAAACAAACAAUAAUCACAAGAAAAUCAAAUGAGCAAAGAAAAAACUCAAAAUACAAUAGGUAAAAAAUAAGAAAAGCCUCAUAUCAUGCGUUAUCAGUGGGCUUAAAAAACAAGUGAGAUAUCCAAACUAGAUUUAAAACAAGAACAAAAACAAGAUUUCAAGAUGUUAUAUGGAAAGAACGAACUAAAUUCAGGUUAAUCUCAAAUAAACUAAAGAAAAAUAGGGUGAACAGAACAAUGACAAGCCUAUAAACAUCCCAGAAUUGAAAAAUUAAUGUGUGGCCUCUAAUAUCCAUAUCCAAUCAACAAGCAACUUUUAACGAUAUCUAAUGAAAGAAAAACAUAACCAAAUAUGGGUCUCAUAAUGAAAAGAGCUUAACUGAGAAGAGAUGUAUUAGUUAACCUUUUCUUCUCUUUGUUUGGUUCUUUACUUUCCUUCUCUUUCAUUUUCUUCUUUCUCUAGUCCUUUUCUUUUUUUCCCUAAGCUCUUUCUCUCUAUCUCUCUUUUUACCCAACAAAUCCCUAAUGACUAGAAUAUUUUUGUGCAUCUCUCUCUCUCACACACAACAAUGUAGAAUGUGCUCUCAUACCUCUUAAAAAUGAGAGAAAAAUCCCCUACAAAAUGCCAAAAGGACCUUCCGAGCAAGGAUCCUACGUUAAGGCUCAUAACCAAAUUAAUGAACGUAGGUUAAACCUAAGGUGCCAUAGAAAGUCAUGCUAGAAUCAACAAAAAUUUCCCUAAUGGUCUCUAAAAAAUGGCUCAAAUAACAACGAACUACCAAGGGACAUGAUAAAUGGAAGGGAUCCUAAGUGCAUGUUAUGAAAGAGUAUAGGGCAAGGGGAAAAUAAACAUGAAAUAACAUAUGCUGGGAGGACAAAAUGGAAGGGAUCCUAAGUGCAUGUUAUGAAAGAGUAUAGGGCAAGGGGAAAAUAAACAUGAAAUAACAUGUGCUGAGAGGACAAAAUGAAGGGUCCGUAGGUUCCACAAUCCAACUGUUAGGAUAUUGCCCUUAAAAACAUGACAUGAUGUAAUAAAUUUGGAAUUCAUUAUUUAUUUAAUGAUGUUCCAAUUUUACUUUUAACCAUUCUUAUUCCAUGUAUUACACUUUAUGAACAUUUUGACCUACAUCUUUUGUAUUGUAUGUGACUUAGGUGCAUUAGGAGUUGCACAAAAGAUCUAAAUCAUGGGUUCCUUGCAAAUAGAUGACUUAUUCACAACUGGUUCAUGGGUCUAGGCAACCAAUUAAAGGUAGUAGUGCAUCACAUCCUAAUUUAAGGGAUGACUUGUCUUGGCUAUCAGGAUAGGUUUCCCAAGGUGAGUGCAAUGUGUGUAUGGUUACACAUUGGACAAGGCCUAUGAUGAGUCAUAACUUAAGGCUAUCAAGUAGUCAUGAUCUCACUAAACUACUCCAUUGUGUUGUCUCUUAACCUUGAGAGAAUAUUAAGUUUGUGCUAAAGUUAGCAGUGGCUUUGACUUAUGGGUGAGAUCGUAAGUUGAUCAUAUAUUCCCUAUGGAUUAGGUCACUACUAAUAAAAUUCGGUAACAAUAAGUAUUUUCAAUAAAGGCACCAUGAUAUCUCAUGGGAUUGAGAUAGUGUGUCCCCUUGGGUGAUUCUAAGAAGGUGUGUCAAUGGAAACUAUGGCCAUAGUAGUUCCUUAAGUGGAACUUGACAUAGGUUCUUAACCAAGAUAUGCCAAUUGAAUACACAAUAGAAAGAUUUGUAACUUAAGGAUAGUAGAGUUAAUCUUGAAAGAUUGAUAGCUUUCACCUUGUUAGACUACGAACACACCAGUUCAUAGGGAGAUUAAAGAUAAUGGAUAACAAGUCGCAAACCCGAGCAUGUAAUGUCUUAUUGUUAUUUACAUAAAAUACUAAAAUUCAGUUAAUUCUCUAUAGUGGGAUAUUGAAUCAACUUUUGAAUUGGAUUCUGAGAUAUCCAACUUAGUGGUCCCUACUCUAAGCUCAUAUACCUUGAUGUCAUAGAUUGUGAAGGUCAAAUUGGUUAUAGGUUCACUUUUUUGCAUAAGAGUGUUUUGGUAAUUAUGCAAGGUUGCACAGGGGUAAGUAAACAAGAUCUUUAGAUUGGGCUAGUUGAUUAAUUAGUAGGCCUUAUUGGAUUAAUUAGUCAAUUAGAACUCAUUUUGGGCUGAAUUAAGUGACCUAAGCUCAUGAGGGCUCAAGUCACUUAAGCUUAAUUAGGAACCUUAUAAAUACCACCUAGGAGUUAGAGUUUCCAUCACUUUUGUCUUCCACCAUUCAAAGAGAAAGAGAGUCAUAACCUCCAACAUUUUUCCUGCUUAUCAAAAGUGUGCUAAGAAUAAGAUUGAGUCAUCGGGCGAAAGAUCAUGGGUUUACGAGACUUCUAACAAUCUUAAGGUCAUCUUCAACACUUGGAAUUUAAGAUUUGGGAACAUCCAAACCUAAAAGGUUAGUACUUUAACCCUAAAAGAUCAAUUUUUUAAAAACUGAUAUUACUUCCCUUGCUUAGAUCUAAGAUGUCAACAUGGAGUGCAAGAUCACGGUUUGAGUCAUCAAGCAAAAAAUCUUAGGUGUACGAGACUUCCAAAUUCAUUGUUCAACACCUUCACUACGUAGAAUUGAUUUGGGAACAUCAAAAUCAAAGGAAAAUUUCUCUAAUGACUUUUCUCUUGAUCCUAGAAUGGUAAAAAAUUGAUUUUGCUUCUGUUGCAUAGGAUCUAGAGCCUUAGGGUAUUUUUGCAUGCACCUAUACGAUAUAGGGUAAGGGAAUGGAGAAAUCCAAGGUUCCUAGCAACGUCUCUUUUCCAUAAUUUUCUUUCUCAUUUCUCAUGUUAUGCAUUCCUUUAUUUGUCUUUGUUGCAUCUUUUCCCCCUCUCAAACUUGAGACUUAUCUCAAAAUAUAUGGAUAGGGUUUUUUUAAAUAAUUCAAGUUAAUUUAGGUAUUAGAAUAGAGCCCUUAAAAGCAUGACAUGAUUUAAAAAAUUUUGAAUUGAUUAUUUAUUUAGUGAUAUUCCAGUUUCACUUUUCUAUAUCCUUAUUCCAUCCAUUAUGCUUUAUAAGCAUUCUUACCUAGAAUGUUUUGCAUUGUACAUGACUUGGAUGCAUCAGGAGUUGUAUAGAAGAUCCAAGUUAUAGGUCUUUUGCAAGUAGAUAACUUGUUCACAACUGAUUCAUGGACUUAAGCAAUUCAUUUGAGGCAAUAGUCUACUACCUCAAAAUUAGAGGGAUGGCUAGCCUUUGCGAUCAGGAUAGGUUUCCCAUGGUAAGUGCACUAAUGUGUAUGGUUACACAUUGAAUAAGACCUACAAUGAGUCAUGACAUAAGACUAUCAAGUUGUCAUGAUUUCACCAAGCUGCUUUAUUAUAUUGUCUCUCAACCUUAAGAGAAUACUAAGCUUCUGGCCAACUUAGUAGUGGCUUUGCCCUAUGGGUGAGAUCUUAAAGUGAUCAUAUAUUCCUCUAUAGAUUAGGUCACUUUUGAUGAAAGCUGAUAGCAAUAAGUAUUCUUAAUAAAGGCAUCAUGAUAUCUCAUGGGAUUGAGAUAAAUUGUUCUUUUGGGUUGUUAGGAUAUUGAGUCUUGUUUAUAUGUUGUUAAUUUUGUUCUUUUUUAUGUUUGGUCAUAGCAGUCUUUUUAGAUAGCAACUUGCUCUACAUUCAAGAUCAAGUGUUGCAAUCUAUCUAAUCGGGAAGUCAUAAGUAUGUCUAAAAAGGUUUAACUUGUGGCAAUUUAGGAUCCAUUGAGGUAUAAAGAGGAUUGGUAAGUUUUUUGAACUUAAAAUUAAUUUUUAUAAAGUUUUUGAAAAAUAGAGGACACUCAAUGAUUCGUGCCCAACUGGUGUAUGCCUUGUUGAUUGGUGUUCAAUCAACUAGUGCACUCUGAUUUCAGUCCUCAGAUGGGAGUAAUCAACAAAAUUUAUAAACCUAUUUCACCAUAUACUAGGGUAGUAUUAGCUAGCAUAGCAUAGUGGCUCUAGGAUCCUCCACAAGGAUGGGCUUUCAAAUUACAACUGAUAUUAGUUCAAAAACUGAAUUGGUGCUUUUUCUUUUCAAGGUUAGCUUUAAAAGAAAACAUAAAUAUGUUUGAAAAGGUUGGUUUUAAGUGAAACCAAAAAUAAAGUAACUAAAAUUACUUACAAAGAAAAGUGCUUCUUGGAGUUUUAGAUCACUAGGCUCAGGUUUGUCAUACAAAAAAGGAGAUUCUGGUCAUUUGGAUCUUUUCAUCGCAUUGGGGAUUUAACAUAUAGUUAUUUCCUGAACCAGUGUGGUACAUAUUCUUCCCCUUAAUGGUUUCAAACACUAAAUCUCUAUCACUGAAUCAUCUUGCAAUGGUUCAUACCUCUCACUUAGUAUUAGCCAUUCAGGGUGAUCCUUAACCUUGGAUUACCCGUCAAAAGCUCGCAAGAGAUAACUAAUGGAUGCCUCUUGGGAGUCCAAAAGCUUACCAAGUGUUGGCUAUUCUAGAUAAUCCUACCUUUAAACCACCUUCCAAAGGCUCGCAAGAGAUAAACUAGUAUAUCUCAAUGGAUGGAGACCACUUGCCUUACCAAGUGUUGGCCUAGGUGAUUUUAAGGGAUUUUAAGUUAACUAAAAAGAUAAAAACUAUUAACGGGUCACACUUUCUCUUUAUUAAAAACUAAAACAACAGAACUUCCACUUUUGCAUUGGGAACCUUACCUAGCUUCCUUCAUUCCAAGAAAUAAAAAUCCUAGCCACUCAUCCUCUGGGAAAACAUCAUGAGAGUUCGAUUUGCUAGAAAUAAAAAUAACGAGAAAAAAAAAUGAGAAGUUAAGGCAGAGCAAAGCUCUGUGUAUUACUUUUUGAAAAACUAUACAAAGUGUCGUCUCCGAGAAAAAAUCCCGAGAGAUCCUUUUAAAAGAAAAAUUACAAUAGAUAUUAUAUAGAGAGAGGCUAUUCACCCCUCCUGCUAACUUCCUAACCAAGAAAACUUGUCAUUGGUGGGUUACAAGGAGAAAAUAGGGAUUUACACACAAAUAUCUAAAGAUAAAUAUCAAACGGAGUCAGUGCACAAAUAUCUCAAAUUAUAGGUGGAUCUCGCAAGUUCAAAUGCAACUUGCGAAAAUUUCACAAGUUGAAAUUAUCCAUUUCGCAAGUUGCGUAAUUGUCCUACAACUUAUCAGCUCUCUGUCCUACAACGAUUCCUUUCCUCUUCCUAUUUUGCAAGUAACGAAAAUUUCGCAAGUUGGAUUCCACAACUUACGAAAUUGCUAGAUGGUUGAUUUCUUUUGUGCUUUUCUUCAUUGCAUACUCGUUUGGUUUUGGCAAAGGGUUAUGAAGCUCCAAAGCUUAGUUUCUUCAGGAGUUUGAGCUUCAACUUGCUUUGCCAUGAACUAUACAAAGAUCUCCCUCAUUCUUGGAUUGUUUUGGUGAUCAAAAAGCUAUCAAAAACACCAAAACUUAACACAAUUUGAUUAGAAACGAUUGAAAGGGUCCUUAACAUGCCAAUUGAGUUAAAAGGUAAUAACUACUACUCAAAAGUGUUUAAAAGAGUUAAUUACAAGCUAUAAAAUAACACUUUUUGAGUAGUAAUCACUCCCCCCAACCGACACAUUACUAGUCCCUUAGCAAUGAAGGAGAGAAAAAUAAAAAUAAAUAGUACUAUAAUUUACAACAUCAUGCUGAUCACUACAAAAAAUUUCAAGUGGCAUGAUGAUCAAACUUUCACAUGAGACAUUAAAGAUAUAAAACUCAAACUUCAACAAGAGUUAUCAAAUAACUUGCCUAAUCACAAUUCAUAAAGAGAAGGCAUUAUGCAAAUUUAAGUUUUAAAAGAAUUUCCAUUCCCAAAGGGUCAAUCCUUACUCUUCUACAAAAAUCUAAGUGUUACUUAUUAGUUUCUGAAUACAAAAAGUAAAUAGAUGAUCAGGUAGUGGUGGGAGGAUCAUGUGGAGACGAUGGCUUUGCUGUGGUCUCCUGAGUGCUUUGGAUAGGAGUCUCGACCUCUGCUGUAGUAGUCUCCUCAUAGGGCAUAGUCUGCUCUGCUGGAGUAGCCUCCUGAGAUGGAAUAGCUUGCUCAGCUAGAGUAGCCUCCUCAGAUGGAGCUGUAGGCUCUAAUGGACUAGGCAUAUCAUGCUCAGAUGGUGGCAGAAUACCUAAAUGCUUCCGUAUUUGACUAAGGAUCGUAGUAUGUUGGGUUUGCAUGGCAAUAAGUUGAUCCUGACAUGCACGUAUGACUGUUAUCUAUUGGGCGAGAACACUUUGAGUAGUGCUCAAUGUCUGCAAUGUAUGACAUAGGCCUCUAAACUCUAAACUACAUAUAGUGAUAGAAGACUCAGAUGGAGGAGGUGCUAAUGUAGCUGGUACAACUAGUAAAGCUUCAAAAGUGGUAGAAGGAGCAGAAGAUGUAGCCUCGGGCGUGGGCACUGUAGAAGGUACUGUAGGGGUAGGUGGUAUGAUCUCUGUAGGUAUCUCAGCUUGUUGUGCCUGUGGUGGCUGCUCAUCUUGUGGUAACUCUGGAGGUGUUGGCACAUCUGGGGCCCUUGGGGGUGCAACAUAGGUUGUCAAAUGAUUCCAUUUGUCGAGAAUGAAUAGCUCUCGAAAAAUACGGCGGCGCUCAAGCUGAGGCUCAGAAGGAUGGCCCAAAUGCUCUAAUAUCUAACAGAGCAGCUUGGAAAAAAGUAAUGGAAUGGCAUCUACUCUUUGGAGCUUCUUCCUGUGGACCUUCUCUUCAAAGUAGAAAAGAGAGGUCAUAAUCAAAAUAUGAGGGCCAAAGUAGAAACCCUCUGAUAUUCGGAAUAAAGCCUCCAAUAUAGCUCAUCUCCUCUGCACCAUAUGCUGAAGUGGAAAUAUGUUGGAACACAACACCACAUCUAGAAGAAGCAUCACAAGUGGAAGCUCCUUCCUAAGAAGAAAUGAGCGUGUAGAGGUCCCCCUGGACAAUAUACGGACCAUGUCUCUCUGAGAGAAAUGGGACCACUCUCUGUAAUCUGCUAGACUCAUAGGCUCAUAUGGCAUGUGCAGGGCCUCUGCAAUGUGUCUAGCUCCUAGGAUACCAUGGCGUCCAUCAAUAGUGAAAUGGAUGACAGUAGGAUCCCAGACGCGACGAGUAGUCAUAGACUGAUAAAAGUCUAGUGCUACUCUGGGAUAGAAGAAGUCCCUAGGAGUCAUCAGGUGCUCCAAAUGGUAUCUCUGCAGUAGGCGGAAUGAAUCUCUAAGUUCCGGCUGCUGUUUGAAAGUCUCCAUAUCAAAACAUAGCUCAGAGUGGAAUGGCCUAGCUCAGCAAUCCAAAUUUCCCUCUAUAGGUGGCUGUGUAACCAUAGGUCGCCUGAUAAUCACUUCUAGAGUCAUCCCAGAAGGAAUCUGAGACUUUGUAGCAAGAGGCUGAGGCUGUGGAGGUGCAGAUGACUCUCCUGGGCCUGAAACUCUGGCUUUCUUUGCAGGAGGGCAAUGAACUGAUUUCUUGGGACGUAAAAUGCUUGCCCUAGGUGUAGUAGGUGGUCUCCUCGUCUCGUGCCUACGCUGAGGAGGGCUAGAUGGCACUCCACCCUCAGAAUGUGGAAUGGCAGAGGCCUGUGGAGCCUCAGAUGUGGAAUCCCGUGCAGGUGAAGCUCUUGGCCUUGGAUUGCAGGUUGAUGAAGACGCGAUGUAGGCUCCUCUUGUCUUGGCCAUGGCUGAAAUGGAGAGGCUUGUGUUCCACAAGGUGCGUGGAGGUGUGCGGAGUGGUUCUUCUUCAAACGCACAACUUUUGGGCUUCCAACUCUAGAAUUUGGGGGACUUUGCAACUUACAAGGUUAUUUUGCAACUUGAAAGGGCUAUGCGACAUGAAAAUGGAAAAAAUAAGAGGUUUAAAUAUGAAUUUAAACGUCGGUUGGCAUUUUCACAAGUUGGCCUGAAUUCGCAAGUUGGUUCGCAAGUUGCCCAUUUUCGCAACUUGAUUCACAGGUUGCGAAACUUGAAAUUGAACUUACGAAAUGGCACAUGUGUGCUUGGAGGUGCUUUCGCAGGCUCCAAAAAUUUUCACAAGUUGAAUAGUGGACUUGUGAAUUUGAGCUUUGAGGAUUUCGCAAGUUGGACCCUAUUUUCACAAGUUGGAAUUUCAGCUUGCGAAAUUUUCGCAAAUUGAAAUAUUGCUCUGUAUUUCAGGCUUUUUCUCCUUCUUUGGUUCUUUAAGGCUUUCCUCCAAUUCCUUUGAAGUUCCUCCUAAUUUUGAUCAUCCAAAAAGUCUAAGUUAAAUCAAAAUAAAAUAAAUUAAAGCUAGAAUUAAAAUUAAAACAAAUAAUAAAGCUUUUAAAUCAACAAAAUUGAAACAAAAAACAUGGACUUUGGUUAGUCUUCAAAAAGACUAAGUCCAUCUACUCCUUUUUGGUUAAGAUUGUUGUGGCUCAAGAAGACUGACUUCCUCCUUAUCUUGAUUGAAAGGCUCCAUGAAUGGCUUGAGACGGUGGCCAUUGACUUUGAAAGUGUUUGUGCUAUUGGAAUUGAGUAGUUCAACUACUCCAUUGGAAUGCACUUGGUGAAUAAUGAAAGGGCCUAUCCACCUUGAUUUUAGCUUUCCUGGAAAGAUGUGGAGCCUAGAGUCAUAGAGUAAGACUCUUUGUCCCUUUUGAAAUUCUUUGUUGGAGAUUAACUGAUCAUGCCAUCUCUUCAUCCUCUGUUUUGCAAUUUUGGAAUUGAUGUAGGCAUCAUUUCUCAAUUCAUCCAUCUCAUUAAGGUCUAAGCAUCUCUUCAUCCCAGCUCUGUUCAAGUCCAUGUUUACCUUCUUAAUUGCCCACCAAGCCUUAUAUUCAACUUCCACAGGGAGAUGGCAUGUUUUGCCAUAGACUAGGCGAUAAGGAGACAUGCCAAGAAUAGUCUUGUAAGUUGUUCUGUAUGCCCAUAGUGAAUCAUGGAGCUUAACAUACCAAUCUCUUCUGCUCGUGUUCACCACCUUCAUCAAUAUAUUCUUGAUUUCCGUAUUUGCUAACUCAACUUGCCCAGAAGUCUGAGGGUGGUAAGGUGUAGCUACCUUGUGCUUCACCCCAUACUUGGCUAAGAGAGUUUCAAAAGGCUUGUUGCAAAAAUGAGUACCUCUAUCACUGAUUAUGACCUUGGGCACCCUAAAUCUUGAGAAGAUGUUCUCGUUGAGAAACUUGAGAACAACUCUGUGGUCAUUUUGUUUACACGGGAUUGCCUCAACCCAUUUAGAAACAUAGUCUACCCCCACCAAAAUGUAAGAGUUACCAAAAGACAUAGGGAAAGGUCCCAUGAAGUCAAUGCCCCAAACAUUGAAAAGAUCAACUAUAAAAUGGGGUUCAUAAGCAUUUGGUUCCUACGUGUUAACUUCCUAAGCCUUUGGCAUCUAUCACAGCUCCUGCACAUGGCGUGAGCAUCUUUGAAAAGUGAUGGCCAACUGAAACUUGAUUGCAACACUUUCAUGGCUAUUUUCUAAUAGGCAAAGUGGCCUCCACAUGAGCUUUCGAGGCAAUGACUGAGGAUCCCCUGUUGCUCUUGUUUAGGGACACACUUCCUUAUUAUUCGAUAUGCACAAUACUUGAAAAGGAAAGGUUAUUCCCAAUAGUAGGCAUGAAUUUUUGUAAAGAAGUGCUUCCUAUCUUGUGCUAUCCACUCACUUGGAAUUUCACCAGUAACUAGAUAGUUAGCAAUAUGAGCAUACCAAGGAGUAUCUUCUAACAACAUGAGUGACUCCUUCAGAAAAUCAUCAUUAAUAGGUAAACCAUGGGAAUUAUGCGAUAUAGCCAGCCUAGAAAGGUGGUCAGCUACCACAUUCUCCACUCAUUUCUUGUCUUUGAUUUGGAGAUUGAACUCUUGCAGUAAGAGAAUCCAUCUAAUCAGCCUUGCUUUUGCAUCUUGCUUUGUCAAUAAGUACUUCAAAGCUGAGUGGUCAGUGAAAACCACAAUGAAAGACCUUACCAGAUAAGCACGAAAUUUGUCCACGGCAAAAACUACAGCCAACAAUUCUUUCUCUAUGGUUGUGUAGUUUCUUUGCGCUUCAUUCAAUGUUUUACUUGCAUAGUAGAUCACAUAGGGCUUUCCAUCAUCUCUUUGACCAAGAACAACUCCUAUAGCAAAGUCACUGGCAUCACACAUCACUUCAAAAAGUAGUUGCCCGUUAGGAGCCCUUACUAUUGGAGCGAUUGUCAAGAACUGCUUCAGUUGCUCAAACCUCUUUCGAUAUCUUUCAUCCCAUACAAAUUUAGCAUCCUUCAGUAAUAGUUCACAAAGAGGCUUUGAAAGUUUAAAGAAAUCUUUAAUAAACCUCCUGUAGAACCCAACAUGGCUAAGGAAUUGCCUCACUCCUUUUACAGUUGUUGGGGAUGGCAAUUGAUUACUACUCAAAAAGUGAUAUUUCAUAGCUUGUAAUUAACUCUUUUAAACACUUUUGAGUAGUAUUUAUUACCUUUUAACUCAAUUGGCAUGUUAAGGACCCUUGCAAUCAAUUCUAAUCAAAUUGUGUUAAGUUUUGGUGUUUUGAUAGCUUUUUUAUCACCAAAGCAAUCCAAGAUUGAGGAGAGUUCUUUGGAAUCCAUGGCAAAGCAAUGGAAAGCUCAGAAACAUGAAUAACCAAAGCUUUGAAGUCCUUUGCCAUAAGCAAAUCCGGAAUGCAAGGAGGGAAAGCAAAGAGAAAUCUGCCAUGAAGCAUUCUUGAUGACAGUCAUGUUAGCCACUUUUGGAGCACUUCCUGGAGUCCAAUUUAUGCAUGCUAUAUGUCGUUUCGAAGCUCAGGAAGUCAACAAUCCAAUGCUUCGAAAUGAAAUGAAGGAGUUAUAGCCAUUGGAAGCCGAUCACUCCAAGCUGAAGGAAGAAUUUUGAACGGCUGCGAAAUCACCCUUUUGCUGCGAAAUGAUUUCGCAACCAUUUUGCACAGUGCAACAAAAUUUCUCCUGAAGUUUCCCGAUAUUUGCGACCGACACUUUUGGAUAUUUUGCUUCAGAUUUUUGAUGUCUAAAUCCCCAUUUUCUCCUUGUAACCCACCAAUUAUAGGAUUCCUUAGUUAUUAAGUUUGGAAAAUGGGUGAAUAACCUCAGAUAUUUUGUUUUGUAAUUUUCUUUAUAUAUAGCUCUCGGGAGCUUGUUCUCAGAGCAUCAUGUAAUCCAACGGGAUAUAGAUAUAUAAAUAUAUAGAAUAUACAGAGCCUUGCUCUGUUUUUCCUUCUUUUUCAUUUUCUUUUUCUUUCUAGCCAACCAAACUCUGAGGAUUUUUCCUCAGAGAAUGAGAGGCUAGGCUUUUCGUCUCUUGGAGUGAGGAAAGCCGGGUAAGUUUCCGAAUGCAAAAUUGGAAGUUUUGUUGUUUUAGUUUUUAAUGAAGAGAAAGUGUGACCCGUUCAUGGUUUUUAUUUUUUUAGUUAACUUAAAACGCCUUUAAAUCACCUAGGCCAACACUUGGUAAGGCAAGUGAUCUCCGUCCAUGGAGAUUCACUAGUUUAUCUCUUGCGAGCCUUUGGGAGGUGGUUUGAAGGUAGGAUUUUCUAGAAUAGCCAACACUUGGUAAGCUUUUGGACUCCAAGGAGACAUCCAUUAGUUAUCUCUUGCGAGCUUUUGACGGGUAAUCCAAGGUUAAAGAUCACCUUGAAUGGCAAGUGCUAGGUGAGAGGUAUGAGCCAUUGCAAGGUGCAUCAGUGAGAGGGAUUUAGUGUUUGAACCCAUUAAUGGGAAGCAUCUGUACAAUACCGGUUGGAGAAGGAACUAUAUGUUAAUUCUCUAAUGCAAGGAAAAGAAACAAGUGACCGGAACUCCCUUUUUGUAUGAGGAAUCUGAGCCUAGUGAUCUGAAACUCCAAGAAAUACUUUUCUUUGUAGUUAAAAUCAGUUACUAUUUUUGGUUAGCUUAAAACCAACCUUUUCAACCAAUGAUUAUGUUUUCUUUUAAAGCUAACCUUGAAAUGAAAAGGCACCAAUUCACUUUGAAUUAAUAUCAUUUGUGAAGUGAAAACCCAUCCCAGUGAACGAUCCUAGAGCCACUAUGCUAUAGUAGCUUUGUCUUUGCUACCCUAGUUCAUGGUGUAAUAGGUUAUAAAUUUUGUUGAUUACUCCCUCAAUCAAGGAGCACCAGCUGGACACGAAUCAGCUGAGACACCAAUUGGGCAUGAAUCAAAUGGCGUCGUUGCCGGGGAUGGUGCCACUUUACAAUGAUAUCACCUUUUCAGAGUACUUGUGAUCUUUAUCACAAGUUUGGUGACUUUUCUUUUCUCUUUACUAACUCUUUUUAUUUGUUUCUUUUUCUUUGUUCAUAUUUUAGUAUAGUUUUUAUUUAGUUUUUAGUUAAUCUUAAGAAUUUUUUUUUUGUUCUCUAUAAUUUUUGUUUCUUUUGUUUUGUUUUGUUUUCUCUGUUUUUUAUGCUCAAAUUGCUAGUUGUGCAUGCCAUAUUGAAUACGAGAUAGCAGAGGAAGCUAUGAAUUUCAUGAAUUAUGUGGCUGAAGUUUCAAGAGGAUGUGAUGAACCAAAUGCUAGAGAUAUGGGAAGAAUGACGUCUCAACCUAAUGCUAAGGGUGAGAUGUAUAUUUUGAAUGAUGACAUAGACAUGAAGGCAAAGAUUGCAGCUAUGGCAAGGAGAUUGGAAGAGCUAGAAAUGAAGAAGAUGCAAGAAGUGCAAGCCAUCUCUCAGACACCAUUGCAAGCUAUGCCUUGUGCCAUUUGUCUAUCUUAUGAGCACUUGGUGGAAGAGUGUCCUAUCAUUCCAACGGUGAGAGAAAUGUUUGGUGAUUGCAACACCUACAAUUCCAAUUGGAGGGACCAUCCAAAUUUCUCUUGGAAACCACAACUGUCUCAGUACAAGCAACAUGUUCAAGCACUUCCGCAAGCCUCAAACCUUGAACAAGCUAUGGUGAAUCUUAGCAAGGUCGUGGGAGACUUUGUUGGAGCUCAAAAAUCUAUCAAUGCUCAUCUCAGUCAAAGAAUUGACAGUGUAGAGAGUUCAUUGAACAAAAAGAUGGAUGGAAUACAAAAUGAUCUAUCUCAGAAGAUAGAUAAUCUCCAAUAUUCAAUCUCAAGGUUUGCCAACCUCAACACAAUGCAAGAGAAAGAAAACUCUCUUUCUCAACCUCAUCAAAAUUCCAAGGGUAUCCAUGAAAUGGAGGCUAAGGAGGGAGAACCUUCACAAAAGAGGGAAGUCAAAGAAGUGAUCACUCUGAGGAGUGGUAAAGAGGUUGAUAUGCCCACAUCCAAGCUAGAGCAUAUGGUAGAGAAUGAAACAGAGAAAGAAAAGAGGGAGGAAAUCAAAGGAAAGAAAAUGGGGAAAAGUAUAGAGAAAGAUGACUAUGAUUUUAAUAUAGAAGGAGAACCACAGAGGAUAGUCAUCAAGGAAGAAUUGAUGAAGAAACACAUGCCUCCACUUUUCCUCCAAGCUUUGUAUGGCAAAAUCAUACAGAGCAAGUCUCAAGUGAGAGAUGCAAACUUCAUAUGGGAUCCGAGCAAGCUGAACCAAGGAUCAGAUUUUUUGAUGGACUUAGUCUUUUUAAAGACUAGCUAGUCCAUAUCUUUUUGUUUUAUUUAUUACUUGUUUUAAUUUUGAUUUCAAUGCUUUAAUUCUAAUUUGUUUUGAUGUAAUAUAGGUUUUUGGAUGAUCAAAAUCAAGAGGAAUGUCAAAAGAAGUGAAAGAAGGAAGUUGGGAAUCAAGAGGAGCUCAAAAGCAUAAAAAUUCAGUGGUUUGUGAAAUUUCGCAACCAAAAAUAGCCCCCUGCGAAAUCGCCACUUUGUUGCGAAAUUAUUUCGCAGCCCCAAGAAGUCGCUGCGAAAACGCCACUUUGCUGCGAAAUGAUUUCGCAGCCCCAUGCUCCCCUCUGCGAAAAUUUUCACAGCUGCGAAACCACCUCUUGGCACACGAGUGCCAUUUCGCAACCUCAUACCCUCAUUUCGCAGCUGCGAAAUGGCCGCAAAAUCUCCAAAGCGUAAAAACUCCCACUUUUCGCAGCCAAAGCCUCAUUCCGCAAGGAGUUUCGCAACUGAGAAACCAUUCUUUGGCACACGAGUGCCAUUUCGAAGCCCCGUACACUCAUUUUGCAGCUGUGAAAUGGUUGCGAAAUCCUCCAUGCCUUAAAAUCCUUCAGCGCGCACACCAUGAAGCCGCACCCCCAUUUCGGCAACUAUUGGACACAUUUAGAUCACUUCCUGAAGUCCAUUUCAUGCAUAAAAUCUGUCAUUUCAAAUCUUGGGAAGUCAGGAGUCCAACGCUUCAAACGGUGCUCAAUUUGGAGUUGAAACGAAGAAGUUAUGGCUGUUUAAGACGAACACGCAAAGCUAAGCGAAAAUUUCGCAGCCAAAGCCCCAUUUCGCAGGGUGUUUCGCACACGAGUGCCUUUGGCACACGAGUGCCAUUUCGCAGCCACCCAACCCCAUUUCGCAGCUAUGAAAUGGGCUGCGAAAAUGGCACCCGGCCGCGAAAAUCCCAUUUGGUUGCGAAAUGUUUUCACAGCCCCAUAGCUACCCCCUGCCAAAUCCUCCAUUUGCUGCGAAAAUGGUUGUUUGUUGCCAAAUGAUUUUCAAACUUCCAAAUGGCUAUGAAAUGAUCUCCAAGCUUUGAAAUGGUUGUGAAAUGAUUUUCAAGCUUCAAAAUGGGUUGCGAAAAUGUUUCUAUUUUUUCCAUGGGCUGCAAAAAUGUUUUUCUUUUUUCCCUUUGGCUGCAAAAUGAUCUCCAAACUAUGAAAUGACCUCCAUGCUAUAAAAAUGACUUGCAAAAUGAAGAGAGGUUUGCAAAAACACUUUGAAAAGCCAAGGGAAGUUCCGAAAAUGCCAACAUAGCCCCGCAACCAUGCAUCUAAAGAGGAGAGCCCUCUCACUAAGAUCACACACAUGAAGCCUCUCACUCCAUUUCUGACCUCCUUAAACCAUUAGAGCCCAUAGCUCCAGCUAAGGAGACUAUGCCACCUAAGGAGACUACCAGAACAGAGGCCAAAGUCCUGAUCCAACCCAUUCAAGAGGCCACCACAGAUGCAUCAGCUCCAUAGGACCUUACCAUUACUUGAUCAUCUCUUUAUUUUUUGUCUUUACAUAUUAUAUUAGUAUAAAUAAUUCCAUAUUUUGAUGUCUUAUAUUCUGAGAUUGGAUGUAUUACUAAUGAUGCAUCAUAUAUAGACAUCAUUUUUGUUAAAACUUAGCGUUUUUCUAUUUCCUCUACUCACUAACUCUUAUGUUUUCUUUGAAACAUGUGGUUUCUCCUAUACGACUCAGACUCCAUGUCACUCAGGAGGUACCACUUCCUCCCUAUUUUUCAAUCGCUUUUGUCACAUUGAGGACAAUGUUCAGCUUGGUUGGGGGGAGAGUUGAGGAAGUAAGUAUUGUUAAUAAUGCUAAGUUAUUUUGGUAAUUUAGUUGUUUUUUGCUUAAUUUUUUUUUAAAAAAAAUUUUAAAGUUUUUAUUCUACUCUCCAUGGUUAUUAAGGAAAAAUUUUCAAAAUAAAAAGGGAGAAAUUGAAUUUUUGUCUUUUUACUUGACUUAGAUUUUGUAUUAUGCUUACUAAAGUUGAUGAAUUGUUGAAACUUCUAUUGAAUUCAACCUUAGUUCUUCCACUUUAAGCUAUUCACACACUGUGCACAAUAGGUUCCGAGUAUAAGAUGAAAAACUAUUUCCCUCUUGACUUAGGAAAAUUUUAGACUUGGUACCUUUGACCUCAUUUAAUAGUGUUGGGACACCUUGUAAAAGGCCAAUGAGUAUUUGAAAAGAAAGAAAGAAAGAAAGAAAAAUGUUUGCUUGCCUUGAAACCCGAGCAAGGUCUGAGGGGUAUAUGGUGAAAAUCUUUAAAACCUGGUGCCCUAAGCCUUAAUUGGUUGGGAGUCACCGACCUCAAUGCUCGUUACAUGGGUGAAUAGGUGGAGUUUAACAUACUGUAGGUGCUUGGGUAUUAAAAAUUCAUUCUCAAAAGUCCGGGGUAAAAUCCGAGGAGUUAGUGGUUUAAAGAUCUUUAAAGCUUGAUGCCCUAAACCUUAAUUGGUUGGGAGUCAUCGAUAGACCCCCGUUACAUGGACAAUUUAGAAAAAAUACCUUUAAGCCUUGUACUCCUACAAUGAAAAAAAUUGUGAAAAAAGAGGUGCGUUCUUAGCCUAUUGGAGGUUCAUCAGUUUGCUAAGCUUUGAAAAAGAACUAGGUUGGGGGGAGAGAUUAGUUCAACAUACUAUAUUCGGAAGCUAAUAAGUAAUACUUAGAUUUUUGUGGAAGAGUAAGGUUUGAUCCUUUGGAAGUGGAAAUGAUUUUAAAGCUUAAAUUUGCAUAAUGCCUUCUCUUUAAGAAUUGUGAUUAGACAAGUUAUUUGAUAACUCUUGUUGAAGUUUGAGUUUUAUUUCUUUAAUGUUCCAUGUGAGAGUUAGAUCAUCAUGCCACUUGGAAAUUGUUUUUUGAUCAGCAUGAUGUUGUAAAUUAUAGUACUUUUUAUUUUUAUUUUUUCUCUCCUUCAUUGCUAAGGGACUAGCAAUAUGUCGGUUGGGGGGAGUGAUUACUACUCAAAAAGUGCUAUUUCAUAGCUUGUAAUUAACUCUUUUAAAUACUUUUGAGUAGUAGUUAUUACCUUUUAACUCAAUUGGCAUGUUAAGGACCCUUGCAAUCAAUUCUAAUCAAAUUGUGUUAAGUUUUGGUGUUUUGAUAGCUUUUUUAUCACCAAAGCAAUCCAAGAUUGAGGAGAGUUCUUUGGAAUCCAUGGCAAAGCAAUGGAAAGCUCAGAAACAUGAAUAACCAAAGCUUUGAAGUCCUUUGCCAUAAGCAAAUCCGGAAUGCAAGGAGGGAAAGCAAAGAGAAAUCUGCCAUGAAGCAUUCUUGAUGACAGUCAUGUUAGCCACUUUUGGAGCACUUCCUGGAGUCCAAUUUAUGCAUGAUAUAUGUCGUUUCGAAGCUCAGGAAGUCAACAAUCUAAUGCUUCGAAAUGAAAUGAAGGAGUUACAGCCAUUGGAAGCCGAUCACUCCAAGCUGAAGGAAGAAUUUUGAACGGCUGCAAAAUCACCCUUUUACUGCGAAAUGAUUUCGCAGCCAUUUUGCACAGUGCAACGAAAUUUCUCCUGAAGUUUCCCGAUAUUUGCGACCGACACUUUUGGAUAUUUUGCUUCAGAUUUUCGAUGUCUAAAUCCCCAUUUUCUCCUUGUAACCCACCAAUUAUAGGAUUCCUUAGUUAUUAAGUUUGGAAAAGGGGUGAAUAACCUCAGAUAUUUUGUUUUCUAAUUUUCUUUAUAUAUAGCUCUCGGGAGCUUGUUCUCAGAGCAUCAUGUAAUCCGACGGGAUAUAGAUAUAUAAAUAUAUAGAAUAUACAUAGCCUUGCUAUAUUUUUCCUUCUUUUUCAUUUUCUUUUUCUUUCUAGCUAACCAAACUCUGAGGAUUUUUCCUUAGAGGAUGAGAGGCUAGACUUUUCGUCUCUUGGAGUGAAGAAAGCCGGGUAAGUUUCCGAAUGCAAAAUUGGAAGUUUUGUUGUUUUAGUUUUUAAUGAAGAGAAAGUGUGACCCGUUAAUGGUUUUUAUUUUUUUAGUUAACUUAAAACACCUUUAAAUCAUCUAGGCCAACACUUGGUAAGGCAAGUGAUCUCCGUCCAUGGAGAUUCACUAGUUUAUCUCUUGCGAGCCUUUGGGAGGUGGUUUGAAGGUAGGAUUUUCUAGAAUAGCCAACACUUGGUAAGCUUUUAGACUCCAAGGAGACAUCCAUUAGUUAUCUCUUGUGAGCUUUUGACGGGUAAUCCAAGGUUAAAGAUCACCUUGAAUGGCAAGUGCUAGGUUAGAGGUAUGAGCCAUUGCAAGGUACAUCAGUGAGAGGGAUUUAGUGUUUGAACCCAUUAAUGGGAAGCAUCUGUACAACACCGGUUGGAGAAGGAACUAUAUGUUAAUUCUCUAAUGCUAGGAAAAGAAACAAGUGAUCGAAACUCCCUUUUUGUAUGAGGAAUCUGAGCCUAGUGAUCUGAAACUCCAAGAAAUACUUUUCUUUGUGGUUAAAAUCAGUUACUAUUUUUUGUUAGCUUAAAACCAACCUUUUCAACCAAUGAUUAUGUUUUCUUUUAAAGCUAACCUUGAAAUGAAAAGGCACCAAUUCACUUUAAAUGAAUAUCAUUUGUGAAGUGAAAACCCAUCCCAGUGAACGAUCCUAAAGCCACUAUGCUAUAGUAGCUUUGUCUUUGCUACCCUAGUUCAUGGUGUAAUAGGUUAUAAAUUUUGUUGAUUACUCUCUCAAUCAAGGAGCACCAGCUAGACACGAAUCAGCUGAGACACCAAUUGGGCACGAAUCAGCAAUUUGACAAUAAGUUCCACCUUUGCUUUAUCAACUUCAAUGCCUUUCUUGGAGAUGAUGUGGCCAAGGACAAUUCCUUGUUGUACCAUAAAAUGGCAUUUCUCCUACUUAAGCACUAAGUCUUUUUCAAUGCAUCGGUUUAGAACAACUUCCAAGUUGACUAAACAUUCCUCAAAUGUGCUUCCAUAUAUGGUUAUAUCAUCUAUAAAAACUACCGUAAUACGCUCCACCAUAUCACUGAAAAUGCUUAACAUACAUCAUUGGAAUGUUGCAGGUGCAUUGCAUAAACCAAAAGACAUUCUUCUAUAGGCAUAUGUUCCAAAUGGACAUGUGAAAGUGGUUUUCUCCUAGUCUUUAACAUCAAUUUCUAUUUGAAAAUACCCGGAGAAGCCAUCUAAGAAACAAUAGAAAGGAUGGCCUGAGACUCUCUCCAACACUUGAUCAAUAAAUGGCAAUGGAAAAUGAUCAUUCCUUGUCACAACAUUCCAUUUUCUAUAAUCAAUACACACCCUCCAACCUGAAGUGAGGUGUGUAGCAACUUCUUCUCCCUUAUCAUUUUGCACCAUUGUGAUCUCUGAUUUCUUUGGCACUACUUGAGUAGGACUCACCCAUGGGCUAUCUUAUAUGGGGUAGAUAAUACCAGCCUGAAGUAGCUUAAGAACUUCAACUUGCACCACCUCUUGCAUAUGAGGAUUCAAUCUUCUUAAAGGUUGACGAAUUGACUUAGUUUCUUCUUCUAUGUAUAUAUGAUGCGUACAGACUAAAGGGUUGAUACCUUUCAAGUCAGAUAUUUGCCAUCCUAUUGCUUUCUUACAUCUCCUGAGAACUUCAAGUAAACACUCCUCCUAAGGAGUGGUAAGAGAUGAAGAUAUAACAACAGGGCACUUCGUAUUCUUUUCUAGGUAUGGAUACUUCAACUCCGUGGGUAAUGGCUUUAAACUAAGCUUUGGGGCCUCCUCUUUAACAGCUUCUUGUAUCUCCUCCUCAUUGAACAAAGGUAGAAUUUCUUCUAUCCUCCUCCAACCUGGUAGAGUAGUAAGCAAAUCUGAGGGUUCAAGCAACCCUUCAUCAAGAUCCCUAAGACUUUCAUUCAAUUUCUUUUGUACUUUCUGAUUACAAUGCUCCUUCACUAAAGUGUCAAUGAUGCACACCUCUUCUAGACCUUCUUCUUCCAACUUGAUUGGCUUCUUGGACAUAUAGUAGAUAUUGAGUUCCAAUGUCAUGUUCCCAAACGUGAGUUGCAUGAGUCCAUUCCUACAAUUGAUGAUUGCAUUUGAUGUAGCUAGGAAUGGUCUUCCAAGUAUGAUAGAAACAUAAUUAGUUUCCUUGACAAUUGGGUCCGUAUCAAGAACAAAAAAAUCCAUUGGAUAGUAGAAAUUGUCAACUUGAACUAAGACAUCUUCAAUCAUCUCUAUUGGAAUCUUCCCUUGUCUAUCUGCUAGAGAUAGAGUGAUUGAUGUUGGCUUCAAUUCACCAAGUUCCAAUUGCUUGUAGACAGAGUAUGGUAGCAAAUUCACACUUGCCCCCAAGUCCAACAAAGCUUUCUCCAAUAAAGUCCCUCCAAUCAUCACUGAGAUGGUAGGGCAGCCCGAAUCUUUGUACUUCACUGGAGACUUGCACUGUAUGAUGGCACUUACUUGCUCAGUCAAGAAGGUUUUCUUAUUCACAUUCAACCCUCUUUUGAUAGUGCACAAGUCCUUCAAGAAAUUUUCAUAAGUCGGCACUUGUUUGAUCAUGUCUAGCAAUGGGAUGUUGACCUUCACUUGCCUCAAUACUUCAAGAAUUUCUGAUGCAUUGCUGAUUCCCUUUUUCCCAUGCAAAGCUUGAGGAAAAUGUGGAGGCAUGUAUUUCUUCAUCACAUCUCCAUUGAUAACUAUCUUCUCUGGAUCUUCAUUCACUGUUGAAUCAUGGUCUUCUUUCCUUCCACUACUUCCUUUCUUAUUUCCUUUUAUUUCCUCCUUCUUCUCUAUCUCUUUUUCACUCUUUGUUUCAUCAUGUGGCUUGGGUGUUGGUAGCUCAACCUCUUUACCACUCCUCAAAGUGAUCAUGGCUUUGAUGUCUCUCACCUGUGAAGAUUCUCCCUCAUGAGCUUCCACUUCAUGGAUACCCUUAGGGUUUUGGUGAGGUUGAGAAGGAAACCUUCCCUUCUCUUGCACUGUGUUAAGGUUGGUGAGCCUUGAGAUUGAGUAUUGGAGAUUAUCUAUCUUCUGAGAUAAAUUUUUUUGCAUUCCAUCCAUCCUUUUAUUCAAUGUAUUCUCUACACUAUCAAUUCUUUGAUUGAGUUGAGCAUUGAUGGAUUUCUGGCCUCCAACAAAAUCUCCCACGACCUUGCUUAGAUUCACUAUUGCUUGCUCAAGAUUGGAAGCUUGUUGAGAUGCUUGGCCUGGUUACAUGUACUGAAGUGCUCUUAGUUUCCAAGAGAAAUUUGGAUGGUUCCUCCAAUUUGAAUUGUAGGUAUUUCCAUAUGAAGCAUUGUUAUUGGGCUUGAAUUGUCCAAUGAUAUUCGCUUGAUCUCCAAACAUUUCUCUAACAACUGGAAUUGUAGGACACUCCUCCACCAAGUGCUCAUAAGAUUGACAAAUGGAACAAGGCAUAACUUGCAUUGGUGUUUCAAAAACAGCUUGCACUUCACGUAUCUUUUUCAGUUUUAGCUCCUCCAAUCUUCUUGUCAUAACUCCAACUUUUGCUUUCAUGUCAAUAUCUUCAUUCAAGGUAUACAUCCCAGCCUUAGCAUUAAGAGCAUUUGGUUGAGACUUCAUUUUUCCCACUUCUCCCUUGUUCGGUUCAUCCCAUCCUCUUGAAACUUCAGCAACAUAAUUCAAGAAAUCCAUGGCUUCCUCUGGAUUCUUACUCAUGAAAUCUCCUCUACACGUAGUCUCUAGGAGUUGCUUCAUUGAGGAAGACAUACCGUCAUAAAAGUAGCUUACCAAUAGCCAUGUAUCAAAGCCAUGGUGAGGAUAAGCAUUGAUAGCUUCCAUGUAUCUCUCCCAACACUCAGAAUUUCUCAUUCUCUUUAGCUAAGAAGUUUGAAAUUUGCCUUUUCAAGCCAUUGGUCCUAUGAGUAGGAAAAAAUUUCUUGAGAAAUUUAGCUUGCAAAUUAGUCCAAGUUCAGAUAUUCCUUGGCCUUAAAGAAUUAAGCCAAAUCUUGGCCUUAUCCUUCAAAGUGAAAGAAAAUAGCUUUAGCCUCAUCAAGUCAAUUGAAGCUUCUGCCUCUUGGAAUGUAUUACAAACAUCUUCAAAUUCUUUGAUAUGCGCGUAGGGAUUCUCACUUUCCAUCCCAUGGAAAGUAGGUAGAAGUGGCACAAUAUGCAGUCUGAUUACUAGCUGCUCUGUAAGAGGCACUAUGCAUGAUGAUGCACUCAUACGAGGUGGACGCAUGCGGUCCCUCAUUGAUCUGAAUGCAUUGGGAUUGUCCUGUUGACCAUGGUGACUAUGCUAAUCUUCAGGUGUAGCUUCCAUGAUGUUCAAGCACAAUUCCAACUCUGUUUAGUGAGGUGUUUCAAUUUUUACAAGUCUUCCUCCACUAUCUCGUAUCCAAUAUGGCAUACACAACUAGUAACAACUGUAACAAAAACAAAGAAAACAAAAGAAAACAAUACUACAAAAAAAAAAAACUAAGAUUAACUAAAAACUAAAUUAAAAGAUAGGCUAAAAUAUGAACAAGUAAAAGAAACAAUUAAAAAUAGUUAGUAAAAGAAAAGAAAAAUCACCAAACUUGUGAUGAAGAUCACAAGUGUUUUGGAAAAGGUUAUAUCACUGUAAAUUUGGCACCAUCCUCGGCAACGGCGCCAUUUGAUUCGUGCCCAGCUGGUGUAUGCCUUGUUGAUUGGUGUUCAAUCAACUGGUGUACUAUGAUUUCGGUCCUCAGAUGGGAGUAAUCAACAAAAUUUGUAAACCUAUUUCCCCAUAUACUAGGGUAGCAUUAGCUAGCAUAGCAUAGUGGCUCUAGGAUCGUCCACAGGGAUGGGUUUUGAAAUUACAACUGAUAUUAGUUCAAAAACUGAAUUGGUGCUUUUUUUUUUUCAAGGUUAGCUUUAAAAGAAAACAUAAAUAUGUUUGAAAAGGUUGGUUUUAAGUGAAACCAAAAAUAAAGUAACUGAAAUUACUUACAAAGAAAACUGCUUCUUGAAGUUUUAGAUCACCAGGCUCAAGUUCGUCAUACAAAAAAGGAUAUUUCGGUCACUUGGAUCUUUUCCUCGCAUUGAGGAUUUAACAUAUAGUUAUUUCUCGAACCGGUGUGGUACAGAUGCUUCCCCUUAAUGGUUUCAAACACUAAAUCCCUGUCACUGAAUCAUCUUGCAAUGGUUCAUACCUCUCACCUAGUAUUGGCCAUUCAGGGUGAUCCUUAACCUUGGCCGUCAAAAGCUCACAAGAGAUAACUAAUGGAUGUCUCCUGGGAGUCCAAAAGCUUACCAAGUGUUGGCUAUUCUAGAUAAUCCUACCUUUAAACCACCUCCCAAAGGCUUGCAAGAGAUAAACUAGUGUAUCUCAAUGGACGGAGACCACUUGCCUUACCAAGUGUUGGCCUAGGUGAUUUUAAGGGAUUUUAAGUUAACUAAAAAGAUAAAAACCAUUAAUGGGUCACACUUUCUCUUCAUUAAAAACUAAAAUAACAAAACUUCCACUUUUGCAUUUGGAACCUUACCUAGCUUCCUUCACUCUAAGAAAUAAAAAGCCUAGCCACUCAUCCUCUGGGAAAACAUCAUCAGAGUUCAAUUUGCUAGAAAUAAAAAUAACAAGAAAACAAAAUGAGAAGGUAAGGUGGAGCAAAGCUCUGUGUAUUACUUUCUAAAAAACUAUACAAAGUGUUGUCUUUGAGAAAAACUCCUAAGAGAUCCUUUUAAAAGAAAAAUUACAAUAGAUAUUAUAUAGAGAGGCUAUUCACCCCUCCUACUAACUUCCCAACCAAGAAAACUUGUCAUUGGUGGGUUACAAGGACAAAAUAGGGAUUUACACACAAAUAUCUGAAGAUAAAUAUCAAACGGAGUCGGUGUGCAAAUAUCUCAAAUUACAGGUGGAUUUCGUAAGUUCAAAUGCAACUUGCGAAAAUUUCGCAAGUUGAAAUUAUCCGUUUCGCAAGUUGCGUAAUUGUCCUGCAACUUAUCAGCUCUAUGUCGUGCAGCGAUUCCUUUCCUCUUUCUAUUUCGCAAGUUGGAUUCCAUAACUUGCGAAAUUGUCCAACUUGCGAAAUUGCUGCAUGGUUGAUUUCUUCUGUGCUUUUCUUCCUUGCAUCCUCAUUUGAUUUUGGAAAAGGGUUAUGAAGCUCCAAAGCUUAGUUUCUUCAGGAAUUUGAGCUUCAACUUGCUUUGCCAUGAACUAUACAAAGAUCUCCCUCAUUCUUGGAUUGCUUUGGUGAUAGAAAAAAGCUAUCAAAAAUACCAAAACUUAACACAAUUUGAUUAGAAACGAUUGAAAGGGUCCUUAACAUGCCAAUUGAGUUAAAAGAUAAUAACUACUACUCAAAAGUGUUUAAAAGAGUUAAUUACAAGCUAUAAAAUAACACUUUUUGAGUAGUAAUCACUCAAGCAAGGAGAAGUGAUCAACCCACCAAAGUGGGCUUGAGAGGUAAUGAAUUUUCAGCCAAGAUUCUUUCACAUAAAUUUGAUUUGGAAGUCUUUUAAAACCAAACCUCUUUGAGAUUUAAUUCUAUAUAUACCUCCUUAUAAUCCCUUAAGGGUUAGAGAUCGAAAAGAGAUCAUAAAGAGUUUAAAGAGAUUUCAAAAUGGAGUCUCCUAGAGUGAAAGCCUAAAGGGCCACAACAUUCAUAAUCUCUCAUUCAAGGAUUUGAUAUUUGAAUCUUGGUUUGAAGACCUUCAUCCCUUCAACAAGGCUGAAGUGUAUUCAUUGGAGCAAUCAGAGGUUGCUACAUCGUGGAUGUGGUUCAAGUUGUAGGUACUGAAGAGCAAGUCUUUAGGGUAAAGGAGCCAGGUAAAUCUGUGUAACUUGAUUUCAUAUAAUGGGUUUAGAUUACUGGGUCUUAGACCUCGUGGUUUUUUAUCUCCAUAGUUAAUGUGGGGGGUUUUCCAUGUAAAAAUUCGAUGCCCAUUGCAUAUCUGUUAAUGUCAUUGCUAUAUCUUUGAAUACUUGAUUAUCAUUGUUAUCCCUAACAACUUGUAGGUUAUCCCUAAUAGAUUAAAAUUAUAUUUUAAUUCUUAAAGAUUUCAAGUAUAAUUCAUUUGGUUAUACAAGGUAUCCUUGGGAUCUCUUAGGAUAAAAUUUGAGGAUCAUAUAUAUAAAUAUUUAUUUUGAAUUUUAAAAACACCCAUUCAUCCACCCUUUGGGUGUUCCCUAUUGGAGUUUCGAUUUUUUAUGGGUGAUCCUAAAUUAAGGAAUUACUAAAAGGUUGUGAUUUUGGUAGUAUUUAAUGGAAUAAAUUCUUAUGAAGUUUUCAUGAGAGUAUUUAUUAAAUUGGAAAGGUGCAUGGACAAGGAGAGUAAAUUUGUGAGGAAUUUUAAAUAUGAGAGAAAUAUUUCCUUUAGUGGAUAAGGUGCUCUCAAGAUUUUCAAAAUCUCAUAAAUUGUUAAUUUCCUUAUUUCACUAGAGUUUCCAAUUUGGAAAUUUUCAUUAGAGAUAAUUUAUCAUUAAAAGAUUAUUACCAAAAGGCUUAGUAAUUUGAUGGAAAUAAUUUUUUUUUGAAACAUUUCCAAGAUAAAAUAUUUAUUAAUUGGAUUUGUGUAAGAGAAAGAGAAUUCAUUCUAUUAUUACACUAGGUUUCCAAUUAUGAAAUAAAUAUUUUUGGAAAUUCUCAAAAAUAGAUAAUUUAUUCAUCAAAGUAAUUACUAAGGAUUUAAAAUGUUUUUAUCUAUCUUAAAAUAUUAAGUGGGAGAGGGUUCUAAGCAAGCCCACGACCUCCAUUGUCAAGCCCAUUUUGAUUUGGGUUCAUCACCACCCUUUCAAGAUGUAUUGGAAAAAAGAACUAGAUUGUGUAAUGAUGCACAAAAAAGAAUACAUGCCUAAAAUAUAUGAUCCUUUCUUGAGUAGACCAUAUCAUGGAACAAUAAAAAAAAAUGUUUUCACCUUCAAUCAUAAAUGACACUUCUAGAGAAAAUUAUAUUAGACAUGUUUGCAGUGGGAGUGACCACCGCUUCAAUGAGGUUCUUUACUUGGUGACAUUGAUAGUUCAAGAACAAUGGUUAUACACUUGACAUUGCAUAUGAAGUAGUAGAAUCACCCCCAUGCGGUCCUGUUUGCAUUGUCCAUAGGCCAAAUUUAGAAAGUAUGUUGAUCUUACCUUUAUAUACCUUCAUGUUUAAGAUAGGAAGAUCGAUUUGAGAGGGUCUCUAACUAGUAAUAAUGUCAUGAUAUGCCCUACGUAAGCUUGAUUCUUAUGAUACUAGGAUACUUUUCAAAAGGACAUGUAGUUUGAGAGCACUAGAUUUUUGCUAAAUUAAUUACCAAUUGCCUUGAAUGCACAAUUAUGUCAUAUGCAUGGUUAUUUUCUUUGUUACAUAUAUCAUAUUGGUUAUUUAUUAUCACUUUGGACAAAACCCAACUAAUCAUUUGGACUUAGUAUUAUUCUAGAUAUAAUAACUAUGUACUUGCAUAGAAGCUAGUUUAAGUAGAGCUAGCUAAUCCUUAUGAAUAACCUAGCAAAAAAAAAGAGUGGCGUAUCAGAGGUGGUAUUAGAAGAGUUAGAAAACCAAGUGUUUAAUACUUUAUCUUUAGAUAAUGUGUUGCAAUAACAACACAUGUCUAUUAGUAGGAACUUUGAUAUUCUAUUUUUAGUCUACAAGGAUUAUUUGGUUAUAAGGGCAGGUUAGCUUAAAGAAGCUACCCUUAGGACUAUUAUGAACAUCGGAUUUUAUAUGAUCUUGAGGACCUUGCCAGUUUCUUCAGGAUGGUUAAAGGGAUUCUUAAAGAACAUAGGGUUAUAUAAAUACUUUCUUACCAAAUCAAGAUGACCCUUUUGGGCUAGAUUAAGUGACCCAAGCCUUGAUGGGCUCAAGUCACUUAAGCCCAGUGGACAAUGCUAUAAAUACCCCCUUAUUCAAUUAGUCGUCUUCCACUUUUAGAAAGAAAAAGAGAGCUAAAGCUUUUUUCUUUCCAUUACCCAUAGUUUGGAAUGCCAAGAUUGUGGUUCAAGUCUUCGGACGAAAGAUCUUGGGUGUACAAGACCUUUAAACUUUUUCUUUUCCACGUGGAAUUGAUCUAGGAACAUCCAGAUCCAAGUAUGAGUACUACAUAUCUAGAUCUAUAAUUAAUGAUGAUUUUUAUUGCCAUUUUACUCACUAUGAUAGAUUUAAAGAUGCCUAGGGAUAGAUGCAUGCACCCCACAAGAUCUAGGGACAAGGAAUAGAGAUAUUUAGGUUUCCCAACACUAUCACCAAUAACACACUAAGAGCCAUAAAUUAUGCACUCAGUGAAAUAUAAUGAGAACAGCACCCUCUAAGGGCGAUAAACAAUAUUUUACACUUAGAGAGCACUUCAAUAGCGCAACUUUAAGUGAUAGUGUAGAUUGCAUGUUUAGGAAGCCACCAUAUUACACACUUAAAGAACUCUUCUCAAAUUGCACUUGGUCAAAUAGUGCACAUUUCUUAGGCAUCCAACAAUGGCACACCCAACAUAGGAGAACCCUUUGUAGGUUGUACACUCCAAAGGUAUCAAUCCACAUUGUACACUUGGAGAAGUGCACUUAAAGUGUGCACCAUUGAGUAAAGGUUUAGAUUGCUCACCUAAGAGUUAGGCUACAUAGUGUACCUCCUAUUAUGCACUAGCGGAACCUUUAUCAAGCUACGCACCAUUCAAGCGCACCUCAUCCCAACAUGUAUAGUGCUCACAAAACUAGUAACCAUUAGUGCAUUAUUCAUUCAACAAUAAAUCAAAUGCAUAUCAAUAUUCAUUAAUGUGCAAUUUUGUCACCAAUAACUUAGUACACUCCCCCUUAAUAAAGCGUCUUCUCUCACUUCAAGAAGUGCACCCCAUAACUCAUCUCACUACAUUAUCUUAAUAGCUUCACCAGGCAUGAGCUCCAAAAAUUACUCUUUCAUCAAGUUGCAUACCAAAUAGUGCCCUUGAGGCUCCUAAAUGUUCGAUCAUCACAUCAUUAUGCUGCCACACUAACAAAACAAGAAGUGCAACCACCAUUCAUACUACACUGACAUGUUUUGACUAAAACGACCACAUUGAUACGUUACUUAUUAGGAUAGAGCCUUUAAAAGGAUGAUGUGAUGUAAUAAAAUUUUGGAUUUUAUUGUUUAUUAAUAAAAUUUCUAGUUCACUUUUAUAUAUCCUAAUUUCGCACAUUAUACUUUGUAAGAAAUCUAGUCUGUAUCUUUUGCAUUGUAUAUGAUUUGGGUGCUUUGGCAGUUGCACGAAAGAUUCAAGUCACGAGUUCCUUGCAAGUAGAUGACUAAUUAACAACCAGUUUGUGGGCUUCCCAUUAGAAGUUCUAGUGCACUACCUCCUAAUUCAAGAGAUGGUUAGUCUUGGUCAUUAGGAUGGGUUUCUCAUGGUGAGUGUACUAGUAUAUAUAGCUACACAUUGGAUAAGACAUACGACGAGUCAUGAUUUAAGGCAAUGAAGUAGUCAUGACAUUACCAAGAUUCUUUAUUAUAUUGUUUCUCACCCUUGAGAGAAUAUUAAGAUUGUGUUAAAGUUAGCAGUAGCUUUGACCAAUAGGUGAGAUCAUAAGUUGAUCAUAUAUUUCUUAUCGAUUAGGUCACUAUUAGUGGAAGUUGGUAGUAAUAUGCAUCUUGAUAGAGGCACCAUGAUAUCUCAUGGGAUUGAAAUAGAGUGUCUCUUUGGUGAUCUUAAGGAGAUGUGUUCAUGUAAAAUAUGAUUAUAAUAAUUCCUUAAGUGGAACUUGGCAUAUGAUCUUAGAGAACUAAGAUAUGUUAGUUGAACACACAAUAGGAAGAUCUAUAACUCAAAGAUAUUAGAGCUAGUAUUGAGACGUUGAUAACUUUCAUCUUAUUAGAUUAUGGACACCAAUUUAUAGGGAGAUUGAAUGCAAUAGAUGGUAGAUCACGAACCCGAGCACUUAAUGUCUCAUUAUUAUUAACAUAAGGUAAAUCUCUAUAAUAGGAUGUUGAAUCAACUUUAGAAUUGGAUCCUAUAAGACCAUUCCAAUGGUCCUUGCUUGAGCUCUUAUAACUUAAUGACACAAUCUAUGAGGUUUGGAUUAACUUCAAGUCCACUUUUGUGCAUAAGGGCAUUUUGGUAAUUACAUAAGGUUACAUAACUGUUAGUGAAUAAAGUCUUUAAAUUGAAUUAUUUAGGACCUAUUUUUUACUAGAUUAAGUAGCGUAAGCCCUUGGUGGGCACAAGUCACUUAAGCUCAAGUAGGGAACCUUAUAAAUACCCCUUAGGGGUUAGGGUUUCCAUCACUUUUUAAAGUGAACCAUCUUCCACCAUCUUGAGAGAAAGAAAAAACAAGAGCCAUAGCCUCCACCCUCCCUUCCUCCCCACUUGUUGUGUGUCAAGAUAAAAAAGAGCCAUUAAGUGGAAGAUCUUAGGUAUUUGAGACUCUAACAACUUUGAUUUUCAUCUUCACUGCAUGGACUAGAUUUAGGAACAUCAAAAUCUUAGAUAAUGUUUUCUAAUGCAUAUUUUGAAUCUUAUUAUUGUUUUAAAAAAUGUAAUUUGGUCUUUGUGCAUUGGAUUUAGCUUUGGAAGAUUCGCAUGUACCUAACUUGAUCCUAAAAUAGGAAAUGAAGAGAUUUGACUUUCCCCACAUCACCUACAUGGGCAAGAGGUGUAGCUUAGAGGAAUAAAUUUGAAGUAAUAAAGAGAAGAGAGAUUUUUCACCUAUAAAUAUGGGAACUGUAGAUAGCAGUCUCUUUUAGAAGGAGACUUUCUUAGAGGUGGCACCUUAUCUCUUAGAGAGGAGAUACGUUCUUUUCUUCUGGAGUAAAGGUGUUAAGAAAAUAAGUUAGUUUUUUUUUCUCUCUUUCCUAUUCUUGUAAUUUAUUUUUUAUUUUAGUAAAGUCUUUUGUUUUUAAUUUCAAUAAAGGUUUUGGUUUUAAAUUUUAAUAAAGUUUUUUGUUUCAACUUUAUGUUUCUAUAUUCAUUGUUGUGUGUUUUCUUUUCUAUCCUUAUGUUUUUGUUUCUUAGUUUGUGAAGGGGACUAAGGUCUCCUAUCUUUGUUUGAUUCACCGUGAUUUAGCUAUCUAUGGUUGAAAAAAGCUCUACUAAGGUCUAUGGUCAUGAGAACCAAAAUGAGUCUCCACAUGCCAGAGUUAAUGGUUAUGAGGACCAAAAAGAGUAACCAUGGUCAUGAAUCUAUUAGACAAGAACAAACUUUUUGACAUAAGAAUAAACCCAUCUAAAUCAUUUGAUUGAGAUGACCAAAAGGAGAAAUUAGAUCUAGUUGAGCCUUUGUUGAGGUGGUUGAUUCUCUUAUUAACUAGAACCAUGUUUUUGGUGCAAAACCCUUUGCUCGAUCUAAAAGCCACAAGCACUAGGCCAGGACCAAGUGAGUGAGUUAAGCUUGAGAGAAGGAAUUUCAAUGACUUUCCUAUCUAGAAGCCUGUGUUCUUUUUCUUUUCAAUUUAUAGAUUUCCUACCUCCUCCCACCCCAAAAAAAAAAAAAAAACUAAAAAUAUGUUUCAUCCUACACACUCACACCCUAGGUUCCCACCUCUGAUAUUGUCAAUCCUAAGUUAUUUAUGGAGACGACCUAAUCUCUACACAACUAUUAGUUCCUCUUUGUUUCUUUAGUUUAAGAACUAAAAGUUUCAAUUACUAAACUAGUUUAAAUUUUGCUUGAAUAAAAUUUUACUAUCAAAUCAUUUUCAUAUUAAUUUUAUUGUUUUAUUUUUAAACCAGCAAAUACAAACCCGAACCAAAUAACACUCUUGUUGUCACAAUACAUAGGAGUAGGACGAGAAAGAGAAACACCCAUAUCAACAAGUAACCAACAUUACAAAACUAUCUUUCUAGUGGUAGAUGGAAUAUUAUGAAACAAUAGUUUGUUUCUUGGUCUUUUAAAAAAAUAAGCAAAUCCCCCAAUAAAAUAUACAAAAUCUAGUAAUAGACUUGAGAUCUUCAAGAUCACAAACCCAUAAUCAGUAUCAAAAUAUGCAUGCAACUCCAAAGAGGAAGUGGAUAGAAGUAGAAGGCUCCAAAAUAGAGUGCCCUUAAUAUACCAUAGAAUAUGAAGAACAACUACCCAAUGAACUAUAGUAAGGGAAGCAACAAAUUGAUUAACAAUGUGAAAAACAUAAAUAAUGUACCAUCAGAAAAAGAAUAAUGAACAUUAACUUCAAGAGGAGUAUCAAUAGUCUUAAUAUCAAUAAGGUGAGUACAAUUGAGAAUACCAACUAUGUAUUUAAACUACGAGAGACGAAACUUUUUACAGAAUAAGCUAUCUCAAUACCCAAAAAGUAUGGUAGAAAGCUCAAAUCCUUCAUUCUAACACAAGAAACUAAGUUUGAUUUCAACAUUACAAUUCCAUCAACAUCAUCACGUAUGAUAAUCAUGUCAUCAACAUGUAGAGAAAGUAGAAUACCCAUUGUAAAUUAGGUGGAAUUAAAACGAAUGAAUGGUUUUUUCUAUUCUCUUUUUAUUUAGCAAAUCCUUUUGAUGCACAUUAUAUGCUUCUUGUGUAGCUAGGGUAUAUAGUUUUCUUUAAAUUUUAUAAUAUGCUCUUCUAGCUUAUUAGAAAAUCAUAAAGAGGACCCCUUUGGCUUUUUUUUAUAUUAUUUUUCUAUACUUAAAUGACAAAAAUGAUGAUUGAGGUUUGGCUUUCUUGCUUAUAUAUACUCUUUUGGUAAAUGCUUCAAAGCAUAUUCAUGAUACUAUCCUCCUAAUCUUGAGGAUGAGGUAGCAAAACUUCACGAAGGUAUUUGCAAAGUAGAAUGUACAACUUCUAGAUUAAAUUUGUUUGGAACUAUUUAUAAAGUUUGGAUUUGAAAUCAUUAUGAACUAUUUUUAAUAAAGUAUGAUUUCUAGAAACCUUAUCAUGUAAUCUCUUUAUACAAAUAAUAAUAAUAAUUUUGAUGUCUUCUACAAUAUGUUUUCACUUCUAUAUUGUCUAAUUAUUUUUUAAUAUGUUGUCAUAUGUAUGUUUUCUAAUAUUAAUUUCUUCCAAUAUUUUACUUGGGAAUGAAAAUGAAAUACUGUAAUAACAACAUUUAGUUUGAACUAAGUUAAUUUAAUUUUGUCCUUUUUUUUCCUACACACACAUAUAUAGAGCCCAUCUAAAAAGGGAUUGAUUGGGGUUCAAUUCUUUGAACAAAUUUGAUCAUAAAUGAAAAUAUCCUAUUAAAAUUGUAACAAUGAAUCAAUUUAAUUAGUAUAAACAUAUUCUACUAAUUUAAUCAUGUAUAGUUUACUAUAAAAUAUUUCUAAUUCUUUCUUAUUUCAAACUAAAAAGUUAAUUUUUUAAUCAAAACUUUUUGUUUUUAAAAAUAAGUGAUACAAAAGGUUGACAAUUUUUUUUUAAAAAAAAAAACAUAGAAGAAGAAUAAAUUUAUGAUAUAUGAAAUAUGUAUAUAUCUCAACUUAGAAUUAUUGUAUUCUAUGUAAAGAGGAUAUAUAAAGAGACUGGGUCAAUAAAUUAUCUUAUUGAAUAUUUGAUUGAACAUGAUAUAUGGCAAUUAAUGGAUGAGAUCAUUUACCCUAUCCUAAAGCUAACCAAUCCUGGGAUAAGAUAUGUUAUCUCAUCUCUUAUCUCAUCCAAUAUUAUGUAUAUCAAGUCAACUAAAUAUUGUCUUACUUUAGUAAGUAAUACAAUUGAGAUGCAGGGGAUGUGGACUACUAUUACUUUAAGAAGAAAUAUAGAAGUGAUAUAAACUAUUAAUAAGUACCAUAUGGGUAACUCUAAGUGAUUCAAUUUAACAUCCACCUAUCUAAAUAUAUUUAUAAUAGAUCAUCUUGGCUUAUGAAAAUUACAAAGUUGAAACAAAAUUUGGAGCACAACUAGUAAUAAUAUGAAAACAAAUCAAAAUUGGUAUCAUCGCUGCAUGCUAGUUACCUAACUAUAUUUCUAGAGCAGUCAAUUGGCAAAGUGAAAUCCAAUUAAAAGGGCCAAGAAAUGGUGAUUGAGUAAGAAGCUUUGAUAAGAUGUGUUGCAUUGUUGGACGAGAUCUCGGAUUAGAAUGUAUGCAUUUGAGUGCCAACCAAACCACAAGAACUACAUCUCUAGCAACUUGUUGAUCUUGAGGAGAUGGGAGACGUGAAUCUAAUAUAUUAGUGAGCAUUAUGUUUUGAGUUGAUGAGGAAGACAAUAAGGUGAAAAGUUCUCCUGGAUGCUUUCCCAUCAUUGUCUCAAGCGCCACCACUCCAAAGCUGUAAACAUCACAUUUUUCUGUCACGACCAUAGUGUAGGCAAGCUCUGUUAAGAAUCAAAACAAGAAAAAAAUAUUACACAAAUGAGAAAGAAACAUUCAUUUAGUUUUCUCAUAUUAUCCAUACUUAUAAAAUGUUGAGAAUAUUUCAUAGCAUUGCAUUGACAUUUGGCUACAUUUUAUUUCUAAAUUAUGAUGAAAUUAUGUUAAUUUUUACAACUUAUAUGAAACCUUCGAAAAACCAUUCUAAGGAGAUUUUAAAAAUAUUUGGGACUUACUAGGAAAAUGAAGACAACUAUUUAGAAAAUGCUUGAGAGACCAUUGAUAAGUAUUUUGUAUAUAAAGUUCUCUUACUCUCAAAUAUCUCAAACCAUUUUUUACAACAUUUUUUAAAUAACCAUUAAGAAUUUCUUUUUUUUUUUUUUUGGAACUUUAGACGAAAUAAUUAAAAAAUAUAUAUUAAAGAUAUUUCAACUUCUAUGAAGGCCCUUUGGGCCCAUAACAAAUAAUAUCUACAUAAUUAGGAGUGGGUCAUUACAAAUUGUAUUAGAGUUAAUCUAUAACCAUUAUGUGGAAAUUUGUUUGACUCUACAAUCUCAUGGGACAUAAAUAAGAUGUUGUGUUUGCAUAAAGGAUGAGUGUGAUAUCCCACUAUAGAUAUGAAACAAAAAGUUCUGACAUUAAAUAUGAAUGAGUUUCCCUUAACCUUAUAGACAAUUUUUAUAAUCAUGUGGGCUCCUUGGACCCAAAGUGAAGAAUAUCUAUAUAGUUGGGAGCUAUUAUUUAGUUUGCAUGAAAAAUAUAAUGAAAAAUAAUAUGUUAAAGAUUUAGAAGAAUUUAUUCACUUUCAAGCUCUUCAUAAUUUUGAAAUAAGUAAUAAUAGUAGAAAAAGUUUGGUUUGGCUAGUAAUAAUAUUUCGUUUCCUUUCAUCCAACAUAAUUUGUGACUUAUAUGAAGUAUAUAAUAAGAAGUAUGAAAGUACUAAAUACUUCGAAUCUCAAAGAUAACAAACUUAUUAAAACGAAAACAACCAAAAGUUCAAAAGAUAUAUCGAAAGAGUAAAAGCUGAAAGAAAAACUGGUGUGUACUUACCUGGUGCUAUGUAACCAUAAGUGCCUGCAAGAAGGGUUUGAUUAGAUGAAUCAGGAUGUAGCAGUCUAGCGGUGCCAAAAUCCGAUAGAAAAGCAUCCAAUUUGGAGUCCAAAAGAAUAUUAUUGCUUGAUAUGUCCCUAUGAAUAAUGGGUGGAGUACAAUCAUGAUGCAUGUAGCAUACGGCAUGGACUAUGCUUUUAACCACAUUCACCCUUUUAAUCCAAUCCAAUUCCAAAGCUUCAACUUCAUUACUCAAUACACAAUACAAGCUUCCUCUUCCCAUGUAAUUGUAAAUCAAAAACAUGCAUCUUUUGUGUAGACAAUAGCCUUGAAGUUUUACAAUAUUUCGAUGGCGUAUCUUUGAUAAUAUUUGCACCUCAUUUUGAAAACUUUUCAAGUAUAUUGCCUCAUCUCUUUCCCAUCCAUGAAGCUUUUUCAGGGCUACCACAUUGCCUGUAGGCAAUUGAGCCUUGUAAACACUGCCAUAGCCUCCUGUACCUAUGCAAUAUUUGAUGUCAAAGUCUUCUGUUGCUUUAAUGAUAUCUUCAUAAGCAAUCUUCCCAUCAUAGUUCCAUACUGAAAAUAUAUCUCCAUUUUUUGUUGGUAUUUCCUUGGUUUGAAUUUUUCUUGUCUUCCGUGAAAGCAGGAGAAACCCAAGGACCACAAAAAAAAGAAACAAGGUUGUAGACAAAGAAAUAACAAUGAUGCGUGUGGUUUUGUAUUCUUCUUUGCAAUGAGGCAAGCCUUUGAUGUCACCACAUAAACCUUUGUUAUUGUCAAAUGAACCUUGGGAAAAUUUAGACUGCAAUUCAAAGGGUAUAUGACCCUCUAAAUCAUUGUGUGAUAAAUCAAGUGAUGGCUUUAUGUGGUCAUAUAUUAAAAGAGUAGGAAUGGAACCAGAGAGUUUAUUGUGGGAGAGAUUCAAGUAUGUUAAGCGCUUCAAGUUUUGGACUUGGGAAGGUAUCUUUCCAUGGAUCAAGUUAGCACUAAGGUCGAGUCUAGUUAGAUUAUUCAAAUUUCCUAUCGUAGAAGGGAUGUGACCAUUGAUUCGAUUUCCACUAAUGUUGAACUCAUUUAAAUGAAUGAGAUAACCCAAAGAUGAAGGAAUAACACCAGUAAGAUUGUUGUGAUCCAACCUAAGAUGGAUUAGAUUCUUCAGAUUCCAAAUUAUAGGAGGGAUAGAACCAUUGAUUUGAUUAUCACAAAGAUUCAAAUCUGUCAAUUUGGUAAGAUGACCAAAUGACAAGGGGAUGCCGCCCUGGAUUUGAUUGUUGAAGAGAUGUAAAUAAGUCAAAUUGGUAAGAUGACCCAAAGAGGGAGGAAUAGUACCAAUGAGAGAGUUAUGACUAAAGCAUAGUUGAACCAAAUUCUUUAAAUUCCCGAUUUCAGAAGGGAUGGAACCAUUAAUUCGAUUGAAAUUAAGGAAUAAGUAUUCUAGAUUGCUUAAAUUGGCAAGGGAGGAAGGGAUGACACCAGAAAGAGAGUUAGAAACCAAAUACAAAUGAGUAAGAUUCUUCAAAUUCCCAAUUUGGUAAGGAAUAGAACCAUUGAUUUCAUUGAUGCUAAGGUCUAAAUAUUUCAGAUUCUUCAAAUAUCCAAGAGAGGAAGGGAUGACACCAGAGAGCCCAUAGUUAAAACUCAAAUCCAAAUGAAUAAGAUUCUUCAAAUAUCCAAGAGAGGAAGGGAUGACACCAGAGAGAUUGUUAUAAGCCAAAUCCAAUUCCUCUAAUAGAGUAAGGUUACCCAGUGAAACAGGUAGCUCACCAUGAACAUCACAUUCAGAUAUACGGAGGUAAGUGAGUUUUGUAAGCAUACCUAUCUCAUCUGGGAUGCGACCAUAGAUGGAAGAAUGGCUAACGUUGAGAUGGAGGAGGCUGGGAAAUGAAGAAAACUUCAACUUGCUAAGCUCAACCAUUUUACCAUCGAUAUAUG
This 196857-nucleotide long non-coding RNA is filed under the name Vitis vinifera (wine grape). RNAcentral describes it as "long non-coding RNA (VVIN_LNC003285)". The stretch from base 114003 to 114133 matches the Rfam family "MIR845_2 microRNA precursor family". The record is from RNAcentral. Lineage: Eukaryota; Viridiplantae; Streptophyta; Magnoliopsida; Vitales; Vitaceae.